RNAcentral lists this long non-coding RNA (328720 nucleotides) under Citrus x clementina. RNAcentral's name for it is "Citrus clementina (C. clementina) long non-coding RNA (CCLE_LNC002468)". The stretch from base 232814 to 232920 matches the Rfam family "Plant small nucleolar RNA R71". Lineage: Eukaryota; Viridiplantae; Streptophyta; Magnoliopsida; Sapindales; Rutaceae. The record is from RNAcentral.
GAGUUUAAAACUCAGUGAGAUCAGUGAGUGGAUAGUAGGUUUGAAAAUUAAAUCUUACUUUAAAAGAAAUAAUCAUAUCAUUUCCAAAUACGGUUUCAUUAAACCAUAAGCGAGAAAUCAGAAAUAAAUCAUUAAACAUUUAAAUCAGAUUACCAACCAUAGAAAUCAUAUCACCAAAUCAUAUAGGAUUCACAAAUCUGAAAAUCAUCAUAAAACAAGUACCCAGGGAAAUAAUCUCGUCAUAUCCGGACCUCAACGGACGGGCAAUGACGUACUAUCUGGGUAACGUCACGCCCCGGAGCUACACAGAUAGACAGGGAAAUACCAUCUCAUAUCUCAUCAUAUCUCUGCAUGCAUAAUCUAGUCCCCAAAGGACAAAAGCGCCCAAGCACACGGCCCAAAGCCUCUGUGUGUACUCAGACGGGCCCCAAAGGCCUGUAUCUCAUCUAUAUCAUCUGUAUCACAAUAUCGGUCUGUAUCUCAUGUCUGUAUCAUCUGUAUUUCAAUGUCUGUCUAUAUCUCAUAUCUGUAUCACUGUAAUCAUACCGCAUGCAUAUGCCCCCAAAAGGCAAAAGCGCCCAAACACACGGCCCAAAGCCUCUAUGUGUGUUUAGACGGGCCCCAAAGGCCUCUCAUCUCAUAUCAUUUAUAUCACUAUAUCUGGAGGGAAGGGUACUGUUUAAUGAUUUUAAAAACAAUCAUAAUACUCAUAUUCUCAUACCUCUUAACCAUAUUUUAAAUCAUACCACACAUUUUAAUAUAAUCUCAACACGUGAAUAAAAUCCAUUUCGAGGGAAUCACAUUAAAUCCAAUUCGAGAAAAAUCGCAUUAAACCCAUUUCGAGAAAUCAUUAAAUCAAAACAUUUAAAAUGCUUAUUCCGCAAACAUGCUUACUAUCAUCGCUAACUAUAAAAAUAAGUUUUAUAUAUUCCACUCACAGUGAUGGUGUUCAGGGUCGGUUAUCGUCCAUGUCCGCAGUCCGGUUCUCGCUCGCGGAUCCUCCUAAAUCAAGGAAACGACAUAAUUAUUUUCCAUAAAUCGGAAUUCCGACUCAAUAUAUGCCAUAAACUCGAAACGAACAUUUAUCCAUAAUUUACAACUCCCGUGUCGAUAAAAUUACUAAAAUGCCCUUGCCGGUGAACGGUCGCCGGAAAUUGGUCAACGACGAUGGGAAGCUUAGGUCUGCUAGUUCAGACCUCGGUGAGUCCAAUGGUGGUGGCUGUGAGUCCCCACGCGCGGUACCGACGGCGGAUCGAGCUUCCCAAGCCGUGAGCUUCCAAGUGGCUAUUCGUCGGCAAUCCGGCCGUUUCAGAUGACGAGGUUGGUCGGAAAAUGAUUCUGGUGACGUGAGGAGUAGAAACCAGCUAGAGGUGUGCCCAAACUCUGGCAAAAUCGACGGCGGCGAAAACGGGUCUUGGCCGCGACUUUUCAAGCUCAAACGCCGGCGUUCCAGUCGGUUUCCGGCGACGAGGAUGGCAGGGUUAUGAUGGCCGGCUUCCAAGCUUCAGAUUGGUACCAAGCUCGGCUGGUGAGGUGGCCGGAAUCGUGAAAUCCGUCCGGGUCAAAGUCGCGGGUCGGGUCGGGUUUCCGGGUAAAAAAUCGGGUCAACUCUCUUUCUCUGUGUUACACGUGCAUGUGUUUUCCUUUGUUUCCAACUUAUUCCUUUGCUUAUAAACUCCUUAACCGCCUCAUGCCAUCUUAAGUGCAAACACCACUGCUGCUAGCUCUAAAUCAUGUGUUGGAUAGUUUUGUUCAUGCUUCUUAAGUUGUCUAGAGGCAUAAGCCACCACUUUCCCAUGCUGCAUCAAUACACAACCCAAUCCAUGCCUAGAGGCAUCGCUGUAAACCACAAAUCCUUCAUUACUAUAUGGAAGUGUAAGAACUGGUGCUGAGGUCAAACAUGUCUUAAGUUCUUGAAAACUUUUCUCACAGUCAUCAUCCCACUGGAACUUAGCAUUCUUUCUGGUUAACCGUGUCAGAGGAGUAGCAAUCUUGGAGAAGCCUUCCACAAAUCUACGAUAAUAACCAGCUAACCCAAGAAAACUCCGAACCUCUGUGACAUUUGUAGGUCGUUCCCAUUUCACAACUGCUUCAAUCUUUUGAGGAUCAACAUAAAUGCCUUUAGCUGAUAUCACAUGGCCCAAAAAAUACUACUCUAUCUAACCAGAACUCGCAUUUGCUGAACUUGGCAUACAACUGUUUUUGUCUCAAAAUCUUCAAAACAGUCCACAAAUGCUGUGCAUGCUCCUCCUCGCUUCGGGAAUACACUAAAAUAUCAUCAAUGAAUACAACCACAAACCGAUCCAGGUACAGGCGAAAUACCCUAUUCAUCAGGUCCAUAAAAGCAGCUGGGGCAUUUGUCAACCCAAAUGGCAUCACUAAGAACUCAUAGUGCCCAUAACGGGUUCUGAAUGCUGUUGUAGGAACGUCAACAUCUUUAAUUCUAAGCUGAUGGUAACCCGAGUGCAAAUCGAUCUUAGAAAAUACUUUUGCCCCUUGGAGUUGAUCAAAUAAGUCAUCAAUACGCGGAAGUGGAUACUUAUUGCGCACCGUAACUUUAUUCAACUGUCUGUAGUCGAUGCAGAGUCUAAAAGUCCCAUCGUUUUUCUUAACAAACAAGAUUGGAGCUCCCCACGGGGACACACUGGGUCUAAUAAACCCUUUCUCCACCAACUCUUGCAAUUGAAUCUUCAGUUCCUUCAAUUCUGCUGGAGCCAUUCUGUACGGUGCCAUAGAUAUCGGAGAUGUUCUAGGGACUAAGUCAAUAGAAAACUCAACUUCUCUGUUAGGUGGCAUCCCAGGAAGUUCAUUUGGAAAUACAUCUGGAAAUUCUUUAACUACUGUAAUAUCCUCCAAUCUCAAUUUUCGGACUUCUGUAUCUAUCACAUGAGCUAAAUAAGCUGAGCAUCCUUUUCUUAGCAACCUUCUUGCACUAAUAGCAGAUAUAACACAUGAGGGUAGAACUCUGCGCUCCCCACAAAAUUUCACCUCAGCUUUCCCUGGCUUUUUAAACACAACGUCCUUUUUGAAACAAUCCACCGUAGCAUAAUGAGAUUCAAGCCAAUCCAUACCCAAAAUAGCAUCAAAGUCAUAAAUCUUUAAGGAAAUCAAAUUCGCCUCAAAUUCAUAAUCACCCAUUCCAAUCAUACAAUCUCGAUACACACUCUGAGCAAGUAAUGACUCUCCGGUAGGUGUACGAACAACUAAUUCGCAAUCUAAUAGUUCGGGCUCUCGCCCUAUAUGCAUAGCAAAAGCACGAGAAACAAAAGAGUGUGUAGAUCCAGGAUCAAUAAGAAUAUGAGCCUCGCGGCCAAGGAUAGAUAAUAUACCCAUAAUAACUCUGGUGCAGCACGUGCCUCCUGCUGCGUCAAAGCAAAAACUCAAGCCUGAGUAUGAGGUCGACCAAGCUGACCUCUCUGACCUGGAGCAGUCGUCUGACCCCUAAAGGUAGAUGUAGAACCUCCUGUCUGCACUCCUCUCUGACCCUGAGUCUGGCCAGAGUAAGGCUGAUACCGUGAGGCUGUCCCUCCUGUAGAGCUAUCACCCUGAGAUAAAGUAGGGCAAAAUCUCCUGAUGUGUCCAGGCUGACCACAUAAAUAACAAACUUUGUCUCCAACACGACAUGGGCCCUGAUGAUUCCUGCCACAUGAAGGGCAAGAAAUCUGCUGAAAACGCCUAGAACGAUCAUCACGAUAUCCCCCACCACUGCGGUCGUACUGUCCCUGAUUCUUGGUAUUACUCCCCACCGAUGGUUGCACAGAGCUAUGACUAACAGCUUGUCUCGAGUCCCCCCUGAAGCCUGUACCCUGAUUCCUUUGCGUACUAUCAGAAUAACUCGUAGGAAUACCCCCUCUCUUGGGCGGCCUACUACUAGAGCCACCCUCUGCCCAGCUCUGGCUACGCUUUUGCUUCAGUGCAUGAAAUCUACGUCCUUCUGCAAUACUGUGCUCUACUCUCCUGGCUGCCUCAACUACCUCUCCAAACUUAGUAUAUCGUGAUGCAGUCACAGUGGUACGAAUCUCAAAUCGGAGGCCAUCCUCGAACCGUCUGCAUCUCUCUCUCUCAUCACCGACUACAGAUGUAGCAAAUCUAGAGAGGUCUAAAAAUUUCUUCUCAUACUCCUCAACUGUCAGAGAUCCCUGAACCAACCGAAAGAAUUCACUUCGUUUAAUAUCCUGAUAUACAGCAGGAAAAUAAUGAUCGUAGAAUUCCUUGCGAAAAAUGGCCCAAGUAAUCGCAGCAUGUCCCUGAUAUCGUCUCUCCACUGUCUGCCACCAAUGAUAAGCUCUAUCCUCGAGCAGGAAAGUGGCGAAGGAUAAUCUAUCAUCCUCUGAACACUUCAUCACAUCAUAAAUACGCUCUAACUUAACAAACCAUGACUCAGCCUCAGGUGGUUCUCCGGAACCAUUAAAACUCUUCGCCCCUAAACUCCUCACUCGCUCAAUAGUAUUUGCAUUACCGACAUGCGCUUGCGUCUGAUUUUGCACAACUGUAGUCAUGAUUUGAGCCAGCCUAUCAAAUGACUGCUCAAUAUUCGGGGCAUCCCCCGGUGUCUGUUGUGCAAUUCCAUGCGUAGAGGAUUCAACUAUCCCCUCAUUCGCGGGUUCACGUUCCCCCGCAGGUACACUACCAGAAGUCAACCCAGCUAUUGGCCUAGUACGGCCACGGCCACGUCUACUACUACGACGAAGCAUGAUGGUGCCUACAAGAGAUAAACUCUAACUUUAAUAAAGAUAAAACUUAUUCUGAUUAAGACAGUGAAGUCUACAGAAUCUAAAACCAUGCUCUGAUACCAACUGAAACGACCCGCCCCGAGAACCCCUAGGCGAGUCUAUCUAGUCUCAUCAAAACGGACUAGAAAAUCUAUUCAUAAAGAGUCUGCCGAAAAUUCGGCAGAGUCUCCUUUAUAUAUAUAACACUCCCAAUCUACAAAUAUGAAAAUAACACUCCCAAUACAAAUCUCAUAUACAACAAACUCCAGUACUCAACAUACUCAACCAAAAUGCUGAGUCUUAUAUUAUACAAUCCCAAAAGAACAAGAUGACCAAAAUGUCCCAACAAAAACAUUUACACAAUCUAGCACCAUCACGUGGCCAAGACUCAAAAUAUAUAUACAGUCGCUGGGUCAGUCUGGUGUACCUGCAACCUCCUGGUGAGGGGGGAAAAAUAUAAUAAAAGCAGGGUGAGUUUAAAACUCAGUGAGAUCAGUGAGUGGAUAGUAGGUUUGAAAAUUAAAUCUUACUUUAAAAGAAAUAAUCAUAUCAUUUCCAAAUACGGUUUCAUUAAACCAUAAGCGAGAAAUCAGAAAUAAAUCAUUAAACAUUUAAAUCAGAUUACCAACCAUAGAAAUCAUAUCACCAAAUCAUAUAGGAUUCACAAAUCUGAAAAUCAUCAUAAAACAAGUACCCAGGGAAAUAAUCUCGUCAUAUCCGGACCUCAACGGACGGGCAAUGACGUACUAUCUGGGUAACGUCACGCCCCGGAGCUACACAGAUAGACAGGGAAAUACCAUCUCAUAUCUCAUCAUAUCUCUGCAUGCAUAAUCUAGUCCCCAAAGGACAAAAGCGCCCAAGCACACGGCCCAAAGCCUCUGUGUGUACUCAGACGGGCCCCAAAGGCCUGUAUCUCAUCUAUAUCAUCUGUAUCACAAUAUCGGUCUGUAUCUCAUGUCUGUAUCAUCUGUAUUUCAAUGUCUGUCUAUAUCUCAUAUCUGUAUCACUGUAAUCAUACCGCAUGCAUAUGCCCCCAAAAGGCAAAAGCGCCCAAACACACGGCCCAAAGCCUCUAUGUGUGUUUAGACGGGCCCCAAAGGCCUCUCAUCUCAUAUCAUUUAUAUCACUAUAUCUGGAGGGAAGGGUACUGUUUAAUGAUUUUAAAAACAAUCAUAAUACUCAUAUUCUCAUACCUCGUAACCAUAUUUUAAAUCAUACCACACAUUUUAAUAUAAUCUCAACACGUGAAUAAAAUCCAUUUCGAGGGAAUCACAUUAAAUCCAAUUCGAGAAAAAUCGCAUUAAACCCAUUUCGAGAAAUCAUUAAAUCAGAACAUUUAAAAUGCUUAUUCCGCAAACAUGCUUACUAUCAUCGCUAACUAUAAAAAUAAGUUUUAUAUAUUCCACUCACAGUGACGGUGUUCAGGGUCGGUUAUCGUCCAUGUCCGCAGUCCGGUUCUCGCUCGCGGAUCCUCCUAAAUCAAGGAAACAACAUAAUUAUUUUCCAUAAAUCGGAAUUCCGACUCAAUAUAUGCCAUAAACUCGAAACGAACAUUUAUCCAUAAUUUACAACUCCCGUGUCGAUAAAAUUACUAAAAUGCCCUUGCCGGUGAACGGUCGCCGGAAAUUGGUCAACGACGAUGGGAAGCUUAGGUCUGCUAGUUCAGACCUCGGUGAGUCCAAUGGUGGUGGCUGUGAGUCCCCACGCGCGGUACCGGCGGCGGAUCGAGCUUCCCAAGCCGUGAGCUUCCAAGUGGUUAUUCGUCGGCAAUCCGGCCGUUUCAGAUGACGAGGUUGGUCGGAAAAUGAUGCUGGUGACGUGAGGAGUAGAAACCAGCUAGAGGUGUGCCCAAACUAUGGCAAAAUCGACGGCGGUGAAAACGGGUCUUGGCUGCGACUUUUCAAGCUCAAACGCCGGCGUUCCAGUCGGUUUCCGGCGACGAGGAUGGCAGGGUUAUGAUGGCCGGCUUCCAAGCUUCAGAUUGGUACCAAGCUCGGCUGGUGAGGUGGCCGGAAUCGUGAAAUCCGUCCGGGUCAAAGUCGCGGGUCGGGUCGGGUUUCCGGGUAAAAAAUCGGGUCAACUCUCUUUCUCUGUGUUACACGUGCAUGUGUUUUCCUUUGUUUCCAACUUAUUCCUUUGCUUAUAAACUCCUUAACCGCCUCAUGCCAUUUUACAACCACAGGUGUUACAGUACCACCCUUAAACAAUGCAAAUUUGCUUUGACUCAAAUAAGGUACCACCCUAAUAUAGAUACAAGAUUUUUCCUACCUUUAGAUACAUGAUAAACAUCAAUAUGAGUUAAAGUUUUUCCACAAGUGAACUCUAGUUGCACAUUCCCUCUAAUUGUUGCAAUGGAGGAAUUUCCCAUCUAAAGAACACUUCAAUCAUCCAUUGCUUUGUAAGAUGUGAAAAGCCUACGAUUCUUGUACACAUACUUGAUUGCACCGGAAUCUAUUCACCAUGCAUUAUCAUGUUCGAGAAUAUUAAUCUAAGAUAUUACGGCCAUAAAUUUUGUCCACAAAAUUUGUGUUCGAGCACUUCUUUUCUUUCUUAAGAAGCUGACAGUCAUUUUUAAAGUGGCUAGGCUUUUCACAUUGGUCACAUGUACACCUUUCUUUUUUAUUUUGUUGGUUUGAUUCUAUUUGGAAUCAAAUUUUUGCUUUUGGUUAUUAAUGCGGGUAUUAGACUGCUUAAGCUCCUUCUCCUCCUCCACAACAUUAAUUUCAGAGGACAUAGCAGUCUGUUCCUCAAGACUAUUAAGUUUAAGUUUCUAUUCAAUAUGAAGACUUUGCCAAGCCUUCCAGGCUAACUUCCUCUUUGUUAUAUUUAAGACUUUUUUCAUAGUCUUUUCAAGAGGGGGGAAGUUUAUCAAUAAUUGAAGAAAUAAUAAUAAACUUAUUACUUUUCAUGUUGUGUUGGUUGAAUUGAUCAAGAAUGCAAAAAAUCUCAUUAUAUUGUUCAAUCACAAGUCUAUUGUCAAUCUUUUUAAAACUAAAAAAAAUUAGAAGUCAAGAAUUUCUUACUUGUGGUGUCUUCUAUCAUGUACUUAGACUCCAAUAAGUCUUAUAUUUCUUUUGCAGUGGAUUUUGUUGUGGUACUUAUGAAAACAAAGUACUAGACACAGCAUUGUAAAUGUGUCUUAUGCACACGUAGACAUCUUGCUUCCACUUUUGCCACACUCGAGUUUCUCAUUCUCAUGUUCUUCAGGCUUUGAUAUUGUAAGAACAUUAACAACAUUGAGGCUUGUCAAUAAGAAAUGUAAUAUUUUUUGCCAACGUAUAGAAGUUGUGACCAUAAAUAUUUCUUUACUAUUGAUUUUGAUGAUAACAAACUUGAUUAAGAUUGAUUAAUCCUUUAAAAGCUCAAAAUAAUUUUCAUAUACUUUUAAAUCAUCACUCUCACUUUAUAAAGACUUUAUAUUCUAUGGAAAUAUUUUUGGUUAUUCUCAUGUUAAUGGUUUCAAUUGAAAAAGCUUUGAGAAUUUUGAUAAUAACAAAUAUUGUUUCAAAUCCUGUAAAUGGAUCUAUUUGACAAGUUUUAUAAAGUGUUGGGUCAUAGUAUAAUUUUAUGAAGUUUUGGGGUCAAACUAUUAUUUUGUAAAAUAGUUCAUUGUAGCAGUUACUGUAGAAAACGAUGAUCCGACAUCUUGAUAAUGGCUCGCCGACAUCAAACAGAACUGAAGAUUAGCCUCCGGACACUAACGACAAUCCGACAACUUGAUAACGGCUAACCGACAUUGCACUGAAUUGAAGAUUAGUCUCUGGACACUAACGGCGAUCAACAUCUAGAUAACGGCAAUCCGAAAAUUUAAAAAUUCUGCCCAAUGGUCAUAUUGACAAUUUAAAACAGCGAUUCGACAUCUAGAUAACGGCAAUUCGACAAUGUGUAGAAAGUCAAUAACGGCUAGUUUUCAGCUCCAGUAAUAAAUAAGCUCAAUCAAAUUCAAACUAAAACGAUUGCAACAAUUAUUAUUGACUAAAGUCUUGAGCAUACAACAUUCAUUGAGCCUUAAAUUCUUGUAUUCAUCUCAUUUACUCACACUUUGAAUCUUCAUUUGUAAUCAAACACAGUGUGAGAGAAAUUUAUUUUGUAACAUUCUUUAAAAUCAAAUUGAGUGAUUGUAAGUGUUGGGAUGCACUUGGGUUAAGAGAUUUGGGAUAAUCUCUUUUUGUAAAGGUUUAUUGACACCUUAGGAGUCAAGUGUAAGCAUUUGAAGCCUUGGUGGCUUACUUAGCGGAAUCAUCAAGCCCGGAAAGUUUAGAGGUGUGGACGUGGGCGAGGUUGGCCAAACCACGUAAAAAUCCUCAUGUUUGAAUCUCUCUUACCUUAUCUUUUUAUAUUGUGAUAAAUUUAUUUGUUAUUGCUUUAAAUUUGUUUUAUAUUUGCAUUGAGUUUUGCUUUAAAAAUUGUAUAAUUUUUAGAAUCCUAAUUCACCCCCCUUGGGUUGCAUUACUAGAAUUUCAUUUGGUAUUAGAGCCUUGUUCUCUUGUUAAGACAUAAUCAUCUAGAGUAAAAGAUCAAUGGCAACCCUAAAUGACUCAACCUUUAGAGAAGGACAAUCCACAACUGGACCACCGUUCUUUGAUGGUAAUGACUAUGCAUAUUGGAAAACUAGGAUGAGAAUCUAUUUACAAGUUUUAGAUUAAGAAAUUUGGGAAGUUGUUUAUGAUGGUCCAUUCAUGCCUAUGUUUAAAAAUGAAGGAGAUGAUAUUCCUAAACCAUCAAGUCAAUGAGUGAGUUAGAAAAGAGAAAGAUGUCCUUAAACUCCAAGGCAAUGAAUGCCUUGUUUUGUGCUCUUGAUAAGAAAGAAUUCCAUAGAGUAUCUAGUUGUGAAAGUGCACAAGAAAUAUGGAAUAAACUUGAAGUUGUUUAUGAAGGGACAAAUCAAGUUAAAGAGAUUAAAAUUAGUAGAUACACUCGUCAAUAUGAAUUAUUCCAAAUGGAACAAAAUAAAAAUAUGUAUUCUAUGUAUACUAGAUUUACGAAAAUAGUGAACACCCUAGGAGCUUUGGGAAAAACUUUCUCAAAUAGUGAGAAAGUAAAGAAAAUCAUUAGCUCACUUCUUAAGGAAUGGAGACCUAAGAGGACUGCUAUUUAAGAGGCCAAAAAUUUAAAUACUUUACCUCUUGAUGAUUUAAUUGGCUCUUUUAUUUAAUAUGAAGAAGACUUAGCAGCCGAAAAAAGGGAAAAGUAUUGUUCUCAAAGCUUCAAAAUUUAAGAGCGAUGAGCAAAGUGAACCGGAUGAUGAGGAGUUGGCCAUGAUAGAAAUGAGGUUUAGAAAAUUCUUCAAGAAAACCGGUGAGCGAAGAAGAUUUAGAAACUUCAAGAAUCAAAAGGAGAAGAAAGAGGCAAUCAUAUGCUAUGAAUGCUAAAAGCCCGGCCAUAUAAGAUCGGAAUGCCCACUUCUCAACAAAUUCAAGAAGAAAGCCAUGGUUGCUACUUAGGAUGAUAGCGAUGAAGAUUCAAGUGAUGAAGAUGAAUUGCAUGAAGCAUCAAACCUAACACUUAUGGCAAUAGGAGAUGAUGAUGAUCUCAAUGAGGUAAGUGAUCCUACCUAUGAUGAGUUGUAUGAUGCUUUUAAAUAAUUACAUGAUGAGUUGAUGAAAAUUAGUAAAAAGAAUGCAUGCCUUAAAAAGAAAAUGCUAGAACUUACAAAUGAAAAGGAUGCCCUGGAAAAAUGCAAUAAUGAGAAGAUAAAAGAAUUAGAAUUAGAGAAUAAAAUGUUACAUGAUAAAACUUUAGCUCUUAAAGGUAAACAAAGCACUUAUGAACAUGAAAAAUCACAUGUGGAUGAGUUAAUGAAAGAGAAUGAAGUGCUUAAGAAGAAAAAUAAUGAACUAAAUGAAAUUGUGCUAAAGUUUACAAAUGGACAAAAGAUGUUGGAAAACAUGUCAAUUCACAAAAAAUGUGUGUUUGAUAAAGGAGGUACUGGAUAUAAGCCAAACUUAAAACAAAAAUAUUAUAAAACUACUUUGUGAAAAGUACUUCUAUUAACAAUCAAAUUGUAUGUCAUCAUUGUAAUCAAGAUGGACACAUGAAAAAUAGAUGUCCAGUAAAAAGAAAUGCAUAUUAUGGUGUGAAAUGUAUUUGGGUUCCAAAAGGAACCAUUGCUAACAUACAAGGACCCAAGAAGUUUUGGGUACCUAAAACUUAGAAACUUUUUCUGCAGGGAUUAAAGAAAAAGAAAAAUAAGUGGUUCUUGGAUAGUGGUUGCUCAAGGCACAUGACCAGAAACUAUGCAUGGUUUUCAAGUUUCACCACAAUCGAAAAUGGUGGAGAUAUUUCUUUUGGAGAUAACUCAAAAUGAAGGUACUUCUCAAUCACUCCCCAAAGAGUGGAGGUAUGUUUCUUCUCACCUUAAGGAUGUAAUUUUAGGAGAUCCCUCACGAGGUAUUACAACUAGAUCAUCACUUAGGAAUACUUGUGAGCAUAAUGCAUUUAUUUCUCAAAUUGAACCCAAAUCCUUUGAGGAUGCGGAAAAUGAUGAAUCUUGGAUUAUGACAAUACAAGAGGAGUUAAAUCAAUUUAAAAGAAACAAUGUGUGGGAAUUAGUUCCUAAACCGGAACAUCAAUCUUUCAUAGGUACUGUUGGUGUAUAAAUACUAAUGCUAUUGGUGUCAAUGUGCAAGUGCACACAACAAGUAAUAAAGUGAUGAGUAUUCAAGAUCGUCUCCACAAGGAUUGAUGUUAUCAGAUUUGCUACAGCAAUCUUAACAGUGCAGAUUUUGUGCUAAAAUAAAAUAAACAAUUAAUGAAACUAAUGUACUAAUUAAAAUAAAAACGCAAUAAAUAAAUGCAACAAAGUAAACUAUCACGUCAAGCUCAAGGAUAAAACUAAUGGAAAUAUAUAGUAGUUGAGUGACUAAACUCUUCUAAUGGUCUUGACUAUUUUCUAAUGGUUGGCUCGGUUGCUGCAGUAUUUGCUACAGCACUGGCCAGAAUCCUUAUGUAUCCUCAACUGUCGCAUGUUGGAUAUCUUAUAUCUAUAUGCAACCUAACAGUGAUCAGUUGUUAUGCCAACAUAAGAUAUAGCAUUACAUGCUUAGAUUCCAUUCACCCUACAAGGUGAAUCCAUAUGUCUAGUUCAUCACUAAUUUUAAAUGAAGCAUGGCCCUUUUCGAAUAAGUUAAACUCAAUCCAGGAAACUCAAUCUAAACCAAGUAUUGCUCUGAUAUGUUCCGCUAAGAUAGGCCCUUUUGCGGCUCUCUCCUAACUUGUAUUAUUAAAUGGGUGAUCAACCAAAAUAAUGAAUAAAAAUAAAUACUAUCAAAACAAACUGCUACAGUAAACAUGCAACAACACAUGUAUUUAGUCAAUAAACCAUCAAGAUUGUUUAUCACUCAACCACAAAUAAAUUUAGUUCAUGGUUUGCAAAAAAAAAAAAUAAAGAACAAAGUUUUAGCCAUGAAAUGCAUCCCCAUGUAUAAACAGAAAACACGAAAACAAGAGAAGAAUAAGAAUGAUUGAGCUCCCAAUUGAUUUCUGCAAAUUCUCCUCUUGUGCAGCCCUUAAUCUCUCUCUUGAAUCUUGUUUUUCUUUUGUUUCUUUGUGUUUUUCUCCUUGGGUGACGGCUCCCUCUUUUCCUUAUGAUGUGUGCUUCUUUUAUAGUUGAAAAUUAGGGUAAACGGAAGCCUAGGGCGCGCAUAAGUCAAAUUAGGAAACUGUAGAUCGCAAUUCUGCAAGUAUCCCGCGUGAAAUUUUCUCUGUCAUUGUUCCAGGAUUGCUACAGCAAUGGUUGCUACAGCAAUAUCUACAACAACUGCAUUGUUCCAGAUUUGUUUCAACUCUUUUUUAGCCAUGUUCUUUCCUUAUUUUUGCAACCCUAUUGCAUAGCAUUCCUUCCAUGAAUUAUAAACUUCUGGAAACCUACAAUUUUGCACACAAUUUGAGCACAAAUUACUUUAAAUCGAGCAAAACUUAUUAAGACUAAACUAAAAUGAAUAUUUAUGCAAAAUGUAACAAAAUACAAUAGAAACACAUCAUUUACUCUUUAAACAAUAUUGAUUUAAGUCUGAAAGUGCCAUAAUAACUCUCAUUUUAUAGAGUUAUCACACUCCCAAACUUAAACCAUCACUUGUCCUCAAGUAAUGACAAUAACACUAACACUUCAAUCACACAAUCAUUCAACAAAUAACUUAGCUCUGUCAUCAAAUUUGUAAGGAUUCUUCAACCCUCAUAUCACAUUCUUAAUCACACAAAAUAACCAUAAUAGUUUAGUUCUAGAACUAGGCUUCAUUCUGUCCAGAGUGUGUGUGUGCCACUUUGAUCAAGUUUCAGAGGUGCUACAACAUUACACAGGCAUAUAAUUCAGAGAUAGAACACAAAUAUAUUCACAUAUGAGGGAGUAGAAUUCACCAAUAAACUCAAACUGUGCUACAAUAAUAAUACUUUUUUUUUUCAGUUAAACCCUUCAAUGCAACAUUGAGCUUUCAUGUGAGUGCCCAUCACUUGUAAUGACGACACCCAAUUACUCACUCAAAAUAUUUGUUAGAGUUGCUGCAGCAACACAUUUAGGAUGUUAUAUCUAGGUCUUGCCUUUGGACGCCUUUGACUCAAGGCUGAACAUUGGGCUCAUGAACAGACCAAAUUACUCAGUAUCCUAGGGAGUGGACCUCUUUAUUUUUCAUUCCUUCAUCACCAUUUUUUUCUUUUUUUUCAAUAUAUAAUUGCUGCAGCAUUGCUCAUAACUCUUGCUGCCUUUGGACUCAAGUUUGUAUAUGGGGUACACACUCAACCUUGGUUACUCAGCAACUUAAGCCAUUGGAGCAAAAUUUAUUUCAUAACAAGCACAGUUCAACAAAAAUUUUCCCCCAAACUUGAGAUAUUUUCUACUCUUUUUUGGUUUUCCUGGCUCUGCUACUGCAUUUUCAUAAAACUCAACCAAAGUCUAAGUGUCGGGACAGAAGUUCAACCCCUAUCUAUAACUAUCUCUACUUGGCUUUCUCAUAAAUACUGAAUAGCACUCAAUUUAUCUUCAUGAGGUUUUCAAAUUCAUACACAAAUAUUAGAUAACAAAGCUUCAUACAACACAAGCAUAAAUACAUGCACUCAGAAACAUAACCCCCCCAAACUUGAGUGAUGUUGUGUCCUCACAAGCACACAAAACAAAACCACAUAAACCAGACAUGUAUACACUAAAUAAAAGGACAUGCAUAAUGAAUUAGAAAAUUAAAACUAAAUGAAAGAAAAUUUUUGCAGCAAGAAGUAAAAUAAACUAGCGGUUAGGGGUACUGCCCUGUUACUGGAAGCACUGCUGCAUCAUAGGCUGUAAAAGGUCACUUUUUCUUUGAUAUACUUCUCAAACGCUCCUUAUCAUAAAAUCUGAUCAAUCCAUUUACUGCUGCAAAAGCAAGAAAUGCCUCUAUUGUUUGAGAAUCUUCUGUUAUAUGUCAUGCUGUAAGUGAUGCUGCAACAAUUCUUUCCUGCUCUUUUUUUCGUAUUUUUUUGUUUUUUUUUACCUGUUGCAAUUUAACACAAAGACAUAAAAAACUAGAUGCACACUUAAAAUAACAACAAGACAAAUUCAAUAAUUUAAAAACUAAAUUUAAUGCUUUAAAAAGUUAAAAUAACUUUCCUUAUUGGGUUGCCUCCCAAUUAGCGCUUGAUUUUAGGUCUUUAAGCAUGACCUUUCUUGUUUCCUCAACCUCGAUCCUUUAAGAACCGAUCCUUCAUUAGGCUGUUCACCUCAUCUCCCAUAUAGUGCUUCACUCUUGGCCCAUUAACCACUAAGCCUGUUUAUCUCGAGACCCGAAAGCUCGGUCGAGAGAUUAUGUCUGCGAUCGGAUUUUUUAAGAAGCAUGGGAAGUGGGAAAAGACAACAUCCUCUAAGAAUGAAGACACUUUUAUUGCUCCAGAGGAUGAUCGCAUGCUAAAUGAUGUCUAUUUCAUGGGUGAGUUACCUGACUUCCGCCUUAGGGCUAGACCGUGUGCCCCUCGCCGAGCAACAGCAGCAGCAUCCGCAGCAGCUUCCUCUUCGGAUGACGAGCUAGCUGAGCCAGCUGUCCCUCCUGCAGCAUCUUCUGCCUCUGAGGACCGCUUUUAGCAGCUCUUCGACAAGAUGGAUACACUCUCCUAGUAGCAGCAGCAGCUUCAAUCUGAUUUUGUGACUUUUCGGCAGCAGAUAUUAAAUCAGCAGAUGGAGUUACUUGCUGGACAGUGUCGCAUUCUUGGUCACCUUGGCUAUGAUCCUGGAAGUUCCUCUUCACCACCCCCAUCUUAAUUUUCUGCCCCUAUGAUUUUUGCACAAACAUUACUCAUUUCAUGUAGUUUGUUGUGGUACUUUUCGUUUUUUUGAUUGUUCUUGUGAUGCUUUUAUGAUGUUUUUAUUGGAUAUGUGAAUUUUAUUUAUGCAACGACCUGCCCCGACCUCCACAGGGCGAAUCUUACUGAUAGAUGCUUAAAAAUAUAAUAAUAAUAAAUAAUAAUAAUCCUUUUACAAUCCAUAAAAAUUAUAUCCUUGAAAAUACAAAUAUAAAACGCAAACUGCAGCGGAAGAAUUUAAAAUUCAUGCCAAACCAUCUAAUUCCUCCAUUCAAGUCCUUCUCGACGAUCAUCACGAAUCAAUCCUAAUUUACGAAAACUGAAUUACAAUAAACUAUAAUGAGUACGAAACUCAAUAAGUAAACUAGUUUUGCAUAUACCAAAAUACAUACAUACAUAUAGAUAGUGCAAAUGAAUGGCGUGCCAUGAUAUUCGAAAACAUCGUAAAAAAAAUAAUUGAAAUCUCAUUAUGUCUUUCUCAAACUUUCACAUUCUCUUUCAAACCACUUACUUGAGCUACCUUUAUUCGAUUACCGCUUAGUAGGACACUCCCUUAACUUUCAUAAUUUUCAUAACUUUCAUACUCUUUGUGCUUCUCGCCAAUGCGUCCUUCGCCCACUUAUCUCAUAACUAUAUAAACAUCUAGAGUGUCUUCCACUAAGCCAAUAACGAAUUCAAGCAUCCAAGCUAAAACUGUAAAACAAUCUUUCUUUCUACAAAUUCCAUUUGGCUAAAAUUCACUUUCUCAUUUUAUAGAAAACAUAAUGCAUUUCGUGCUCAUGCCAAUGAAAUAUUCACACAUACGUAUGCCCAUGUCCAUAAACACACAUAACAACACAUCAUAUCAAAAUAUCGUAUAAACACAUGGGCAGAGCAUAUAAAUCAAUAUCCGUACUUAUAUAAAAAUAGGCUUUCCAAACAUGUCAAACAUAUAUAUUGUUUAUUGUGAUUCGUUUGGAAAUCUAGUUUACUUACCUCCCGGUAUCCUUGAGUAACAAAUGCACAUCGAUAUCAUCGGCCUAAAAAUAAAUAAAAAUACUCUCAUAAGAAUAAAAUUAAACCAUAAUCAUAUACUCCAAUAUUCUCAAAUUCCUCAAUAUAAUCACAUUCCAUACUUCACCUCAAAUAAUCUUAAUUUAAAUCAUAAAUCAUCAAAAUACUGAUAAUUCUUAAAAUUUCAAAAUUACCUGCAAAUAUCAAAAUUACCAAAAUGCCCUUGAAUUCAAUAUUACCAAAAUACACUCAAAUAUCAAAAUUACCAAAUUAACCUCAAAAUCAUAAAUUACCAAGUUUAUCCUCAAUUUCAAAUAUUACUAAAAAACCCACAAAAUUUGAAAUUACAAAAUUGCCCUUAGAUUGUGAAAUUACCGAAAUACCCUUGCUGGUCAACGGUCACCAGAAUUCAACCGACGGCAACGGGAAGCUUAGAACUGAAAGUUCAAGCGACGCUGAGUCCAAUGGUGGCGGUGGUGACCUCCCACGCGCGGUGAUGGCUCCAGAUCGAGCUCCCGAAGUCGUGAAUCCUUCAACGGCUAAUCAAUGACAAAAUGACGUCCCCAACGUGAGUGGUUAGUCGGAAAUGGUCAAAGGAACAAAACCCAAGUGAUGCCUUCACUAGAAACCAGCGAAAUCAUGGUGAAUCGAGGCGGCGAUUCCGCGGAACUUCAAAGCUUCGAUCGGUGGCUUUUCGAUUGAUUUCUGGUGGCAAGGACUGCAUGGAUACAUUGCUCGUCUCUCAAGCUUCAAAUCGGUACCAACCUUGACCGGAAUGGUGGCCAGAAAUGGGAGAACCGGCUGAGUCGCACUCACGGGUCGGGUUGGAUCCGGUUCGGUUUCUCCUCUCUCUCUCAAUUUAUAAGGGUAGUCAACAGGGUCAAAAUCGGGUGUGGGGUAUUACAAUUUAUGAUUUCGUUGAUUUUGAUGACAUGUUUGGUUAUUGUUCAUGAUUAUAUUGAAUUUGUUGGAAUGGAGGUUGGUUGAUAAGUUGGAAAGUAUAUAUGGGAGUGUUUUAACUAUUUGUAUUGUUGAGGAUAUGUUCAUUUUUAUAGGGAGAUUCUGCCAAAAUGUUUCCAACAUGGGUACUCUCUGAACUUCUCAUUUUCACUCUUUUCGUGCUCAUUUCUUUUUUAUGAUUAAGGGGGGAGAUAAUUGAUCAAUUCAAUCUGUUCUGUUUAAAUUUUUUUUAUGAGAUUAAAAAUUGAUGAUAUAAUUUAUCAAUUCAAUCUGUUCUAUUUAAUUUCUUUUUAUGAGAUUAAAAAUUGAUGGGCACAUAUUUAGGGGAAGUUAAAUUCCUUAAAUAUUUUACUUAGGGGGAGCACAUAUUUAGGGGGAGCAGGAGCAAAAUUGCACAAAUAUUUUCUUGAAUAGUUUGUCAUGAUCAAAAAGGGGAAGAUUGCUAACAUAAAUAUUUCUUUAUUAUUGAUUUUGUUGAUAACAAAUUUAAUUAAGAUUGAUUAAUCUUUUGAAAGCUCAAAAUAAUUUUCAUGUACUUUUAAAUCAUCACUCUCACUUUAUAAAGACUUUAUAUUCUAUGGAAAUAUUUUUGGUUAUUCUCAUGUUAAUGGUUUCAAUUGAAAAAGAUUUGAGAAUUUUGAAAAUAAAAAAUAUUGUUUCAAAUCCUAUAAAUGGAUCUAUUUAACAAGUUUUAUAAAGUGUUGGGUCAUAGUAUAAUUUUCUAAAGUUUUGGGGUCAAACUAUUAUUUUACAAAAUAGUUCCCUGUAGCAAUUACUGUAGAAAAUGGCUAUCCGACAUCUUGAUAACUGCUCGCCGACAUCGAAUAGAACUAAAGAUUAGCCUCUGGACUAACGGCGAUCCGACAACUUGAUAACGGCUAACCGACGUUGCACAGAAUUGAAGAUUAGUCUCUGGACACUAACGACGAUCCGACAUCUAGAUAACGGCGAUCCAACAAUUUAAGAAUUCAGCCCAACGGUCAUGUUGACUAUUUAAAACGGUGAUUCGACUGUGUGCAGAAAGUCAAUAAUGGCUAGUUUUCAGCUCCAACAAUAAAUAUACUCAAUCAAAUUCAAACUAAAACGAUUCCAACAAUUAUUAUUGAGCAAAGUCUUGAGCAUACAACAUUCAUUGAGCCUUAAAUUCCUGUAUUCAUCUCAUUUACUCACACUUUGAGUCUUCAUUUGUAAUCAAACACAUAGUGUGAGAGAAAUUUAUUUUGUAACAUUCUUUAAAAUCAAAUUGGGUGAUUAUAAGUGUUAGGAUACACUUGGGUUAAGAGAUUGGGGAUAAUCUCUUGUUGUAAAGGUUUAUUGACACCUUAGAAGUCAAGUGUGAGCAUUUGAAGCCUUGGAGGCUUGCUUAGUGGAAUCCUCAAGCCCAGAAAGCUUGGAGGCGUGGACAUAGGCGAGGUUGGCCGAACCACAUAAAAAUCCUCAUGUUUGAAUCUCUCUUACCUUUAUCUUUUUAUAUUGUGAUAAAUUUAUUUGUUAUUGCUUUAAAUUCGUUUUAUAUUUGCAUGCUUUAAAAAUUGAAUAAUUUUUAGAAUUCCAAUUCACCCCCCUCUUGGGUUGCAUAACUAGAAUUUCACUAAACAUGGCCUCUAUUUAUAAAUAAACAUGUGCCCUCCAUUUGGAUUGUCAUUUUUCAUGAUACCCAUUCAUUUAUGGUCAUUGGAUCAAGAUUUGAUUUUAAUCAAUUGUCUAUAUUGGUCCAUCACCAUUUCAAAUGAAAUGACAAUAUGAAAUGAUACAUUCUUAAGUGGAAAGAUACCUUUUAUAUGGGACAAUUACUUGGACAUGUUUUUAUAAUAAAACAUCAUUUAUUUUAAAUUGUUACAGCACUAAGAUUAUUCUAGGUUAAGUUAAUCUAUUAUAUAUAACUUCAGAAGGUUCAUCGGUAGAUUGUUUUAAGUUUUUGUCGUAGUUUACAAAUAUUUUGUUACUUAUAAUGUAAGAAAUUUACAAAUGUUGGUGCUGAGUAAUCUGCAUAAUUAUUAUGAAUUAGAGAAACAGGGCAGAUGUUGUACAAUUAUUGUUGUGGUGGAGCGGAAAGUUAGCCCGAGACGGUGACGGCUAUUGGGAUUUCUUUAAUUUGCAGCAUAAAAGCAUUUACAUUGACAUCGACUCAAGGGUAAAAAUUAAAUAUCUCAUGUAGCAUAAGAAGAAUGCAAAAAUGCUUGAAUGAGCAUUCUGACUGAAUACACAAAAGCUACUUUCCCUUGAGCACUUUCGCAACAAAAGCAAAUGUAAAAUUUAGCAUUUAAAUCUAACAUCAAAUGGCUGAUGCCAUCGUUUCCAUCCCUUGGGGGAACUGAAUUCCUCUACCUGACAUUACAGUUUGGAGCGGCUCUUACCUCAGGCAACUUAGGAUAAUUUAGGUGGUUGUUCAGGACCCCACAUUUAACCUAGGACCCCAUUAUAAAUGAAGGUUUCUAAUUUAAUUCCUAAAUUAUAGUUAUUAAUUAUUGAUUUAUAUUUAUUAUUUAUAACUAUAUUUUCCAUAAACAAACUACUAGAUUCUUACAAAAUCCCCUUUUAACAAUAUAAUUAACAAUUAUAAUCCAUUUAUUUCCUCCAUUUAUUUCAUUUAAAACUCUAUAAAGGCCACACCUUUUUUAAAUUAUUAUCCAUUAAUAUCUUUUUCCAAUAAAAAAAAACACAAAACCUUCAUUGCUUUGGUGAAAAAACUACUUUCUCUACCUUACUUUUUGCAUAAGAAAGAAAAGAAAAUUAAUUGUUUUACUUUCUUUUGAUCAUUGUUGCUCAAAGCCUCAAUCCAUCAAAGUUAAAUUUCUUAAAUUUUCAGGUUUUAUCUUCCAAUUCUCUUAUUAUUUUUACAAAGAAACAAAAACACCUAAAUAACACAAUUAAUUAAAUUUCUUAAAUUUUCAGGUUUUAUCUUCCAAUUCUCUUAUUAAUUAAUUGUGUUAUUUAGGUGUUUUUGUUUCUUUGUAAAAAUAUUAUUCUGCUCAUAGGUUGUUCGCUUUUAAUUAUCUAGCAUAAUUGUUUGCAUGAUUACUCUUGUUUCCUUAGAAAAAAAAAAAAUGUCUACUAAAAACUAUGCAUCAUGAUACAAAAAACUUCAUAAAAGGAGAAGAAUAGAAAAGUUAGCUUAAUCUAAAAACGUGCUAUUGAUAAAAAAUUAUUUAAGAUCAACCAUGUCAUAGGAAAGAUUAAAUAGGUUAACUAUAUUAUCUAUUGAGAAAGAUAUAUUAGCAAAAUUAGAAUAUAAAAAGUUGAUUAAUAAUUUUGCAUCUCAGAAAGGUAGAGAAAUUUAUUUUAAAUAAAUAAAGCUUUAAUAAAAUUAAUACACAUAUUUCAUCUCAAAUUUUUUAGAAGGUCUAAUUAAAUCAAUUUAUUUAAGACCUAAAAUAUGAUUGAGCCGCCUUGAAAUUGCAGUAAGAUAGAAAAGUGAAAUAGACAGAACACUCGCUCAUACGUAAAGAUGCGACGAAUUUGAGAAUAUUUAUUAUUAUGUGCCAAAUUCCUAAUGUGUAGGAAUUUAAAAAUGUUAGUGCAGAACAUGUGUUUAUCGGUGGAGUAGAAUCAGGGAAAUUAAAGAUAAGCAUAAUUUUUGCAUCCAAUGCCAAAUUCCCCCAGGUAGAGAGUGGGGACUCCUUUGCAUAAAAGUUGUUAAAAGUUUAUUGUUAACAAUAAAAAUAACAUGCAGAUAUAGUAUUUUAGGUUAUUGUUAAUAGUUUUACAAUAAUAAAAAUCAUUUUGUUAGAUCGUAAAAUGUAGUACUCACACUCUAUUUUGUGCAAAAGUCUGCGAGAAAGGAUUUUAGAUUUACCUAACGGUGAAGUUGGGAACUUGCUUUUUUACCUAGGCUAAAGUUAUUUCAAUAAAUUCUGAUCGUGGAGACUACCAAGAGUUUUCUUUAGUCAUAUAUAUUUAUUUUUUAGGGACUAAUAUGAAUAUUCCUAAUUUUAUCCAUUAUUAAAAAAACAAUGUGCUAAUUUACCAAUAUGAUUUCUCCAAUCUUUUUUCUUUUCGUCAUUUAUUCCUUUGUGAAUUUGAGUUAAUGCUUGAUAUUAUUUUUGUGCUCACUUUUUAAAGUAGAAGAUUAUGAAAAAGUGAACACACAAAAAGCAUAAAAAUCAUUAUUAGAUCCAAAUUUGUGCUAUUUCAUACAUAACUUGAGAAUAUUUAUAAUUACGCAUGAAAACUAGUGGAGUAGAAUCAGGGAAAUUAAACGUUCUACAAUCAUUGACGUGUGGGGUGGGGAUAAGCAUAAGCUUUUUCUAUGCAGUAUAAAAGAAUGCAAUAACUCCUUUUCUUUCAGUAUCAUCGCAACAAAAGCACAUCUAAUAACUCUUCAGAAUUCUCGUCUUCUUUGUCAGAAUGGUUGAUGCGAUCGUUUCCUCCCUCCUGGAGCAGCUGAUCUCUGUUGCGGCUGAUGAAGUGAAACAACAGGUGAGGCUUGUGACUGGUGUCCGAGAAGAAGUGAAAAAGCUUACCAGCAAUCUUCAAGCCAUUCGAGCUGUGCUGGACGAUGCCGAGCAAAGGCAAAUGCAGCAAGACAAAGCUGUUACUUUUUGGCUGGAUCAGCUCAAAGACGCGUCCUACGACAUGGAAGAUGUGUUGGACGAGUGGGUCUUUGCAAGGCUCAAAUUGCAAAUUAAGGGCGUUGAUGAUGACAAUGCUUUUUCCCUUGCUCCUCACAAGAAGAAGGUACGUUCCUUCUUUCCUGCUGUAUCAAACUGCUUUGGUAGUUUCAAACAACUCAGUCUUCGUCAUGACAUUGCUGUCAAGAUUAGGGAAAUCAAUGAAAAGCUAGAUGAUAUUGCCUCCCAAAAAGAUAGGUUUAAAUUUGUUGAGAAUGUGAGUAACCGUGUUAAAAAACCGAAACAAGCGCCAACCACCUCCUUGAUUGAUGAGGGAGAGGUCUGUGGUAGAGUUGACGAGAAAAACGAGCUCUUAAGCAAGUUGUUGUUUGAAAGUAGUGAACAACAAAAAGGCCUUCAUGUCAUCUCACUAGUUGGGUUAGGGGGCGUAGGUAAAACCACUCUUGCACCACUGGCCUAUAAUAAUGAUGAGGUGAAAAGAAAUUUUGAAAAAGUUAUAUGGGUGUGUGUAUCACACACUUUUGAGGAGAUUAGGGUUGCCAAUGUAAUCAUUGAAGGUCUAGGUGAGUCAGCUUCUAGUUUAAGCGAAUUCCAAUCUCUUCUAAGCCAUAUCCAUGGAUCAAUUGUAGGAAAAAUUUUUUUUCUUGUCUUAGAUGAUGUAUGGGAUGGGGAUUAUAAUAAAUGGGAACCAUUCUUCCAUUGUCUAAAGCAUGGUCUCCACAGAAGUAAAAUUUUGGUUACCACACGUAAUGAGUCAGUUGCACGUAUGAUGGGAUCAACAAAUAUUAUCUUCAUUGAGCAAUUGAUUGAAGAGGAAUGUUGGUUGUUGUUCAAGCAGUUAGCAUUUUCCGGUCGCUCUUUCGAGGAUUGUGAAAAAUUAGAACCAAUCGGGCGAAAAAUUGCACGCAAGUGCAAAGGCUUGCCUCUUGCUGCAAAGGUAACAGGGAAUCUCUUAUGCUCUAAAGUACAAUAAAAGAGUGGCAAAAAAUUUUAGAUAGUGAAAUGUGGAAAGUAGAAGAGAUUGGGCAAGGCCUUUUUGCUCCAUUGUUGUUGAGUUAUAAUGAUUUGCCCUCCAAGUCUAUGGUAAAACGAUGUUUUUCAUAUUGUUCUGUCUUUCCGAAAGACUACAAUAUAAAAAAAAGAACUAAUUUCACUAUGGAUGGUUCAAGGUUACCUUAAUGCAGAAGAAGACGAAGAGAUGGAGAUGACUGGGGAAGAGUAUUUCAACAUUUUAGCAGCAUGCUCUUUCUUUCAAGAGUUUAAAAAAGAUGAUGAUGAUGAUGAUGAUGAUAUUAUGAGCUGCAAGAUGCAUGACAUAGUACAUGAUUUUGCCCAAUUUGUAAGUAGAAAAGAAUGUUUGUGGGUAGAAAUUAAUGGUACCAAGGAAUCAGUCAUAAACUCUUUUGGUGAUAAAGUCCAUCACUUAGGGUUAAAUUUUGAAGGAGGAGCUUCAUUUCCUAUGUCCAUUCAUGGACUUAAUAGAUUGCGGACCCUCCUAAUUUAUUUCCAAAGUCGUUCCAAUCCGUCUCUUAAUAGUAGCAUCCUUUCGGAGUUAUUUAGUAAAUUGGCAUGUUUAAGGGCAUUAGUUAUAGGGCAACAGAACUUUAUAUUUGAUCCUUACCCAAAUUUGAUUAGAGAAAUUCCAGAAAAUGUCGGAAAAUUGAUACAUUUAAAAUAUCUUAAUUUUUCUGAAUUAUGUAUAGAGAAACUGCCUGAGACUUUGUGUGAAUUAUAUAAUUUACAAAAGCUAGAUAUUAGGUGGUGCGAAGAUCUUAGAGAAUUGCCGGCGGGGAUUGGGAAGUUAAAGAACAUGAGGAGUUUACUAAAUGGUGGCACUCCUUCGCUGAAGUACAUGCCAAUAGGGAUUUCCAAAUUAACCAGUCUUCGAACGUUAGAAAAGUUUGCUGUGGGCGGAGGUGUUAAUGAUAUCAGUACGUGUAGGCUUGAAUCUCUAAAAAAUCUUCAACUCCUUCGAGAAUGUGGAAUAGAAGGACUGAGUAAUGUGUCACAUUUAGAUGAGGCUGAGAGAUUAGGACAUCACAAUAUGAAAAACCUCCUUCGUUUAUCUUUUGAGUUUGACGAGGAAGGUGAAGAAGGGAGGAGGAAGAAUCAACAACUUCUGGAAGCCUUACAACCGCCUUUGAAUGCAAAAGAAUUAGGGAUUGUGUCCUACGGAGGCAACAUAUUUCCCAAAUGGUUGACUUCACUAACCAAUCUAAGGGAUUUAAGACUUAAAUCGUGCGUUAUCUGUGAGCAUUUUCCUCCCUUGGGAAAAUUGCCGCUGGAAAAACUCACCCUUUACGGCCUGUAUGGUGUGAAAAGAGUGGGUAAUGAGUUUUUGGGAAUCGAAGGAACCAGUGAGGAUGACCCAUCUUCAUCUUCAUCAUCAUCAUCAGUCAUUGCCUUCCCCAAAUUGAAAUCACUCCACGUUGGGGCAAUGGAAGAAUUGGAAGAGUGGAAUUAUAGGAUUACAAGAAAGGAAAACAUCUCCAUCAUGCCGCGUCUUUCUUCCUUGACGAUUUGGCAUUGCCCCAGAUUAAGGGUGCUGCCGGAUUACCUUUUUCAAUCGACGACACUGCAGAAAUUGAGUAUUUCUUAUUGUCCAAUUAUGGAAGAACUGCCCAUUCUAGAAAGACAUACCACGUCUUUCUUCCUUGGAAAUUGAGUAUUGCCCCAAAUUAAAGGUGCUGCCGGAUUACCUUCUUCGGACGACGACGCUGCAGCAAUUGAGUAUUCAGGGAUGUCCUCUUCUGGAAAACCGUUAUAGAGAGGGGAAAGGAGAAGACUGGCAUAGGAUAUCUCACAUUCCCCACAUCGAGUGGUAAAUUCAAACAACGACACUGCAGACAUUGACAAUUUGGGGUUACAGAGAAGGGGAAGGAGAAGACAGGCAUAAGAUAUCUCACCUUCCCCACAUCAUGCGAUCGGCGUAAGAUAUCACUCGCCGGUAAUUUCUCCUCCUCCACUGAUUUACUCUGUUGUUGCUUGCAAUAAAAUUAAUAAAAAUAAUCAUAUUUUGAAUUAAAAUUCUAUAUAUUGCCCAAUGUCUAACAGGAAUAUACAAUAUUUUCUAAUAUUUUGAUUUGCGUAUUGAAUUUAACUAUUUACUUCCACCAUUAAUUUAAUGGGUCACUUUAUGAUGCUAUUAUAAAAAUUACAGAAUCAAUCAUAGUAUAAAUAUGUAGUGUUAAAUUUAAUCAAUUGGUCAUAAAGGUUAGUUAGGAUAAUAUUUUAAUUUCAAUUAUUUAAAAUUUAAACUUCCUAGUCAUCAAAUUUGUUAAACUUGUUUUCUAAAGCUAAAAUAAUAAUAAAAUAAAAAACAAGUGCAGUCUGUUGAAAUUUCUAUAAUUUCUUUUAAAAAAUAUGUAGUCUUUUGUAAAAUUUCAUACAACAUCAUAGAAAAUCCUAACGUAUUUUAUUUUUUAAUGCACAAAAAUUUGUUGUGUAACUUCCUGAGAGACAAAAUCUCUGUGAUACAUUUGCAGUAAUGUUGAAAACUAAAUUAUCAAUGUUAUCUUGUAUAAUGAUAAUCGUGUUUUUUUAUACAUAAUUUAUGUGACAUUAAUUCUUUAAAGUAAUUGUGUGAUUGUUUUUAGUAGUACAUGAGCCCACUUUGUUUUAUUUCAUACGAGUUUAAUUAUGUUCACCAGUGAUUCGAGGAAAUGUCAGAACUACACUAGCAAUUCGCAGGUCCACGCUAAUUUGGUUCUAAUGAUGCACGCAGGAGAGCAAGAUUAUGAAAAUGAAUAGUUUAGCCAAAGGGUUGUGUUAGAGUGCAAUUUAUGCACUAGUUUUGCAUUGUUUACUUCCCUUAAUAUCGAUGUUUUGCAUUUAAUAAUAGUGAUUUACUUGUGUUUUACUUUUGUAGGUGCAAUUCUAUUGAUUGGUGAUAAAAUUGAGCUAUAAGAUGAUGUUUAAGGAUGAUUGUUCUCUUGAAGAAAUUAUGAGCGGCAGAAGAACUUUGUUGAUAAGGCGUGGGCGCGUGCUGUCAACUGCGGACCUGCAGUUUUUAGUUUAACGUGUUUUGUAUUUUUGGCUAUUUUUUUAAUUACGAAUUUAAUAUUUCAAAUAUUAGUAUUUUAUUUUAAAUAGAACUCUAAAAGAGAAGAGAGAGAGAGUAUUUAAGGGAGGAAUCUAUUGUGAAAAAGGGGGAUUUGGAUUGGAGAAAAAGAAAGAAACCCUAAAUCUAAUUUUUCUCUUCUCUCUAUGAAGAACUAAACCUAUUUUUCUGGUUGAAGGAUAAUGAAGCUUUGAUUCAUCACUACUGUGAGAUCUUUCUUGUGCUUUAAUUGUUUUAUUGCUUUUUGGGUAUUUGUUUAUUCUCUGAAUUAUUUUCAUGAUUAUGUUUGUUAAUUAGGUAAUUGGCCACUAUUUAAUUAUCAACUUAAUCUAUUGUCAAUUAAAGGAUUCAUCGUAUGAAGAAUUUAAUGUUUGUGACAAAUAACAUAGCAGAGAGUUGUGUUAUGAGAAUAAACAAUCUAAUUUAAAUGAAUCAUCAUAUGUGUUGAUUAUGAUUUGGGUCUCUCUGGUUUUUCAGGCUGUCAAUUGAUUAAAUCCUAUGAUCGUAUCUAGGGUUGUCUAUUGAUUAGGGAAAUAACCAACGGUCGUACCUUGGUUAUCGACUAGUUAAGGAGAGAUUGGCUAUUAGAGGGUCUCAGUAGCUAUAACCGGUCUAUUCAUAAGUAAUAAUAAUCUAUAUUUGAAUCAAUGAUCAGUAGUCGAAUCAAGCUGAGUUAAUUCCUUCAACCAGAGCUUUCUCCAAUUUGAAUCACAACUUUAAUUUACAUUCUCGUUAUUUUAAUUUGAUUUUUAUUAUUGUCAACAAUUCCCCCAUUUUACGUUUUACGUUUCAAAAGGUUUUAAAUAAUUACCGAUCUCUGUGGACACGACCCUGCUCAAUCACUAUACACAAUUUAUUUAGAGUAGGAAUUUAUUUUUGUUGGCUUCGACACCCAUCAGGUUGCCAAAAUGUUUUGCUGGUAAUUCACUUGCUUUUUUUUUUUUAUAGAAUUUCAUUUCCAUCUUCUUCUAUUGAUAUCUUGUUGUGAAUAAACAAGAAUAGAGAAGUAAAUAUAUAUAUAUAUAUAUAUAUAUAUAUAUAAAUUCCCUAUUAUGAUGAUGUUAAAGCAAGCUCAUGCUCAAGCAUUGCAUUUUUAUUUUAUUUAAUUUAUAGAAUUUUCAUUUCUACCUGCAUUGCAUUUUUAUUUCAUUUUCAGGUUGACUUUGAAAACUCUAUGGAGGACAUUAGGGUAACCAAGGAUUAUCACUGUGGUUAUUGAGCAACGUUUGGUUGCUGGACUUUGAAGAAGGAAGUGAUGGCCGGGUCUGCUCUGUUUCAAUUGAGGAUGGAUAGCUGCCUGAAAGACAUGAUGAUUAUUAUUGCAUGAUGUUAAGGUGCUAAGAUCAUCAUUUCUAUCUUGUUUCAUUCUUUGAUCGGUUUAUCCUAUAUAAACAUAUGGAAUUCUGCUAAUAUUAUCAAAUUUUUCACCUAAUUUUCACUGUUGUUGUGAAAACAAUUUCAGGCUCUCAAAAGCUACAAAGCAAAGCAUUUGUGGGUUGAUCAUAUGUUUCAAUUGAGGAAGGAGCUUGGUGUUGGCAAUAUUGUCCAGGUAACCACAGCUGAUAAUUUCCACAAAUUUGCAUUGUCAGAAUACACUUUAAUGUUCAUUGUGUUCCUCUGUGUUAUCAGGUUAUCGUGGUAUGUAAAGUAUCAUCUUUAAGGAUUCGUAAGAGACUUCGCAGUAAACUUAGUUGUCACCAUCUCCUGCAAUUGCUCAUUCAUUCAAGAGUACUUCAAAAUUAGAUUCUCAACGUUUGAAUGUUUAGUUGCAAUCAAAAUGUUUAGUCACUCAUUCGUAAUCUUUUCCGAUUUUCAAGUUCUUUAGGGCCAUAAACAGUUUUCCAACUCAUUCUUAAUUUUUAGGUUGAUUUCGAGUACCCUGUUAAGGACAUUCCUGAGACCAAGGAUUAGGCUGGCGAAGGAACUACUACCUCUGUUGUUAUUGUGCAAGGUUUGAUCAUUGGACCUUGAAUAAGAAUCCCUUACACACAUUCUGUACUUCAAGCAUUCUCUAAAGGAAAAGAGCAGUAGAAGGGAUAGUGAUGGCCGGAUCCGCUCUAUUUUAGUUCAAGAUCUCUGUGAUGUCGAUGAACUUAAAGCAGUUGAUACUUCUUGAAAAUUGUUGUUACGGAUGAAUUGAUUCCUGAAGAUGGGUAUCCAUCCAAAGGCAUAUUUUCAUAAACUUCCUUCUUUUAACAAAUGCUCCAAUGCUUGCUGUAGUAACAAUUUCGUAGAUUGCAUCUCUCGGGUGCAUCAUGUUCAUGGGUUGGAAAAAGCACUUGUGGUAAAGCUUCAAAGCUUGUAAAAUGGCUGUGAAAAGGCACAUUCAAUUCGGUAUGCUUUGGUGCGGUCUCCUAAUGCUAAUAUUAUGUUUCAAUGCUGGCCGUAGUAACAAUUUCAUAUCUUGCAUCUGUUGGGUGCAUCAUGUUCAAGGGUUUGAAAAGCAUUUGUGGUAACGCUUUAAAGCUUGUACAAUGGCUGUGAAAAGGCACAUUCAAUUAGGUACUUUUUGGUGCGGUCUCCCAAUGCUAAUAUCAUAUUUUGUAUAGCAAUUAAAAUUUAGCUAUACAAUCUUAAUAUGCAAUAAAUCAUUGUAUACAAAGUUUUCUAUUGAUUAUAUGGUGACUGAAAUUUUAAUUAUCAUAUCAAUUUAAAUUUUUUUGUAACUCUCUUUUACUUUGCUUGUACAGAGUACCUGUUUUGGCUGAUAUGUCUAAUUCGUAGAAAUUCAUUUACAUCGGUUUCCAUUGGCUUUAGCACAAACAGAAACAGAGCUCUGGGGAAAAGUUUUACUUCUUGUGGUAUUAUGCCUUUGUUUCUUCAUUCAUCAUAUUUUUCGAAUUCAUGCUCUCAUUCAGAGGGUAAAGCCUUUUCCAGGCUGCUUUGUAGCCAAACUUUGACGCCUUUGAUGCAUGACUGUCAUUUAGAUUUCCCAAAUAACUGUUAGAUUGGAGAAGAAUAAAAAGAUACUGUUAAAAGGGUAUUUAAUUAGCGCCCUCUGAAUUUCUUGGAGUUAAUGUAGUCAAUUGCCCAAUUUUGCUGCCUGUCGAAGAUACACUGCAUGGAAGUCCUCAUCAAACUCUGAGACACCUAAUAAAUAGUAGGAUAGUAGGAGGGGGUGGUAUUCGCCUGGUGUUAAUUUCCUGGCAAGUAUAGUUCACAGAUAGAGGGGUUCUUUUCUUGAUGUCUAAAUACCUUAUGAGAUACAACAUCGUGUAUUCCAAUUUUUCUCUAGUUAAAUUUUAAUAAGUUAGAAAAGUUAAUUUUGUUUUAGCAAUGAAUUGUUUUCUUAAUAAUAAUAAUUGCCAUGUUCCUCUAAAGUCUUAUUAAUGCCAGACCAACAACUACUAGGUUCAUCUCUCGUUCACUUCCUCAGGGAAUCUCGAGGGCAUUCAUUGGCAGGUAGCCUUUCUUGUUGAGCUCCUGGAAUUACUUUUAAUUUAUCAUUUGUUGGGUUUUGCUUUUUGAUUGCUUUGGGAUUUGUGUUAUUAUCGCUUUGUCGCUCAUUAAUCUUGGCUGUUUUGAAUCUGUGUUGGAUUUAGAAGUUUGGAGUUGAAAACAGUUAAAGCUUAGACUAGUAGAAGAGAUUUAUACAUUCAUUUAUCUUGGACAAAGUUUUUGGGGAUAAAAAAAAAUUAUAAGUAUACACUUUCCAAUGGUUCGGUGAUGUUUGAUUGGUUUAAAGAUGUUGGAUAUCUCAUCAGAUUUCUUAUGUAUUGACUGCUGUUGCCACAGGAUGCUCGCAGAUCCUGCUUUUUUGUAUAAACUUCUACUAGAGCAGGUUGCCACAAUUGGUUGCACUGUUUUGUGGGAGUUGGAGAAUCAUAAGGAGAGGUGUGUUUUUUCUCUCAUAACAAAGGAACUCUUCCCUUCCUUUUUAUUUUCAUCUUACAUAUUAAGCUAAUAAAUGGGAUGGGAUAAAGCAAGAAUGGGAUCAGCUUGGUUUUGGUGCUUUCCUUGGACUAUAUGCAAACAUGAGAUAUCAGCUAUUGUGUGGAUUUGAUAGAGCGGUCUUCAACCAUUUUGAUGUUACCAGGUUAUCUCUCCCUCUCCCUCUUCUGCGUAUUUGUUUAUUGAUCUACACCUCUAUAUACAUUGAUAGACUAUUCUGGACGUACCAAAUUACCCUUGUUUUAAUGUUUUGUUUGUUAAACUUUGACUGGGGAAUCUGUUUAUUUGUCUGAUAAGAGGUUAGUGUGGUUUCUAUUGAAGUGUGCAGAUCUAUCACCAAGUAUUAUUUCAAUUUUUCUUGACUUAAUCAACUUGCAUCAUUUCCAAGUCCAGAUCCUUAACAAUAGUGCGACAUCGCUACAAAAGUACAAUUUCUCUAUUUUGACAGUUAAAUACAUAAGAAUGGUUUUAAAUUAACUGAACUCUGAGAUAGUUCUCUAAGGAAAUACAAGUGGUGAAUACAGUUCCAACUUUUAAGUGCCUUAAUAUCUCCAUUUGUUCAGCCCUGUGCAUAAAAAAUCAGUAAUUGCCGUCCAAAUUCUUCUUUACUGCCUAUAUGUGUUGGACUUUGUCUAUUCUUCAACUUCUCAAAUGGAUUUUUUGAAUGUCCAAUUAGGAGAAAGAUCAAGGCUUGCUUGGCUAGGAGUGGAAGCGGAUCCGCUACUUCAAUCAUAUGACCUUUUGAAGAAGGCUUACAACGGGCGGCUCAGGAUGUCAAUCGCUCAACUCAAAAGUCCCCAAGGUGGUUGAUAUCAAAGAAUGCCAUUGUCUCUGGGCUUGGGCUCCUUGGCAUCAAACAAGGGAAUGUCGACUCUGUUGAAGGGGAAGCAAGGGCCCCUAAAAUGCGAAGAAAGAGGAUAGUCCGGAAGAAGGUGACCGCAUAAACUUUUUGGGAGUUAAUAGCCCAAUUUUGCUGCCUGUCGAAGAGAUACAACUCAGAAGUCCUCAUCAAACUCUUUGAGACAUCUAAGAACUAGGAGGGAGGUGGUGGUAUUCACACGUGUUUCCUGGCAAGUGUAGUUCCUGAUAGAGGGAUUCUUUUCUUGAUGUCUAAAUACUAUAUGUGAUACAACGUCGUAUAUUCCAAUUUUUCUCUAGUUAAAUUCUAGUAAGUUAGAAAAGUUAAUUUUGUUCUAGCGAUGAAUUGUUUUCUUAAUAAUAAUAAUAAUAAUGGCCUGUUGUUUUGGAAUCUUAUUCACUCUCUGUAACCUAGUUAAAUUGUGCAAAGUCUACUACAGAUUUGUCAAAAUGAGUGUCUUUGUGAUUGUUUUGAUACACUUUUGAUGGCAAGUUCAAGUUUGAAUCAUCUUGUAAUGCCAAAAAACCAUAGCAAUUAGUUACUAAAUCGUACUCGAGUUUUUGUUUGACUUUUAACUACGAGAUCAGCGUUUAGUAUUAGCUGUAGUUAUAAUAUAAACGUUAAUUAUGAAACUCUUACCAAAUUUUAGUUGUACUUUCUAGCCCGAUUGUAGAAAUCCAUACAAGAUGUUACUCAAUUUUACUUAAUCUUACUCGUCUUUGAUUUGUAAAUUUUAUGCCUAAAUUUUUGUCAACAAAUUGCUCCCAGUUCCAAGGUUCUUCAGCUUGGGUGAUCCCAGCAAAACCAUUACGUCCAUUCAAAAGGGUUCCACGUUGAGUGCACGAGAUCCACAAGUUUGAUUGGACAGAAAUAGCUAAAAAAAACUAAUGAAACCCACGUCCAAAGAUGCCGUUGUCGCGGAGGCCUAGACACGACUCCCCAUCCUCUUUUACCAUAUUUUAUAAUUGAAGAGGCCAUUAUUGAAUUGAAAAAUUAUGAUUCAACCAUUGGAAACCAACUUGGAGUUUUAAGUUGAUAUGAGAAAAGAUUUUUUCAUCAUCAUCAUUAUUAUUAGGGAAAAUAUCCACCGUCCACCUGUUUUUUCCAACUUUAUAAAAAAUACACAAUUUUUUUUUUUUGGCUGGAAUCCAUCUAAACUUACGUUUUGUUUCACUUCUCCACUUCUGUUUGCUGCCCGUUAUAACGUAACUGAUGUCGUAGGGGUAAAUCAGUCAUUUCAGCAUAGCAGCCAAAAACGACGUCGUUUACAACUUUAAUUGGACAAAAAAAAAAGAAAAGAUAAAGUGGUCCAGAGAAGCAAACGAGAACAGCCAUGUUUAUUCACGAGUGACCCACCACCACCCUGCAUGAAGAACCAACAAAUUCCCACCAUUCUUUCUGCAGUUUCCAUCGAUUUUCAUCAACAAACAACGCUUGAGUAUCAAAACUUUUGUUAAGUCAAAGAUUCAGAGGUAUUGAGGGAAGCUGUGAGCGGUUUAGAAAUCUCGACACUUAGGUUUUCUGGGGUUUGAAUCUAGUAUCAAGUAAGUUUAGUUUUAUUUAUUAAUUUUCAUUUAUUUUUCGUAUGAUAUAAUGUUAUUUAAGAUUUGUAUCGAGAACGUUGUUAAUCGUUGUUUCUUGAAACCCUAGAAUACAUAUUAAGUUGAUUUAUAGUAAACUGAGUCCGUUUUUUUAUGGUAAUGAUAAAUUGAGAAGUAAUAUGUUGUUUUAAGGCUGGUGAGAAGCACAUGUAUGAAAGAUUGCUGCUAGCAUGGUUGAAUGCAUGUUUAUCCCCUGCAUACUCAUGUACUUGUGCACGUGGUUUACAAAAUUUGGGGUUUUUGAAAAUUUGUAGUUGCUACACUAUGGGUCGUGAUUUUUAGAAAUUUUUUAUCUAUAUGCCCUAGCCCCCCUGGUGAAGGUUCGGCAUAUGCAUGUGAAAUUUGAAUCUCUCAAAGAUUAUAAUUUUUAAUCUGACAAAGUCCUCCAGGAUGUUUGUUCCUUUGGUGAAUCUAAUCGUUUGUUUUGGACAUUCAGGAUGCCACCUCUAGAGUUAGUGAUAUUCUUUCGAGGCACGAAGAAGAAUUUAGGGUUGCUUGAACCUGACUGUACUGUUGCGAAGAUAAAAGAGACUGCCGUAAACAUUACGAGUCCAUAUGGAUUAGACUCCACUUCAAAAAUUAUGUUGAAUGCCACGAACCCGGAGAAUAAGAUGAAAGUUGCACUGGAUUCGGAAUUUGCACUCGAAUUUUUGCGUAAAAUUCAUCACAUUGUGGGUGUCAGUACUUUAACUGUUGAAGUUGUACCAGUUCUUCACCCUCAGCAACAUGAGUACAAAGUAGGUGCCGAUGGGAAACAUAGGCUUAAAUUAGGGCAUGUAUUUAGAGAUGUUGGUCAUUUUAGGGAGAUAUUGCAUGAGGUAAUGAUUAGAAAAAGGUUUGCCAUUAAAACAAUAUAUAGUGAGCCAAGACGAUUCGUAGGUACUUGUAAAGAAGCUAACUGUCCAUGGUACGUGUCUGGUACAAAGCUGAAUGAUGGGACUGGUUUUAUAUUGCGAGAAUACAACAAAAACCACGAGUGUAGGCUUACUAACAAGACAGUGAAAGUUACAUCUGCUUGGGUUGCUUCUAAAAUAAAGGGUCAGGUUGCUGUUGACCCUAAUGUCAAGAUUGAUAUUCUGAAGAAUCAUGUGCAAGAGACGUAUGGUUUAAAGAUUGGGAAGCUGACACUGUAUAGGGCUAGAGCAAAGGCAAGACUUGAGGUAUUGGGGGAUCAUUCAAGGGGAUAUCAGAAAUUAUUUGACUAUGUUGCUGCCAUUCACAAGGCUGAUCCAGGAGCAAUAUGCAAGGUGUUAUGUGAUGCUAUUUCUAUUCCUAAUAAGGUAUUAUUCCAGAGGUUUUUUGUUGCCUUUCCAGCACAAAAAAAAUGCAUAUCUUAACGGUUGUAGACCUUUUAUUGGAGUAGAUGGAUGUCACUUAAAAGGUAAGUACGGUGGAGUGUUGUUAGCUGCUGUUGGCAUAGAUGGUAAUAAUGGGAUUGUCCCUUUAGCGCUAUGUGUUUGUGAGAUUGAGAAUACAGAGACAUGGGGAUGGUUUAUGGAGAACUUGAAUAAUUAUUUGGAUGAUGGAAGGCAGGUCACUUUCAUUAGUGAUAGACAAAGGGGUUGAUUAAUGCAAUUUCAACCACUUGGCCUACUGCCUAUCAUAGGGCGUGUUCUUGGCAUGUUUAUGCUAAUUUUUCCAAGUCGUUUGCUGGUGCACAGUUGAAACAAUUAUUUUGGAAAGCUGCCAAGAGCAGUAACAAGCAUGAUUUUGACGAGGCAAUGGCAGAGAUCAAGGCUGAAAAAGAAGCUGCAUUUGAGUGGUUGGAACGAGAACUAUAUAGUUAUAAUUGGUCGAUGCCCACAUAUGACAGAAAUUGCAUGGUAGAUCGUACCGAUAACAAUGCAUCGGAGUGCUUCAACAGCUGGAUAUUAGCUUACCGAGACAAACCUUGCUUGACAAUGCUUGAAGAAAUAAGAUGUAGACUUAUGAAACGGUUUACAAAACGAAGAAAUGAAGCAGCCACUUGGAAAAAACAGCUGACUCCUAAGGUUUUGAAAGACUUGGACAAAAAAAAUAAGAUUGCACAGAAGAUGAUUGUACAAGCUUCUGGUGAUCUUAAUUUUCAAGUCAUGGAUAGAGGCUAUAAUCCACCUAAGAGGUUUGUUGUGAAGUUAGAAUCUAGAACAUGUGAUUGCGGUUAUUGGGAAAUUGCUGGCCUCCCUUGUCAACAUGCUAUGGCUGCCAUGGGAUAUGCAAGACAUCAAGUUCAGGAAUAUGUUCCAACUUGCUUUAGCAGACAAGCUUACCUUAGCACUUAUUCAGUGAUGUUCAGCCCCCUUCCAGAUUAGUGUACAUGGAAGCCUACAGGAAGGCCGUUGAUUGACCCACCAAUUGUUGAAAGAAAGAUUGGAAGGCCCAAAAAAUCCAGAAAAAGAGCAGCAAAUAAGCCUCAGAAAUUAAGAGAAAAGAAAAUUCUUUGUCAUUUGCUCAUUUUGUGGUGGUUCUAAUCACAAUGUGAGAAGCUGUCUGUUGACGCCAUCUGUUGCAAGGUCAAAUAGAGCGAGGAACAAUAAUUUUCAGGUAUAUUUAAUAUACUAUUAUUAUUUAUUAUGUUUAUCAUUAUUUAUUAUGUUUAAUAUAUUUAUACUGUUGUUAUGUUUACUAUCAUAAUGGUUUGUAGGCAUCAACAACAUCAAGCCAGCCAUUAAAUGCUUCACAGCAGGCAAGAUUGAGAAGAAAACAGGUGCUGCUAGCAGUUCGUUUGUGCCUUCAUAGUUUGUUUUAUGUGUAAUAUAAAAUUCAUUUACAAAUCAACAUAUUUUAUAGGCAGCAGUAGCAAAGUCAAUUGGUUCAGGCCAGCCAGUAGCUACUGCAUCUGAAACAGCAAGAAAGGUGUUAUCUUGGUUCAAUAUUUGUAUAUUUUUGUAUUUUUUGUUCAAGUUCUUAAACUAACAUAAUAUAUAAUUUAGAUACCUAGUGGCCCAGGUCAAAGUUCGAAUGCUGGAACAAAGAAAAGAAGGGCUCUUCGAGGUGCUGGAACAAGGGAAAGACAAUCAAGUCCAAGACUGAACCAAUCCCAAAAUUCAUCUCAAGCUUCAAUUAUCACAGGUUCUUUGUAAUGGAACAAACUAAACUUGUUUAAACAAACUAAACUUGUUAACUUGCCAUUUUGGUUGUUAUUUUGGCAUAUUACUGGUUAUUUUGGAUAAUUAUGUGGUUGUCAAAGGUCAUUUAUAAUGUAUUUUGAUGAUAUGAUUAAUGGUUAUUUUGGUUGUACUUUUGGAUAACUAUGAUAUGAUAAUAUUUUCCAAUUAUUGUGGUUAACAAAAUGUUAUUUAGGGUGUAUUUAAAUGCAAUUGCAAAGAUCGAUACUAGGACUGUCAACAAUAAGCUUUUAUUUCAGUAAUGCAUGUUUUAUAGGAUACAUUACAUUUUAAUAAAUACAAUUGCACAGAGGCACACUAGCAGUAUUAUUAUAUAUUUAAGCUUUCCUUCAAUCAGCCUAAGCCUUUUCUUUAUCUUCACCAUCUCAUCAGCUCCAAGGUUUACUGCAUUUGGCUCCAAAUUUUGAUUAUCUACCAUUUGAUCACUUCUACUAGGGUAUAUGAGAGCUUCAGUAGUAAACCAUUGCCAAAACUUGCAUUUGUUCAACCUGCAUGACCAAAACAUUGCAUUAGGAUUUUGUGGUGUAGUGGAAACCAUAGCACACGCCUGCAUGCCACACCAGUAGUACUUGGGAAUGCAUUUAAUUUUUCUCUGUGGCUGUCCACUGGCUGCAGAACUUGAACUAUAACUUGAUGCCAUUUUAAAUGUGUAGAUGAUUUGUUUCAAUGAAUGGUUAAUCAAGUGAUGUGAGGAUGAUGGUUGAGCAGGUCUUGAGUUUGAAUGAAUGAAUGGUUGAGUGGCUGUAAUGUUUCUGAUUAGUAUUAAAAAUUGUUUAAUUAUCAAGCGAUAAUAUGUUAUUUUAUGCUUAUAUUAUAAUUUAUAUUUGUAUUUAUGUAAUUUAUUAUGAAUUAUGAAUUAUGUUUUAAAUAUAUUUAAUUUUUUGUAUUUUUAUGUGCUUAUUAGGAAAAAUAUUAAUUUCACGUACUUUGAGGCUCCAAACAGAUAAACGGAGGUCAAAUUUGGAUUCCGGAGGUCCGAAAACCUUAAGAUCAGUCAAGAUCGGCUUAAAAUUGGGCUUGUGUAAAAAAAGUUGACUUUUCCUGUUGACCGAGUACUGAUUGGAUGAUGAAAUGAGCUUACAAUAGAUAUGAGUGCAUGGGAUAGCUGGCAAUCUUGACCAAAUCUAAACCGUUCAUGAUUCAAUGGCCAUGAUUGUGCCACGUGGCAAUGGUUGGUGAAGCAAGUUGGAGGAUCCGAAUCUUUGUAUUCGGGUCGACCCGAUCCACCCAUUAACCCGCCAAAUCUCAACCGUUCUUUGGGUAAAUCGGACGAGUCAAAUGAUGCCAUGUGUGAUGUUGACUUUUAAAGUUUGACCAGCCAUUGGAUCUUGAUCUAAGGGUUGUGAGGAGCACAUGCUUGAAGCCUAUGAUGGACCACAAAGCACUGGAUUAUGAAUUUAAUUUUCUAUAAAUAGGGCCUCAUUUUUAUGUUUUAAUCAUCUCUCUACAACUCUCUUCUUCUCAAAUUCUCUUCAUCUCCUUGUAAUCUUCAUUUCCAGGUGUGUUUUUAAUAUUUUGUAUAAUUAUUUUCAUUAAUAAAAUUAGUUUUAUUUCCAAUUUUAGUUGUUUUUAUUUCUUUUAAUUAUAAGUAAUGCAAUUUUACUACUUCUUUUUAUUUUAAUUAUCCUUAACUAAAUAAUAUUAGUUAGGGGAAGGUGAAACUCUUAGGAAAUAAAUAUGAUUUAAUCAAAUUCUAUUUUUAAUUUUAUAAAUUAAAUUAUUUUCUAUUUAAUUUUAUACAUGUUUUAUAUUUUGAAAUUUUGAUUUAUUGUAGACAAACAAAUGAAUUUGGCACAAUAAAUUCUUAAGAUCUUAAUAUAAGGCAUGGUGAAAUGGUAUUUUGACUUAUUGUAGACAAAUAAAUUUUGGCACAAUAAAUACUUAAUCCAUCAUAAAAUUAAAGGGAAAAUAAUAAUAAUUUGUAUAAUUAAUCUUUUGGGUAAUAAAUCUAAAAAAAUUGGCAAAAAGAAUUUAUUAAGUUUUAUUUACUACUAAGAGUGGAUCCAUAACCCUAAUUAGUUCAAUUUCAUAGUUUCAUUUAAAUUAAGUUGUUUAUAUUCAAGUUUUAAUUUCAAUUUUUAGAUAAAAUAAAACAAUCAAAUUAAAUCUUUUCUCUGUGGAUCGACCUCGGACUCACCGAGUUAUAAUACAACAAGACACUCUUAUACUUGGGAGUUAAAUAUUACUUUUAAGUUGUGUCAAGUUUUUGGCGCCGUUGCCGGAGAAAUUUUUUUUUUAUUUGGUUUGUUUUUCCCUUUUUAUUUUUCUCUUAUAUGUAAAAUUUCGUUUGCCCCCUUUUCCUUUUCUUAAAUUUUGUUUUGUCCCUAUAUCUUUUAUAAUUCGCGUUUCAUCCCAACAAUUCUCGUUUCUAGCCCAAUCUUCUGGUAAUUACAUUCUGACCCCAACAUCUUUCAGUCGUUUCACUUUCAUCCCAAAAGGCUCAAUUCUAAACUUCUAAAAAUUACAGUUUGACCAUAAAAUUAAAAAUAAUUUGUAAUAAAAUACCUAGACGAAAUUCUCAAAAUAAUCAAGACUUGGACAUACUUUGGACAUAUUUUGGACAUACUUUGGACAUAUUUGGACUUAUUUUGGACCAAACUAACUUUAACUACUAACUCUAAUUACUAACUCUUAACUUACUAACUGCUAACUCCUAACUUUUUUUUUUAAUUUCAGUUAUUUAAUUUUCUGCAUUUAUUUUAUUUCGUAUUUAUUUAUUUAUUUUUGCUUCAUUGGUGGGUUUAACCACCAAACUAACUACUAACUCUUAACUUUAAUUUUCAGUUAUUUAUUUAAUUUUGUAUUUUUUAAUUGGUGGGUUCAACCACCAUUUUUUUUCUAUUAUUAUUUUGCAUUUAUUUUACUUAAUUGGUGGGUUCAACCACCAAAAUUGUUAUUUAAUUUUCUUUUGUAUACAUAUAUUAUUUGCUUAUUUAUUUUUUAUUUUGUUAUCAAUUUGUGUAAAUAUUAUCUUUAUAACAUAACCCUUGCAUGAGACGUUGGUCUCGAUCUUCAAGUAGCAGGUUAAUUCGUAGAUCUCAAUCUCCACCACCAAUCAUGGAUGAGAAUGAAGGCGAAAACGUUUUGGGCGAACUUAAUCCUCAAAUUGAUCAGGGAGACAACCAAUCUCAACAUGGGCAUGAUCAGAAUCAACCAAGGACUCUGAGAGACUACAUGAAUCCAACCAGAACCGGAGCACCGUCGUGUAUAGUAUUUCCUCCAGAAGCAUCUCGAUUCAACUUUAAACCAGGUAUUAUCCAGCUUUUACCAACAUUUCAUGGUUUAGAAUCUGAGAAUCCAUACUUGCAUCUAAGAGAUUUUGAGGAAGUUUGUAAUACAUACACGGACCAAAAUUGUAGCAUGAACAUAAUUAGAUUAAAGUUUUUUCCUUUUUCAUUAAAAGAUAAAGCUAAAACUUGGCUACAAAACCUUAGAUCUGGAUCAGUAAGAACUUGGAAUAACAUGCAAGAACAGUUUUUGAAAAAAUUCUUUCCACCUCAUAGAACAAAUUCUUUUAAAAGGCAAAUCACUUCUUUCACUCAAAAAAAUGGAGAAACAUUAUACCAAUGUUAGGAUAGGUUUAAAGAGUUGCUUAACAUAUGUCCACAUCAUGGUUUUGAAACUUGGCGAUUGGUCACUUACUUCUACGAGGGCUUAAUACCCCAAAGUAGACAGGUUGUUGAAAUGAUGUGUAAUGGUGAAUUUAGGGAUAAAAAUCCUGAAGAUGCACUAGAUUACCUUGACCAAUUAGCUGAAAAUGCACAACAUUGGGAUACUGUUGGAACUUUUGAAUUAACAAAUAAGCAACAAUCAUCCCCAUCUAGUGGAGGAAUCCAUAACCUUAGGGAAGAUCAUAAUUUACAAGCAAAAUUUGCAUCCCUAGUUAGGAAAGUUGAAGCUUUGAGCAUAAAAAGAGUGAUCAAGUCAAAUCUAUUUAAGAAAUUGCAUGUAACAUAUGUAGUUCGAAUGAUCAUUUCACUCAAGAGUGUCCUACUUUGCCUGCACUUAAAGAAUGUCUAAAUGAUCAAGCUAAUGUCAUUAACACUUUCAAUAAACCAAACCCAUAUUCACAGACUUAUAAUCCUAGUUGGAGAAAUCAUCCGAAUUUCAGUUGGAGGAAUAAUAAUAAUGCACAAUCUUCACAAGCACCACCUCCACAAAAUUUUCAAAAUCCUCAGCCUUAUGCACCAUAUGUUCCAUCACCCUGGAAAAAUCUAGAAGACACAAUGCAUUCAUUCAUCAGAAAGCAAGAUGUUAUUAACAAUCAAAAUGCACAAACUUUUUCUUAUUUGAAAGAUACUCUUGCUAAAAUUGCUUUUGCACUCACCAUUCAAGAAAAAGGAAAAUUUCCAGCUCAACCACAACCAAAUCCUAAAAUUCAACAAAAUCCACCCACGGACCAAGUCAAGUCAGUUAUAACUCUUCGUAGUGGUAAGGUUGUUGAUAGACCUAUGCCUGAACCUUAUGAAAAUGAUGAAAAUUCAAAGGGUAAGGAAGGACUAAAUGAACUUACACCUAGUGAAGAAAUAACUAGUGUUCCACCUGAACCACCAUUUCCGCAUGCAUUGAAUAAACCAAAGAAAUCAAACCACUCUUCUGAAAUUUAUGAAAUCUUUAAGCAAGUGAAAGUUAACAUUCCUUUAUUAGAUGCAAUCAAGCAUGUUCCUUCAUAUGCCAAAUUUUUAAAGGACUUGUGCACUGUUAAGAGGAAAUUGAAGGUAAGAAAGAGUGCUUUCAUGGCCGAACAGGUAAGUACAAUUCUGUCUACUAAUAAUAAGUUGAAAUAUAAAGAUCCUGGUUGUCCUACCAUUUCUUGUAUUAUUGGUAACCACAGAAUUGAACAUGCUUUAUUAGAUCUUGGUGCUAGUGUUAAUUUGCUUCCAUAUUCAGUUUAUCUUCAACUUAAUCUUGGUGAGUUAAAAUCAACUUCAACUACACUUUUGCUUGCGAUAGAUUAGUUAAAGUACCAAAAGGAANNNNNNNNNNNNNNNNNNNNNNNNNNNNNNNNNNNNNNNNNNNNNNNNNNNNNNNNNNNNNNNNNNNNNNNNNNNNNNNNNNNNNNNNNNNNNNNNNNNNNNNNNNNNNNNNNNNNNNNNNNNNNNNNNNNNNNNNNNNNNNNNNNNNNNNNNNNNNNNNNNNNNNNNNNNNNNNNNNNNNNNNNNNNNNNNNNNNNNNNNNNNNNNNNNNNNNNNNNNNNNNNNNNNNNNNNNNNNNNNNNNNNNNNNNNNNNNNNNNNNNNNNNNNNNNNNNNNNNNNNNNNNNNNNNNNNNNNNNNNNNNNNNNNNNNNNNNNNNNNNNNNNNNNNNNNNNNNNNNNNNNNNNNNNNNNNNNNNNNNNNNNNNNNNNNNNNNNNNNNNNNNNNNNNNNNNNNNNNNNNNNNNNNNNNNNNNNNNNNNNNNNNNNNNNNNNNNNNNNNNNNNNNNNNNNNNNNNNNNNNNNNNNNNNNNNNNNNNNNNNNNNNNNNNNNNNNNNNNNNNNNNNNNNNNNNNNNNNNNNNNNNNNNNNNNNNNNNNNNNNNNNNNNNNNNNNNNNNNNNNNNNNNNNNNNNNNNNNNNNNNNNNNNNNNNNNNNNNNNNNNNNNNNNNNNNNNNNNNNNNNNNNNNNNNNNNNNNNNNNNNNNNNNNNNNNNNNNNNNNNNNNNNNNNNNNNNNNNNNNNNNNNNNNNNNNNNNNNNNNNNNNNNNNNNNNNNNNNNNNNNNNNNNNNNNNNNNNNNNNNNNNNNNNNNNNNNNNNNNNNNNNNNNNNNNUUAGAAGAGUAGCAGGACAUCCUUACUACUGUUUUUAGAUGGAUAUAUAGGUAAUUAUCAAAUACCUAUAGCCCUAGAGGACCAAGAAAAGACCACAUUCACAUGUCCUUUAGGAACAUUUGCAUUUAAAAGAAUGCCAUUCGGGCUUAGUAAUGCUCCUGCAACAUUUCAAAGAUGUAUGUUAAGCAUUUUUUGUGAUAUGGUUGAACAUUGUUUAGAGGUCUUUAUGGAUGAUUUGACUGUGUUUGGGAAUUCUUUUGAUGAUUGCCUUGAUAAUUUGGAGAAAGUUUUAAAAAGAUGUAUUGAAAAAGAACUCGUGUUGAAUUGGGAAAAAUGUCACUACAUGGUUACUUCUGGAAUUGUUUUGGGUCAUGUUGUUUCUAUUAAAGGAAUUGAAGUUGACAAAGCAAAAAUUGAAGUCAUAUCUAAAUUGCCACAACCAAAAACAGUUAGAGAUGUGCGAUCCUUUUUAGGACAUGCAGGAUUUUAUAGGAGGUUUAUAAAAAACUUUAGUGCCAUAUCUAAACCACUUUGUAACCUCUUAUUAAAAGAUGCACCAUUUGAAUGGAAUGAUGAUUGCCAAAAAUCGUUUGAAAAAAUAAUUUGUCUUUUAACAUCUGCACUUAUUAUGCAAUCUCCUGAUUGGUCUUUGCCAUUUGAAUUAAUGUGUGAUGCGAGUGAUUUUGCUAUUGGUGUUGUUUUAGGACAAUGAAGGGAUGGUAAGCCUUUUGUGAUUUAUUAUGCAAGUAAGACUUUAGAUAGUGCUCAAAUGAAUUAUUCUACAACUGAAAAAGAAUUACUUGCUGUGGUAUUUGCAUUAAACAAAUUCCGUUCAUAUUUGCUUGGCUCUAAAUCUGUUGUGUUUACUGACCACGCUGCUGUGAGAUAUUUGAUGAGUAAACAGGAUGCCAAACCGAGACUAAUUCGUUGGAUUUUGUUACUACAAGAAUUUGACCUUACCAUCAAAGAUAAAAAGGGUGCUGAAAAUGUUGUUGCAGAUCAUCUAUCAAGACUCACAUCCGAAUUCUGCAAUGAUAUAACACCCAUAAAUGAUUCUUUCCCUGAUGAAUUUUUAUUUUCUGUUACUUCAAUGCCAUGGUAUGCUAACAUUGUUAAUUUCCUUGUUACAGGUAAAAUGCCUUUGCAAUGGAAUGCUCAAGAGAAGAAGAAAUUUUUUGUUGAAGUAAAGAAAUUUUAUUGGGAUGACCCUUAUUUGUUCAAAUAUUGCCCAGAUCAAAUUUUUCGGCGAUGUAUUCCUGAUAAUGAGGUAAGUAGUGUCAUUAAUUUUUGUCAUUCUGAAGCAUGUGGUGGUCAUUUUUCUUCAAGAAAAACUACUGCUAAAAUUUUGCAGUGUGGAUUUUAUUAGCCUACCAUGUUUAAAGACACAUAUGAAUUCUGCAAAAGCUGUGAAAAAUUUCAAAAAUUGGGAUCAAUUACAAAAAGAAUCAUGAUGCCCUUAAAUCCCAUACUUGAAAUUGAAAUAUUUGACUGUUGGGGAAUUGAUUUCAUGGGUCCAUUUCCAUCAUCUUUUGGAUUUGUGUAUAUAUUAGUUGCAGUUGAUUAUGUCUCAAAAUAGAUUGAAGUAAUUUCUUGUCGAAAUAAUGAUAGUAAAAAUGUGAUUAAAUUUUUAAGAGAAAACAUUUUAAGUCGAUUUGGAAUCCCUCGAGCCAUUAUCAGUGAUGGAGGUAAGCAUUUUUGUAAUAAGUCAUUUGAGUUUUUAAUGAAGAAAUAUGGAAUUACACAUAAAAUUGCUACCCCUUAUCAUCCUCAAACAAAUGGUCAAGUUGAAUUAGCAAAUAGGGAGAUAAAACAAAUUUUGGAAAAAACGGUUAACCCAAACCGAAAAGAUUGGUCUCUUAGACUUAAUGAUGCACUUUGGGCUUACCAUACUGCAUUUAAAACGUCCUUAGGAAUGUCACCCUAUCGGUUAAUUUAUGGUAAACCUUGUCAUUUACCUGUUGAACUUGAACAUAAAUCACUUUGGGCUAUUAAAGCUUUUAAUUCAAAUUUGGAUGAUGCUGGUAAUGUGCGAAAAUUACAAUUGAAUGAACUUGAGGAAUUAAGGAAUGAUGCAUAUGAAAAUUCAAAAAUUAUUAAGGCAAGAACAAAAGCAUUUCAUGAUAAAAGAAUUUUUCGAAAAACAUUUGAGAUUAGUCAAAAAGUGUUGCUUUAUAAUUCUCGUCUUCAUUUAUUUCCAGGGAAGUUAAAGUCAAAAUGUAGUGGCCCAUUUGUUGUAAAAAAUGUAUAUUCACAUGGAGCCAUAGAAAUUGAGAAUAAAAAAAACGGUGUCACAUUUAAAGUUAAUGGCCAAAGAUUAAAACCAUAUCUGGAACAUCACACACGUGACGAGGACACCGAAAUUAAUUUGGGUGACCCACCAGUUCUUGAUUAAGUCUUUAAUGAUUUUUUUUAAUUUUAUUUUACUAUUAUUUUACCGUUUCAUUGUUUGAUUUUUUUCCUUUUUCUCUAGAUUGAUGCACUGUACAUAGUUUUUUUUAACAUUGUUUUUCUUGUGUAAGCGUGUUUGUUUGACAGUUGUACAUUCUCUCAUCAAUUUCCAUUUUACAUCAUGAGCACCUCAAUGAGAAAAUUCCUGUUCGCACAUCUUAAAAGAUUUCUUCGUGUGAAAUUUCACUUAAGAGGCCUGAUACAAAGCUGUAAAUCACAUCCACUUUGGGAUCUGCAACCACCAGAAUUCGUGUCCUAUGUUGAGGAUCUAAAGGAACAACUCAGAACAGUAGAGAGUGGCAUAUAUAAAUUUCAAUUGGAGCUUGAGGUUAACUCAAUGAGAGGACGAAUGUAAGUUCAUUUUCCUUUUUAUAUUGUGUGCUUCUUUUUGCUCGCUUUCACGCUUGAUUUGAUUUUGCAGAUUUGAUUUUGGUGAGUUUUGAUUUAUUUUCCCGUAUAAAUGGCGGAUAACGGUACUCCGUGACUUCUUAAGUCGGUAUCUUCAGUUUCCCACAAUAACUGAAACCCCAAAAUCAAACAUGGAAAAAAUACAACAUAAACUGCAUAAGCACUUUCCUUCUCUCCCUCAGAAUGCCCUCAGGAAAAUUUACAAAGCUCGUUGUGAACGACUGCGUUUGUUAAUGAUCAAUGGCAUUCCUUUUGACAUUCGUUGGUUAAUUGAAGCAAAGGUCCGAUUAGCAGGUGAGUUUUCUGAUCCAUUUGUUUCUUACAUGCCUGGUUUUGGUAAAAGUACGUUUGCUAAGAAAAGGAGAGCUAAACGACUUGGCUCAAAAUGUCAUAACUGUGUAAGACUUGGUUGCAAACGACCAGAUUGUAAAUCUUUAGGAAUGGUUUCUGAUACUCGUGAAGAUAAAAUUAAAUUCGUUAAAGAUGGCAUGAGUAAAGAAUCGUUGGAUGAUAUCUUAUGAUCUCUUGAGACGCAUCGAAGCGGAUUUGUGCAACGAGAAAUUUAUAAUUUGUGGAUACUAUUCCAAAAACAAAGUGCACAGUUUAGUCUUAGGAAUUUGACUCAAAAAGACCCUGUUUGUCAGUUUGUAAGAAAACUGGAUGGGAAGCCAAUCCUCGACCCAUAGAGGGCGUUUAAGCCGUUACUGGACGUAAAACCAGAGGAAGAUGUGAGCCACAAUCACAACUACCAGUAAAUAUCCUUUCACUUCACUGUUAUUUUACUUUACUGUUAUUUUAUCAUUUGCAUUAUUGCAUUUAGCGGUGUGAUUUUGUAUUUAAUAAAUAUUUGUUUUCUUUUAUUGUUUGCUUUUUCUAAUCAUUAUUUUCUUUUUACUGUUUGUUUUUGAAUUAUUGAGCCACGAGCUUUACUCGUCAUUUGACAAAUAUGCCAACCCAUUUACAGCUGUUUCUCAUUAUUUAUGUCACCAAGAUCUUUAAAUAUGAGCUCGUUUUUCAAACACUCACAACCUGUUUUUGAAAAAUUAGUCCAAUGGCAGCAUCUUCGAGUAAACAAUUCAAAAAUAUUUGUGUGCUUUCUGGGUAUCACUAUGGAAAGUACAAAGAGUUUGUUCAGGCAGCAGUAGAUCUUGGUCGUGUCAUAGCAGAGAGGAAACUGCAUCUUGUAUAUGGAGGAGGUGAACGAGGGUUAUCAAGACUUGUCUCAGAAGCUGUUUUUACCAGAGGAAGUCAAGUACUCGGCAUUAUCCCAAAACCCAUGAAACCGCUAGUGUGCUUGUCUGGCCCACCAAUUGGGGAAGAAUUAGUGGUAUCAAGUAUGCAAGAGAGACUAUCUGAAAUGAUGAAUCAAGCUGAUGCUUUUAUUUUUUUGCCAGGAGAUCUUGCAACUUUUGAGGCACUAAUUACAUUUGCAUCUUGGGCCCACUUGAACAUUCAUCAAAAACCCAUCGGUUUGUUAAAUGUUAAUAACUUUUAUGACGGCUUGCUAACUUUUAUUAACCAUACAAUAAAGAAUCAUUUUGUUCCACAUUCUGUAAAAAAAAACUCUUUAUCUUUGUUUCUACUGCUAAUGAGUUACUUAAUCUCUUACAAGCUUAUACACCAGAGCCAGAUCCAAAGACUUUUGAAUUGAAUUGGUCGACUGAUGAUGGUAGCGGUAACAGUAGCAGUAAUAAGAAGCGCGAUUUAGAUUUAACUCUCCGUCUAUAAAUAUUUUCUGUUGUAGUGUUCAUGUACUGUCUUCUAAACUCUUUCUUUUUCCUUUUAAAACAUUAAGAACAAUGUCUUUUUCAGGUUGGGGGGAGGGAAUAGUUGAUAAUUGUGGAAUGUCUUAGUCCUGGUUAUGUUUUUACAAAAAAAAAAACAAAAACAAAAAAAAAACAAAAUUUUUUUUUUCUGUAAAGACUAACUUAGGACAAAUUUGAGUCGAAGAUGGCAGGAUAUAGAGAAUGUAGUCUCUCUAAAAACGCAUCUUCUUAAUCUUAAGGGUGUUGUUAAAAAAAAAAAAAUUUGACUUUUUCUUCAUUUUUGUUAUCUUCUUUUAAGCUUCUGCAUCAAGUUCAGGUAAGAUCUCCUCUUCUUCUUCUUUUAUUAUUCUCUUUUAUUUUUUAUUCAUUUUUUCUUUUUCUUUUUGCAUAUCUGUAAAAUUAUAAAAUGUUAAGAUAAUGUUUAGAUUAGGUUGUGGGGUGGGGAUAAUUGACGUAUGUUUUAAAUAUGUGUGUUGUUUUUCUCUUUUCUCUUUUCUUUUCUUUGUCAAAAAAAAAAAAAACAAAAUAUUUUUUUUUGGUCUAGGAUGGCCGUGUAAAGAGUCACGACUUUUGAGACGCAUCCUAAUAGUCUUAUUGUAUUAUAUUUUGAUUUUGAAAUUCAUAGUAAGUUGUUUUUGUUCCCUUUUCUUUGAAUUACUCAAAUUUGUGAACUCUCCACUUGGUUAUUAAGUUAUUUAAUUGUUUACUCAUUUAACAGGUAUUAUUGAAUCAUUCUUCACACACACAUUAUGACACAUACUAGUGGGUUGUAAGUUAAAAUUUUACAGCAUUUAGUUCUUUUGAUUUAUUAGGAAAAGUAUCUAAGGUAGUCGAAAGUGUAUAUUUCAAAAAAAAAUAAAAAAAAAGAAAAAAAUUAUUGUUUGUUAUAUCUAGAAACUCGAGUAAUUAAGUCCGUAGGGGUGUUUCAACACCUAGUGCCCUAAGGUCAACUGGUCUGGGAGUCACUGGCCUAAAGCUCGCUACAUGGGUAAUAGAUAUAUUGUUUGUUUAUUAGAAACCCGAGUAAUUAAGUCCGUAGGGGUGCUUCAACACCUAGUGCCCUAAGGCCAACUGGUCUGGGAGUCACUGACCUAAAGCUCGCUACACGGGUUAGAAAUAUAAUACAAAAAAAAAUAUGUGUGAAUAAUCUAUUGCCUAAAGAUAUAAUUUCUAAUGAAUUUUAGAACGAAAAUGUUGUUUUUCUUUUAAUAAAGCCCCAUAAGUAUUGUGUUAAUUACUUGAGCACAAAAGAAGGUUUGAUGAUACUCUGGAUAAUGAGUGAACAUCAAUGUGGUAAAGGAAUUUAGGAGAGUUCAUUUAUUUGGUAAUUUAGAGGAUAGAUGAACAAUUAUUAACUUGCAUGUGAAUUUUAUAAAUCUUAAUAUAACGCUUUAAUUGCUAGAGGGCUAGCAAUAAGCUGGUUGGGGGGUGUGAUUAGUAUUAAAAAUUGUUUAAUUAUCAAGCGAUAAUAUGUUAUUUUAUGCUUAUGUUAUAAUUUAUAUUUGUAUUUAUGUAAUUUAUUAUGAAUUAUGAAUUAUGUUUUAAAUAUAUUUAAUUUUUUGUAUUUUUAUGUGUUUAUUAGGAAAAAUAUUAAUUUCACGUACUUUGAGGCUCCAAACAGAUAAACGGAGGUCAAAUUUGGAUUCCGAAGGUCCGAAAACCUUAAGAUCAGUCAAGAUCGGCUUAAAAUUGGGCUUGUGUAAAAAAAGUUGACUUUUCCUGUUGACCGAGUACUGAUUGGAUGAUGAAAUGAGCUUACAAUAGAUAUGAGUGCAUGGGAUAGCUGGCAAUCUUGACCAAAUCUCAACUGUUCAUGAUUCAAUGGCCAUGAUUGUGCCACGUGGCAAUGGUUGGUGAAGCAAGUUGGAGGAUCCGAAUCUUUGUAUUCGGGUCGACCCGAUCCACCCAUUAACCCGCCAAAUCUCAACCGUUCUUUGGGUAAAUCGGACGAGUCAAAUGAUACCAUGUGUGAUGUUGACUUUUGAAGUUUGACCAGCCAUUGGAUCUUGAUCUAAGGGUUGUGAGGAGCACAUGCAUGAAGCCUAUGAUGGACCGCAAGGCACUGGAUUAUGAAUUUAUUUUUCUAUAAAUAGGGCCUCAUUUUUAUGUUUUAAUCAUCUCUCUACAACUCUCUUCUUCUCAAAUUCUCUCCAUCUCCUUGUAAUCUUGAUUUCCAGGUGUGUUUUUAAUAUUUUGUAUAAUUAUUUUCAUUAAUAAAAUUAGUUUUAUUUCCAAUUUUAGUUGUUUUUAUUUCUUUUAAUUAUAAGUAAUGCAAUUUUACUACUUCUUUUUAUUUUAAUUAUGCUUAACUAAAUAAUAUUAGUUAGGGGAAGGUGAAACUCUUAGGAAAUAAAUAUGAUUUAAUCAAAUUCUAUUUUUAAUUUUAUAAAUUAAAUUAUUUUCUAUUUAAUUUUAUACAUGUUUUAUAUUUUGAAAUUUUGAUUUAUUGUAGACAAACAAAUGAAUUUGGCACAAUAAAUACUUAAUCCAUCAUAAAAUUAAAGGGAAAAUAAUAAUAAUUUGUAUAAUUAAUCUUUUGGGUAAUAAAUCUAAAAAAAUUGGCAAAAAGAAUUUAUUAAGUUUUAUUUACUUCUAAGAGUGGAUCCAUAACCCUAACUAGUUCAAUUUCAUAGUUUCAUUUAAAUUAAGUUGUUUAUAUUCAAGUUUUAAUUUCAAUUUUUAGAUAAAAUAAAACAAUCAAAUUAAAUCUUUUCUCUGUGGAUCGACCUCGGACUCACCGAGUUAUAAUACAACAAGACACUCUUAUACUUGGGAGUUAAAUAUUACUUUUAAGUUGUGUCAGUUUCAAUGUGUUAUGAUGAAUGGUACAGUUAUGAUGUGUUAUGGAUUAUGGUUGUAUGAGGAGGUUUAUAUGUCUGGUUGGGAGCAGCUUGCAUGGUUGAAUGGCCUCUUCAUGCAUGCUGAUUCUUGUGUUUAUAUUCCCCAAAUUGUAGCCGUUGGCAGCUAACGGCUACAAUAACAAACUGCCAUUUUUUGCUUUUUUUGAGGGUGAAAUUGUUAUUUUUGUUCUGGGGGCAAAAUAGUCAUUUGACUAAGAAUCCGUUAGUUUUCGUAACGGGCAGCAAACGGAAGUGAAGAAGUGAAACAAAAUAUAAGUUUAGGUGGAUUCCAGCCAAAAAAAAAAGAAUUGUGUAUUUUUGAUAAAGUUGGAAAAAAUAAGUGGACGGUGGAUAUUUUCCCUUAUUAUUAUUAUUAUUAUUAUUAUUAUUAUUAUUAUUAUUAUUAUUUCCUUUUAACAAAAAUUAAGCUGAGACAACAAUAUAUGCCCAAAAUACCCCUCACAUUAUCCCAAACUUUCUAAACUCCCCCACUCCUCUCAACAUCAUCUCUUCCAAAUCUUUCUUCCUCCAAAAAGCAGCCAUGGCUUCAAAUUCAAUCACCUCAACACUCCAAUAUUGGCUUGUAAACCACCCCCAAAUCCUCAACUUCACAUGGACUCAAAACCAAACCCCAGCUUCCUCCCCACACUUCCUCAUUCUCUCCAUCCUCACUUACCUCUCCCUCACAUUCAUCCUCUACCACAAAUUAACGCCAACAUCACCAUCAUCAUCACCUCUCAUUGGACCCCACAUCCUCAAGCUCAUCACAGCCGUCCAUAACCUCACCCUCCUCCUCCUCUCCCUUGUCAUGGCCUUUGGUUGCACUCUCUCCAUCGUCCUCCAUUCACCCGACCUCCGUCACACCCUCUGUUUGCCCCCCACCAUUUCUGCCUCCGGUCCCCUCUUCUUCUACGCUUACAUCUUCUACCUCUCCAAAAUACUCGAAUUCCUAGACACCCUUUUGAUCAUUUUGUCAAACUCCAUCCAACGGCUCACGUUCCUCCACGUCUACCACCAUGCAACCGUCGUCGUAAUGUGCUACCUUUGGUUACAGACGAAGCAGUCUUUGUUUCCUAUCGCACUUGUCACCAAUGCAAGUGUGCACGUGAUCAUGUACGGGUACUAUCUAUUGUGUGUGAUGGGGUUGCGGCCAAAGUGGAAGAGAUUGGUCACUGACUGUCAGAUUGUUCAGUUCGUGUUUAGUUUUGUUGUUUCAGUUUUGAUGCUGUAUUAUCAUUUUGCGGGAUUUGGAUGCUCUGGGAUCUUGGGUUGGUGCUUCAAUGCUGUGUUUAAUGCUUCUCUUUUGACACUUUUUAUUAAUUUUCAUUCCAAGAGCUAUGCUAAGAAAAAGCAGGGAUGAUCAAAACAAAUCGUCGUUGUGAUUGUUCUCUGUGUGUUUUUUUUUUUUUUUUUUGGUUAAUUAUGACUGGUUGUGAUCGGUUCAUUGCAUUUGACAGAGAUGUUGAAGGGUUAUGUUCUGGAAAAUAGAAAUUAAACCAAAAUUAUCACUAGAACUGGUACAUUAUUACCAUCACAGAUCAAGAUCUGAAUGGACGCAUAGCAGCCAUCCUCAAAACCAAAGGAGGAGAAAAUUGAAAUAGAACAACCACCUUAAGGUGAAGAAGGCCAGAACAAGACACACAUCCUCAAAUCAUAAGGAAGAGGUGGGUGCAACCGAAAAAAAAAAAAAGAAAUCAAGAAUCCACUGGAGAAGGCAAGAAAGAUUUUUGCCUCCGAAGAUUUGGUGAGGAAGAGAUGAGGAGUUUGGAGAGGAAAAGUUUUCGGAGAGAUCUACAGAUUAGCUUUAAAAGUGUGUUUUAAAGAGAAAGUUGUUGAGAACUUGAGAGGAUACAGAGGACGGAACUACCUUACCUUCCUUAUACCAAACACCCAAUUUUAACAUUUUCUUUAACGGUCUUCAUUAUUUUUAGUAAAUAAUAAAAACUAUACAUUCUAAAAAAAUUAACACAAUAAGCCAUUAUAAAAAUAUAAUAAUUUUAGAAUUCUAAAAAUUUUAUUUAGCAUUUUCUUCAGCAAUCUCUACUAUUUUCUGUAAUAUUAAAAACUAUAAAUCUCAAUAAUAAAUAGACCCCAAUUAAAAUAUGAAAAUUUUAAAAUUCUAAAAAAAAUUUCUCUUUCAGUUUUCUUCUCAAUCAUUUUGUUUUGCUUUGAUCUUAAUUUAUUCAUUUAUCCAACAUAUAAUUCUUCUAAAAUAUCAAAAAAUAGAGAGUCUUCUAACUAAAUGAUUAGAUUAAUUUCUUGAACACAAAAUCUCAUAAAAAUAAUGCUUGCAUUCUCUUAAAAGAAAUCUAUUGUGUUUAUUUUUAUUUAUUUUUACUACUACAAUAAGAAAAGAACUAUAUCUUGCUCUCUAUAAUAAAAUCUCAACAAUUAGGGCAUGUUGAAUGCGGUUAAAGAUGGCGACAUACGUUUAUUUUAUUAAAAUUUAAUUUCAAUAUAGUGUUUGGCAUGAAUAAGUAAAUUAAGAAUAAUAGAGUUUGUGCCAAUCAAAUUAUCAUAUGAUAAUUAAUUUUUUGCCCUAAGGGGACCCUUUGAAUAAAAUUUUUAGACUAAAUUUAUAUCUUAUGCUAACAAUUAUAAGGUUAUUUGAUGUUGAGCAAAUUUAUAGAAAUAAAUAAAAGUUAAGUUUCAUUUAUUUAAUUAAAAUAAUUAUUUAUCCUUAUAAGUAACACUAUCUUAAAUGGUAAAACAUUAAAUGCGUAUUUUAUUUUAAAAAAAUUAUAUUAAAAAAUGGGAUUUUUUGUAAUUAAUAUUUUAAAUAAAUGGAUGUGGGGAGUGUUUUAACUAGAUAAAAUAAUCCAUCCAUAUUUAUGUAUAUCUAAAUUUAUUCAUUUAUUAAAUUACCUGGACUCAUAUAAAGAUCAUAAAAUAUUUUGAUGGACUUAUGUGUUAAAAUCUUGAAAUUUAAUCUUUUUUUUUUUUUUAUGAAACAAGAGGGACUGCACCAUUAAUAACCAAGUAAUUAUAUCCUUGCCGUGGGAAUAGCUUUUGCAACUCUUAGAUUGAAUUCAAUGGUUGGAUCACAAAAAGACAAAAAUUGGCUGGACCCGGAUACGUAUGCAAUCAAUCCUUUACUCUUCAUGUUUGUGGACUACGUGGAAUGUUUGUCCACUGAGUGUAAUCGUGACGGUUCGAUUGAGUGAUUAAAAUCACACGGCUGAUAUUAGUUGGUUCUGUGUUGGAGUUGAUCCAACAUAGCCUGAGCCUUUAAAUAAAAAACAUUACAACCCAUGCAUCCAAGCACUUAAAGUUGGCUUGAGUUCAUGGGUUAUUGUCAAUUUUCUUUCCAAUUAAAUUAGAUAGGGAUAAAAUUAUCUCUUUAUUAAUAAGAAUAAAGUAGAUAUUUCUCUCGAUUUUUCUUUUAAUUAAAUUGAAUAGAAGUAAAAUUAUCUAUUGAUUAAUAAGGAUAUAAUAUAUAUCUCUCUAAUAUUAUGUGACGGUAGAAAUUUAGGUUGUUCUGUAAUAUAAUUAUCAAGGAUAGUCUUAAUAGAAUUAAUGUAAAGAAUUAAGAUAAAGCCUCAAAGAUGGAACAGAGGUUAAAAAAAAAAAGAGUACAAGACAAAGAAAAAAGGAAACAAAAGAAGACCAAGAAUAAAAGAAAAAAUAAUUUGGAAAACAAAAAAAUGGAUUGCAAUUUUAAAUUUUAAUUAAGAAUAAAUUGUAGUGAAUGCCAUUGUUGGUAAUUUGUUAUAUUUCAAAGCUCAAAUAAGGAAUAAAAUUAUUAUUAUUAUUAUUAUUAUUUUGCAAUAACUCGUUUCAAAUUUUAAAAGAUUAUAACUUUUUGUUUUUUAACAUUUUAAUCAUAAAUUAAAAAGGAGUUACUAUUCAAGAUUCCUAAGAAUACUGAAAAAAAUGAUAAAUAUUAUUCUAAGAAAAUGAUAUAUAUUGGAUAUACUGAAAUAUUAUAAAUUAUAAAUUAUUUUACUAUUUUACCCCUUAGUUUUAUGUUUGGGGAAAAAAAUACUAAAAUGGCUUUCAAUAAAAAGAAUUAUUAUUAAAAAAUAAGAUUAAAAUUAUAACAAAUGAUAUUAAUAAGAAAGAAAUUGAUAAAAAUUUGGGAUUAGAAAUAGCCAAAUAGGGGUUAAGGCUUCGGUCCUUGAAUUUCUCUAAAUUUUAUAUAUUUUUUAAUUUUUAACCCGUCAAAUUACAUUAUUAAUGGAAUGUCAAUAAAUUUUGUGCGUUAAUUUUUCUUUUAGAUAUUUUGAAAGGUAAAAUGGUAUUUUGGAUGGUAAAAGUCAGCUAAUUAAUUAAAUAUUUAUAUUCCUAAGAUAUUUAAAUUCAAGAGAAGGGUAAAAAUUAUUUUUUAAAUUUUCAUUGUGGUGAUAUCAUAAAAUAAAUUUGUGAUUAUCAUACUUGUUUUAUAGAUUAAGAUAUAAGUAAAAGUUAAAUUAAUCUUGUAAUGGUUUUUUUACCUUUUUUUUUUCUAUAGGGAGUUUUUAUUAAUAAUUUUUUUUGUCGUCUAACUUGAAAUAUAAUAGACCUUAAGGGGCAAAACAAAAUUAUUCUUGUUAACUCCACGAAACUAUUAAUUAGUUAGAGUUAGAGGCAUUCUCGUAUUUUUCAAGUCAACAUCAGUUAACUAUUAAAAAUAGCAGUAUUUGGCAGGUAAAUUGAAAUUUUCAUACUUUUAGAGGGUAAAUUGAAGUAUUUUAAUCUAAUAAGGGUGUGGGACGAAAUUUAACUACAAGUAAAUUAUCCGUGAGGCAAGCUUUUUACAACUUUUGUUUUCUUCUUUUUUUUUUCUUUUGAGUUUUUGUUUUUGUUUUACAUGGCACUGGCCCGACCAGUACAAAUUAAUUUUAGAAUAUUUACAAUUAUGUACCAUAGUUGUGGAGUAGAAUCAUAGAAAUUAAAGAUGGUAAAAUUAUUGAUGUGUGGGGUGGGGUAGGAUAACUAUUAACUUUAUUCAUGCAACGUAAGAAGAAUGCAACUGCUCCUUUGAUUUGGUAUUUUCGUAACAAAAGCAUACAUAACAUCUUAUCAAAUUAUUUCUCCUUUUCCUUGUCAGAAUGGAGGAUGCGUUCGCUUCCCCUCUUCUUGGGCAACUGAACUCCUUUGCUGCUUAUGAAUAAGUGAAACAACAGGUGAGGUUUGUGACUAUUCUCCAACAAGAAGUGAAAAAAGCUUACCACAAAUCUUCAAGCCAUUCAAGCUGCUCGAAGAUACAUAGCAAAGGCAAGUUGAUGUAGGAUGGUUGCAUGGAAUGAGUAAGGUAUCUUCCGAAGGUCAUAACUUAGGAUACAAAUAUCCAUUCCGUUUUGAAUGUAUAGUAUAUCGUUUCAAAACUUGUAAUAAGUUGAACCAAAUGCAGAAUAGUCUACGCUAUCCUGCCCUGUGGUUGAGCAAAAAAUUUCACUUCUUUCUUGGUUGUUUUUCAGUUUAAAGAUAUUUUUCUAAUUUGUCGUGAUUCUUUUGGGAUUUUUAUCUUUUUUUUUUCUAGAUAUUGGAUUUGAGUUCCAUUUGUUUUCCUUUUCUUAUUUAGAUUAGAAGGAUUUUAUUAUCAUAUAAUAUUUUGGAUUUGCCUAUUUUGGUAAAUUCCUAAUAUUUAUGCUUCUAUAAAAGUGGUUCAAUACCCCAAUUUUGUUUGUUCAAAUUAUUCGCAAUAAAACUUAUUAUUUAAAAACCUAGUUUCUAUUAUCUAAUUGCCUUUUAAUGUUUUCUUAUCGUCAGCUGGUAUUAGAGUAAGUUCGCUUGUUAUCAUGAUGUGACCACACAAAGGAACAACUGUCCCGAAGACAUUCAAGGGAAGUAGACAACGACUGUGGAGGCAGAGGCGAAGCUCAGGGGACUUUUUGAAAAAAAAAAUUUAUAAUUUAUAAAUUUACUUUUAUUAAUAUUUAUUAAAAAAAAUAAAAACAAGCCCAAUAAUUAUAUGAAUCUUUAUUUUCCCCAAUCACAAUUCAUAAAACUCACCAGUAUCUAACUAAAUCCGAAUUUGAAAUUCACCAAAAUUCAAUUGCUCAAGUCUCUUACCGCUGCUGAAUACCCAGUCUCCUGCGCUCGAAUUGACGCCCAGCCGCUGCCUCAUGAGUGACGCCGAGCCACUGCUGCAAGGCCUGAACCUGCAGGUUGAAUCUCUGACCGCCGAGCCGACGCCGAAUGCCCAGUCUCUUGAUGCGCCCCUAGUACAAAGCACUUUGCCUUUUAAACUUUAGUUUAUAGAAUAUAAUAUGAUUUUAUGAUAAUGAUGGUUGGCACACAAAGUGGAAUUGUGGAAGGCUGGAAGUUGUUGAUUUUGUGAACUGUGAUUCAUAUUUUUAAAAUUAUAAAAUAAUAGAAUGUGAAAAACGGUGAUGAUAGCAUAUUAAGUGGAACUGUGAAAGGUGCUGAUUCAUCUUCUUGGAAUUAUAAAAUAAUGAUGGCAUGAAAGAAUGAGUGAAUAAAAUAGUAAAACAAUUAAUUUGAAUGUUAACUUUUUUAAUUAGCUUUUAACUUGCGAUUUUGUCAAAUUUUUUAUAAAAUAAAUACUAAAUUUUUAAUGUAUUUUAUUACAGAUUCAAUAUUAAAUAAACCAAGAAAAACUCUACUUUUUUUUUUUUUAAGAGAGUAAGUGAAAAUCAAUCAUCCACCAAGUCUUUAUCUCCAUGUCAAGUUAAUGCUCAAGAUUCCAGUGAGCAACAUACUUCCAAGUUUCAAAGGGUUGAAGUUGAAGAAACUAGAAAUACUUAUCUGGAGCGUGAUCCUGGAUUACGUCAUCAAAUAGGGACAUAUUUAGUAAAUCAACGUGAUGAUAUUAGAAGGGAGUACAUCAAAAUGAGACUUUAUGAGCCUAAACUACGAGAUUAUCCAGUAACUAAUGAUGACAUGCAAGAACGUAGGUUUCACUAUCACUGGUUUAAAAAAUUUCCAUGGCUUGAUUACUCUGAGGUGAAAGAUAGUGCAUUUUGUUUUCAAUGCUUUCUUUUUGAUGAAAUUCCAUCAAACAACCCAAAAUUUGUUAUUGAAGGAUUUUCUAGUUGGAAGAGAGUCAACAAUGGAAAACAAAAUGUCACUUUUUACAGCAUGAAGGGGGUCCAUUUUCUCAUCAUAAUAAGAAUAUGCAGAGUUGGGGUUGUUUGAGGAACCCAAUUCAACACAUUGAUAGAUUAAUUAAUGCCCAAACUUCACAAAAACUUUUGGAGAAUAGGCUACGAUUGAAGACCUCAAUUAUUGCUGUUAAAUGGUUAGCAAAGCAAGCAUGUACUUUUAAAGGUCAUGAUGAAUCAGUUAAUUCAAGAAAUCGGGGAAAUUUCAUAGAGUUGAUAAAGCAUUCAGCGGAGUGUAGUAAAGAAAUUGCUCAAGUUGUCUUGGAAAAUGCUCCAUCAUAUGCUAAGUAUACAUCGUCUGACAUUCAAAAAGAGCUUUUAAAUAUUCUUGCAAACAAAGUGCGAAACAAGAUACGCAAGGACCUUGGAGAUGGUAAGUUUUGUAUUUUAGUAGACGAAGCACUUGAUGAAUCUGAUAAAGAGCAAAUGGCUAUUAUUUUAAGGUAUGUUGAUUGUGAUGGGUAUAUUUGAGAACGUCUUUUUGAAGUUGUCAAUGUCAUGGAAACUACAACAGUAACAUUGGAAAAAGAAAUAUGUAAUGUUCUUGCACGAUAUGAUCUUUUAGUUGAAAAUAUCCGAGGGAUGGUGCUAGUAACAUGCGGGGUGCAUGGAAUGGAUUACAAGCAUUAUUUUUGAAAGAUUGCUCAUAUGCAUAUUAUAUACAUUGUUUUGCACAUCAACUACAACUUGCUUUAGUUGCAGCAUCUAAUAAUGUGCCAGAUGUAUGGCUUUUCUUUUUAGCAUUGGGUUCAAUUGUAAAUGUUCUGACUUCAUUUGCUAAACGGCUUUCUGAGUUAAAAUCUGUUUGGGAAGCAGAAAUAAUAGAUUUGAUAGCUUCAGGAGAAGUUCAAACUGGUACAGGGGCCAAUCAAAUUCAUACUUUGCAAUGGCCUGGAGCUACUUGGUGGAGCUCUCAUUUCCGUUCUGUCAGUAGGUUGCUUGAUUUGUUUAGUGUUAUUCGUAAAGUUUUUGGGAAGUUGGUAGAGUGUGGACUUAACAAUAUCAUACGUGGAAAGGCUAAAGGUGCAUGUGAAUCAAUGACAUCUUUUAAAUUUGUGUUCAUUUUGCAUUUAUUACAUAAAGUUUUGGGGGGUGAGUGAUUUACUUUGUCGAGCAUUACAAGUUAAAUCUCAAGAUAUUCUAAAUGCUGUUCACUUAGUCUCAACUACGAAAACACUUCAUCAAAGGCUGCGAGACAAUGGUUGGGAAAUUUUAUUGAGAACGUAGUUCUAUUUUGUGAAAAGAAUGAGAUAGAUAUGUCUGAUAUGAAAGCUCGCCAUAUGAAAGGCAGAGGACGUUCUUGUCAGUAGAAUGAUUAUAUUACAAUUGAUCAUUAUUAUCAUUAUGAUAUAUUUAAUGCUGUGAUAGAUUUUCAAUUGAUGGAGUUGAAUAAUAGAUUUACUGAACAGACUUUGGAACUCCUCACUCUUAGUUCAGCUUUAAAUCUUAUUGAUGCAUUUAAAUCAUUUAAAAUUGAAGAUAUUUACAGCCUUGCUGAAAGAUUUUAUCCUGAAGAUUUCACUAAGAUUGAGUUACAGGUUUUGAGAAGACAAUUAGAGUGCUUUGAGAUAGAUAUACACUCUCUUCAAGAGUUUCAGAAUAUUACUUUCCUUUCUGAAUUGUGUCGAAGAUUGGUUGAGACUAGAAAGUCACAGAUUUAUUUCUUGUUGGGUAGAUUAAUUCGUUUAGUGUUAACCCUUCCUGUUUCAACAGCAACAACAGAGAGAGCAUUUUCUGCCAUGAAACUAAUUAAGACAACACAUCGAAACAAGAUGGAGAAUGAGUUUCUUUCAGAUUGUAUGGUUAUUUACAUCGAAAGAGAAAUUGCAGACAAUAUUGACUCAGAUGCGAUAGUAGAUGAAUUUUCUUUUUUGAAGAACCGCAUGACACAGCUUCGUCAAUAGGGUUUUUCUUAUUUACAUUGUAUUUUUAUAGUUUUAUGGUUAAAUUUUUGCUUAUGUAGUGUGCUUAAUUUCAUUUAUAUAAAACAAAUUUUUUGAGAAAUAAAUUUCAUUUUUUUUAAAAUCUAGCCCACCCAAACAAAUGAUGCUAGCUUCGCCAUUGGAGGUUAUCAGAUAGAUGGUCAAAGAAGCAAUCUUGUAAGUCAUGGAGUACGCAUAUAAUGCGAGAAUGGCAACAGACAAAUAUUAGGUUAUCUCUUGUAAACCAUAUUGAUAAAUCUAAUGAGGGAAAGAUAUUUUUUUUCUUGUCCUAGAUGACGUGUGGGAUGGAAGUUACAAUCAAUGGGAACCAUUCUUCUAUUGUUUAAAGAAUGGUCUCAAUAGUAGUCAAUUUUUUAUUACUACAUAUUAUCAGAUAGUAGCAAGUAUGAUGAGAUUAACAAAUAUUAUUUUUAUUAAGGAAUUAACUGAAGAAGAAUGUUGGUCAUUGUUUAAGCAAGUAGCAUUUUUUGGUCAAUUUUUUGGUCAAUUUUUUAAGGAUAGUGACCAAAUGAUAAAAAAAUUGCAUGCAGGGCCUGCCUCUUAUUGCAAAGGCAAUUGGGAAAUUCUUACAAUAUAAAUGACCAACAGAAGAAUGGAAAAUAAUUUUAGAUAGUGAUAUGUAGAAGGUAGAAGAGAUUGGGAACAAUAUUAAUAGGGAAAUUCUUAUAAUAUAAAUGACCAAUAAAAAAAAAUGAAAACUACACUAUAGAUGGCUCAAAGUUACCUUAUUGUAUAAGAAGGCCAAGAGAUGAGGAUCCGAUCCAAUCUAAUAGUAGUAGUUCAUUUCAAUUUUUAUUCAUUUGAUUUUAUAGUAGUAGUUUUCAUUUUUUUUGGUUGAAAAUUGGUAAAAAAAUAUUCAAAUGAGAUAAUUACAAUAAAACCAUCUUCAAGAACUACAAUAAUUUUAAAAAAACUCAAAAUAAACAAAAUAGGCUCAAAAACACCCCUAAUCCCAACAUUAUCUGAAUCCAUCCUAGCUGACCGAAUCUGAUUUUAAUCCAACCCCAACUUGAUCCCCAUAUAAUUAUAACCUGAUGCAAUCCAAACUAAACUUGAGUUUUUGAUUUGAUACAAUCUAAUCUGAAUAUUCUAACCCAAUCAACCUAAAAGCCGAUUAAGUUAAUCUGAACACAAAUUUACCCACUCCUAGCGAGGAUCAUGACCCAACAAGCUUUGAAAGAUUUUGAGGUUUCGAAGUGAAAUAUUAAAAAUUAGGUAUAAAAAGACUGAUUAGACCCCUAAGAACUUGAUAUAUAAAAUUUAUACAUAUAAUAGAAAUUUGAUUUAUAUAUUAUUAAAAUAAAAUCAAGUAACUCGAUUUUUUUUAUUGUAUUAAUUAUUUUUCCAUUAUGACGAUAUGACAAAUAGCCUUUUAUUAAAAUUUUGAUAAAACUUGGGCCUAAGUCUUUGAUUUUUAUUUUGUUAAUUAUUUUUUUAGUUUUUACUUGCAACAGUACUUCAAUUAUGAAUCAAAGUCGCCAAAUAAAAUCGCUGCAGCCUGUAGCUACAAGCAAAAUUCUAAAAUUUCGAAAUUCCUAACAACUAUAUAAUCGCUAUAAAUAGAAAAACGGUCUAAAAUUAAAUCCUCAGCUAACAUUUUAAGUUUGAAGUUGGGCCUCCUGAAGAUUUACCCCAUAUGGAUCAAAAUAUUGGUUUCGCUACUAAAAUUGCGAACUAUGUUUUUCUUUGUAUUUUCCGCUCAAGGAUGAAGAAAUUUCCCUCAACACUCUUGGCCGAAUAUCUUGCAAACAUAUGAUACUAAAGUGUCAUUUUUUGUUUUAAACAAAAAAUGACACUUUAAGGCAAUAGGAGAGUUUAAUGUAUUAAAAUGGUAAACGGGUGGAUAAAACUCAAAAUAAUUUUUUAACGUUUUAUCUAUUUUAACAUUCGAAUUUUAAACUUGAGAAGUCAAGCAAUCAAUAAACCUUUUUGAGAGGCUAAUUAAAUUCUUAGUAAUUUCACAUAAUUUCAUUUCAUCAGAACAAUUUUAUCAAAAGCAAUUUUAUAAAUCGUUGUUGAAAGCUUUAUUCCUUAAUUAUCUUUCACAUAUUUUUCUUUGUAGUAUGAGCUAAGUCAUAGACCAUAGUAUGAUAUUUAUUAUUACGUUAAAGAUGCGACAAAUUUGAGAAUAUUUAUUAUUACGUUAAAGAUGCUACAAAUGUGUUCAUCGGAGGAGUGGAAUCUGGGAAUUUAAAGAUGCUACUACAAUUACGAACGUGUGGGUGGGGAUAAGCAUAAAUGUCGAUAAAAGUUUGACUAAGAUCUUAUAUAUUGGAAAUUAAGAUAUUCUCUCUCUGCAUGUUAUUUCUGUAGGAAAUAACAUGCAGAUAUAGUAUUUUAGGUUAUUGUUAAUGGUUUUACAAUAAUAAAAAUCAUUUUGUUAGACCGUAAAAUGCCGUACUCACACUCUAUUUUGUGCAGAAGUCUGCGAGAAAGGAUUUCCACAUAUAUAUAUAUAUAUAUAUAUAGAGUCGUGUACUACAGAUUUAACUAGUGGAGAAGUUGGGAACUUUUUUUUUUUUUUUAUCUAACACAGGCUAAAAAUAUUUCAAUAAAUUAUGAUCAUGCAGACUAAUAAGAUUUUUUUUGUUAUAUAUAUUAAUUUUUUAGGGACUAAUGUGAAUAUUACUAAUUUUUUUGAGAUUAUUAAAAAACAAUGUUCUGACUUACCAAUAUGAUUUUUCCAAUCUUUUUUCUUUUCGUUAUUUAUUCCUUUGAGCAUUAGAGUUAAUGCUUGAUAUAAUUUUUGUGCUCAUUUUUUAAAUUAGUAAUUAAAUCUGAAUCUUAUAGUAGAAGAUUAUGAAAAAGUGAAGACACAAAAAGCAUUAAAAUCAUUAUUAGAUCCAAAUUUGUGCUAUUUUCAUACAUAACUUGAGAAUAUUUAUAAUUACGUAUCACAACUAGUGGAGUAGAAUCGGGGAAAUUAAACAUUCUACAAUCAUUGACGUGUGGGUUGGGGAUAAGCAUAAACUUUUUCUAUGCUGCAUAAAAGAAUGCAAUAACUCAUUUUCUUUCAGUAUUUUCGCAACAAAAGCACAUCUAAUAACUCUUUAGAAUUCUCGUCUUCUUUGCCACAAUGGUUGAUGCGAUCGUUUCCUCUCUCCUGGAGCAGCUGAUCUCUGUUGCGGCUGAUGAAGUGAAACAGCAGGUGAGGCUUGUGACUGGUGUCCGACAAGAAGUGAAAAAGCUUACCAGCAAUCUUCAAGCCAUUCGAGCUGUGCUGGAAGAUGCAGAGAAAAGGCAAAUGCAGCACGACAAAGCUGUUACUUUUUGGCUGGAUCAGCUCAAAGACGCAUCUUACGACAUGGAAGAUGUGUUGGAGGAGUGGACCACUGCAAGGCUCAAAUUGCAGAUUGAGGGCGUUGAUGAUGACACUGCUCUUGCUCUUGCUCCUCAUAAGAAGAAGGUACGUUCCUUCUUUUGUGCUCUAUCAAACUGCUUUGGUAGUUUCAAACAACUUAGUCUUCGUCAUGACAUUGCCGUCAAGAUUAGGGAAAUCAAUGGAACGCUAGAUGAUAUUGCCUCCCAAAAAGAUACGUUUAAAUUUGUGGAGAAUGUGAGUAACAAUGUCAAGAAACCAGAGCGAGUGCGAACCACCUCCUUGAUUGAUGAGGGAGAGGUUUGCGGUAGAGUUGAUGAGAAAAAUUAGCUCUUAAGCAAGUUGUUGUGUGAAAGUAGUGAACAACAACAAGGCCUUUAUGUCAUCUCACUAGUUGGGUUAGGGGGUAUAGGUAAAACCACUCUUGCACAACUGGCCUAUAAUAAUGAUGAGGUGAAAAGAAAUUUUGAAAAAGUUAUAUGGGUGUGUGUAUCAGACACUUUUGAGGAGAUUAGGGUCGCCAAAGCAACCAUUGAAGGUCUAGGUGUGUCGGCUUCUGGUUUAAGCGAAUUCGAAUCUCUUAUGAAACAGAUUCAGGAAUAUAUUACGGGGAAGAAAUUUUUUCUUGUUUUAGAUGAUGUGUGGGAUGGAGAUUACAAAAAAUGGGACCCAUUCUUUUCUUGUCUAAAGAAUGGCCACCAUGAAAGUAAAAUUCUAAUUACCACAUGUGAUAGGUCAGUUGAGCUACGGUUGGGAUCAAUAGAUAUUAUCCCUGUCAAGGAGUUGGGUGAAAGAGAAUGUUGGUUACUGUUUAAGCAGAUAGCAUUUUUACGUAGGUCCUUUGAGGAUUGUGAAAAAUUAGAACCAAUCGGGUGAAAAAUUGCACACAAGUGCAAAGGCCUGCCUCUUGCUGCAAAGGUAAUAGGGAAUCUCUUGCGCUCUAAAAGUACAGUAAAAGAGUGGCAAAGAAUUUUAGAGAGUGAAAUGUGGAAAGUAGAAGAGAUUGGGCAAGGUCUUUUAGCUCCUUUGUUGUUGAGUUAUAACAAUUUACCCUCCAAUUCUAUGGUAAAACGGUGUUUCUCAUAUUGUGCUGUCUUUCCAAAAAACUACAAUAUGAAUAAAGAGGAACUAAUUUCACUAUGGAUGGCUCAAGGUUACCUUAAUGCAGAAGAAGACGAAGAGAUGGAGAUGAUUGGGGAAGAGUAUUUCAACAUUUUAGCAGCACGCUCUUUCUUUCAAGAAUUUAAGAAAAAUGAUGAUGAUGAUAUUAUGAGUUGCAAGAUGCAUGACAUAGUGCAUGAUUUUGCUCAAUUUGUAAGUAGCAAAGAAUGUUUGUGGCUAGAAAUUAAUGGUACCAAAGAAUCAGUCAUAAACUCUUUUGGUGACAAAGUCCGUCACUUAGGGUUAAAUUUUGAAGGAGGCGCUUCAUUUCCUAUGUCCAUUCGUGGACUUGAUAGAUUGCGUACCCUUUUAAUUUAUGAUAGAAGUGAUUUCAAUCUGUCUCUUAGUAGUAGCAUCCUUUCGGAGUUAUUUAGUAAAUUGGUGUGUUUAAGGACAUUAGUUAUAAGGCAAUCGUCCCUAUAUUUUCAUCCUUUUCAUCUUGACCCAAAUUCGAUUAGAGAAAUUCCAGAAAAUAUCAGAAAAUUGAUACAUUUAAAAUAUCUUAAUUUGUCUGAAUUAGGCAUAGAGAUACUACCUGAGACUUUGUGUGAAUUAUAUAAUUUACAAAAGCUAGAUAUUAGGCGGUGCCGAAAUCUUAGAGAAUUGCCAGCGGGGAUUGGGCAGUUAAUGAACAUGAGGAGUUUACUGAAUGGUGAAACUUAUUCGUUGAAGUACAUGCCAAUAGGGAUUUCCAAAUUAACCAGCCUUCGAACAUUAGACAGGUUUGUGGUGGGUGGAGGUGUUGAUGGUAGCAAUACGUGUAGGCUUGAAUCUCUGAAAAAUCUUCAACUCCGUGGUAAAUGUAGUAUAGAAGGGCUGAGUAAUGUGUCACAUUUAGAUGAGGCUGAGAGGUCGCAACUUUACAAUAAGAAAAACCUCCUUCGUUUGCAUCUUGAGUUUGGUAGAGUCGUAGAUGGGGAAGGCGAAGAAGGGAGGAGGAAGAACGAGAAAGAUAAACAACUUCUUGAAGCCUUACAACCGCCUUUGAAUGUAGAGGAAUUCGGGAUUGUAUUCUACGGAGGCAACAUUUUUCCCAAAUGGUUGACUUCACUAACCAAUCUAAGGGAAUUAAGACUUGUCUCGUGCGUUGACUGUGAGCAUUUGCCUCCUUUGGGAAAAUUGCCUCUGGAAAAACUCGAACUAGGGAACUUGAAAAGUGUAAAAAGAUUGGGUAAUGAGUUUUUGGGAAUAGAAGAAAGCAGCGAGGACGAACCAUCUUCAUCUUCAUCGUCAUCAUCAGUUACUGCCUUCCCCAAAUUGAAAUCACUGGAAAUUAAGGGAUUGGAUGAACUGGAAGAGUGGACUUACAGGAUUACGAGGAAGGAAAACGUCUCCAUCAUGCCCCGUCUUUCUUCCUUGCGAAUUGAUUCUUGCUUCAAAUUAAAGGCGCUGCCGGAUUACCUUCUUCAAACGACGGCGCUGCAGAACCUGAGGAUUUUUUUUUGUGAAAAUAUGGAAGAACUGCCCAUUCUAGAAGAUCACAGGACAACAGACAUACCACGUCUUUCUUCCUUGCGAAUUUGGUAUUGCCCCAAAUUGAAGGCGCUGCCGGAUUACCUUCUUCAAACGACGGCACUGCAGAAAUUGACAAUUUGGGGAUGUCCCAUUCUGGAAAACCGUUAUAGAGAGGGGAAAGGAGAAGACUGGCAUAAGAUAUCUCACAUUCCCCACAUCAGGUGGUCGGCGUAAGAUGUCACUAGGGAUGGCAAUUUGCGGGUUUGGGCCGGGCUUUUUAAAGCCCAGGCCCAAGCCCGCAUCAUUCAAAAGAAGCUUAGGCCCUUCAAAAGCCCGUCCAACUUAGACGGGCCGAACUCGGGCCGGGCCUAGACGGGCCUGGGCCGGGCUCGGGCCGGGCUUGGACUUUUUAAAUUAAUUAUAAAAUAUUUUUUAAAUUAAGAAAAAAUAUUUAAAUUAAAGAUAAUAAUAUAAUACAUAGAUAGAAUAAUGGUAAAAUACAUGAAAUAUUAGUAAUACAACCUAAUAAAAUAACAAAUACUAAUAUAAAAAAUUAAACUAAUUUAAUAUUUUGAAUUUUUUCUUUUUUAUUUAAAUUAAAUUUAUUUUUUAUUCAUAAAUUUAAAAAGCCUGGGCCAAGCCCGGGCUUUUUUGCUAAGCCCUUGUCCAGGCCCAACAUAUGCGGGCUUUGUAAUUUUUAGGCCCAUAUCCAUGCCCAUCUGUGCGGGCCGGGCUUUAGGCCCGCGGGCCUGGGCCGGGCUUGGCCGGGCCGGGCCAAGCCCGGGCUUUUUUGCCACCCCUAGAUGUCACUCGCUGGUAAUUUCUCCUCCUUCUCUGAAUUACUUCGUAGUUGCUUGCAAUGAAAUUGAUAAAAAUAAUUAUAUUUUGAAUUAAAAUUCUAUAUAAAAUCAAUCAUCGUAUAAAUAUGUAAAACUUCCUAGUUAUCAAAUCUGUUAAACUUGUUUUCUAAAGAUUAAAUAAUAAAAAAAUACAAGUGUAGUCUGUUUAAAUUUCUAUAUUUAUUUACUUUUAAAAAAUAUGUACUUUUAAAUUUCACACAACAACAUAGAAAAUCUCAGUGUAAUUUAUUUUUUAAUGUACGAAAAGUUGUUAUGUGUAACUUCCUGAGAGAAAAAAUCUCUGUGAUACAUUUGCAGUAAUGUUGAAAACUAAAUUAUUAAUUUUAUCUUGUAUAAUGAUAAUUGUAUUUUUUUAUAUAUAAUUCUUUAAAGUAAUUGUGUAAUUGUUUUUACUACGAGUUUAUGUUUCAUUUUAAUUAUGUUCACCAGGGAUUCGAGGAAAUGUCAGAACCACACUAGCAAUUCACAGGUCCAAUCUAAUUUGGUUUUAAUGAUGCAGGCAGGAGAGUAUGCUAAGAAAAUGAAAAGUUUAGCCAAAGGAUUGCUAAAAUGUUCUGUUGGUAAUUCACUUGCUUUAUUUUAUAGAAUUUCAUUUCCAUCUUCUUCUAUUGAUAUCUUGUUGUGAAUAAACAAGAACAGAGAAGUAAAUGAUUGAACCACAGAGAAGUAAAAAUAUAUCCAAAUUCGAUUAUUAUGAUGAUUAAAGCAAGCUCAAGCUCAAGCAUUGCAUUUUUUAUUUUAUUUAGUUUAUAGAAUUUUCAUUUCCACCUGCAUUGCAUUUUUAUUUUAUUUUUAGGUUUUCUUUGAAGACUCUAUGGAGAACAUUGGGGUAACCAAGGAUUAUCACUGUGGUUAUUGUAUUUUUAGGUUUUCUUUGAAGACUCUAUGGAGAACAUUGGGGUAACCAAGGAUUAUCACUGUGGUUAUUGUGCAACGUUUGGUUGCUGGACUUUGAAGAAGGAAGUGAUGGCCGGGUCCGCUCUGUUUCAAUUGAGGAUUGAUAGCUGCCUGAAAGACAUGAUGAUUGUUAUUGCAUGAUGUUAAGGUGCUAAGAUCAUCAUUUCUAUCUUGUUUCAUUCUUUGAUCGGUUUAUCCUAUAUAAACAUAUGGAAUUAUGCUAAUAUUAUCAUAUGCGUCAAUGGAGGCAGGAAUUUGGUGUUGACACUAUUAUGCAGGUAACCACACUUCAUAAUUUGCACAAAUUUGCGUCAAUGCAGGCAGGAAUUUGGUGUUUCUUUGUAUUAUCAGGUUAUCAUCUCCAAGGGUUUGAAAGAGCCUUUGCAGUAAAGUCAGCUGUCACCAGCUCGUGCAAUUGCACGUUCAUUCAGAGUACUUCAACAUUCGAUUUUCAAGUUUUGUAUGUUUAGUUGCGAUUAAAAUGUUUAGUCACUCAUUUUUAAUCAUUUCUGAUUUUCAAGUUCUUUAGGGCCAUAAACAGUUUUUCAAACUCAUUCUUAUUUUUUUGGUUGAUUUCCUAUUCGUGGAGAACAUUGGCAAGUCCAAGGAUUAGGCUGGCGAUGGAACUACUACCUCUGUUGUUAUUGUGCAAGGUUUGAUCGCUGGACCUUGAACAAGAAUGCCUUAAACGCAUUCUGUAAUUGAAGCGUUCUCUAAAGCAAAAGAGCAGUAGAAGGAAUAGUGAUGGCCGGAUCUGCUCUAUCUUAAUUGAAGAUCUCUGUGAUGUUGAGGAGCUGAAAGCAGUUGAUGCUUUUUGAAAAUUGUUAUUACAGAUGAAUUGAUUCCUGAAGACGAGUAUCUAAUGAUUGUUAAGGCGUAUUUUCAUGCUGUAGUAACAAUUUCAUAUCUUGCAUCUCUCGGGUGCAUCAUGUUCACGGGUUUGAAAAAGCAUUUGUGGUAAUGCUUCAAAGCUUGUACAAUGGCUGUGAAAAGGCACAUUCAAUUAGGUACGUUUUGGUGCGGUCUCCCAAUGCUAAUAUCAUAUUUUGUAUAGCAAUUAAAAUUUAGCUAUACAAUCUUAAUAUGCAAUAAAUCAUUGUAUACAAAGUUUUUUAUUGAUUAUAUGGUGACUGAAAUUUUAAUUAUCAUAUCAAUUUAAAUUUUUUUGUAACUCUCUUUUACUUUGCUUGUACAGAGUACCUGUUUUGGCUGAUAUGUCUAAUUCGUAGAAAUUCAUUUCCAUCGGUUUCCAUUGGCUUUAGCACAAACCGAAACAGAUCUCUGGGGAAAAGUUUUACUUCUUGUGAUAUUAUGCCUUUGUUUAUUCAUUCAUCAUAUUUUUCGAAUUCAUGAUCUCAUUCAGAGGGUAAAGCCUUUUCCAGGCUGCUUUGUAGCCAAACUUUGACGCCUUUGAUGCAUGACUGUCAUUUAGAUUUUCCAAAUAACUGUUGGAUUGGAGAAGAAUAAGAAGAUACUGUUAAAAGGGUAUUUAAUUAGCGCCCUCUGAAUUUCUUGGAGUUAAUGUAGUCAAUUGCCCAAUUUUGCUUCAAACUCUGAGACACCUAAUAAAUAGUAGGAGGGGGUGGUAUUCGCCUGGUGUUAAUUUCCUGGCAAGUAUAGUUCACAGAUAGAUGGGUUCUUUUCUUGAUGUCUAAAUACCAUAUGUGAUACAACAUCGUGUAUUCCAAUUUUUCUCCAAUUAAAUUUUAAUACGUUAGAAAAGUUAAUUUUGUUUUAGCAAUGAAUUGUUUUCUUAAUAAUAAUGAUUGCCAUGUUCCUCUGAAGUCUUAUUAAUGCCAGACCAACAACUACUAGGUUCAUCUCUCGUUCACUUCCUCAGGGAAUCUAGAGGGCAUUCAUUGGCAAGUAGUCUUUCUUGUUGAGCUCCUGGAAUUACUUUUAAUUUAUCAUUUGUUGGGUUUUGCUUUUUGAUUGCUUUGGGAUUUGUGUUUUUAUCGCUUUGUCGCUCAUUAAUCUUGGCUGUUUUGAAUCUGUGUUGGAUUUAGAAGUUUGGAGUUAAAAACAGUUAAAGCUUAGACUAGUAGAAGAGAUUUGUACAUUCAUUUAUCUUGGACAAAGUUUUUGGGGAAAAAAAAAUUAUAAGUAUACACUUUCCAAUGGUCCGGUGAUGUUUGAUUGGUUUUAAGAUGUUGGAUCUCUCAUCAGAUUUCUUAUGUAUCGACUGCUGUUGCCACAGGAUGCUCGCAGAUCAUGCUUUUUUGUAUAAACUUCUACUAGAGCAGGCUGCCACAAUUGGUUGCAUUGUUUUGUGGGAGUUGGAGAAUCGUAAGGAGAGGUGUUUUUUCUCUCAUAUCAAAGGAACUCUCCCCUUCCUUUUUAUUUUCAUCUUAUAUAGUAAGCUAAUAAAUGUUUGUUUCUGUCGUGAUGGGAUAAAGCAAGAAUGAGAUCUUGCCCUAAUAAAUGUGCUCACAGUAACAGCAUGUAAUUUUGUUGUUUGGUCGCUUGCUCCUUGUCGUUCUUAUGGAAACACCUUCCGGUUUGACUUGCAAAAUACAUUACAAAAGCUCCCAAACAAUAUAUUUGAACGGAGUUACCCAUUUCGAGAAUUUGACUUGCAAAAGAGAAUCCACCCCCUUUUUUACAAGGCUGCAGAGUUGUAUAUGGUGGGAUUAAAUGCUGGAGCAGUGCAAGGUUCUUUGUCAAACUAUCUUGCUGGUAAAAAGGACAGGUCAACAUGGUUGCAAAACUUCCUUUUCAUUCCUCAUUCACUUAUUCAUUAUAAAUAAAGAAAACUUAGAAGAUUGUUCUGUUUACUGUCUGAGCCUGUUUAGCAUUUGUUAAAUUUGGGCCACCUUUAAUGUCUGACAGGUUAUCUAUGACAAUCCCAUCUGUGAGUACUAGUGCGCUUGGUUAUGGUGCUUUCCUUGGACCAUAUGCAAACAUGAGAUAUCAGCUAUUUUAUGGAUUUGAUAGAGCCGUCAUCAACCAUUUUGAUGUUAUUGGAAUAGCACUGUUCUUAAACACUGCUUUGAGGUCUCUCCCUCUAUCUCUUUUACGUAUUUGUUUAUUGAUCUACAUCUCUAUAUACAUUGAUAGACUAAUCUGGUCGUACCAAAUUACCCUUGUUUUAAUGUUUUGUUUGUUAAACUUUGACUGGGGAAUCUGUUUAUUUGUCUGAUAUGAUGUUAGUGUGGUUUCUAUUGAAGUGUGUAGAUCUAAGGAUGGUUUUAAAUUAACUGAACCCUGAGGUAGUUUUCUAAGGAAAUACAAGUGGUGAAUAUGGUUCCAACUUUUGAGUGCCUUAAUUAACCCAUUUGUUAAGCCCCGUGCGUAAACAAUCAGUAAUUGCUGUCCAAAUUCUUCUUUACUGCCUAUAUGUGUUGGACUUUGUCUAUUGUUCAACUUCUCAAAUGGAUUCCAUGCAGGGUUCUUAAUGUCCAAUUAGGAGAAAGAUCAAGGCUUGCUUGGCUAGGAGUGGAAGCGGAUCCGCUACUUCAGUCAGAUGACCUUUUGAAGAGGGCUUACAAGAGGCCGUCUCAGGAUGUCAAUGGCUCAACUCAAAAGUCCCCAAGGUGGUUGAUAUCAAAGAAUGCCAUUGUCUCUGGGCUUGGGCUCCUUGGCAUCAAACAAGGGAAUGUCGACUCUGUUGAAGGGGAAGCAAGGGCUCCUAAAGUGCGAAGAAAGAGGAUAGUCCGGAAGAAGGUGACCGCAUAAAUUUCUUGGGAGUUAAUCCUAGUCAAUAGCCCAAUUUUGCUGCCUGUUGAAGAGAUACAACACGGAAAUCCUCAUCAAACUCUUUGAGACAUCUAAGAACUUGUAGGGAGGUGGUGGUAUUCACCGUGUUUCCUGGCAAGUGUAGUUCACUAAUAGAGGGAUUCUUUUCUUGAUGUCUAAAUACUAUAUGUGCUACAACAUCGUAUAUUCCAAUUUUUCUCCGGUUAAAUUCUAGUAAGUUAGAAAUGUUAAUUUUGUUAUAGCGAUGAAUUGUUUUCUUAAUAAUAAUAAUGGCCUGUUGCUUGGGAAUCGUAUUCACUCUCUGUAACCCAGUAAAAUUGUGCAAAUUUUACUGCAGAUUUGUCAAACAGAGUAUUUUGUGAUUGUUUUGAUACACUUUUGAUGGCAAGUUCAAGUUUGAAUCAUCUUGUAAUAAUAAUAUAUGUAUUGUAUUUAUGUAUUGUAUACUAUCCUUAGGGAUAAGGAUAAGAGUGUAUAAAGUGUGAUAAAACAUAAAGUAGGAUAUGAGUUGUAAAGUAGAUUUCUUUGUGAUAAGGAUCAUUAAUGCCUACAGUAUGUAAUAGUAGUUCCCUUGUGCCUAUAAAAGGAAACCCUUGGUUUCUAUCUAGGCAUCGAGUCUUGGAGUGCAAUCUUGUAUUUGUAAAUCUCUCAUUCCUCUUAAUAGAAGUAACAUUCUCUUGUUGGUUAUUUUGAAUUGGUAUCAGAACCAUAUUUCCCAAAAGGAAACCCCUGGGUGUGCAACAAUAUUAUGCUCUGUGGUUGCCGAAAUACUUCGGAUCCUUCACAUCAGAAAGUUGUUGGAUACUGAUCUAACUGUCCAAACUUUCCAUGCUAAAAUACUACAGAGUGAAUUCUGUAAGGUGUGGCGCCCCCUUGAAAAGGCUAGGAGAGCCGAGUUUAGGGUUUAUCACCCCAAAGAAAACCCUUUGAUUUCUUUUAGCCAUGGAAAACCAAAACAACAAUAGAUCAGGAAACCAACCAAUUUCUGAACAGGCAUCCACUUCGGCCAUCAGAGUUACUACUGAUAGCUCGCCCUCCAUAAACUUCCAUUAUGAGACCCGAGAGGAUGAAAGCAGUGAGAGAGCAGUCCAGUCCUUCAGACUUGAUCACCUAAGAGCCAUAAUCCCCAUCAAACAACCUAAGCUUAAAACCAUCUAUAAAUCAUCUGAAAUCACUGUCCAGUCCAUCUCCUCCAGCUCAAAAGAAACAUACCUUCCCAUAAUCUCUACUAAUGAGGUUACAAGGUACAAGAUGCAGGGAUACAAAGGCUUGCACCUUGGAGCAAUCCAGAUAGGAAUACAACCAUUAUUUCUAGUUGGAAAAGAUAUAACAUGUUUUAUUGCCAUUCUGGAUACUAGAUGACAAACUUUAAAAAAGGCCUUGAUAACUGUAGUUGAAGCAGGACUCAACCAAGGUCAUGUUGUCCUCCAAGUUGAACCAAACUUCACCCUUGACAUACACAAACCAUCCCUCACAGAUGACAGAGUCUUUCAACCCAAGACUUAAAGGCAAAACCAACUCAUUUUUCCACCACAAUGGAUCAAUGAGUAUGAGAAAAACAACAGACCUCAACAGAUCCAUGAGGUCCCAAAGAUAAGCAGGUUGCAGGAAGGAAGGGUAUUAGUCUCUUUUCCUACAGAGACCAAAGCCCUCUACCCAUGUGAGAAAUGCCAACUUGAAGGAAAGCAUCCCUCUUUGUGCACACACAUGCCAAGAAGGACGACCUCUUGUAGAAUCAUUGGUCCAGUCAACAUGAUCACCACCCCAGACCUUAAUAAUGAAUUUGUCAUGGAUAUUCCUGGCGGUAUAUAUGCAGCCAAAUGGGUUAUUCAAAAAACUAACCCAACUGAGUUUGGUCAAAUAGAGAAUGCACUCAAUUGGUCAAACAUCAAUGUUGUAGAGUAGAAUCAGGCUCUCGGAGAUAUCAUGGCCACUCAACAGCAAAUUCUUUCUGACUUAGCUGUUAUCAUAAAACAGCUAAAAAAGACCUGAAAGCAUCAUAAGAUGACUAAUCAGCAGUUCUCACAACAGCAUGAUGAUGCCGCCAGAUCAAUCAACAUGAUUGUCAUGACAGGAGCUGCAAAUGAAGAUGAAAUGGAAAGAACAAGGGAAAGCUGUACCAGAAAGAAAGUGUCCAGACACUGGAAGAGCAAAUCCACAAAACCAUGGCAUAUCUGGGAGGAAAAUGCAUCUGGCAACUAUCAGAAGGCAUUCUGGAGAAGUUAUGCUCAUCCUCUGCAAUAUCAGUGGCCUCAAAAGGCUACAAGAUGGAACGAAGAAGAUGAUACUGGCGAUGAGACAAGUGUCUCCUCAGAUGAUCAGUUCCCUCCUAUACCAGUCCUUAUGCAAAGAGCAAAUCCUGCCAAUUCAUUUUAUGUGAAUACUCGUGCAAGAUUUACUAACCCAACACAGGGUCAGACUUUUAAUCCGAACCGGCCAGAACCAACCCAAAAUCUGUCAGGAACAACCCAGUUCACUGCCCCAAAAUUCACUGGUCAGACUGAAUCCACUGCUCAACCAGCUACAUCCGGAGUAGAUUCAUCUAAUCCGGCAGAGCAGGUACCAUACAUGGAUGAGGUGUCUCAAGGAGAAGAGUGGGAAACCCGUGUACAAAUCGGGCACUCAACAACUAGCAAAAUAUUCUGGAACGUUGACGGCAUGAAGCCAAAAGAACGAUUGGCUUACUUCGAAAAAAUGGUGGCCUGGUACGAAGGCGAAUGUCAAAGAGCCCCCCAGUUGAGCAGAAGAUCAGUAGCACUAAGGCUGAUUGGUUCGUAAAUCUUGAGAUCGGCAAUGGCUCUGGAUGAUCUCCAUUGACAUCUGAUAUAGCUGAGCUAGGCUGAGCUGUGCUAAGUCAACAAUUGCACUUCAAGACUCGAUUCCUAGAUACAAACCAAGGGUUCCCUUUUAUAGGCACAAGGGAACCACUAUUACUUACUGUAGACAUUAUUGAUCCUUAUCACAAAGGAAUCUACUUUACAACUCAUAUCCUACUUUAUGUCUUAUCACACUUUAUACACUCUUAUCCUUAUCCCUAAGGAUAAUAUACAAUACAUAAAUACAAUACAUAUAUUAUUAUCACCAUUGCUUCUACUGUAGGGUUCACUAAGCUUCCGCUACAGUCCAGAGUUGCCACUUGUUGGCGUGCUUCUUCCUAACCUGUGGUUCCAUCGUUCUUCGGAUGCGGCAUCCAUGUCAUCUCCCAUAUUAGGCCAUAUGGGAUCUUUAACAUUGCCUGGUUGGGGGUUUAGUUCUGGUUGGGGCCAGUCUUGGAGGUCUAACCAAUGGGCCAUUUCUUCGAGGUCGUUCCUCCAUCUGUCAAUAUCUAGAGUGUCCAGAUAAGUGACUUCCUUUGGCCUGCCAUGUCGAGUGAGGUAGUCAUUAUACCUCAGAUGCAUGUCUGCUGCUUCAUCUUCUUCGUCAUGGAGCUUGAGAUUCCUAAUCUCUUCCCUGUAGUAGAGAUCUGAAGUAUUGCAGAAUUAUGGGGAAACUGGGCUGUGAGUAUUGUACAUAGGAACACUCCCAUAUACAUCUGCCAGUGCCCUUCUUGCAUUCCAGCAGUCUGUCCACAUGGAGUCUAUUUCUUCGUGGGAGUGGUCAUGCUGGACCAUUUGUACAAGCGGCUGCUUGUAUCUUCCCCAGAUAUCUGUGAGUUUCACAAUCACUAUAGUAGAGUGAGUGAUGUGAUACCCGUUGAUAAGCUUUAGCGUUAGGAUAUCCUCAAAGAUAGGAGCGAACAUUCGGUCGAACCAUUUUCCUUUGCCAUAUCUUCUGCUGGUGUGGAUGAGAUUUGGUUCGAACAAUAUCGCCGCCGAGUAGAUGUUAAGCCAAUACCACGUUAUGUAAUAGGCUUGUGGGGUUAUGUCACAGAUAAUAUAAUGUCCCCAGUUGGAGUUCUCAUCUAUUACAUAAUGGAAGGUGCAAUCGAUCUUGAAGACCGUUUCAUGCAUCUGGUCAGGAUUUGGAUGCAGAUCAAAAGCUCUUUGACAUCUUUUAUUAUGGGCAGGUCUAUGUUCUUGCAUGGCCAUGAGCUGCCAUACCUGCCAUGUUAGAGCUUGAUCUUCUGGAUCUCUUUUGUGGGUGAUGACUUUCUCAAAGAUAUCUUCCUGGACUUCUGAGGGAAGCCAUGCGAUGAAAGUGUUAAGAUCCUUGAGAAAGUGUGCUCUAGUUUCAUGAGCACUAGAGCUACCUUCUUCCCAUCUUCUUGGGAGAUUCCUCCUUCUGAUCAUAGAGAUUGGUCUGGAAAGGAAAUCCGCUACAGUGUUGGAUUCUCCUUUGAUGUGUCUUAUUUCGAACUUGAAUCUCGAGAGAGACUCAGACCACCUUGCAAGCUGUGGAUAUGAGAUUUCUCAUUCUUUUCUCCUGAGUAAUCCCUGGAGUAUUUAUAGUCUGUUUCAAUCACAAAGGGAGUUAAUGAGAGAAAGAACUGGAAUUUCUUGAUCCCUUUGACGACAGCUAAGACUUCUUUCUUAGAGGAAGGGUAGUGGCUUUGGGCAUCGUUGAACUGGCCAGAUUUAUAGCCACAUACUUUCUUGUUUCCCUCGGUUUCCUCUAUCAACAAUGCUCCCCAAUAAUGGUCACUAGCAUCUGUCUGUAGGAUGAGCUGUCAUUUGUCAGGUAUCUUUAAUGGCGGAAGUGACUGGCACUUUUGUUUUAAGUCUGUCACUGCUUUUGUCGCAUCUUCCGACCAUUGUGGGGCAUUCUUCUUUAAAUGCUUGAAUAUCUGACUCGUCAUCUUUGACAGGUCCUGCACAUGGUCUGCUGCAUAGUUGAUUAUCCCAAGGAAUUGCUGGAUCUACUUUCUUGUAAACAGCUGGUUAGGAAAUUGUGAUAUUUUCUCAGCAAUAUGUGGCUGAGGAAUAAUGAAUCCCUGCUUGAUGUGUAAUCCCAAAAAGUCUACCUCAUCAAGGCCUAUCUUCAUCUUUGGUUCGGACAGGGCUAACCCAUGUUUGUAGGUUAGAGCUUUGAAUUUAGAUAGGUGCUCAACAUGUUCUUCUUCACUGUUGCUGAAGAUGAGAGCAUCGUCGAUGUAGAUAAGGCAAAAUCCUGAGAUGGAUUUGUAUACCUCAUCCAUUCUGUUUUGGAAUUCUGACGGUGCAUUCUUUAGACCGAAAGGCAUCACGUUCCACUCAUAAUGCCCAUGGGGGACCACAAACGCUGUCUUGUGUCUGUCUUCUUCCUUGAUUCCAAUUUGCCAAAAGUCUGACUUCAUGUCAAACUUUAAGAACACCUUUGCUCCAGCAAUGCGUUUCAAAAGGUGUUUCCUGCGUGGAAUGGGGUAUCUUAUGUCCUGCAAGCAAUCAUUCAGUUUCCUGUAGUCUAUCACUAAUCGCUUCUUUCCACAUAUCUGUUCUGAAUGCUUGUUGACAUAAAAUGCUGGGCUGGCCCAAUGAGAUUUUGAGGGCCUGAUGAGCUUCAGAUCCAUAAGUGCUUGGAUCUCAGUUCUGCGUAGUCCUUCGUCAUGGGGCAUGUCUGGAUGUGAGGCUGUCUGGUGAGGAUGGUCCAUCCAUCCUUGUAGGGUAGAGACACAAAAUGCUGUUCUCUAGCCCAAAAUUGGUUAGGAGCUUCUGCACAACAUUCCAAGAGCUCGUUGAUCUGGGGUUCAUAUUAUGGAUAGGGUAAUUUUCUAGUUUUCCACCCUCCCCAAAAAUGGAGUGUUUUUCAACCCAAGGAACUUGGAAAGAAUGACUCGUACCAUCCAGAGGAUUGCGAAUGGUAUAAGAGAAUCCUUCGGGAAAAAAGGCAAAAGGGGCAACCAGACUAAAAAAGUCGGUUCCCAACAAGAUAUCUUCACCGGAAUAAUCAAAAGUGAAGAAACCAUGCAUGAUCAUGAAUGGUUGGAUUUCUAUUGGUCGAGUAAUCUUUUUGCUAUAGAAGUCUCUGCCACUGGCGGAUCCAAAAGAAACUUUAGUAGGAACAUAAAAGCUUUUUGGAAUACAAGCUUCUCAGAUAAACGAGCACAUUGCUCCUGUAUCAAUAAGAGCAGUUAGUGCUACUUGAGUAUCCUCUGUUAGAUUGAGGAUAAUUUUGAUAUGUGGCCUAAAAAGAGAUGAUGGUUGCAUAGCGAGCUUUAUCUGUAAUGGGUCAUGGACAACCAUAACAAGGUCCUCGUCAUCAGAACUGCUAUCAAGGCUUGUGAUGGAGUCGGUAUCCUCAAUAUCUGAAUAAGGAUACUCAUCUAAUGUGUAGACUGCUCCGAGUGGACUAUCCUACCAGGCAUAGAUUUCAUCGUCAAAAUCGUCCUGUUGGAUUAGGUGGAGGAGCUUUGCCGGAAGCUUUCUCUUAAAUUUGCAUUGUUUGGCAUAGUGACCUUUCUUUCCACAGAUAAAACAUCUACCAGAUCCCUUCUUCUGGUUUCGCUUUUUGAUGAAGCGGUGUUUCUUGCCUUUGUAGGGUUUCCAGGGCUGUUUUUCUUUUCUUCGUUUGCCAGUAUUGCAGGAGCACAUUUUGUCAGUAUGUUGGCAACCAAACUUGUUUGGUUCGUCGUUACAAAAUUUUUGCAGAGAGGAUUUCUCAAUCUGCUUCAUGUGCUUUCGUAAAUCUUGAGAUCGGCAAUGGCUCUGGAUGAGCUCCAUUGACAUCUGAUAUAGCUGAGCUAGGCUGAGCUGUGCUAAGUCAACAAUUGCAUCAGCUUUGAAUUUUGCCUCCAUCAUUUCUGCAACUAGUCCUGGCAUAUUCAGCACGAACGUUCUGUGGAUGGUGUCAGAUGUUUUAUCAAAGGUGUAGUACAACCUUUCUUGCUCCAUGUAGUACUCUUCCAUCCUUCGAACGUCACAGCAUUUGUUUUGGAGAAAUUACUUUUCUGCAACUUCCUCUUCUUUUGUGAACUGUCCUAGAAAAUCUAAUGAUAGAUUUUCUAGAAGACUUCCACAAGGAUCAUCUCUGUUGAGAAUGUGCUGCCGUUGUUCUCUUGUGAGCUUUCUUCCCCACCAUCGUCGUAAUGAGCCGACGAAUCCUGCAAUCAGCCUUAGUGCUGCUGAUCUUCUGCUCAACUGGGGGGCUCUUUGACAUUCGCCUUCGUACCAGGCCACUAUUUUUUCGAAGUAAGCCAAUCGUUCUUUUGGCUUCAUGCCGUCAACGUUCCAGAACAUUUUGCCAGUUGUUGAGUGCCCGAUUUGUACACGGGUUUCCCACUCUUCUCCUUGAGACACCUCAUCCACGUGUGGUGCCUGCUCUGCCGGAUUAAAUGAAUCUACUCCGGAUGCAGCUGGUUGAGCAGUGGGUUCAGUCUGACCAGUGAAUUAUGAGGCAGUGAACUGGGUUGUUCUUGAUGGAUUUUGGGUUGGUUCUGGCCGGUUCGGAUUAGAAGUCUGACCCUGUGUUGGGUUAGUAAAUCUUGCACGAGUAUCCACAUAAAAUGGAUUGGCAGGAUUUGCUCUUUGCAUAAGGACUGGUAUAGGAGGGAACUGAUCAUCUGAGGAGACACUUGUCUCAUCGCCAGUAUCAUCUUCUUCGUUCCAUCCUGUAGCCUUUUGAGGCCAUGGAUAUUGCGGAGGAGGAGCAUAACUUCUCCAGAAUGCCUUCUGACAGUUGCCAGAUGCAUUUUCCUCCCAGAUAUGCCAUGGUUUUGUGGGUUUGCUCUUCUAGUGUCUGGACACUUUCUUUCUGGUACAACUUUCCCUUGUUCUUUCCAUUUCAUCUUCAUCUGCAGCUCCUGUCAUGACAAUCAUGUUGAUUGAUCUGGUGGCAUUAUCAUGUUGUUGUGAGAACUGCUGAUUAGUCAUCUUAUGAUGCUUUCGGGUCUUUUUUAGUUGUUUUCUGAUAACAGCUAGGUCAGUAAGAAUUUACUGUUGAGUGACCAUGAUAUCUCCGAGAGCCUGAUUCUGCUCUACAGCAUUGAUGUUUGACCAAUUGAGUGCCUUCUCUAUUGGACCAAACUCAGUUGGGUUAGUUUUUUUAAUAACCCAUUUGGCUGCAUAUAUAUAGCCAGGAAUAUCCCUGACAAAUUCAUUAUCCAGGUCUGGGGUGGUGAUCAUGUUGACUGGACCCAUGAUUCUGCAAGAGGUCGUCCUUCUUGGCAUGUGUGUGCACAAAGAGGGAUGCUUUCCUUCAAGCUGGCAUUUCUCACAUGGGUAGAGGGCUUUGGUCUCUGUAGGAAAAGAGACUGAUACCCUUCCUUCCUGCAACCUGCUUAUCUUUGGGACCUCAUGAAUCUGUUGAGGUCUGUUGUUUUUCUCAUACUCAUUGAUCCAUUGUGGUGGAAAAAUGAGUUGGUUUUGCCUAUAUGUCCUAGGUUGAAAGACUCUGCCAUCACCAGCAAGAAAUCUGGUAAUAGGUUUGCCAGAGCUGUUCAUGGAGAACAGAUGGGUUUGGACAUUAUAGGUCAUGGUGUGGUGAAUUGUCAAGGCAGAUUCAUCAGGUUUCAUGGUUAAACCAUUGACCUGAAUUAGUACCUUUAUGGCAUCUGUGAGGGAUGGCUUGUGUAUGUCAAGGGUGAAGUUUGGUUCAACUUGGAGGACAACAUGACCUUGGUUGAGUCCUGCUUCAACAGUAGUUAUCAAGGCCUUUUCAAAAGUUUGCCAUCUAAUAUCCAGAAUGGCAAUGAAACAUGUGAUAUCUUUUCUAGCUUGGAACAAUGGUUGUAUUACUAUCUGGAUUGCUCCAAGGUGCAAGCCUUUGUAUCCCUGCAUCUUGUACCUUGUAACCUCAUUGGUAGAGAUUAUGGGAAGGUACGUUUCUUUUGAGCUGGAGGAGAUGGACUGGACAGUGAUUUCAGAGGAUUUAUAGAUGGUUUUAAGCUUAGGUUGUCUGAUGGGGAUUAUGGCUCUUAGGUGGUUAAGAGUAGGGCUAAAGAUGGAAGAGUACUUGUUGAGGGUUAGAAAAUGUAUAUUUAUAAAGGAGAAAAUCAUAAUUUUACACUACAACCUUUACUAACACCCUUACUUUUAUGCAUUUAACAUUUUUUUGAUUUAAUUCCGUGUGUUUUAUUUUAAUUAAGCAUUUUAUGUAUUUUAGGGGCAUCAUAGUCAUUUCACAAAAAACGAGAGAUCAGACGGCAAAACGGACAUCACUUUUGAACUCAGGACGGUCGAAAACCUUAGGAGGAGCAUAAAAGGAAAAAUGGCACUAUUCACAUGUACGAUACUAUUCACGUGUACGGUACUGUCUACGUUACUGUUCAUGACACUGUUCACAUAGACGGAUCGAUGACGUGGCAUUAACCGAUGAUGUGGCAUUGACUGAUGAGGUGUCACGAUCCUAUUGGGCUAAAAUUCUUAUGUACUGUCGAUGGUGACGUGACAGCAUAUUAGUGGACGAAAAAUCUCGCGUACGGUACAUGCAUCACACAGGAUUAUUUUCAACCAAACCGUGUCACUGUUCACCCAGGUCAAACUGUGUUACUGUUCAUCCGCGUGGUCAAACCGCGUACUGUUGACUGAUGACGUGGCGCAAUCCUGAGCGUCCAAACUGUUUUUAAUCCGAUUGCCAUGAUUUACUCCAUGUAUCUAUAAAAAGGGGGCUCCCCCCCCUAAUUUGAUAUCUCUGAAUCCAUUUUUGGGAUCCAUUUUCUGUAAUUCCUUCUCCAUCUUAUAUUUUCUAUGUAUUUUAAUAAAUUCUCUUUUUGCCCCUAGUUCAAUUAUGAGUGGCUAAUUUUCUUUCAAACUUGGGUUGAAGGUGAAGUCUCAACAUGUGUCAUGGGCUUUAUUUGGUAAAUUUAUUUUCUUUUCCCCUCUAAUUUUUGUGGAUGAUUUGACUUUUCGUCGACAAAUAAUAAUAAUCUUGUCUAGAUACCGCCUUGGUUACACCGGUUCUCUAGUACAAGGUUAUUAUUAUUUGGCACGAUAAGUUUUUAGCACCAUAUUGAUUAGAGUGUGGUUCAUGAGGUGUGGAUUCCCCCCUCAUGAUUUAACUGGCAUUAAUAAGGAUUAUUUAGCCUAUGAUGCAUGUUGAUACGGAUCCAGAUACCCAAGUACGUCAUUUCAAUAGAAUUCUCUUCAAUUUAUUCUUGCCAUUUCAAUUCCAAUUUUAGAAUUUAUUCUCGCCAUUUUAAUUUAAGUUUUAGCAUAUUCCAAUUCAUUUCCACCACAAAUCCAAUCACCCAUUUACAAAAUUAAUUCUACACACAAUUAAAAUCCACCUCCUCGUGGGAUCGACACUCGUCACCAUUGAUCUAUACUACAAUAGAUUCGUGCGCUUGCGAGUACAUUAAAAUUUGCACAACAAGUUUUUGGCGCCGUUGCCGGGGAGGUAAGUAAUUUUAAUUCAUAGAAUUAAUUUUUGUGAAUAAUUUCUUUUAUUUGUUUUCUUGUAUUUUUUAUAAAAAAAAAAAGUGAAUCCGCAUUUAGAGGUUAGUAUUUCUUUUCUUUUUCUCUUCUUUAAAAUUCUGUAAUUUAAUUUUUAAUUUAUUUUUCUUUGUAAUUUUUGUUUAUCUUAUUAAUUUAAUUUCUAGUUAAUUUAUUUCACGUAUUUAUUUUUGUAUUUUUAUGGUAAGGUUGUAAUAGCGCAAUAAGGUUAGUAUCGUAAUUUCUCCCUCUUAUUUAUUUUUAUUUGUUUUGUUCCCAUCUUUAUUUUUAUUUUUAUUUUAUUUUGCAUGCAUGGUCGUAGGUCAUUAUUACCUAAUCUUGAACCUAUAGACAUUGAAUUAGAAAAAACACUUCGCACACACAAACACGUUAAAAAUAAAAUGAAUUUGCAACCACAGGAGAGGCAAUUUAAGGACUAUUUUAGUCCCUUAGCUAAUUUGAGCACAUCAUGUAUUAGAUACCCAAAUGUAGCUGCUAAGAGCUUUGAACUAAAACCUAGUGUGCUAAAUUGUCUGCCCACAUUCUAUGGCUUAGAAAAUGAGGACCCAUAUAAUCAUCUGAAUGAUUUUCAUACUAUUUGUCAAACAUUUAAAUAUGAGAAUUUUUUAGACGAUGAUGUUAAACUCAGAUUAUUCCCAUUUUCUUUAAAGGAUAGAGCUCGUUCAUGGCUUAAUACAUUGCCUGCUAAUAGCAUUGCAUCAUGGGAACAAAUGGUUACAAAAUUUUUGAAUAAAUAUUUCCCAGUGCAUAAAACCAAUGCUAUUCGCAGGGAAAUCUCAGAGUUUACCCAGAGAGAGGACGAGCAGUUUUUCGAAACAUGGGAGCGAUUUAAUGGGCUACUCUUGAAGUGUCCACAUCAUGGGUACGAGAAAUGACACCAAUGCCAAUACUUUUUGGAGGGAUUAUUGCCGAAUGUGCAAGAAUGGCUAAUGGCAACAAGUGGAGGAGAGCUAAUGUCAAAAAGUGCAUCAGAGAUUUGGGAAUUUUUCCAGCGACAAGCAGAUAAUUCCCAACAACGGAGUCGAUCACUCAGGAAUACUAGAAGAAUUAAAGGAGUAAAUGAGGUUCACAUUGGCGAGUCAAGUUCAGAAAUCAAAGAAGUCAAGGAGAUAAUUGAAGGUCUCUCUCGACAAAUAACAUCAUUAUCAACUACUAAAUCAACAGAGCCACAUGAUUAUGACACAUACUCAGAUCAAGCCAAUGCCAUAGGUGUAAUGAGAAAACCAUCAAAUUACAACCCAUACUCCAACACAUAUAACCCGGGAUGGAGAGACCACCCCAAUUUUUCAUGGUCUUAGGGAUUCCAACAGAAUGGACCAACAGCUCCAGCUCCACCAAUGCAACCAAUUCCUCAAAAUCCUCAAGCCUCUCAGCCACCAUUUAGACCAUACAAUCAGAACCAGAACUACUCUCAACCCAGACCAUGGGAGGAUUCAUUCCAGAAUUUCAAGAAUGCUACUCACUCUACGAUUGAGCAACAGAAUCGCACCAUUGAUGGACUACGAAAUGAGUUAAGAGCAGGCUUCAACUCACAAGCUCUAUCAGUUUCAAGCCUGGAGAAAAUGGUGGGACAACUUGCUUCUUCAGUUCAGACUUUGGCAAUGACUGUUGAGAAAGGCAAGUUUCCAAGUCAACCAGUGCCUAAUCCUAAAGGAGUACAUGAAGCAAGUACCAGUUCACCACAGCAGCAUGGAGAGGUCAAAGCAGUCAUGACCUUGCGAAAAGGAAAGGAAGUCGACAACAAAGUGGAGAUGCCGGUGACAAAAGAAAAUCAAAUUAUACCUGUGAAUGUUGAGGACUCACCAUCGGAGGAGAAAGAAGAAACCAACCCGCGAGAAUAUGUUCCGAAAGCUCCAUUUCCUCAGAGGUUAGCGAAAGGAAAGAAGGGAAAAUCCACAGGUGAGAUUCUCAAAAUCUUCAAACAGGUAAGUGUUAACAUCCCUUUACUUGAUGCUAUUAAACAAGUUCCAUCUUAUGCCAAGUUUCUUAAAGACCUUUGUACUAAAAAGAGAAAUAUGCAUGUUCAAAAGAAGGCAUUUUUAACAGAAAACGUUAGUUCUAUACUCCAACAUAAAAUUCCUUUAAAAUGCAAAGACCCAGGCUCCCCCACUAUCUCAUGUAGUAUAGGGAACCACACAAUUGAGAAUGCUUUGUUGGAUUUAGGAGCUAGUGUAAAUCUUUUGCCUUACUCUGUAUUCGUGAAACUUGGACUAGGAGAAUUACACCCAACUCCAGUGGUGUUACAGCUUGCAGAUCGGUCCACGAAAAUACCUCGUGGUAUUGUCAAGGACGUGCUUAUCCAGGUAGACAAGUUUUAUUUUCCUGUUGAUUUCAUUGUAAUUAACACUCAACCAAUACAGGAUUCAAGGAAGCACAUCCCCAUUAUUCUAGGCCGACCUUUCUUGGCAACUGCGGAUGCUCACAUUCAAUGCAGGACUGGAAAUAUGCAGUUGUUCUUCGGCAAUAUGACUAUGGAGCUAAACAUUUUCAACAUUGCCAAACAACCUCACAAUGCAGAUGAUGAAGUUGUUGAUGUGGAUGAAAUUGAAGCAUUAGUUGAUGACACUUUUCUUUCAAACCUUAGUGAUGAUCCUUUACAGACAUGCUUAACUCACUUUGGUUUUGAUUUUGAUAUUGACAGAUCGGUCAAUGAGGUCAACGCCCUACUUGACUCAGCACCAUCCAUGGACACUAAUAAAUGGAAGUCAAGAGCUGAACAACUAGCACCAUCAGAAAAGAAACUCAUCCCAUCAUCAGAAUCACCACCAAAACUCAAGCUCAAACCAUUGCCCAACACAUUGGAAUAUGCAUUUUUGGGAGAAGAAAGUACUCUACCGGUAAUCAUCUCAUCAUCCCUAAAUGAUGAACAAAAAGGUAAGUUGUUGGAUGUUUUAAAAGAGCACAAAGGGGCAUUAGGAUGGACCAUAGCAGACAUAAAAGGUAUAAACCCAGUAGACUGCAUGCAUUACAUUCACCUUGAUGAAAAUGCUAAAUCUACUAGGGAAAUGCAACGUCGGUUAAAUCCUAAUAUGAAAGAAGUUGUUAGAACUAAAGUCCUUAAGCUAUUAGACGCAGGUAUCAUUUACCCAAUUUCUGAUAGUUCAUGGGUCAGUCCUGUACAAGUUGUCCCCAAAAAGUCAGGAGUCACAGUAGUUACGAAUGCUGAUAAUGAAUUGAUACCCACUAGAGUGACUACAGGAUGGCGUGUAUGCAUUGAUUAUAAAAAGUUGAAUUCUGUCACACGUAAAGACCAUUUUCCUUUACCAUUUAUUGAUCAAAUGCUUGAUAGAUUAGCAGGCCAUGAAUUUUAUUGCUUUCUAGAUGGCUACUCAGAAUAUAAUCAGAUUCCCAUAGCACCAAAAGAUCAAGAGAAAACUACUUUCACUUGCCCUUUUGGCACUUUUGCAUAUAGGAGAAUGCCAUUUGGAUUAUGUAAUGCACCUGCUACGUUUCAACGAUGCAUGUUAAGCAUUUUUUCUGAUAUAGUUGAACGAUUCCUUGAAGUCUUUAUGGAUGACGUUUCUGUCUUUGGUGAUUCGUUUGAUCAAUGUUUACAUCAUCUAACGCUAGUUCUGCAGAGAUGUACCGAGAAGAACUUAGUCUUGAAUUGGGAGAAGUGUCAUUUUAUGGUAAAACAAGGUAUUGUUCUAGGUCACAUCAUUUCGAGCAAAGGUAUUAGGUUGACAAAGCCAAGGUGGAUCUCAUUUCUAAUCUUCCUCCACCUAAAACAGUCAGAGAAGUAAGAUCUUUCCUUGGGCAUGCUGGUUUCUAUAGACGUUUCGUUAAAGAUUUUAGCAAAGUUUCUAGACCCUUAUGCAAUUUACUUGCUAAGGAUGUACCUUUUAUCUUUAAUGAUUCAUGUCUUAUGGCUUUUGAAAAAUUAAAGCAAUUGUUGACAUCAUCACCCAUCAUUCAGGCCCCAAACUGGAGCUUAUCAUUUGAGCUCAUGUGUGAUGCAUCUGAUUAUGCAGUAGGAGCAGUAUUAGGACAAAGAGUUGAUCGAAUUCCCCACGUUAUUUACUAUGCUAGUAUGACAUUGAAUGAUGCACAGUUGAAUUAUUCAACUACUGAAAAAGAAAUGCUAGCAGUAGUGUUUGCAUUAGAGAAAUUUCGAUCUUAUCUCAUUGGUUGUAAAAUAAUUAUAUUCACAGAUCAUGCUGCUCUUAAAUAUCUUCUCACAAAAAAAGAUGCAAAAGCUAGACUAAUUCGUUGGGUGUUACUUUUGCAGGAAUUCGACUUGGAAUUUAAAGAUAAGAAAGGCACAGAGAAUGUUGUGGUUGACCAUCUCUCUCGUCUCCAUUUUGACACAAUUAUAGAGCCAUUAAUAUUGAAUGAGUCAUUUCCAGAUGAACAAUUAAUGAGUGUGGAAGUAUUACCUUGGUAUGCUGAUAUAGUUAAUUAUCUUGUUACAAGUAAACUUCCAGAGCAUUGGACCAAGCAAGAUAAGGCUAAAUUCUUUGCAGAAAUAAAGAAUUUCUUUUGGGAUGACCCGUAUUUGUUCAAGUAUUGUGCAGACCAAAUUGUUAGACGAUGUGUCCCAGAAAGUGAAAUUCAGAAUAUCCUUUCAUUCUGCCAUGAACAAGCUUGUGGAGGCCAUUUCAGCGCUAAGAAAACAACGACUAAAGUUUUACAAUGUGGUUUCUAUUGGCCAACUAUAUUUCGAGAUGCUUACACUUUCUGUUCUUCAUGUGAUAGGUGUCAACGAAUGGGGAGCAUUACACGAAGGAACAUGAUGCCACUAAAUCCAAUUUUAGUGGUUGAGAUUUUUGACGUAUGGGGUAUCGACUUUAUAGGACCAUUUCCCCCUUCUUUUGGCCAUCAAUACAUAUUGGUUGGUGUUGACUACGUCUCAAAAUGGGUAGAAGCAAUUCCAUGUAGAACCAAUGAUCACAAAGUGGUGAUAGGAUUUUUGAAAAGCAACAUUGUCUCACGCUUUGGAUUCCCUCGAGCAAUAAUCAGUGAUGGUGGUGCCCACUUUUGUAACAAAGCAUUCAAAGCUCUUUUGACAAAGUAUUCAAUCACACACAAAGUGACGACUCCGUAUCAUCCGCAAACCAGUGGCCAAGUUGAGAUAUCCAAUCGAGAAAUAAAGCACAUAUUAGAAAAAACGGUGAGACCAGACAGAAAAGAUUGGUCAUUAAGACUUGAUGAUGCAUUAUGGGCAUAUAGAACGGCUUUCAAGACCCCGAUUGGGAUGUCACCCUACAGGCUAGUGUAUGGAAAAGCUUGCCACCUACCUGUGGAACUUGAGCAUCGUGCAUAUUGGGCCAUCAAGAAAUUCAACUUUGACAUGCAGCAAGCCAGCUUAGAAAGAAGAUUACAACUGGCAGAACUUGAAGAAAUUCGUAAUGAUGCAUACGAAAAUACCAAGAUUUACAAGCAACGGAUGAAAGUCUUCCAUGACAAGCAAAUUAUGAGAAAAUCGUUCACUCCAGGUCAGAAAGUGCUUUUAUUCAAUUCUCGCUUGCACUUAUUCCCAGGUAAGUUACGCUCUCGAUGGUCUGGUCCAUUUAUGGUUUAUACUGUUUUUCCACAUGGGGCAAUUGAAAUUAAGGACCCAAAGAACGGUGUCACGUUUAAAGUUAAUGGUCAAAGAUUAAAGCCAUAUCUAGAAUACCAACCACAUGGAGAAGACACCGAAAUAAAUUUGAGUGACCCACCAGAUUUGAAUUGAUUUUUAUUCUUCUUUUUGUUGAUUUGAUUUUUCUUUCUUUCUUUUUAUUAUUCUUUUGCUAAUUGAAAUUAUUUUUGCAUAAGUGUGUUUGUUUAAGUUUUCUCUUAUCACUUUUAAUCAUGAGUACCUUACUUAGACCGUUCCUCCUGAACAUUCUUAAACCACUUCAACGUGUCAAAACUCAUCUCAAAAGGCAGAUUCAAUUUUGUAAAACACAUCGCAUUUGGACUCUACAGCCACCAGAGUUAGUAGCCUAUGUUAAGGGUUUAGAAAGCCAACUCAGAGACAUUGAGAGAAGUGUUUACGACAUCCAGUUGGAGCUUGAGGUAAGUUCAAUAAGAGGACAAUUUUAAUUUUCUUUGUGUGUUUUAAUUUUUUUUCUGUUUGUGUGCUUUAGUUUGUUACCCCGGUGAAGUGGCGGAUAACGGUACUUCGUGACAAUCAAGUCCGUUACUUCAGUUUCCCAUAAUAACUGACAUUCUGAGGCGAAAGUAUGGACAGAAACGAGAUUCUAGCGAAGCUUCACAAGCGAUUCCUUUCACUUCCUCAGAAUGCCCUCCUUACGAUCUAUAAAGCUCGGUCCCAACGCAUGCGAUUACUCAUGAGGAAUAACAUACCUGCUGACAUCCGUUGAUUAAUCGAGGCUAAAGUACGAUUGGCAGGUGAGUUACCUCCAAAAUUUAUUGCAUACAUGCCUGGUUGUGGUAAAGGAAAUUAUGCAAGAAAACGACGAGCUCGAAGAAUUUCUGUUGCUUGUCAUAAGUGUGCCAGAAUGAGUUGCGAUAAAAACCCAUGUUCUUUAGGAAUGGUGUCUGAUAACAGGGAAGAUAAGAUUCAAUUCAUUAGGGAUGGCUUGAAUAAGGAGUCAUUGGAUGAUAUCCUUUUGUCUCUUGAAACGCAUCCCAGUGGAUAUGUGCAAGGAGCGAUUCUCCAGUUAUGGCCAUUAUUCCAGAAAGAGCAUGCACGAUAUAGUCUUGGGAAUCUGACUAUAAACGACCAUGUUUGCCAGUUUAUAAGAAAACUGGAUGGGAAGCCCAUCCUCGACCCAUAGAGGGCGUUCAAGCCGUUUCUGGACGUAAAACCAGAUGAAGAUGUGAGCCACAAUCGCAACUACCUGUAAAUAUCAUUUUACUUUACUGUUGUUUUAUUUUACUGUUGUUUUAUCGUUUGUAUUAUUGUCUUUAAUAAUUUUAUUACUGUUUACUUUUUCCUUUUUACUGUUUCCUAUUUGACUCGCGAGCCACGUGCUUUACGCGUUAUUUGACCCUGACAUGUUACCUCAUUCACAGCUGUGAUCCACUGUCACCAAGAUUCUUAAAUGUGAUUUAAUUUUUGUCAAGCACUUACAAAUUAUUUUUGAGAAGUAUCACAAUGGCAGCUACUCCCAAUAGACAAUUCAAGAACAUUUGUGUUCUUUCUGGAUUUACCUAUGGCAAACAUAAAGAGUUCGUGGAGGCAGCCAUAGAUCUUGGUCGAAGUAUAGCAGCGAGAAAAUUACACUUGGUGUAUGGAGGAGGUAACUGAGGGUUAUCAAAAAUGGUCUCAGAAGCAACUUUUAUCAGAGGAAGUCAAGUGUUAGGCAUCAUCCCCAGAGUCCUAAAACCAUUGGACAGUUCGUCUGACUCAUCAACUGGAGAAGAGUUAGUCGUCUCAGGUAUGCAAGAAAGAAUAACUGAAAUGCUUAAUUAUGCUGAUGCUUUUAUUUUCCUUCCAGGAGAUCUUGCAACACUAGAGGCACUUAUCACACUAGCAUCUUGGGCCCAUCUGCACAUCCACCAGAAACUCAUCGGUUUGUUAAAUGUCAAUAACUUUUAUGAUAGCUUUAUCGCAUUUCUUAACCAUGCAAUAAAAAACUAUUUCAUUCCUUCUAAUGUGAAAAAACUCUUUAUUUGUGCUCACACUGCUAAUGAGCUACUUGAUAUGUUACAAACUUAUAAACCGGAGCCAGACCUCUGGACCUUUGUGUUGGAGCGACCAAAUAAUGAUGGUAACAGUAGCCGUAGUAAGAAGUACAAAUUAGAUUUAACUCUCCACCUAUAAAUAUUUUCUUCUGUGUUGCACCACCCAGGUGAUGUCUUCUAAACUCUACUUCUUUCCUUUAAAACAUUGAGGACAAUGUUUCGUUCUGGUUGGGGGGAGGGAAUAAUCGACAAUUGUGGAAUCUUGGUUAAGUUUUUACUGAUUUUUUGUUGUAGAAACUAACUGUUGCUAACGUUUUAUGUUGAAGAUGGCUGAAUAUGGAGUGUAGUUGCUCUAGAAACGCAUCUUCAUCGUUCAAAAAGAAAAAAAAAACUGUUUUCUUCCUCUUUCUCCUUUAUAAAUAUAUAUUUUCAAAUUUUUGAGUCGAAGAUGGCUGAAUAUGGAGUGUAGUGCCUCUAGAAACGCAUCUUCUUAGUUUUAAAAAAAAUUCUUUUUCUAAUUAAUUUUUCUACAUCAUUUUCACAUUUCUGCAUGCAUAUUUUCCUUUCAUGUUUAGAAUAGGUUGGGGGGGGUAGAAUGUUGUUUAAAAAAAAAAACAAAAUUGUGUUAUUUGUUUUAACAUUGAAUGACAUGAUUAAUUUCAAAUUUUAGUAUUUGCAUUAUCUUUGGUCUUAAGUGAUGUUACGCUAUGUUUGCUACUUUACAUGUUGAUGUCGGAGACAAAUAUGAGUUGCUUGAAGGAAUGAACAUGUCAUAAAUAAGUGCCCAGUGAGUUGUUGAGCCUAUCAUUUUCUUGGAGAGUAGCCCUUUUGCCCAUUCUCUAUACAGCUUAGCAGUUUAUUAUUUUAUACAUGAUCUCUAGAUUUCUUUUGAGUUAACCCUUUAAAAAAAUGGUAAAAUUAAAAAAAAAAUGUGUGUUGCUACAUUGGGAGGCCCAUCUAACUAGUAGAUAUGGAUAAUUAUUUAGAGCCCUAAAAGACGAUGGAAAUGCCAUCUUUGAUUUGGUUGAGCCUUUCUAGCCAUCCCUUUUAUUAAAUAUCCAUAGUUACCCCUUUUGAGCCUUUAAAAAAAAAAAUCUCUGCUUUUCUUUGUCAACUUAUCAUCUUUACCCACUCCGAUUUGGAGUAUUACCCGAUGUCUUCUAAGUUCCAUCACCUAUUUAUGUUUGAUAAAAUGUAAAUAAUUAUUUUGUUCAGUGAAGUUAUGCCAAAAAAAAAACAACAAAACAAAAGUUGUUGUUUCAAAAGAAUAAAAAUAACAACAACAGGUGAAAUACACCUUGCAACUUAAAAAAAAAAAAUCUCUGUAUUUUUCUCAAACAUAUACUUUGUUUUCCUUAUUUCCCUUCUGUGUUAGCCAUGUCCCUAGCCUACGUUACGUCCUAAUAAAAGUCCUUGAUUUUAGGGAACUAUAGUUUGAAGUAGAAGCUAGUUAUAUGGGCUAAAAAGAUGUAGUGGUGCAUAAUAAUAAAAGAAAAAGAGAUAAAUAAAAUGGGUUCACUAGCAUUUUUGUUUGACUUGAGAUCAUAUUAUUUCUAAGCUGGGGGCAUAUUUCAUUCAUCUUGGUGAGAGCAUGUGAUAUCACUUCUUUAUUAUUUUCUCUCAAUUACCAUUCAUUGGAGUGACUAUUUUUAUUGGGUUUAAUUUCUUUGUGAGAGCGUCACUACUUCCAGUGAGAUUUUGGGGUUUGACAUGUCAUUCUUGAAAGUAGUUAUAACAAAGUCUACUGGGCUGAUUCAUGUGGAUGGUUGAUGUGGAUGUGAUGUUUCUUUAGACUGGAGAUAAUGCUUAUACUUUUAUUUGAUUGCUAUCAUUAAUCUGAUUGAAUAAACACGAGUGUUUCUAUAAAAAAAAAAAUCAUUUUGGAUUUGAAUUUUGUUUUCGCUUUAUUUGCUAGGGACUAGCAAUAAGCUGGUUGGGGGGUGUGUUGAGUGUUAGAAAAUGUAUAUUUAUAAAGGAGAAAAUCAUCAUUUUACACUACAACCUUUACUAACACCCUUACUUUUAUGUAUUUAACAUUCUUUUGAUUUAAUUCCGUGUGUUUUAUUUUAAUUAAGCAUUUUAUGUAUUUUAGGGGCAUCAUAGUCAUUUCACAAUAAACGAGAGAUCAGACGGCAAAACGGACAUCACUUUUGAACUCAGGACGGUCGAAAAUCUUAGGAGCAUAAAAGGAAAAAUGGCACUAUUCACAUGUACGGUACUAUUCACGUGUACGGUACUGUCUACGUUACUGUUCAUGACACUGUUCACAUAGACGGAUCGAUGACGUGGCAUUGACCGAUGAUGUGGCAUUGACUGAUGAGGUAUCACGAUCCUGUUGGGCUAAAAUUCUUAUGUACUGUCAAUGGUGACGUGGCAGCAUAUCAAUGGACGAAAAAUCUCGCGUACUGUACAUGCAUCACACAUGAUUAUUUUCAACCAAACCGCGUCACUGUUCACCCGGGUCAAACCGUGUUACUGUUCAUCCACGUGGUCAAACCGCGUACUGUUGACUGAUGACGUGACGCAAUCCUGAGCGUCCAAACUGUUUUUAAUCCGAUGGCCAUGAUUUACUCCAUGUAUCUAUAAAAAGGGGGCUCCCCCCGUAAUUUGAUAUCUCUGAAUCCAUUCUUGGGAUCCAUUUUCUGUAAAUUCCUUCUCCAUCUUGAAUUUUCUACGUAUUUUAAUAAAUUCCCUUUUUGCCCCUAGUUCAAUUAUGAGUGGCUAAUUUUCUUUCAAGCUUGGGUUGAAGGUGAAGUCUCAACAUGUGUCAUGGGCUUUAUUUGGUAAAUUUAUUUUUGUUUCCCCUCUAAUUUUUGUGGAUGAUUUGACUUUUCGUCGACAAAUAAUAAUAAUCUUGUCUAGAUACCGCCUUGGUUACACCGACUCUCUAGUACAAGGUUAUUAUUAUUUGGCACGAUAAGCCCUUAGCACCAUAUUGAUUAGAGUGUGGUUCAUGAGGUGUGGAUUCCCCCCUCAUGAUUUAACUGACAUUAAUAAGGAUUAUUUAGCCCAUGAUGCAUGUUGAUACGGAUCCAGAUACCCAAGUACGUCAUUUCAAUAGAAUUCUCUUCAAUUUAUUCUUGCCAUUUCAAUUCCAAUUUUAGAAUUUAUUCUCGCCAUUUUAAUUUAAGUUUUAGCAUAUUCCAAUUCAUUUCCACCACAAAUCUAAUCACCCAUUUACAAAAUUAAUUCUACACACAAUUAAAAUCCACCUCCUCGUGGGAUCGACACUCGUCACUAUUGAUCUAUACUACAAUAGAUUCGUGCGCUUGCGAGUACAUUAAAAUUUGCACAACAGUACUACCUGGAGCAAGAAAGGUAGCAGUGAGAGAGUGUUGAGUGUUAGAAAAUGCAUAUUUAUAAAGGAGAAAACCGUCAUUUUACAUUUCAAGUCUUACUAACAAUCCUUACUUUUAUGUAUUUAACAUUCUUGUGAUUUAAUUACGUGUGUUUUAUUUUAAUUAAGUAAUUUAUGUAUUUUAGGGGCAUUAUAGUCAUUUCACAAUAAAGGAGAGAUCAGACGGCAAAACGGACAUCACUUUUGAACUCAGGACGGUCGAAAACCUUAGGAGGAGCAUAAAAGGAAAAUGACACUAUUCACAUGUACGGUACUAUUCACGUACACGGUACUGUAUACGUUACUGUUCACGGCACUGUUCACAUAGACGGAUCGAUGACGUGGCAUUGACCGAUGAUGUGGCAUUGACUGAUGAGGUGUCACGAUCCUGUUGGGUUAAAAUUCUUAUGUACUGUUGAUGGUGACGUGGCAGUAUAUCAGUGGACGAAAAAUCUCGCGUACGGUGCAUGCAUCACACAGGAUUAGUUUCAACCAAACCGCGUUACUGUUCAUCCGGGUCAAACCGCGUUACUGUUCAAAGUCGGGUCAAACCGUGUUACUGUUCAUCCGCGUGGUCAAACCGUGGACUGUUGACUGAUGACGUGGCGCAAUCCUGAGCGUCCAAACUGUUUUUAAUCCGAUGGCCAUGAUUUACUCCAUGUAUCUAUAAAAAAGGGGCCUCUCCCCCCUAAUUUGAUAUCUCUGAAUCCAUUUUUGAGAUCCAUUUUCUGUAAUUCCUUCUCCAUCUUGUAUUUUCUUAGUAUUUUAAUAAAUUUUCAUUUUGCCCCUAGUUCAAUUAUGAGUGGCUAAUUUUCUUUCAAGCUUGGGUUGAAGGUGAAGUCUCAACAUGUGUCAUGGGCUUUAUUUGGUAAAUUUAUUUUCUCUUCCCCUCUAGUUUUUGUGGAUGUUUUGACUUCUCGUUGACAAAUAGUACUAAUCUUGUCUAGUACCGCCUUGGUUACACCGGCUCUCUAGUAUAAGGUUAUUAUUAUUUGGCACGAUAAGCCCUUAGCACCAUAUUGAUUAGAGCGUGGUUCAUGAGGUGUGGAUUCCCCCCUCAUGAUUUAAUUAGUAUUAAUAAGGAAUAUUUAGCCUAUGAUGCAUGUUGAUACGGAUCCAGAUACCCAAGUACGUCAUUUCAAUAGAAUUCUCUUCAAUUUAUUCUCGCUAUUUCAAUUCCAAUUUUAGAAUUUAUUCUCGCCAUUUUAAUUUAAGUUUUAGCAAAUUCCAAAUCAUUUCCACCACAAAUCCAAUCAUUCAUUUACAAAAUUAAUUCUAUACACAAUUAAAAUCCACCUCCUCAUGGGAUCGACAUUCGUCACCAUUAGUCUAUACUACAAUAGAUUCGUUCGCUUGCGAGUACAUUAAAAUUUGCACAACAAGUUUUUGGCGCCGUUGCCGGGGAGGUAAGUAAUUUUAAUUCAUAGAAUUAAUUUUUUUGUGAAUAAUUUCUUUUAUUUGUAUUUUUUUUAAUUAUUAAAAAAAAAGAAAAAAAAAGUGAAUCUACAUUUAAAGGUUAAUAUUUCUUUUCUUUUUCUCUUCUUUAAAAUUCUGUAAUUUAAUUUUCAAUUUAUUUAUUUUUUUCUUUUUAAUUUUUGUUUAUUUUAUUAAUUUAAUUUUUAGUUAAUUUAUUUCACAUAUUUAUUUUUGUGUAUUUUUAUAGAAAGGUUGUAAUAGCGCAAUAAGGUUAGUAUCGUAAUUUCUCCCUCUUCUUUAUUUUUAUUUGUUUUGUUCCCUUCUUUAUUUUUAUUUUAUUUAUUUUGCAUGCAUGGUCGUAGGUCAUUAUCACCUAAUCUUGAACCUAUAGACCUUGAACUUGAGAAAACACUUCGCACACACAAACAAAUUAAAAAUAAAAUGGAUUUGCAACCACAGGAGAGGCCAUUUAAGGAUUAUUUCAGUCCUUUAGCUAAUUUGAGCACAUCAUGCAUAAGAUACCCAAAUGUAGCUGCUAGGAGCUUUGAACUAAAACCUAGUGUGCUAAAUUGUCUCCCCACAUUCUAUGGCUUAGAAAAUGAGGACCCAUAUAAUCAUCUGAAUGAUUUUCAUGCUAUUUGUCAAACAUUUAAAUAUGAGAAUUUUUCAGACGAUGAUGUUAAACUCAGAUUAUUCCCAUUUUCUUUAAAGGAUAGAGCUCGUUCAUGGCUUAAUACAUUGCCUGCUAAUAGCAUUUCAUCAUGGGAACAAAUGGUUACAAAAUUUUUAAAUAAAUAUUUCCCAGUGCAUAAAACCAAUGCUAUUCGCAGGGAAAUCUCGGAGUUUACCCAAAGAGAGGACGAGCAGUUUUUCGAAACAUGGGAGCGAUUCAAUGGGCUACUCUUGAAGUGUCCACAUCAUGGGUACGAGAAAUGGCACCAAUGCCAAUACUUUUUGGAGGGAUUAUUACCGAAUGUGCAAGAAUGGCUAAUGGCAACAAGUGGAGGAGAGCUAAUGUCAAAAAGUGCAUCAGAGAUUUGGGAAUUUUUCCAGCGACAAGCGAAUAAUUCCCAACAACGGAGUCGGUCACUCAGGAAUACCAGAAGAAUUAAGGGAGUAAAUGAGGUUCACAUUGACAAAUCCAGUUCAGAAAUUAAAGAAGUCAAAGCAAUAAUUGAAGGUCUCUCUCGACAAAUAGCAUCGUUAUCGACUGCUAAAUCAACAGAGCCAAAUGACCCUGACUCAUAUCCAGAUCAAGCCAAUGCCAUAGGUGUAAUGAGAAAACCAUCAAAUUACAACCCGUACUCCAACACAUAUAACCCUGGAUGGAGAGAUCACCCCAAUUUUUCAUGGUCUCAAGGAUUCCAACAGAAUGGACCAACAACUCCAGCUCCACCAAUGCAACAAAUUCCUCAAAAUCCUCAAGCCUCUCAGCCACCAUUCAGACCAUACAAUCAGAACCAGAACUACUCUCAACCCAGACCGUGGGAGGAUGCAUUCCAGAAUUUCAAAAAUGUUACUCACUCCACGAUUGAGCAACAGAACCGCACCAUUGAUGGACUACGAAAUGAGUUGAGAGCAGGCUUCAACUCACAAGCUCAAUCAGUUUCAAGCCUGGAGAAGAUGGUGGGACAACUCGCUUCUUCAGUUCAGACCUUGGCAAUGACUGUUGAGAAAGGCAAGUUUCCAAGUCAACCAGUGCCUAACCCUAAAGGAGUACAUGAAGCAAGUACUAGUUCACCACAGCAGCAUGGAGAGGUCAAAGCAGUGAUGACCUUGCGAAAAGGAAAAGAAGUCGACAACAAAGUGGAGAUGCCGGUGACAAAAGAAAACCAAAUUGUACCUGUGAGUGUUGAGGACUCACCACCGGAGGACAGAGAAGAAACCAACCCACGAGAAUAUGUUCCCAAAGCUCCAUUUCCUCAGAGGUUAGCGAAAGGAAAGAAGGGAAAAUCCACAGGUGAGAUUCUCGAAAUCUUCAAACAGGUAAGUGUCAACAUCCCUUUGCUUGAUGCUAUUAAGCAAGUUCCAUCUUAUGCCAAGUUUCUUAAAGACCUGUUUACUAAAAAGAGAAACAUGCAUGUUCAAAAGAAGGCAUUUUUAACAGAAAACGUUAGUUCUAUACUCCAACAUAAAAUUCCUUUAAAAUGCAAAGACCCAGGCUCCCCCACUAUCUCAUGUAGUAUAGGGAACCACACAAUUGAGAAUGCUUUGUUGGAUUUAGGAGCUAGUGUAAAUUUGUUGCCUUACUCUGUGUUUGUGAAACUUGGACUUGGAGAAUUACACCCAACUCCAGUGGUGUUACAGCUUGCAGAUCGGUCCACGAAAACACCUCGUGGUAUUGUGGAGGACGUGAUUAUCUAGGUAGACAAGUUUUAUUUUCCAGUUGAUUUCAUUGUAAUUGACACUCAACCAAUACAGGAUUCAAGGAAGCACAUCCCCAUUAUUCUAGGCCGACCUUUCUUGGCAACUGCGGAUACUCACAUUCAAUGCAGGACUGGAAAUAUGCAGUUGUCCUUCGGCAACAUGACUAUGGAGCUGAACAUCUUCAACAUUGCCAAACAACCUCACAAUAUAGAUGAUGGAAUUGUUGAUGUGGAUUUAAUUGAAGCAUUAGUUGAUGACACUUUUGUUUCAAUCCUUAGUGAUGAUCCUUUACAAACAUGUUUAACUCACUUUGGUUUGGAUUUUGAUAUUGACAGAUCGGUCGAUGAGGUCAACGCCCUACUUGACUCAGCACCAUCCAUGGACACUAAUAAAUGGAAGUCAAGAGUUGAACAACUAGCACCAUUAGAGAAGAAACUCAUCCCAUCAUCAGAAUCACCACCGAAACUCGAGCUCAAACCAUUACCCAACACACUGGAAUAUGGGUUUUUGGGAGAAGAAAGUUCUCUGCCGGUAAUCAUCUCAUCAUCCCUAAAUGACGAACAAAAAGGUAAGUUGUUGGAUGUUUUAAAAGAGCACAAAGGAGCAUUAGGAUGGACCAUAGCGGACAUAAAAGGUAUAAACCCUGUAGACUGCAUGCAUUACAUUCACCUCGAUGAAAAUGCUAAAUCUACUAGGGAAAUGCAACGUCGGUUAAAUCCUAAUAUGAAAGAAGUGGUUAGAACUGAAGUCCUUAAGCUAUUAGAUGCAGGUAUCAUUUACCCCAUUUCUGAUAGUUCAUGGGUCAGUCCUGUACAAGUUGUCCCCAAAAAGUCAGGAGUCACAGUACUUACGAAUGCCGAUAAUGAAUUGAUACCCACUAGAGUAACUACAGGAUGGCGUGUAUGCAUUGAUUAUAGAAAUUUGAAUUCUGUCACACGUAAAGACCAUUUUCCUUUACCAUUUAUCGAUCAAAUGCUUGAUAGAUUGGCAGGCCAUGAAUUUUAUUGCUUUCUAGAUGGCUACUCAGGAUAUAAUCAGAUUCCCAUAGCACCAAAAGAUCAAGAGAAAACUACUUUCACUUGCCCUUUUGGCACAUUUGCAUAUAGGAGAAUGCCAUUUGGAUUAUGUAAUGCACCUGCUACGUUUCAACGAUGCAUGUUGAGCAUUUUUUCUGAUAUGGUUGAACGAUUCCUUGAAGUCUUUAUGGAUGACUUUUCUGUCUUUGGUGACUUGUUUGAUCAAUGUUUACAUCAUCUAACGCUAGUUCUGCAGAGAUGUAUCGAGAAGAAUUUAGUCUUAAAUUGGGAGAAGUGCCAUUUUAUGGCCAAACAAGGUAUUGUCCUCGGUCACAUCAUUUCAAGCAAAGGUAUUGAGGUUGACAAAGCCAAGGUGGAUCUCAUUUCUAAUCUUCCUCCACCCAAAACAGUCAGAGAAGUAAGAUCUUUCCUUGGGCAUGCUGGUUUCUAUUGACGUUUUAUUAAAGAUUUUAGCAAAGUUUCUAGACCCUUAUGCAAUCUACUUGCUAAGGAUGUACCUUUUGUCUUUGAUGAUUCAUGUCUUGUGGCGUUUGAAAAAUUAAAGCGGUUGUUGACAUCAUCACCCAUCAUCCAGCCCCCAAAUUGGAGCUUACCAUUUGAGCUCAUGUGUGAUGCAUCUGAUUAUGCAGUAGGAGCAGUAUUAUGACAAAGAGUUGAUCGAAUUCCCCACGUUAUUUACUAUGCUAGUAUGACAUUGAAUGAUGCACAGUUGAACUAUUCAACUACUGAAAAAGAAAUGCUAGCAGUAGUGUUUGCAUUGGAAAAAUUUCGAUCUUAUCUCAUUGGUUGUAAAAUAAUUAUAUUCACAGAUCAUGCUGCUCUUAAAUAUCUUCUCACAAAGAAAGAUGCAAAAGCUAGACUAAUUCGUUGGGUGUUACUUUUGCAGGAAUUCGACUUGGAAUUCAAAGAUAAAAAGGGCACAGAAAAUGUUGUGGCGGACCAUCUCUCUCGUCUUCACUUUGACACAAUUACAGAACCAUUACCAUUAAAUGAGUCAUUUCCAGAUGAACAAUUAAUGAGUGUGGAAGUAUUACCUUGGUAUGCUGAUAUAGUUAAUUAUCUUGUUACAGGUAAACUUCCAGAGCAUUGGACCAAGCAAGACAAGACCAAAUUUUUUGCGGAAAUAAAGAAUUUCUUUUGGGAUGACCCGUAUCUGUUCAAGUAUUGUGCAGAUCAAAUUGUUAGACGAUGUGUCCCAGAAAAUGAAAUUCAGAAUAUCCUUUCAUUCUGCCAUGAACAAGCUUGUGGAGGCCAUUUCAUUGCUAAGAAAACAGCGACUAAAGUUUUACAAUGUGGUUUCUAUUGGCCAACUAUAUUUCGAGAUGCUUACACUUUCUGUUCUUCAUGUGAUAGGUGUCAACGAAUGGGGAGCAUUACACGAAGGAACAUGAUGCCACUAAAUCCAAUUUUAGUGGUUGAGAUUUUUGACGUAUGGGGUAUCGACUUCAUGGGACCCUUUCCCCCUUCUUUUGGCCAUCAAUACAUAUUGGUUGGUGUUGAUUACGUCUCAAAAUGGGUAGAAGCAAUUUCAUGUAGAACCAAUGAUCAUAAGGUGGUGAUAGGAUUUUUGAAAAGUAACAUUGUCUCACGCUUUGGAUUCCCUCGAGCAAUAAUCAGUGAUGGUGGUGCCCACUUUUGUAACAAAGCAUUCAAAGCUCUUUUGACAAAGUAUUCAAUCACUCACAAAGUGGCAACUCCGUAUCAUCCGCAAACCAGUGGCCAAGUUGAGAUAUCCAAUCGAGAAAUAAAGCACAUAUUAGAAAAGACAGUGAGGCCAGACAGGAAAGAUUGGUCAUUAAGACUUGAUGAUGCAUUAUGGGCAUAUAGAAUGGCUUUCAAGACCCCGAUUGGGAUGUCACCCUACAGGCUAGUGUAUGGAAAAGCUUGCCACCUACCUGUGGAACUCGAGCAUUGUGCAUAUUGGGCUAUCAAGAAAUUCAAUUUUGACAUGCAGCAAGCCAGCUCAGAAAGAAGAUUACAACUGGCAGAACUUGAAGAAAUUCGCAAUGAUGCAUACGAAAAUGCCAGGAUUUACAAGCAACGAAUGAAAGUCUUUCAUGACAAGCAUAUUAUGAGAAAAUCUUUCACUCCAGGUCAGAAAGUGCUUUUAUUCAAUUCUCGCUUGCACCUAUUCCCAGGUAAGUUACGCUCUCGUUGGUCUGGUCCAUUUAUUGUUCAUACUGUUUUUCCACAUGGGGCAAUUGAAAUUAAAGACCCAAAGAACGGUGUCACGUUUAAAGUCAAUGGUCAAAGAUUAAAGCCAUAUUUAGAGUACCAAGCACAUGGAGAAGACACCGAAAUAAAUUUAAGUGACCCACCAGAUUUGAAUUGAUUUUUUUUCUUUUCGUUGAUUUGAUUUUUCUUUCUUUCUUUUUAUUUGUUAAUUGAAAUUAUUUUUGCAUAAGUGUGUUUGUUUUUCCAUUAAGUUUUUUCUUAUCAUUAUUAAUCAUGAGUACCAUACUUAGACCGUUCCUCCUGAACAUUCUUAAACCACUUCAACGUGUCAAAACUCAUCUCAUAAGGCAGAUUCAAUUUUGUAAAACACAUCGUAUUUGGUCUCUACAACCACCAGAGUUAGUAGCCUAUGUUGAGGGUUUAGAAAGCCAACUCAGAGAUAUUGAGAGAAGUGUUUACGACAUCUAGUUGGAGCUUGAGGUAAAUUCAAUAAGAGGACGAUUUUAAUUUUCUAUGUGUGUUUUAAUUUGUUUUUCUUUUUGGUGUGUUUUAGUUUGUUACCCCGGUAAAGUGGCGGAUAACGAUACUCCGUGACAGUCAAGUCGGUUACUUCAGUUUUCCCAUAAUAACUGAUAUUCUGAGGCGAAGGUAUGGACUGAAACGAGAUUCUAGCGAAGCUUCACAAGCGAUUCCCUUCACUCCCUCAAAAUGCCCUCCUUACGAUCUAUAAAGCUCGAUCCGAACGCAUGCGAUUACUCAUGAGGAAUAACAUACCUGCAGACAUCCGUUGGUUAAUCGAGGCUAAAGUACGAUUGGCAGGUGAGUUACCUCUUAAAUUUAUUGCAUACAUGCCUGGUUGUGGUAAAGGAAAUUAUGCAAGAAAACGACGAGCUCGAAGAAUUUCCGUUGCUUGUCAUAAGUGUGCCAGAAUGAGUUGCGAUAGAAACCCAUGUUCUUUAGGAAUGAUGUCUGAUAACAGAGAAGAUAAGAUUCAAUUCAUUAGGGAUGGCUUGAAUAAGGAGUCAUUGGAUGAUAUCCUUUUGUCUCUUGAAACGCAUCCCAGUGGAUAUGUGCAAGGAGCGAUUCUCCAGUUAUGGCCAUUAUUCCAGAAAGAGCAUACACGAUAUAGUCUCGGGAAUCUGACUAUAAACGACCCUGUUUGCCUGUUUAUAAGAAAACUGGAUGGGUAGCCAAUCCUCGACCCAUAGAGGGCGUUCCAGCCGUUUCUGGACGUAAAACCAGAGGAAGAUGUGAGCCACAGUCGCAACUACGUGUAAAUAUCCUUUUACUUUACUGUUAUUUUAUUUUAUUUUACUGUUGUUUUAUUGUUUGCAUUAUUGUCUUUAAUAAUUUUAUUACUGUUUGCUUUUUCCUUUUUACUGUUUCCUUUUUGACUCGCGAGCCAUGUGCUUCACACGUUAUUUGACACUGACAUGUUACCUCAUUCACAGCUGUGACCCACUAUCACCAAGACUCUUAAAUGUGAUUUCUUUUGUCAAACACUCACAAAUUGUUUUUGAGAAAUAUUCCAAUGGCAGCUACUCCCAAUAGACAAUUCAAGAAUAUUUGUGUGCUUUCUGGAUUUACCUAUGGCAAACAUAAAGAGUUCGUUGAGGCAGCCAUAGAUCUUGGUCGAAGCAUAGUAGCGAGAAAUUUACAUUUGGUGUAUGGAGGAGGUAACCGAGGGUUAUCAAAAAUGGUCUCAGAGGCAGCUUUUAUCAGAGGAAGCCAAGUGUUAGGCAUCAUCCCAUCUGCACAUCCACCAGAAACCCAUCGGUUUGUUAAAUGUCAAUAACUUUUAUGAUGGCUUAUCGCAUUUCUUAACCAUGCAAUAAAAAAUUAUUUCAUUCCUUCUAAUGUGAAAAAACUCUUUAUUUGUGCUCACACUGCUAAUGAGCUACUUGAUAUGUUACAAGCUUAUAAACCGAAGCCAGACCCCUGGACCUUUGUGUUGGAGCGACCAAAUAAUGAUGGUAACAGUAGCCGCAGUAAGAAGUACAAAUUAGAUUUAACUCUCCGCCUGUAAAUAUUUUCUUCUGUGUUGCACCACCCAGGUGAUGUCUUCUAAACUCUACUUCUUUCCUUUCAAACAUUGAGGACAAUGUUUCAUUCUGGUUGGGGGGAGGGAAUAGUCAACAAUUGUGGAAUCUUGGUUAAGUUUUUACUGAUUUUUUGUUGUAGAAACUAACUGUUGCUAACGUUUUGUGUUAAAGAUGGCUGAAUAUAGAGUGUAGUUACUCUAGAAACGCAUCUUCAUCGUUAAAAAAAAAAAAAAUUGUUUUCUUCCUUUUUCUCCUUUAUAAAUAUAUAUUUUCAAAUUUUUGAGUCGAAGAUGGCUGAAUAUGGAGUGUCGUGCCUCUAGAAACGCAUCUUCAUCGUUAAAAAAAUAUAUAUAUAUUUCUUUUUCUAAUAAAUUUUUCUACAUCAUUUUCACAUUUCUGCAUGCAUAUUUUCCUUUCAUGUUUAGAAUAGGUUGGGGGGUAGAAUGUUGUUAAAAAAAAAUUGUGUUAUUUGUUUUAACAUUGGAUGACAUGAUUAAUUUCAAAUUUUAGUAUUUGUAUUAUCUUUGGUCUUAAGUAAUGUUACGCUAUAUUUGCUACUUUACAUGUUGAUGUCGGAGACAAAUAUGAGUUGCUUGAAGGAAUGAACAUGUCAUAAAUAAGUGCCAAGUGAGUUGUUGAGCCUAUCAUUUUCUUGGAGAGUAACCCUUUUGCCCAUUCUCUAUACAGCUUAGCAGUUUAUUAUUUUAUACACGAUCUCUACAUUUCUUUUGAGUUAACCCUUUAAAAAAAAAAUGUGUGUUGCUACAUUGGGAGGCCCAUCUAACUAGUAGAUAUGGAUAAUUAUUUAGAGCCCUAAAAGAUGAUGGAAAUGCCAUCUUUGAUCCGUUUGAGCCUUUCUAGCCAUCCCUUUUAUUAAAUAUCCAUAGUUACCCCUUUUGAGCCUUUAAAAAAAAAAAAACCUUUUCUUUGUCAACUUAUCAUCUUAACCCACUCCGAUUGGGAGUAUUACCCGAUGUCUAAUAAGUUCCAUCACCUAUUUAUGUUUGAGAAAAUGUAAAUAAUUAUGUUGUUCAGUGAAGUUAUGCCAAAUAAAAGCUAAAUAAAAAAAAAACAAAAGUUGUUGUUUCAAAAGAAUAAAAAUAACAACGAUAGGUGAAAUACACCUUGCAACUUCAAAAAAAAAAAAAAUUCUCUGCAUUUUAGGGAACUAUAGUUUGAAGUAAAAGCUAGUUAUAUGGGCUAAAAAGAUGUAGUGAUGCAUAAUAAAAAAAAAAGAUAAAUAAAGUGGGUUGACUAACAUUUUAUUUGACUUGAGAUCGUAUUAUUUCUAAGCUGAGGGCAUAUUUAUUUCAUCUUGGUGAGAGCAUGUGAUAUCAUUUCUUUAUUAUUUUCUCUCUCAAUUACCAUUCAUUGGAUUGACUAUGUUUAUUGGGUUUUAAUUUCUUUGUGAGAGUGUCACUACUUCCAGUGAGAUUUUGGGGUUUGACAUGUCAUUCUUGAAAGUAGCUAUAACAAAGUCUACUGGGCUAAUUCAUGUGGAUGGUUGAUGUGGGUGUGAUGUUGCUUUAGACUGGAGAUAAUGCUUAUACUUUUAUUUGAUUGCUAUCAUUAAUCUGAUUGAAUAAACACGAGUGUUUCUAAAAUAAAAAAAAAAUCAUUUUGAAUUUGAAUUUUGUUUUCGCUUUAUUUGCUAGGGACUAGCAAUAAGCUGGUUGGGGGGUGUGUUGAGUGUUAGAAAAUGCAUAUUUAUAAAGGAGAAAACCGUCAUUUUACAUUUCAAGUCUUACUAACAACCCUUACUUUUAUGUAUUUAACAUUCUUAUGAUUUAAUUACGUGUGUUUUAUUUUAAUUAAGUAAUUUAUGUAUUUUAGGGGCAUUAUAGUCAUUUCACAAUAAAGGAGAGAUCAGACGGCAAAACAGACAUCACUUUUGAACUCAGGACGGUCGAAAACCUUAGGAGGAGCAUAAAAGGAAAAAUGACACUAUUCACAUGUACGGUACUAUUCACGUACACGGUACUGUAUACGUUACUGUUCACGGCACUGUUCACAUAGAUGGAUCGAUGACGUGGCAUUGACCGAUGAUGUGGCAUUGACUGAUGAGGUGUCACGAUUCUAUUGGGUUAAAAUUCUUAUGUACUGUUGAUGGUGACAUGGCAGUAUAUCAGUGGACGAAAAAUCUCGCGUACGGUGCAUGCAUCACACAGGAUUAGUUUCAACCAAACCGCGUUACUGUUCAUCCGGGUCAAACCGUGUUACUGUUCAUCCACGUGGUCAAACCGUGUUACUAUUCAUCCGCGUGGUCAAACCGUGGACUGUUGACUGAUGACGUGGCGCAAUCCUGAGCGUCCAAACUGUUUUUAAUCCGAUGGCCAUGAUUUACUCCAUGUAUCUAUAAAAAGGGGGCCUCUCCCCCCUAAUUUGAUAUCUCUGAAUCCAUUUUUGGGAUCCAUUUUCUGUAAUUCCUUCUCCAUCUUGUAUUUUCUUAGUAUUUUAAUAAAUUUCCAUUUUGCCCCUAGUUCAAUUAUGAGUGGCUAAUUUUCUUUCAAGCUUGGGUUGAAGGUGAAGUCUCAACAUGUGUCAUGGGCUUUAUUUGGUAAAUUUAUUUUCUCUUCCCCUCUAGUUUUUGUGGAUGUUUUAACUUCUCGUCGACAAAUAAUACUAAUCUUGUCUAGUACCGCCUUGGUUACACCGGCUCUCUAGUAUAAGGUUAUUAUUAUCUGGCACGAUAAGCCCUUAGCACCAUAUUGAUUAGAGCGUUGUUCAUGAGGUGUGGAUUCCCCCCUCAUGAUUUAAUUGGUAUUAAUAAGGAAUAUUUAGCCCAUGAUGCAUGUUGAUACGGAUCCAGAUACCCAAGUACGUCAUUUCAAUAGAAUUCUCUUCAAUUUAUUCUCGCUAUUUCAAUUCCAAUUUUAGAAUUUAUUCUCGCCAUUUUAAUUUAAGUUUUAGCAAAUUCCAAAUCAUUUCCACCACAAAUCCAAUCAUUCAUUUACAAAAUUAAUUCUAUACACAAUUAAAAUCCACCUCCUCGUGGGAUCGACACUCGUCACCAUUAGUCUAUACUACAAUAGAUUCGUGCGCUUGCGAGUACAUUAAAAUUUGCACAACAGAGAGCGGUCCAGUCCUUCAGACUUGAUCCGGUAGACCCUUAUAGAUACUACCUGGCAGGAUUUGCUCUUUGCAUAAGGACUGGUAUAGGAGGGAACUGAUCAUCUGAGGAGACACUUGUCUCAUCGCCAGUAUCAUCUUCUUCGUUCCAUCCUGUAGCCUUUUGAGGCCAUGGAUAUUGCGGAGGAGGAGCAUAACUUCUCCAGAAUGCCUUCUGACAGUUGCCAGAUAUGCCAGAUAUAAAAGUUACUUAUCUCUCCAUCCUCACUUACCUCUCCCUCACAUUUAUCAUCUACCACACAUCAACAUCAACAUCACCACCAUCAUCACCUCUCAUUGGACCCCAAUUCCUCAAGCCCAUCACAGCCGUCCAUAACCUCACCCUCCUCCUCCUCUCCCUCAUCAUGGCCGUUGGUUGCCCUCUCUCCAUCAUCCUCCAUUUACCCCACCUCUGUUACAAACUCUGUUUACCCCCUACCAUUUCUCCGUCUGGCAUGGCCUAAUUCCGACGGAAUCAACGACGGUCGUGAUAGGUUUUGGCUGCGACAAUUCGCGCUUCAAACGGCGGCGUUUCGGUUGGUUUUUGGCGACAGUGACGGUGGGAAAGUGAUGGCUGGCUUAGGAGCUUUCGUUGCUACCAUCCAUGGCCGGUGAGGUGGCCGAAAAUUGGAGAUAUGUCUGCGUUGGGUUCGCAGUUUUGGGUUGGGUUUUCCGGGUCGGUUUGACAGCUUCCUCUAUCCCUCUCCCCCAUAAAACAUUACGCAGCUUCCUCUUAUUAUUAUUAUUUUUUUCACAUACGUUAUAGAACAUUAAGAACAUUAAUGAGAUAUGUUUAGUAAGGACUAUUUUGAUAUUUCGAUGAGUAGUAAAAAGUAAUGUUAAAAUUUUAUAGACGAGUGUAUAGUAAGAUGCUCAAAGUACUAGAACAUAUAUAAAUAAUCCCAGCUCUAAUAAAUUUUUGCCACAUAAUGAGUUUUAUCCCUUAAGCAAAACAUAUCGAUAAAGUAAACAAAAGCACAAUGCAUGAGUACAUGUCAAUAACAAAUGAAAGUAAUUAAGAUAAAGAAUAUGCUUUAUUUUCUUUUAUUUUAGUUUUUUUUUUGGUUUCUUUUGAAAGGAGACCAACUAGAUCAUGCAAGAAGUUAAUUUUUUUUUUUAAAUAAAAAGGGAGAAAUGAUGGUCUUACAAAGUUCGAAUAUAAAGUUUAUAAUCUAAAAUUAAUGAUGUGACAAUUAACCUAAUGGAGUAAGAAGUCCCAAAUAGAUUAUAUUUUGCUAAAGAAGUCAAUUCUACCGAGAAUACCUCUUUCUAUUGAAUUUAAAUGAUGAUUAUUUGUUUAUAUCAUAAAAGCUAAAAUAAUUGUGUGAGUAAUUUGAUUCUUUUACAGUAUAAAAAUAAAUUCAGAAAAUGUUAGGGCAUGUUCUGUAAUAUAUUUUUAAAUUUAUAUUAUGAGAAUGAAAAUGGUGUUUUCAAGUUGAUAAAAUUUCAAUUGAAAUAUGUGUUUGUUAUUAUUUUAUUUAUCAUAUAUUUUCAAAAUGAAAAUAACCGAUAGAUAAAGUUAAAAAUGAUAAAAUAAUGGAUAUAUUAAGCAAUUUUACUACAUGCAAAUUAUUAUCUGUGUUUAAAGUUCAUAUAAAGCUUGUUUAUUUUUCAACAUACCAACUUACAAUAAUAAUAAUAAAAUUUUUGUGAUAUCCAAUAUUAACUUUUUAAAGUAAUUAUUUUUUGUUAAUGUGUCCGCUGUUCAAUCGAUCUUCCUACUUUCUAUGCUUGAGAUUAGAUCAUUUGCUUCAAAGAUUCGAACUGGACUUAUAGUAGGAAAAAGAAUUUUCUUCAAUAUGAACUCCAAUUCUCUUUUAUAUAUAUAUAUAUAUAUAUAAAUCUAAUUCUCCUUUCAACAUUUUAACAUUUUGAUGAAAUAAACAAUUAUUGGCGAAAGAUUACAUGCUUCCUUACAUUAGAGAACCAAAUACUCAGAUAGGUAGUGUAAAUCUCUACUGAUCGUUGGUGAUUUUAUCAAAAUAAAAUUCAAUACAAUGUAUAAGCACACUUAAAUCCGUCCAAAAAAACAUAAAUGACCCAGCAAAUAAAGAAAAGUACUGUGAAGUAAAAUUGAAAAGUACAAUCCGUCGAUCAUUUGAUACGUAUUUUUCUUCACAGAACCUCAAUUCAAUAGACAAAAGCUCCUCUUAAUUUUUCUUUUCUAUUUAAAUAAAAGAACAAAAGAAAUUGAUUACGGAGCCAUUAAUUUCCAAGAAUUAAUAAACGAAAAGGCCCAUAAUUUUUGUAAACCCACCCCACUCUCAAGAAAUAAUUACAAUAAGUUCAAAUUAUUUUUUAAAAAUUGAAAUAAAGAAGAUGUAAUUACAAUAAGUUUGGAGAUUGAAUCAAAUAAAAUAAAAUACCUAAACUAUUAUAUACAAGAACUCUUGAUUCUUGGGGUAUUUUAGUCAUUUUAUAUUAUCAUGGUAAAUUAGUCAAAUAAAACUUAUCUUGAAGCAACCUAAAUGGUCAAAGACACCUAAGUUAAAAAUAAAAAUUAUAUGAAUGAUUUAAUUUAUUGAUUGUCUAUACGUUUUAUUGAUUUAUGUAUUUUAAAAAUAGUAUGAACGUAUUACAAUUAUUUUCUGACAGCAAGGUAGAUUUGUAAAAUAAGUGGGUAGAAACUAUCCCCGUCCUCAAACAAAUAAAUGAAUUAUCGGUGAUGCAUGCUUUUUCCCAACUUUCCUUUUUUUUUUCUUUUGGUUUUUUGUUUUUGUUUUAAAUGUAGAAGAAGGAAGAGAUGAAGAUCCAAUCCAAUCUGAUAGUAGUAGUUUAUUUUAAUUUUUAUUAAUUUGAUUUCAUAGGAGUAGUUUUCAUUUUUUGUUGAAAAUUGGUAUAAAAAAAAACUGAAAUGAGAUGAUUACUUUAAAACAAUCUUCAAGAACUAAAAUAAUUUAAAAAAAACUCAAAAUAAACAAAAAGUCUUAAAAAUAACCCUAAUCCGAACAUUAUUUGAAUCCAUCCUAACUAGCCCGAAUAUGAUUUUAACCCAAACCCAACCUAACUCGCUUAUAAUUAUAACCCAAUGCGAUCCAAAUUCAACUCGAAUUUUUGAUCCGAUCUAAUACAAUUUGAAUAUUCUAACCCUAUCAACCAGAAACCCAAUUAGGUUGAUCUGAACCCACAUUUGUCCACUCCCAGAGGGGAUCAUGACCCUACAAGCUUUGAAAGUUUUUUGAGAUUUCUAAGUGAAUAUUAAAAAUUAUGUAUAAAAAGACUGAUUUGACCCCUAAACACUUGAUAUAGAAACUUUAUACAUAUAAUAGAAAUUUAAUUUUAUAUUUUGUGAAAUAAAGUCAAAGUAACUGAAUUUUUUUUUAUUUUGUUAAUUAUUUUUCUAAUAUGACAAAAUGACAAAUAGCCUUGUGCCUAGCUCUUUGACUUUUAUUUUGCUAAUUAUUUUUUUCAUUUCUCUUGCAACAGUAACUUCAAUUAUCAAUCAAAGUCGCCAAAUCAAAAUCUCUGCAGCCUGCAGCUACAAGCAAACUUCUCAAAUUUUGAAAUUCCUUAUGACUACAUAAUAGCUAUAAAUAGAAAAAGCGUCUAAAAUAACUAUGUUUUUCUAAGUUUGAGCUUGAGCCCCCUGAAGAUUUACUCCAUACGUAACAAAAUAUUGGUUUUGCUAGUAAAAUUGCUAACUAUGUUUUUCUUUGUAUUUCCGCUCAAGGAUGAAGAAAUUUCCCUAGACUUUUGUGGUGAAUAUCUUACGAACAUAUGACAAUUUAAUCUUUGGCUGAGACUUGUUUAACAUAAGAGAUGACACUUUAAAGCAAUAGGAGAGAUAGAUAACAAGCUUUGUUCCCCAAAAAAAAUCUAUCAGAUAUAUUAUGCCCCCGGUUGCUAUUGCUAAAUAUAGUCAUAAUUACUAAAAAAUAAGUAAUUCUUUUUUUAUAUAUUAAAAUGGUAAACGGGUGGAUAAAAUUUAAAAUAAAUUUUUAACUUUUUAUCUAUUUUGACAUUCGAAUUUUAAGCUCGAGAAGUCAAGCAAUAAAUAAAGCUUUUUGAGAGGCUAACUAAAUUCUUAGUAAUUGCAUAUAAUUUCAUUUCAUCAGAACAGUUUUAUCAAAAGCAAUUUUAUAAAUCUUUUUGGAAAGCUUUAAUCCUUAAUUAUCUUUCACAUAUUUUCUUUGUAAUAUGAGGUAAGUCGUGGACCAUAGUAUGGUAUUUAUUGUAAAUAAAAUCAUUAUGAAACUGAUUUUAUUCUUCUUUUUUUCACAAACAAAGUAUCUAGCUAACUGCAGAUGUAAUGAAUUACUAAUUACCAUUAUUUGAGUCGCUCUCUAAAUUAGAUCUUGGAGUCUGUCCUGGCAUAAUAAAAUUAACGACAUAAUGGCUUUUGAUUUUGCCUACCUGAUAAUAAAAGUUGUCUGCGAUAUAGACAAGAAAUGGAUCCAUACGUUAAAGCAAAAUUGAAAAAUAUAAAAACAUAAAUUGCUAGGAGAUGAUUUUAUCCGAAAUUUCACUUGCACGGUAUUGGCCACAUAUAAAUUUGUGAUGAAAUUCAUAACGGAUUAAUAUAAUUGAACGAAAUUACUCCAUACAAUUUCAUAAGUAUGUAUUAUACAAUUAAAAAUCUAUUGAUAUUUAUAAUAAAAUAAUAUAUCUACUAAGUGCUGGGAUAUAUAUUUGUGGGGAAAGACAAAUGUAGAGAAUUGCAGUAAUAAAGGUGGAAGUGAAACUUUAUAAUAAUUAAUUAAUGUGUUCACAAUUCUGUAAGUAUAAUAAAAUCAUAUUAAUAGGUAAAUUGUAGAAAAUUAAUGUGUACUUAAGGGCACAUUACAAAUGUCGCUUUCCUAAAGAUAUCAUUUGUCCCACCAAUUAAGUGAUGCAUAUAGGCUAAACAAAUAUACCUCCAGGAUACAAUGAAUCACUUAUUUGUUUGCAUGUGUUUUUCAUCGAUGAAAGCAAACUUGAAUACUUUUGAAUGUUGCAAGCUUUUCGAGAAUCAAUAUAUUAUUCCUAUAGUAAACAAUAUAUUAGAUAUUUGAUGCAUAUAGUAUAGAUGUUAUACAAUAAAAUUUGUUUCAGGAAAGAGGGUUGAGAAGAGAGUGAUGUAGUAUCAUUAUUUCCAUGUUUAAAAAUUAAUUCUAAAUUAGCUAUAACAUGCAAUCUUUUAAUAUUCACAUGUCCUAAAUGAAUAUGCUACAAAAAUAAUGAGUCAAUCAUGUAAGAAGAAGAAACAUUAAUUUUAUUAAUAUUGAGCUUGAACAUUCCCAAAUACAUGUAUCCUUUCCCAAUAAAGGUACCUGAAACGACCCGCCCCGAAAACCCCUAGGCGAGUCUAUCUAGUCUCAUCAAAACGGACUAGAAAAUCUAUUCAUAAAGAGUCUGCCGAAAAUUCGGCAGAGUCUCCUUUAUAUAUAUAACACUCCCAAUCUACAAAUAUGAAAAUAACACUCCCAAUACAAAUCUCAUAUACAACAAACUCCAGUACUCAACAUACUCAACCAAAAUGCUGAGUCUUAUAUUAUACAAUCCCAAAAGAACAAGAUGACCAAAAUGUCCCAACAAAAACAUUUACACAAUCUAGCACCAUCACGUGGCCAAGACUCAAAAUAUAUAUACAGUCGCUGGGUCAGUCUGGUGUACCUGCAACCUCCUGGUGAGGGGGGAAAAAUAUAAUAAAAGCAGGGUGAGUUUAAAACUCAGUGAGAUCAGUGAGUGGAUAGUAGGUUUGAAAAUUAAAUCUUACUUUAAAAGAAAUAAUCAUAUCAUUUCCAAAUACGGUUUCAUUAAACCAUAAGCGAGAAAUCAGAAAUAAAUCAUUAAACAUUUAAAUCAGAUUACCAACCAUAGAAAUCAUAUCACCAAAUCAUAUAGGAUUCACAAAUCUGAAAAUCAUCAUAAAACAAGUACCCAGGGAAAUAAUCUCGUCAUAUCCGGACCUCAACGGACGGGCAAUGACGUACUAUCUGGGUAACGUCACGCCCCGGAGCUACACAGAUAGACAGGGAAAUACCAUCUCAUAUCNNNNNNNNNNNNNNNNNNNNNNNNNNNNNNNNNNNNNNNNNNNNNNNNNNNNNNNNNNNNNNNNNNNNNNNNNNNNNNNNNNNNNNNNNNNNNNNNNNNNNNNNNNNNNNNNNNNNNNNNNNNNNNNNNNNNNNNNNNNNNNNNNNNNNNNNNNNNNNNNNNNNNNNNNNNNNNNNNNNNNNNNNNNNNNNNNNNNNNNNNNNNNNNNNNNNNNNNNNNNNNNNNNNNNNNNNNNNNNNNNNNNNNNNNNNNNNNCCAAAGCCUCUAUGUGUGUUUAGACGGGCCCCAAAGGCCUCUCAUCUCAUAUCAUUUAUAUCACUAUAUCUGGAGGGAAGGGUACUGUUUAAUGAUUUUAAAAACAAUCAUAAUACUCAUAUUCUCAUACCUCUUAACCAUAUUUUAAAUCAUACCACACAUUUUAAUAUAAUCUCAACACGUGAAUAAAAUCCAUUUCGAGGGAAUCACAUUAAAUCCAAUUCGAGAAAAAUCGCAUUAAACCCAUUUCGAGAAAUCAUUAAAUCAAAACAUUUAAAAUGCUUAUUCCGCAAACAUGCUUACUAUCAUCGCUAACUAUAAAAAUAAGUUUUAUAUAUUCCACUCACAGUGAUGGUGUUCAGGGUCGGUUAUCGUCCAUGUCCGCAGUCCGGUUCUCGCUCGCGGAUCCUCCUAAAUCAAGGAAACGACAUAAUUAUUUUCCAUAAAUCGGAAUUCCGACUCAAUAUAUGCCAUAAACUCGAAACGAACAUUUAUCCAUAAUUUACAACUCCCGUGUCGAUAAAAUUACUAAAAUGCCCUUGCCGGUGAACGGUCGCCGGAAAUUGGUCAACGACGAUGGGAAGCUUAGGUCUGCUAGUUCAGACCUCGGUGAGUCCAAUGGUGGUGGCUGUGAGUCCCCACGCGCGGUACCGACGGCGGAUCGAGCUUCCCAAGCCGUGAGCUUCCAAGUGGCUAUUCGUCGGCAAUCCGGCCGUUUCAGAUGACGAGGUUGGUCGGAAAAUGAUUCUGGUGACGUGAGGAGUAGAAACCAGCUAGAGGUGUGCCCAAACUCUGGCAAAAUCGACGGCGGCGAAAACGGGUCUUGGCCGCGACUUUUCAAGCUCAAACGCCGGCGUUCCAGUCGGUUUCCGGCGACGAGGAUGGCAGGGUUAUGAUGGCCGGCUUCCAAGCUUCAGAUUGGUACCAAGCUCGGCUGGUGAGGUGGCCGGAAUCGUGAAAUCCGUCCGGGUCAAAGUCGCGGGUCGGGUCGGGUUUCCGGGUAAAAAAUCGGGUCAACUCUCUUUCUCUGUGUUACACGUGCAUGUGUUUUCCUUUGUUUCCAACUUAUUCCUUUGCUUAUAAACUCCUUAACCGCCUCAUGCCAUUUUACAACCACAGGUGUUACAGUACCACCCUUAAACAAUGCAAAUUUGCUUUGACUCAAAUAAGGUACCACCCUAAUAUAGAUACAAGAUUUUUCCUACCUUUAGAUACAUGAUAAACAUCAAUAUGAGUUAAAGUUUUUCCACAAGUGAACUCUAGUUGCACAUUCCCUCUAAUUGUUGCAAUGGAGGAAUUUCCCAUCUAAAGAACACUUCAAUCAUCCAUUGCUUUGUAAGAUGUGAAAAGCCUACGAUUCUUGUACACAUACUUGAUUGCACCGGAAUCUAUUCACCAUGCAUUAUCAUGUUCGAGAAUAUUAAUCUAAGAUAUUACGGCCAUAAAUUUUGUCCACAAAAUUUGUGUUCGAGCACUUUUUUUCUUUCUUAAGAAGCUGACAGUCAUUUUUAAAGUGGCUAGGCUUUUCACAUUGGUCACAUGUACACCUUUCUUUUUUAUUUUGUUGGUUUGAUUCUAUUUGGAAUCAAAUUUUUGCUUUUGGUUAUUAAUGCGGGUAUUAGACUGCUUAAGCUCCUUCUCCUCCUCCACAACAUUAAUUUCAGAGGACAUAGCAGUCUGUUCCUCAAGACUAUUAAGUUUAAGUUUCUAUUCAAUAUGAAGACUUUGCCAAGCCUUCCAGGCUAACUUCCUCUUUGUUAUAUUUAAGACUUUUUUCAUAGUCUUUUCAAGAGGGGGGAAGUUUAUCAAUAAUUGAAGAAAUAAUAAUAAACUUAUUACUUUUCAUGUUGUGUUGGUUGAAUUGAUCAAGAAUGCAAAAAUCUCAUUAUAUUGUUCAAUCACAAGUCUAUUAUCAAUCUUUUUAAAACUAAAAAAAUUAGAAGUCAAGAAUUUCUUACUUGUGGUGUCUUCCAUCAUGUACUAAGACUCCAAUAAGUCUUAUAUUUCUUUUGCUGUGGAUUUUGUUGUGGUACUUAUGGAAACAAAGUACUAGACACGGCAUUGUAAAUGUGUCUUAUGCACACGUAGGCAUCUUGCUUCCACUUUUGCCACACUCGAGUUUCUCAUUCUCACGUUCUUCAGGCUUUGAUAUUGUAAGAGCAUUAACAACAUUGAGGCUUGUCAACAAGAAAUGUAAUAUUUUUUGCCAACGUAUAAAAGUUGUGACCAUAAAUAUUUAUUUAUUAUUGAUUUUGAUGAUAACAAACUUGAUUAAGAUUGAUUAAUCUCUUAAAAGCUCAAAAUAAUUUUCAUAUACUUUUAAAUCAUCACUCUCACUUUAUAUUCUAUGGAAAUAUUUUUUGUUAUUCUCAUGUUAAUGGUUUCAAUUGAAAAAGCUUUGAGAAUUUUGAUAAUAACAAAUAUUGUUUCAAAUCCUGUAAAUGGAUCUAUUUGAUAAGUUUUAUAAAGUGUUGGGUCAUAGUAUAAUUUUAUGAAGUUUUGGGGUCAAACUAUUAUUUUACAAAAUAGUUCAUUUUAGCAGUUACUGUAGAAAACGGCGAUCCGACAUCUUGAUAAAGGCUCGCCGACAUCGAACAGAACUGAAGAUUAGCCUCUGGACACUAACAACAAUCCGACAACUUGAUAACGGCUAACCGACAUUGCACAGAAUUGAGGAUUAGUCUCUGGACACUAACGGUGAUCCCACAUCUAGAUAACGACAAUCCGACAGUGUGCAGAAAGUCAAUAACAGCUAGUUUUCAGCUCCAGCAAUAAAUAAGCUCAAUCAAAUUCAAACUAAAACGAUUGCAACAAUUAUUAUUGAGCAAAGUUAUGAGCAUACAACAUUCAUUGAGCCUUAAAUUCUUGUAUUCAUCUCAUUUACUCACACUUUGAAUCUUCAUUUGUAAUCAAACACAUAGUGUGAGAGAAAUUUAUUUUGUAACAUUCUUUAAAAUCAAAUUGAGUGAUUGUAAGUGUUGAGAUACACUUGGGUUAAGAGAUUAGGGAUAAUCUCUUGUUGUAAAGGUUUAUUGACACCUUAAAAGUCAAGUGUAAGCAUUUGAAGCCUUGGAGGCUUGCUUAGUAGAAUCCUCAAGCCCGAAAAGCUUGGAGGCAUGGACGUGGGAGAGGUUGGCCGAACCACGUAAAAAUCCUCAUGUUUGAAUCUCUCUUACCUUAUCUUUUUAUAUUGUGAUAAAUUUAUUUGUUAUUGCUUUAAAUUCGUUUUAUAUUUGCAUUGAGUUUUGCUUUAAAAAUUGUAUAAUUUUUAGAAUCUCAAUUCACCCCUCCUCUUGGGUUGCAUAACUAGAAUUUCAUUUGGUAUCAGAGCCUUGUGCUUUUGUUAGGACGUAAUCGUCUAGAGUAAAAGAUCAAUGGCAACCCUAAAUGACUCAACCUUUAGAGAAGGACAAUCUACAACUAGACCACCGUUCUUUGACGGUAAUGACUAUGCAUAUUGGAAAACUAGGAUGAGAAUCUAUUUGCAAGUUUUAGAUUAUGAAAUUUGGGAAGUUGUUUAUGAUGGUCCAUUUAUGCCUAUGUUUAAAAAUGAAGAAGGAGAUGAUAUUCCUAAACCAUCAAGUCAAUGGAGUGAGUUAGAAAAGAGAAAGAUGUCCUUAAACUCCAAGGCAAUGAAUGCCUUGUUUUGUGCUCUUGAUAAGAAAGAAUUCCAUAGAGUAUCUAGCUGUGAAAGUGCACAAGAAAUAUGAAAUAAACUUGAAGUUGUCUAUAAAGGGACAAAUCAAGUUAAAGAGUCUAAAAUUAGUAGAUACACUCGUCAAUAUGAAUUGUUCCAAAUGGAAUAAAAUGAAAAUGUGUAUUCUAUGUAUAUUAGAUUUACGGACAUAGUAAACACCCUAGGAACUUUGGGAAAAACUUUCUCAAAUAGUGAGAAAGUAAAGAAAAUCAUUAGGUCACUUCCUAAGGAAUGGAGAUUUAAAAGGACUGCUAUUUAAGAGGUCAAAAAUUUAAAUACUUUACCUCUUGAUGAUUUAAUUAGCUCUCUUAUUUCAUAUGAACAAGACUUAGCAGCUGAAAAAAGGGAUGAGGAGAAGAAGAAAAGUAUUGUUCUCAAAGCUUCAAAAUUUAAGAGUGAUGAGGAAAGUGAACCGGAUGAUGAGGAGUAGGCCAUGCUAGCAAGGAGGUUUAGAAAAUUCUUUAAGAAAACCGGUGAGCGAAGAAGAUUUAGAAACUUCAAGAAUCAAAAGGAGAAGAAAAAGGCAAUCAUAUGCUAUGAGUGCAAAAAGUUCGGCCAUAUGAGAUCAGAAUGCCCACUUCUCAACAAACUCAAGAAGAAAGUCAUGGUUGCUACUUGGGAUGAUAGCGAUGAAGAUUCAAGUGAUGAAGAUGAAUUGCAUGAAGCAUCAAACCUAACACUUAUGACAUAAGAGAUGAUGAUGAUCUCAAUAAGGUAAGUGAUCCUACCUAUGAUGAAUUGUAUGAUGCUUUUAAAGAAUUACAUGAAGAGUUGAUGAAAAUUAGUAAAAAGAAUGCAUGCCUUAAAAAGAAAAUACUAGAACUUACAAAUGAAAGGGAUGCCCUAGAAAAAUGCAAUAAUGAGAAGAUAAAAGAAUUAGAAUUAGAGAAUAAAAUGUUGCAUGAUAAAACUUUAGCUCUUAAAGGUAAACAAAGCACUUAUGAACAUGAAAAGUCACAUGUGGAUGAGUUAAUGAAAGAGAAUGAAGUGCUUAAGAAGAAAAAUAAUGAACUAAAUGAAAUUGUGCUAAAGUUUACAAAUGGACAAAAGAUGUUGGAAAAUAUGCUCAAUUCACAAAAAUGUGUGUUUGAUAAAAGAGGUAUUGGCUAUAAGCCAAACUUGAAACAAAAAUAUUAUAAGAACUACUUUGUGAAAAGUACCUCUAUUAACAAUCAAAUUGUAUGUCAUCAUUAUAAUCAAGAUGGACACAUGAAAAAUAUAUGUCCAGUAAAAAGAAAUGCAUAUUAUGGUAUGAAAUGUAUUUGGGUUCCAAAAGGAACCAUUGCUAACAUAUAAGAACCUAAGAAGUUUUGGGUACCUAAAACUUAGAAACUUUUUCUGCAGGGAUCAAAGAAAAGGAAAAAUAAGUGGUUCUUGGAUAGUGGUUGCUCAAGGCACAUGACCAGAAACUAUGCAUGGUUUUCAAGUUUCACCAAAAUUGAAAAUGGUGGAGAUGUUUCUUUUGGAGAUAACUCAAAGGGAAAGAUUCUCGGAGUUGGAAAUGUCAGUAAAAUUUCGUCAACUUUAAUUGAAAAUGUAUGUUUAGUUGAAAACUUAAAACACAAUUUGAUUAGUAUUAGUCAAUUGUGUGACAAAGGUUAUAAAGUUGUUUUUGAUAAAUCUAAAUGUAUUAUUGAGAAUGCAUGUGAUAACAAGAUUUUAUUUAUUGGAAAUAGAUGCGGUAAUGUUUAUACCAUUGACAUAGAAUGUGCAUCCACUAAUGAUAAAUGUUUUUCGGCUGUGCAUGAUGAUAGUUGGUUAUGGCAUAGAAGACUAGGACAUGCAAGCAUGGAUUUAAUUUCAAAGAUUUCCAAAAAUGAUUUAGUUAAAGGUCUUCCAAAAAUUGGUUUUCAAGAAGAUAAAAUUUGUGAAGCAUGUCAAUUUGGUAAACAAAUCAAAACCUCUUUUAAAAGCAAAAAUCAUAUUUCUAGUUCAAAACUGCUUCAAUUACUUCAUAUAGAUUUAUUUGGACCUUUAAGGUAUGCUAGCUUGAAUGGAAAAUAUUACGCUUUUAUAAUUGUUGAUGAUUUUUCAAGAUACACUUGGUUAUUAUUCUUAACUAAUAAGGAUAAUGCUCUUGAUGCUUUUAAAGUACUUUGUAAGAAAAUUCAAAAUGAAAAAAAGGGUAUGGUAUUGCAUGCAUUAGAAGUGAUCAUGGAGAAGAGUUUGAAAACUAUGCAUUUGAAACCUUUUGUAAUAAUCUAGGCAUUGUGCAUCAAUUUUCAUCACCUAGAACUCCACAACAAAAUGGAGUUGUUGAGAGAAAAAAUAGGUCAAUUCAAGAAAUGGCUAGGAUUAUGUUGAAUGAAAAUUCCUUGCCUAAGUAUUUUUGGGCCGAGGCCGUCAACACCGCUUGUUAUGUUUUAAAUCGUGUGUUGAUUAGACCUAAUCUUAAUAAAACUCCAUAUGAGCUUUGGAAAGAUAGAAAACCCAAUAUUGGUUAUUUCAAAGUUUUUGGAUGCAAAUGUUUUAUUUUGAACACAAGAGAUAAUCUUGGCAAAUUUGAUUCAAAAUCCGAUGUUGGUAUUUUUCUUGAAUAUUUAAACUCAAGCAAAGCUUAUAGAGUUUAUAACAAAAGAACUCUAGUUGUAGAAGAAUCGAUGCAUGUUACAUUUGAUGAAUCUAACCCCUCUUCUACGGAGAAAGUUGUUGUUGAUAAUGAUGCAGAUGAAGACUUACAAAAAGAGUCAUCAAAAGAUAACCAAAAUGAUGCAUCUCAUGGGAAUCAAGAUGAGCAACAUGAAAAAAAAAAUGUAGAGCAAAAUGAAGGUACUUCUCAAUCACUCCCCAAAGAGUGGAGGUAUGUUUCUUCUCACCCUAAGGAUAUAAUUUUAGGAGAUCCCUCACGAGAUGUUACAACUAGAUCAUCACUUAGGAAUACCUGUGAGCAUAAUGCAUUUAUUUCUCAAAUUGAACUCAAAUCCUUUGAGGAUGCGGAAAACGAUAAAUCUUGGAUUAUGGUAAUACAAGAGGAGUUAAAUCAAUUUGAAAGAAACAAUGUGUGGGAAUUAGAUCCUAAACCGGAACAUUAAUCUGUCAUAGGUAUUAAAUGGGUAUUUAGAAAUAAGAUGGAUGAAUCCGGUGUGGUUGUAAGGAAUAAAGCUAGAUUAGUGGCUCAAUGUUACAACCAAGAAGAAGGAAUUAAUUUUGAUGAAACAUUUGCACCCGUAGCUAGAUUAGAAUCAAUUAGAAUGUUGUUGGCAUUUGCAUGUUAUAAAGAUUUCAUUUUAUUUCAAAUGGAUGUGAAAAGUGCUUUCUUAAAUGGUUAUAUUAUGGAAGAAGUGUAUGUAAAACAACCCCCUGAUUUUGAAAAUGAAAAAUUUCCAAAUCAUGUUUAUAAGUUGUUUAAAGCCUUGCAUGGAUUAAAACAAGCACCCAGAGCAUGGUAUGAUAGGCUUAAAAAUUUCUUAUUAGAAAAUAAUUUUUCUAUGGGUAAAGCGGAUACUACUCUCUUUGUCAAACAUAAGAACAAAGACAUACUUGCUGUUCAAAUUUAUGUGGAUGAUAUUAUUUUUUAUUCUACUAAUGAAUUGUUGUGUAAAGAAUUUUCAUCUUGUAUGAGUAAUGAAUUUGAAAUGAGUAUGAUGGGAGAGUUGAAGUACUUCCUUGGGCUGCAAAUAAAACAAAAUGAGAAAGGAAUAUUCAUAAAUCAAGCCAAGUAUGUAAGAGAUCUACUCAAACGAUUCGACAUUGAUGACUGAAAGACAAAAAAUACUCCGAUGAGCACAACAACCAAGCUUGACAAAGAUGAAAAAGGCAAAGAAGUAGAUAUCAAAAUGUAUCGAGGUAUGAUCGGAUCUUUACUUUAUUUAACUGCAAGUAAACUCGAUAUCAUGUUUAGUGUACGUUUGUGCGCAAGAUUUCAAUCAUGUCCCAAGGAAUCCCAUUUGCUUGCUGUUAAAAGAAUUUUUCGUUAUUUGAGUGGAACCAUAGAUAUUGGCCUUUGGUAUCCUAGAGGAACUCAUAUAGAUUUAACUUGUUAUUCGGAUGCCUAUUUUGCCGGUUACAAAGUCGAUAGGAAAAGUACUAGUGGAACUUGCCAUUUUCUAGGUCAUUCACUUGUUUCAUGGUUUAACAAGAAACAAAUUCGGUUGUACUCUCAACAACUGAGGCAGAAUAUAUCACCGCCGGGAGUUGUUGUGCACAAGCACUUUGGAUGAACUUAGAGAUUGUGGCAUUAAUCUUGAACAAAUUCCUAUUAAGUGUGAUAAUACUAGUGCUAUAAAUCUUUCAAAGAAUCCAAUUCAACACUCUAGAACCAAGCAUAUAGAAAUUAGACAUCACUUCUUGAGAGAUCAUGUUCAAAAGGGAGAUAUUGCAUUAGAGUUUAUUUAUACGGAAAAACAAUUUGCCAAUAUUUUUACAAAACCUCUUUGCGAAGAUUAAUUUUUAAAAAUUCGGUAUAAACUUGGGAUGAUGAAAUUUUCACAUUAACAUUUCUACUCAUGUUAUUUAGUCUAAUGAAAUUGAUUGAUUGAUUAUUUGAUGAUUUUGCUUUAAGUGUUUGAGCAUGAUUAAUAAGUGAGAUGUUUAUAUUAUUCAUUGAAUGUGUGUAUGAAUUAAUGGUUGAAAUUCUUACAUGUUCAUGAAUUAUGCAUUGAACUGGCACUUAAAACAUUUUGGAUCAAUGAAAUGAUCCUGAAAUGUAUUUAUUUUAGCCAAAUAUUAAAAUAAAUGUGUGAAAUCAUAAGUUGUAGAAAACGGGUAAUCGUUUUUCAAGCAGAAACCUUGCAAGUAUUCUGGACGCUGUCGGUUCAUCGACAUUUCACUAACGGCUCGCCAUUUUCAUGAAAAAUUUUGGGGAGCUCUCUGGACGCUGCUAGUUCGCCGACAUUUCACUAACAGCUCGCCGUUUUCAUGAAAAAAUUUUGGGCAGCUCUCUGGACGCUGUCGGCUCGCCGAUAUCUCUAUAACGGCUCGCCGUUAUCACGCGAUAAGUGAACAAUCUUUUGUCUCCUUCUUCAUUUCGUUCUUGCUCUCUCUCUCUCUCUCUCUCUCUCUCUCUCUCUCUCUCUCAAACCCGUGACUAUACCUGUUUUCCUCUCUCAAAUUCAUCAUUUUUUCUUGUCAUUUUUCGCCAAAUUGAAGUAUUAAAAACCAUCCUUAUCAUCUUUAGACCCUUUUUCACCGAUUAAAACCGGUUUUCACUUCAAAAAUUGAAAAAUCCCAAUUUAAAACCCUAGAACCAGCCGCACUACCUUUGCCAAUAUUGACCCGAAUUUCUUCCAUUUUCAAUCACUUUUCAACUUGUAAUCACUCUCUCGUCUCUCAAACUUCAUUUCUACUGAUUUAAAUUUCUCCAAAAUCAUCAAUGGCAGCAAGAUCACAGUCACAGAGGCGUGCUCGAACCAAGCACACUGCCCCACGACGUUCCAGUCCAGGCCUCCUUCUCAGGACUUCGAGAGCCUCCAUUUUUCCAAUGCUAACUUUGCUCAGCGAUUUCGUGACAAAUUCAUGGGCAAGCCGGUAACUCUCUCAUUUUCUCUUAACAUUGCAGAGUUUUCAGAUAUUUCAAUUUGUGGUAGUAAUAUUACUCACAUGCUUAGUCAUUAGAAUGAAGCUUUAAAUAUAAAAGAACCUGUUUAUGAAAAUCUUGUACGUGUAUUUUAUUCUAAUAUGGAACUCUCCUCUUCCCGACAAGUUGAAAUUUAUACAUCCGUAAGAGGAGUUCGUAUUGCGUUCAAUGAGGCAGAAUUAUGUGGUAUACUUGAAAUUCAUUAUGUUGGCUUAGACAUUUACACCAUUAGGAAAGAGUUUGAAUUUAGUGAUUUCUGUUAUGUGGAUGGCGUACAGAACAUUUGUAGACGUCGGGAUCUUUCCGAUGACCUCUGCUCUUUGCCCUUUAGGUCUCAACUUCUCCUUUUCCAGGUUCGCAUACUUCAUAUCAUUCUCCAACACAUGGUCACCCUUAGACAGGGCCAUACUGAUGAGGUAACUAGGCUUGAUGUUGGUUUAUUAGAUUCCCUCAUCCGUAGACGACAUGUGAGCUUAUCUUACACUAUCCUUUGUCAUAUGAUGUCCACACCUAAAGUGACCAACCGAUCCCUUCCAUAUGGCAGCAUCAUUACUAGGAUUUUGAAAUUCUUUAAAGUACCUAUCACUAAGCCUGUUUAUGUCGAGACCCAAAAGCUCGGUCGAGAGAUUAUGUCUGCGAUCAGAUUUUUUAAGAAGCAUGGGAAGUGGGAAAAGACAACAUCCUCUAAGAAUGAAGACUAAAACGACUCGUCCCGCACUCCCAGGACGAGUCUAUCUAAACUCGUAUAAUCGAAUCGAUAUUAAUUAUGAUAUCUAAGAAUUCUGUAAAAAAUUCGGCAAAAAUCUCCCCUAUAAAUAAAACAUCCCUAAACCUGCAAUUUAAAAAACAAUAUUUCCAAAAUAACUCAAUAUCCAUUCAUCCUUCAUAACCAACUUCUCAAGUCAACAUAUCAAAUAUCACCCAAAUCAUUCUAAUAUUAAAAUAUAAUGGUUAUCCUUAAUUACAAAAUAUAACAAAUAAAUACAAUUCGCAAUAUCCCAAAUAUCAAAAUAUUAAAUCUACGACUCCUAGCACCAUCACGUGGUCACAAUUUUGAAUCUAACUAUCGUUGCUGGGUCGACUGAUGUACCGACAAAUCUCCUGUGGGGGGGAAAAAUAUAAUAAAAACGGGGUGAACAUAAAACUCAAUGAGCUCAGUGAGUGCAUAGUAAUUUUUAAAAAAUAAAUUUAUUUAAAAUGAUUUAAUCUUUCUCAAAUCAAUUUCAUCAAAAUAUCAUAAGAACUUAUAUAAACAUAUUCAAUUCAAAUCAUGCACUGAAAUAACUAUAUUAUAUAAAUUUGCAUAAAAUCAAUGAAAUCAUAAUACUUAUAAUAUCAAUUACUGAAUACUAAAAACUAUCACCAAACAAGUACUCAGGGGAAUAGUCUCAUCAUAUCCGGACCUCGACGGACGGGCAAUCAGGGAACAAUCAUGCCCCGGAGCUACAAUAGAUAGAUGGGGAAAUCUCAUCUCAUAUCUCAUGUAUCUCAACAUCUGUAUCUCUGUAAUCAUUAUACUGCAUGCAUAAGCCCCCAAAAGGCAAAAGCGCCCAAACACACGGCCUAAAGCUUCUAUGUGUGUUCAGACGGGCCCAAAAGGCCUCUAUCUCAUCUCAUAUGUAUCUUUGUAUUCAUCUCGUAUUAUCUGUAUCUCUGUAUCUGGAGGGGAAGGUUACUAUCCAAUGAUUUUCCAAACAACAUUUAUACACAUGUUCAUAAACAUAUAAUCACAUCUAAAAUCUCAUUUUUUUUUAUUCAACAUAUCUCAAAUCUACUCAAUUCUAAUGUCAUGCGUUUACUCCAAAACGAUAAUAAAAUCAUUAAUCAAACUCAUUCUUAAUAACAAUAAAUAUCAACACAUAGAUAAAAAUCAAUUUUCUAGAAAAUCAUUAAAUCGAAGCAUCAAAUACUUAUUUAUCAAAACAUACUGCACUGUAUCAUAAAAUCAGCAUAUACUAUGAAAAUAGGUUUUGUAUAUUCCACUCACAGUGACGAAGUCCAGACUCAGUAUCAACAACGCCCGCUGGUUGAUUCUCGUUCGCGGAUCCUCCUAAUCAAGGAAACGACAUAAUCAUUCUCCGUAAAUUUGAAAUACAACUAAUCUUACAUAAUAAUUCUCGAAACGAAUAUCUAUCAAUAAUAAACUAUUCCCGCAUGCACAAAAUUACCGAAAUACCCCUACAUGCCAAAAUUCAUUAUUUUACCAAAAUUAUCUUCAGAAUCUUCAAUUACUAAAUUGUCUUCAAUUCAGAUCACGAAAUUACCACAAUGUCAGAAAUUACGAAAUUAUCCUUGGCACGUAAAAUCACCAAAAUAUCCUUAACAACUUAAAUUACCGAAUUACCCUCAAAAUCUCAAAUUACCUCGCUGCCCUAACCUAAAAUUACCAAAUUAUCCACUGAUUCCAUAAAUUACAAAUUCACCCUAAAGUUUUAUGAAUUUACCGAAUUGCCCCUGCCAAUCAACGGUGACCGGACUUCAGUCAACGACGACGGGAAGCUUAUGUCUGAUAGUUCAGACCUCGGUGAGUCCAAUGGUGCCGACGGUGAUCUCCCACGCGCGGCGAAAAGCGGUGGAUCGAAGCUCCAAAAUAUGUGAGAUUUUCGAUGGUCGUUUGCAGCAAAGACGAAAUCCCUGGUGGUCGUGGUCAGUCAGAAAGUGAUGAGUGUAAGUUGAGGAACAAGAUCAGAAUGGUGGCGUGCUAAAAAUCCAGCGGGAUUAACGGCGGCAAAAACGGGUCUUGGCCGUAAAUUUUCGAGCUCAAUCGCCGGCUUUUUGGUCGGUUUCCGGUGGUGAGGAUGGCAGGGUUAUGACGGUCGGCUUCCAAGCUUCAGAUUGGUACCAAGCUCGGCCGGUGAGGUAGCCGGAAUCGCGAGAUCCGUCCAGGUCAAGGUCGCGGGUCAGGUGGAAUCCGGGUCAAAAUCAGGUCAACUCUCUCUCUCUCUCUCUCUCUCUCUCACGUGCCCCUCUUUCUUUCCUUUUUUGGAAACCAGCUUCUCCUUUCCAUUUAUAGAAAUUGGCUUUUUUUUUUUGCACUUAAGCUUAAUACAAUUAAGUUUAUAUCGGACCCGUGACGAAAAUAAAAUCCGACUACUCGAGCUUUUAAUCGCGCUCAAUUUAUCUCGAUUUAAUGUUGUGACAAUUAAUAUCGAAGAGGAAAAAUUAAAUCAUACACUUAAUUAGAAAAAAUCAAAGUGCAUAUGUUACAAAGACACUUUUAUUGCUCCAGAGGAUGAUUGCAUGCUAAAUGAUGUCUAUUUCGAGGAUGAGUUACCUGACUUCCGCCUUGGGGCUAGACCGCGUGCCCCUCGCUGAGCAGCAGUAGCAUCCGCAGUAGCUUCCUCUCCGGAUGAUGAGCCAGCCGAGCCAGCCGUCCCUCUUGCAGCAUCUUCUGCUUCCGAGGGCCGCUUUCAGCAGCUCUUCGACAAGGUGGAUACACUCUCCCAGUAGCAGCAGCAGCAGCAGCAGCCUUAAUAUGAUUUUGUGACUUUUCGACGGCAGAUAUUAGAUCAGCAGAGGGAGUUACUUGCUGGACAGCGCCGCAUUCUUGGUCACCUUGGCUAUGUUCCCGAUAGUUCCUCUUCACCGCCCCCAUCUUAAUUUUCUGCCCCUAUGAUUUUCGCACAAACAUUACUCAUUUCAUGUAGUUUGUUGUGGUACUUUUUGUUUUUUUGUUUUUAUUGUGCUUGUGAUGCUUUUAUGAUGUUUUUAUUGGAUAUGUGAAUUUUAUUUAUGUAACGACUCGCCCCGACCUCCACAGGGCGAAUCUUACUGAUAGAUGCUUAAAAAUAAAAUAAUAAUAAUCCUUUUACAAUCCAUAACAAUUAUAUCCUUGAAAAUACAAAUAUAAAAUGCAAACUGCAGUGGAAGAAUUUAAAAUUCAUGUCAAACCAUCUAUUUCCUCCAUUCAAGUCCUUCUCGACGAUCAUCACGAAUCAAUCCUGAUUUACAGAAACUGAAUCACAAUAAACUAUAAUGAGUACCAAACUCAGUAAGUAAACUAGUUUUGAAUGACGUGCCAUGAUAUUCGAAAACAUCAUAAACAAAUCAUCGAAAUCUCAUUCUGUCUUUCUCAAACUUUCACAUUCUCUUUCAAACCACUUACUUGAGCUACCUUCAUUCGAUUAUCGCUUAGUAGGACACUCCCUUAACUUUCAUAACUUUCAUACUCUUUGGGCUUCUCGCCAAUGCGUCCUUCGCCCACUCAUCUCAUAACUAUAUAAACAUCUAGAGUGUCUUCUACUAAGCCAAUAACGAAUUCAAGCAUCCAAGCUAAAACUGUAAAACAAUCUUUCUUUCUACAAAUUCCAUUUGGCUAAAAUUCACUUUCUCAUUUUAUAGAAAACAUAAUGCAUUUCGUGCUCAUGCCAAUGAAAUAUUCACACAUACGUAUGCCCAUGUCCAUAAACACACAUAACAACACAUCGUAUAAACACAUGGAUAGAACAUAUAAAUCAAUAUCCGUACAUAUAUAAAAAUAGACUUUCCCAACAUGUCAAACAUAUAUAUUGUUUAUUGUGAUUCGUUUGGAAAUCUAGUUUACUUACCUCCUGGUAUCCUCGAUUAACAAAUACACAUCGAUAUCAUCGGCCUAAAAAUAAAAAAAAAAUACUCUCAUAAGAAUAAAAUUAAACCAUAAUCAUAAACUCCAAUAUUCUCAAAUUCCUCAAUAUAAUCACAUUCCAUACUUAACCUCAAAUAAUCUUAAUUUAAAUAAUAAAUCAUCAAAAUACUCAUAAUUCUUGAAAUUAUGAAAUUACCCUCAAAUAUCAAAAUUACCAAAAUGCCCUUGAAUUCAAUAUUACCAAAAUACCCUCAAAUAUCAAAAUUACCAAAUUAACCAAAAUCAUAAAUUACCAACUUUAUCCUUAAUUUCAGCAAUUACUAAAAUACCCACAAAAUCUAAAAUUACAAAAUUGCCCUUAGAUUGUGAAAUUACCGAAAUACCCUUGCCGGUCAACGGUCACCAGAAUUCAACCGACGGCAAUGGGAAGCUCAGAACUGAAAGGUCAAGCCACACUGAGUCCAAUGGUUGCGGUGGUGACCUCUCACGCGCGGUGAUGGCUCCGGAUCGAGCUCCCAAAGUCGUGAAUCCUUCAACGGCCAAUCAACGGCAAAACGACGUCCCCAACGUCAGUGGUUAGUCGAAAAUGGCAGAAGGAACAAAACCCAAGUGAUGGCUUCACCGGAAACCGGCGAAAUCACUGCGAAUCAAGGCGGCGAUUCCACUGAACUUCAAAGCUUCGAUCGGUGGCUUUCCGAUCGAUUUCCGGCGGCAAGGACGGUAUGGAUACGUUGCUCGUCUCUCAAGCUUCAAAUCGGUACCAACCUUGACCGGAACGGUGGCUGGAAAUGGGAGAACCGGUCGGGUCGUGCUCUCGGGUCAGGUUGGAUCCGGUUCAGUUUCUCCUCUUUCUCUCUUAUCUUCUCUCUCUCAAUUUAUAAGGGUGGUCAACAUGGUCAAAAUCGGGUGUGGGGUAUUACAAUUUAUGAUUUCGUUGAUUUUGAUGAUAUGUUUGGUUGUUGUUCAUGAUUAUAUUGAAUUUAUUAGAAUGGAGGUUAGUUGAUAAGUUGGAAUGUAUAUAUGGGGGUGUUUUAAUUAUUUGUAUUGUUGAGAAUAUGUUCAUUUUUAAAGGAAAAUUUUGUCGAAAUGUUUUUAAUAUAGGUAUUGUCUGAACUCCUCUUUUUUACUCUUUUCGCGCUUAUUUUUUUUUUUGUUAUGAAGGAGGAGAUAAUUAACCAAUUCAAUCUCUGGUGGAGCAGAAAGUUAGCCCGAGACGGUGACGGCUAUUGGGAUUUCUUUAAUUUGCAGCAUAAAAGCAUUUACAUUGACAUUGACUCAAGGGUAAAAAUUAAAUAUCUCAUGUAGCAUAAGAAGAAUGCAAAAAAUGCUUGAAUGAGCAUUCUGACUGAAUACACAAAAGCUACUUUCCCUUGAGCAAUUUCGCAACAAAAGAAAAUGUAAAAUUUAGCAUUUAAAUCUAACAUCAAAUGGCUGAUGCCAUCGUUUCCAUCCCUUGGGGAAACUGAAUUCCUCUAUGUGAUAUUACUGUCUGGAGCGGCUCUUAUCUCAGGCAACUUGAGAUAAUUUAGGCGGUUGUUCAGGGCUCCACAUUUAACCUAGGACUCCAUUAUAAAUGAAGGUUUCUAAUUUAAUUCCUAAAUUAUAGUUAUUAAUUAUUGAUUUAUAUUUAUUAUUUAUAACUAUAUUUUCCAUAAACAAACUACUAGAUUCUUACAAAAUCCCCUUUUAACAAUAUAAUUAACAAUUUUAAUCCAUUUAUUUCCUCCAUAUAUUUCAUUUAAAACUCUAUAAAGGCCACAUCUUUUUUAAAUUAUUAUCCAUUAAUAUCUUUUUCCAAUUAAAAAAAAAACACAAAACCUUCAUUGCUUUGGUGAAAAAACUGCUUUCUCUACCUUACUUUUUGCAUAAGGAAGAAAAGAAAAUCAAUUGUUUUACUUUCUUUUGAUCAUUGUUGCUCAAAGCCUCAAUCCAUCAAAGUUAAAUUUCUCAAAUUUUCAGGUUUUAUCUUCCGAUUCUCUUAUUAAUUAAUUGUGUUAUUUAGGUGUUUUUGUUUCUUUGUAAAAAUAUUAUUCUGCUCAUAGGUUGUUUGCUUUUAAUUAUCUAGCAUAAUUGUUUGCAUGAUUACUCUUGUUUCCUUAGAAAAAAAAAUGUCUACUAAAAACUAUGCAUCAUGAUACAAAAAACUUCAUAAAAGGAGAAGAAUAGAAAAGUUAGCUUAAUCUAAAAAUGUGCUAUUGAUAAAAAAUUAUUUAAGAUCAACCAUGUCAUAGGAAAGAUUAAAUAGGUUAACUAUAUUAUCUAUUGAGAAAGAUAUUAGGGGUGUUCACGGAUUGAAUUUUACGGAUUGUACAUCGAUCCAUAUCCGAUCCAUGAUUUUGCGAAUUAUAAUUUUUCAAUCCAAUCCAAUCCACGGAUUGAUAAAAUUCAAUCCAAAUCCAAUCCAUACAUCUGCGGAUCGGAUGCGGAUUUGACUCAAUCCAUAUCCAAUCCAUAUGUCUGCGGAUCGGAUGUGGAUUUAACUCAAUCCAUAUGCAAUCCACCAUUUUCCGCAUUAGUUUUCGAAUUAAAAAUUUUUAGUUCUCUCCAACUAAUGAAAUAAAAAAAUCUAAUAUAAAAAUAAUUUUGCUACCAAUUAAAUUUAAAAUUGAAUAAAAUUUAAAUAAAUUAAUUGUUUAAAUAAAGCUAAAAUAAUACAUUUAAAGUUUCAAAAUAUAACACAUCGAGACUAAUUAUUCAAAUAAAGUUACAAUAAUACGUUCAAAGUUUCAAAAUAUAACACACCAAGCUUAAUUAUUCAAAUAAAGUUACAAUAAUAUGUUAAUAUAACACCGAAAUUAAUUGUUCAAAUAAAUCCACAAUUAAUUGAAAUGGCGAAAUUUUGGAAACCAAACACAGUCUGAUCCCUCACCAGGGCUGUUGCGCCUGUCGAAAAGUAGUGAUUACGAAGCCAUCCACGAUGGGAACCAGGAGAAGCUGUACGGGUGGCGAUCUUGAUGGUUGUGAUAGUGAAAUUGUUUAGUUGGAACCAGUGAAUGUGAAGUGGCUCGAUGGACUUGGGAAAGAAGAUGGCUUGCUCUUGCCAGAAUCGCACGGCCGAUGUCCUUUAAAUCCGUGUCGAGAGUGUAUCCAACCCGUAUUGAGUGUUGCUAGUGUGUGUGACGGCGGGGAAGUUUAGGGUUUUUUGUUUGCAAAUUGUUGGUGACUUUGCGAUAUGUUACUUUGCUUUUGCUAGUGUGUGUGACUUUGCUUUUAUUUUGUUUUACAAUUUUUACAAGUUAUAUUUGUAUAUUUGUAUAUUUGAUUAUUUAAUUAUUUUUCAUUUUAUAUUAUUAUUGGCUAAUGGUUAAGAUAUGUUAUAGUGCUUAGUAACUAUGUAAUGUCACAUUUAUAAUUUUUUAAUUAAAUUUAUAAUAAUUUUUUAAUUAUAUAUAUAUAUAUAUAUAUAUAUAUAUAUAUAUAUAUAUAUAUAUAUUUUGCGGAUUCACGGAUUUCUGCAGAUUUACAGAAGUAAAUCCAUAUCCAAUCCAUCGACUGCGGAUUUUUAAAUUUUCAAUCCAUAUCCAAUCCACGGAUCGGAUUCAGCGGAUCGGACGGAUUGAGCGGAUCGGAUUGGAUUCUGAACACCCCUAAAAGAUAUAUUAGCAAAGUUAGAAUAUAAAAAGUUGAUUAAUAAUUUUGCAUCUCAGAAAGUUAGAGAAAUUUAUUUUAAAUAAAUAAAACUUUAAUAAAAUUAAUACACAUAUUUCACCUCAAAUUUUUUGGAAGGUCUAAUUAAAUCAAUUUAUUUAAGAUGUUAAAUAUGAUUGAGCCGCCCUGAAAUUGUAGUAAGAUAGAAAAGUGAAAUAGACAGAACACUUGGUCAUACGUUAAAGAUGCGACGAAUUUGAGAAUAUUUAUUAUUAUGUGCCAAAUUCCCAAUGAGUGGGAAUUUAAAAAAGUUAGUGCAAAACAUGUGUUCAUCGGUGGAGUAGAAUCAGGGAAAUUAAAGAUGAGCAUAAUUUUUGCAUCCAAAGCCAAAUUCCCCCAGGUAGAGAGUGGGGACUCCUUUGCAUAAAUGUUGAUAAAAGUUUGACUAAGAUCUUAUUAGAAAUUAAUAUAUUAUCUCUCUACAUAUUUCUGCACGAAAUAACAUGCAGAUAUAGUAUUUAGGUUAUUGUUAAUAGUUUUACAAUAAUAAAAAUCAUUUUGUUAGAUCGUAAAAUGUCGUAUUCACACUCUAUUUUGUGCAAAAGUCUGCGAGAAAGGAUUUCAGAUUUGCCUAAUGGUGAAGUUGGGAACUUGCUUUUUUUCUAGGCUAAAAAUAUUUCAAUAAAUUCUGAUCGUGGAGACUAACAAGAGUUUUUUAGUCAUAUAUAUUUAUUUUUUAGGGACUAAUAUGAAUAUUACUAAUUUUAUCGAGAUUAUUAAAAAAACAAUGCGCUAAUUUACCAAUAUGAUUUCUCCAAUCUUUUUUCUUUUCGUCAUUUAUUCCUUUGUGAAUUUGAGUUAAUGCUUGAUAUUAUUUUUGUGCUCAUUUUUUAAAGUAGAAGAUUAUGAAAAAGUGACACACAAAAAGCAUAAAAAUCAUUAUUAGAUCCAAAUUUGUGCUAUUUUCAUACAUAACUUGAGAAUAUUUAUAAUUGCGCAUCACAACUAGUGGAGUAGAAUCAGGGAAAUUAAACAUUCUACAAUCAUUGACGUGCGGGGUGGGGAUAAGCAUAAACUUUUUCUAUGCUGCAUAAAAGAAUGCAAUAACUCCUUUUCUUUCAGUAUUCUCGCAACAAAAGCACAUCUAAUAACUCUUUAGAAUUCUCGUUUUCUUUGCCACAAUGGUUGAAGCAAUCAUUUCCUCUGUCCUAGAGCAGCUGAUCUCUGCUGCGGCUGAUGAAGUGAAGGUGAGGCUUUUUGUGACUGAUGUCCCACAGCAAGUGAUAAAUCUUACCAGAAAUCUUCAAGACAUUCGCGCUGUGCUGGAAGAUCCAGAGAAAAGGCAAAUGCAGCACCACAAAGCUGUUACUUUUUGGCUGGAUCAGCUUAAAGACGCAUCUUACGACAUGGAAGAUGUGCUGGAGGAGUGGACCACUGCAAGGCUCAAAUUGCAGAUUGAGGGCGUUGAUGAUGACAAUGCUCUUGCUCUUGCUCCUUAUAAGAAGAAGGUACGUUCCUUCUUUUGUGCUGUAUCAAACUGCUUUGGUAGUUUCAAACAACUCUGUCUUCGUCAUGACAUUGCUGUCAAGAUUAGGGGAAUCAAUGAAAAGCUAGAUGAUAUUGCCUCCCAAAAAGAUAAGUUUAACUUUAAAUUUGUUGAGAAUGUGAGUAACAAUGUUAAGAAACCAGAGCGAGUGCGAACCACCUCCUUGAUUGAUGAGGGAGGGGUUUGUGGUAGAGUUUAUGAGAAAAAUGAACUCUUAAGCAAGUUGUUGUGUGAAAGUAGUGAAUAAAAUGAAGGCCUUCAUGUCAUCUCACUAGUUGGGUUAGCGGGUAUUGGUAAAACCACUGUUGCACAACUAGCCUAUAAUAAUGAUAAGGUGAAAAGAAAUUUUGAAAAAGUUAUAUGGGUGUGUGUAUCAGACACUUUUGAGGAGAUUAGGGUCGCCAAAGCAAUCAUUGAAGGUUUAGGCGAGUUAGAGUCAGCUUCUAGUUUAAGCGAAUCCCAAUCUCUUAUGAGCCAUAUCCGUAGAUCAAUUGAAGGAAAAAAGUAUUUUCUUGUCCUAGAUGACGUGUGGGAUGGGAAUUACAAAAAAUGGGAACCAUUCUUCCUUUCUCUAAAGAAUGGUCUCCACGGAAGUAAAAUUUUGGUUACCACACGUGAUGUGUCAGUCGCACGUAUGAUGAGAUCAACAAAGUCAGAUAUUAUCUUCAUUAAGCAAUUGAGUGAAGAGGAAUGCUGGUCAUUGCUCAAGCAGUUUACAUUUUUCGGUCGUUCUUUUGAGGAUCGUGAAAAUUUAGAACUAAUCGGGCGCAAAAUUGCACGCAAGUGCGAAGGCCUGCCUCUUGCUGCAAAGGUAAUAGGGAGUCUCUUGCGCUCUAAAAGUACAGUAAAAGAGUGGCAAAUAAUUUUAGAUAGUGAAAUGUGGAAGGUAGAAGGAGUUAGGGAUUGGACUCCUAUGUCGUUGAGUUAUAAUGAUUUGUCGUCCCAUUCUAUGGUAAAACAAUGUUUCUCAUAUUCUUUCAUCUUUCCAAAAGACUACAAUAUGUAUAAAGAGGAACUAAUUUCACUAUGGAUGGCUCAAGGUUACCUUAAUGCAAAAGAAGACGAAGAGAUGGAGAUGAUUGGGGAAUUGUAUUUCAACAUUUUAGCAACGCGCUCUUUCUUUCAAGAGUUUAAGAAAGACGAUGAUGAGGAUGAGAUUAUAAGUUGUAAGAUGCAUCACACAGUACAUGAUUUUGCCCGACGUGUAAGCAGAGAAGAAUGUUCGUGGGCAGAAAUUAAUGGUUAUUUGUCGGUAGAAAUUAAUGGUAACAAAGAAUCAGUCAUAAGCUCUAUUGAUGACAAAGUCCGUCACCUAGGAUUAAAUUUUAAAGGAGGAGCUUCAUUUCCUAUGUCCGUUCUUGGACUUAAUAGAUUGCGUACCCUCUUAAUUUAUGACGAAAGUCCUUCCAAUCCGUCUCUUAAUAGUAGCAUCCUUCCGGAGUUAUUUAGUAAAUUGGCAUGUUUAAGGCCAUUAGUUAUAAGGCAAUCGUUCUCACUUUUUCGUCCUAGCCCAAAUUUCAUUAGAGAAAUUCCAGGAAAUGUUGGAAAAUUGAUACAUUUAAAAUAUCUUAAGUUGUCUAGACUACGUAUAAGGAGACUAUCUGAGACUUUGUGUGAAUUAUAUAAUUUACAAAAGCUAGAUAUUAGGUGGUGCCGAAAUCUUAGAAAAUUGCCUGGGGGGAUUGGGAAGUUAAUGAACAUGAGGAGUUUACUGAAUUUAGGCACUGUUUCGUUGAAAUACAUGCCAGUAGGGAUUUCCAAAUUAACCAAUCUUCGAACAUCGGAAAAGUUUAUGGUGGCUGGAGGUGCUGGUGAUAGCAGUAGGUGUAGCCUUAAAUCUCUGAAAAAUCUUCAACUCCUUCGAGAAUGUGGAAUAGAAGGGCUAAGUAAUAUGUCACAUAUAGAUGAGGCCAAGAGAUUAGAACUCGACAAUAAGAAAAACCUCCUUCGUUUUCGUCUUGUGUUUGGUGAAGUUGUAGGUGGGGAAGGUGAAGAAAGGAGGAGGAAGAAUGAGAAAGAUGAACAACUUCUUGAAGCCUUACAACCGCCUUUGAAUGUACGGGAAUUAGAAAUUUUGUUAUACGGAGGCAACAUUUUUCCCCAAUGGUUGACUUCACUAACCAAUCUAAGGAAUUUACAUCUUCACGGGUGUCUUAACUGUGAGCAUUUGCCUCCUUUGGGAAAAUUGCCUCUGGAAAAGCUCGAACUAUGCAGCUUGAAAAGUGUAAAAAGAGUGGGUAAUGAGUUUUUGGGAAUAGAAGAACUAUGCAACUUGAAAAGUGUAAAAAGAGUGGGUAAUGAGUUUUUGGGAAUAGAAGAAAGUAGUGAGGAUGGCCCAUCUUCAUCUUCAUCGUCAUCAUUGGUUAUUGCCUUCCCCAAAUUGAAAUCACUCGAAAUUACAGACAAGAAUGCAUUGGAAGAGUGGGAUUACAGGAUUACAAGAAAGGAAAACAUUUCCAUCAUGCCAUGUCUCUCUGUCUUGCGGGUUUAUCUUUGCCCCAAAUUAAAGGUGCUGCCGGAUUACCUUCUUCAAACGACGAAAGUAGUGAGGAUGGCCCAUCUUCAUCUUCAUCGUCAUCAUUGGUUAUUGCUUUCCCCAAAUUGAAAUCACUCGAAAUUACAGACAUGAAUGCAUUGGAAGAGUGGGAUUACAGGAUUACAAGAAAGGAAAACAUUUCCAUCAUGCCAUGUCUCUCUGUCUUGUGGGUUUAUCUUUGCCCCAAAUUAAAGGUGCUGCCGGAUUACCUUCUUCAAACGACGACACUGCAGAAAUUGAGGAUCCUUCAGUGUCCAAGUGUGGAAGAACUGCCCAUUCUAGAAGACCACAUCUUUCUUCCAUGUCUUUCUUCCUUGCGAAUUGAGUAUUGCCCCAAAUUAAAGGUGCUGCCGGAUUACCUUCUUCAAACAACCACGCUGAAGGAAUUAAGGAUGGAGGGAUCUCCUCUUCUGCAAAAACGUUAUGGAGAGGGGAAAGGAGAAGACUAGCAGAAGAUAUCUCACAUUCCCCACAUCAUGCGGUCAACAUAAGAUAUCACUCGCCGGUAAUUUCUCCUCCUCCUCUGAUUUACUCUGUUGUUGCUUGCAAUGAAAUUAAUAAAAAAAAUUAUAUUUCGAAUUAAAAUUCUAUAAUUAUAUGCAAUGUUUUCUACUAUUUUGAUUUGCUUAUUGAAUUUAACUAGUUACUUCAACCAUUAAUUUAAUGGGUCAUUCUAUGAUCCUGUUAUAAAAAUUAUAGAAUCAAUCAUGGUAUAAAUAUGUAUGGUUAAAUUUAAUCAAUAGUUCAUAAAGUUACAAGUUAGUUAGGAUAAGUUAGAAUAAUACUUUGAUUUGAGUUAUUUAAAAUUUAAACUUCCUAACUAUUAAAUCUGUUAAACUUGUUUUCUAAAGAUUAAAUAAAAAAAAAAAAACAGGUGUAGUAUGAUUAAAUUUCUAUAUUUUCUUUUAAAAAAUAUGUAGUCUUUGUAAAAUUUCAAACAACAUCAUAGAAAAUCCUAAUGUAAUUUAUUUUUUAAUGUACGAAAAUUUGUUAUGUGUAACUUCCUGAGAGACAAAAUCUCUGUGAUAUAUUUGCAGUAACGUUGAAAACUAAAUUAUCAAUUUUAUCUUGUAUAAUGAUAAUCUUACUUUUUUAUAUGUAAUUUAUGUAACAUUAAUUCUUUAAAGUAACCGUGUAAUUGUUUUUACAACAUUAGCCCACUUUGUUUUAUUUCGUACGAGUGUAAUUAUGUUCACCAGUUAUUCGAGGAAAUGUCGGAACUACAUUUGGUUUUAAUAAUGCAGACAAGAGAGCAGGACUAUGAAAAUGAAAAAUUUAGCGAAAGGAUUGCUAAAAUGUUCUGCUGGUAAUUCUCUUGCUUUGUUUUAUAAAAUUUCAUUUCCAUCUUCAUCUAUUGAUAUCUUGUUGUGUAUAAACAAGAACAGAGAAGUAAAGAUAUAUCAAAAUUUACUAUUACGAUGAUGUUAAAGCAAGCUCAAUGUCACGGGAUCAGUGUUUUGCGUAGCUAACCCGUGUGGCACUUAGACAACUUUGCUGAAUGCUGCUACGUAAGCCUUGAGAUUCUUGAACUAGAGAAGAGAGCAAUGGAGCCGAAUAAGAGAAAUUGUAUUGCACAAAAGAGAGAUUACAAGAAUGCUUGAGUUGCUUGCUCAAUGCUUGUUGUGUGUACAAAUGCCUAUUGCCAUCCCAUAUUUAUAGUGGAGGCUUGCCAAGCUCUAGAGAUUCUAGAGAAAUCUACCAACUAUCUAGAAUUUACAUGUGCUGGAAAUGCAUAGAGAAUUCUAGAGUAUUUACAAGCUCAAUGUGCUAGAGUUGCCUAGAACUUUCCGAAAUUGGGCCAAGCUAGCACUCUUGGCCUUAUGUUGGGCUCUUGGUGAGCAAAUUGGGCUAGCGAAUUGGGCGGUCCGCAACAUCCUCCCCCACCUAAGCUCGCGGCGUCCUCGUCGCGAUCUCGUGCUUGAAAUUCUUGAUGUGUUCAACGAAUUGCCACAAUCCUCUUCACGUUCCCAAGUGGCUUCGCUUUCGAGGAGGUUUUUCCACUUUACCAAGUACUCGCUAUGUGCUGGCACGCCCCUCCUCGAAACCACGCGGUCCGCAAUGAUGUAGUCCACAUCUUUGUCGAACGCGGUGACAACAGCGGUUGGCGCGCGCCUCGAUUCUCCACGACUUGGGUCUCCCAUGUCUUCGUGAUAUGGCUUGAGAAGGCUCACAUGGAAGACCAGAUGGAUCUUGAGUCUUGGUGGAAGUUGGAGUUGAUACGAGACGUUGCCCAUACGUCGAACAACUCGGAAGGGUCCCUCAUAGCGCCUCACUAACCCCUUGUGGACUUUGUGCAAUGUCUUGAAUUGUUGGGGUAGGAGCUUGAUCAUGACUUGAUCACCUUCCUUGUACUCAACAUGCCGUCUCCUUGUAUCCGCCCAUUUCUUCAUUUUCCUCGCGGCUUUGUCGAGGUAGGCUCGCUUGAUAUUUCCUUCCUCAUGCCAUUCGCGGGCGAGCUUGUGGACUUUUUCCUCCGUAAGUCGAGGCUAUGGCGUUGGGGGUCAUGGGCUGGAAUCCCAUGAUGAUCUCGAACAGACUCUUGCCCGUAGCCUCACUUCGCUGCAAGUUAUAAGAAAAUUGGGCAAUGUCGAGUAGUUUCGCCCAAUCCCGCUGAUGAGCGCUCACAUAAUGCCUCAAGUACAUCUCGAGGAGGCCAUUAAUGUGCUCGGUCUGCCCAUCCGUUUGCGGGUGGAAGCUUGUCGAGAACUUGAGAUCGGUCCCCAACAUCUUGAAGAGCUCCGUCCAAAAACGCCCAGUGAACCGAGGGUCUCAGUCGCUCACAAUGCUCCUUGGAACUCCCCAAAGCUUCACAAUAUGCUUGACGAAUAGGCGGGCUGCCUCGUCCGCUUUGCAAUCGACUGGUGCGGCAAUGAAUGUGGCGUACUUGCUGUAUCAGUCAACAACGACCAUGAUGCUUCCGCAACCUUCGGACUUGGGCAGCGAUGUGAUGAAGUCCAUGGAGACACAUUCAUCCUCUACCACACAUCAACAUCAACAUCAACAUCACCACUAUCAUCACCUUUCAUUGGACCCCACAUCCUCAAGCCCAUCACAACUGUCCAUAACCUCACUCUCCUCCUCCUGUCCCUCAUCAUGGCCGUUGGUUGCACUUUCUCCAUCAUCCUCCAUUUACCCCACCUCCGUUACACCCCUGUUUCCCCCUACCAUUUCUCCGUUUGGCCCUCUCUUCUUCUACGCUUACAUCUUCUACCUCUCCAAAAUACUCGAAUUCUUAGACACCCUUUUGAUCAUUUUGUCAAACUCCGAACAACGGCUCACGUUCCUCCACGUAUACCACCAUGCAACCGUCGUUGUAAUGUGCUUCCUUUGGUUACAGACGAAGCAGUCUUUGUUUCCUAUUGCACUUGUCACCAAUGCAAGUGUGCAUGUGAUCAUGUACGAGUACUAUCUGUUGUGUGUGAUGGGGUUGCAGCCAAAGUGGAAGAGAUUGGUCACUGAUUGUCAGAUUGUUCUGUUUGUGUUUGGUUUUGUUGUUUCAGUUUUGAUAUUGUAUUAUCAUUUCACGGGUCUUGGUUGCUUUGGGAUUUAGGGUUGGUGCUUCAACGCUGUGUUUAAUGUGUCCCUUUUGGCACUUUUUGUUAAUUUUUAUUCGAAGAGCUAUGCUAAGAAAAAGAAGUAGGGAUGAUUAAAACAAAUAGUUUAUUGUCCCUUUUGGCACUUUUUGCUAAUUGGUUGAAUGCAAUUGAAGAUAUCCUUUCUUUUUAUUAAAGGGGGCUCUUCAGAGAGAGCUAGACAGGAACAAGACGGGGUUGAAUAAAUCCAAACAUGUCUUGUGAAAUAAUAGAAUAAAUACCCACAGACUGGUUAGGGAACAAGUGUAAACCAACAGGAAUUGAAUGAGCCAUAUUAGCCAUGAAGUCCGCAGCUGAAUUCGCUUCACGAUAGAUGUGAGUGAUAGAAACUUGCCAAUUUCUACUUAGUAACUCUCGGAUAGCCACAAUUAAGGCAUAGAAAGCAUUAGGCACAGUCGCCUGCUUAGCGGUCAUCUGAACUACACAGCUGCUAUCCACUUCCACCAAGAGGCGGCUGAUGCCAACGUUCAAGGCAAGAUUUAAGCCUUAAUAAAGCCCCCAAAGUUCAGCCAUGGUCACUAAACUUUCCCCAAUAUUCAUACAAAAACCAUAUAUCCAAUAGCCAAAUGAAUCCCGAAGAACGCCACCAGCUCCCGCAUCCCCUGUGUUUUUACAGGAGCCAUCCGUGUUCAAUUUGCACCAUGGCCAUGGAGGAGGUGACCGGCCAAUAAACAUCUCCUUAUGUCUUGGUUCCUGACUGAUGUGGGAGUUGUUAACUCUUUGAAUUGUAUUAGCUCUAGCCAUAAUGUCCAUAUGAAUCGUAGUGCUAUCCACAAUCUCCCCACCGAAGCAGAAGUGGUUCCGCCAGAACCAUAGCCUCCAAACAGCCACACUGAAGAUGCACUCCCAUGGGACAUUAGACACAAUCUUCCACUUGUUAUAGAGAUUCGCAACAAUCCAGUCUCUUAAGCUAGAGUGGAAGAAAGUGUAAUGAUCACAAGCCGGCACAAGUCGAAUCCAAAUUCUCUUGAUACAACAACAGCCUCGUAACACAUGAAGAAUAUCCUCAGCCGAAGCUCCACACCUAUCACAGACAUUAGAAACUGGAAUGUGCCGCUUCGCUAGUUCACUGUGAGUCUUCAAUUUCCCAUGCAAAAGCUUCCAUAUAAAGUGGCGAACAAAUUGACGUCCCUUCCAAGACCAUGGUAGGUUCCAAACUUGAUCUUGAGUGUGGCUGCUUUGAUGACAAAUAGAAGCAUAUGUUGAGCGGACGGUGAACAAGCCUCUUGGGUAAAAACACUAGUAGAUUCGAUCAGGGCCAAGAUGAAGAGCAUGAGGCAUGACCGACGCAAUUUGCAUGAGAAUAUAGCUUGGCAGCAAGUGUUCAAAACUGGACCAUCUCCAGCCACCAUGAUCAUUGACAAAAGCAUUCACAGUUGCAUUAACCAAAUCAUAAGGAAUCGGCUGGAGGGCUAGCCUUAUCAAAGGAUCAUGCUUCGUUACCCAGCAAUCCAACCAGAAAUGAACUUGAGCACCAUUACACACAGACCAGCGAACCCCAUGCACCGUGAUGGUUGUCGAAGCCAAUAAAAAUAAAUACCUACUCUAAAUAAAUUGUGUAUAGUGAUUGAGCAGGGUCGUGUCCAUAGAGAUCGGUAAUUAUUUAAAUCCUUUUAAAAUGUAAAAUGCAAAAUGGGGGGAUUGUUGACAAUAAUAAAAAUUAAAUUAAAAUAACAAGAAUGCAAAUUAAAAUUGUAAUUCAAAUUGGGAAAAGCUCUGGUUGAAGGAAUUAACUCAGCUUGAUUCGACUACUAAUUAUUGAUUCAAAUAUAAAUCAUUACUAUUUAUGAAUAGACUGGUUAUAGCUACUGAGACCCUCUAAUAGCCAAUCUCUCCUUAACUAGUCGAUAACCAAGGUACGAUCGUUGGUUAUUUCCCUAAUCAAUAGACAACCCUAGAUACGAUUAUAGGAUUUAAUCAAUUGACAGCCUGAAAAACCAGGGAGACCCAAAUCCUAAUCAACAAACGCAUACGAUGGUUCAGGUAAAUUAGAUUGUUUAUUCUCAUAACACAACGCACUACUAUGCUAUUUGUCACAAACAUUAAAAUCUUCAUACGAUGAAUCUUUUAAUUGACAAUAGAUUAAGUUGAUAAUUAAAUAGUGGCCAAUUAUCUAAUUAACAAACAUAAUCAUGACAAUAAUUUAGAGAAUAAACAAAUACUCAAAAAGUAAUAAAACAAUUAAAGUAUAAGAAAGAUCUCACAGUAGUGACGAAUCAAAGCUUCAUUAACCUUCAACCAAAUAAUAAGUUUAAUUCUUCAUAGAGAGAAGAGAAAAAUUUAGAUCUAGAGUUUUUUUUUUCCAAAAAAAUAUCCCUUUUUGGCAAGAGAUUCCUCCCUUAAAUUCUCUUCUCUCUCUUCUCCUCUAGAGUUCUUUUUAAAAUAAAAUUCUAAUAUCUAAAAUAUUAUCUAAAUAUUAAAUUCGUAAUUACAAAAAUAACCAAAAAUACAAAACACGUUAAACUAAAAACUGCAGGUCCGUAGUUGACAGUACGAGCCCAUGCCUUAUCAACAAAGUUCUUCUGAAGCUCAUAAUUUCUCCAUGAAAACAAUCAUCCUCAAACAUCAUCUUGUAGCUCAAUUUUAGCACCAAUCAAUAGAAUUGCACCUACAAAAAUAAAACACAAGUAAAUCACUAUUAUUAAGUGCAAAACAUCGAUAUUAAAGGAAGUAAAUAAUGCAAAACUAGUGCAUAAAUUGUACUCUAACACACCGUUGCUGCCCAUGUUUUCCUUAUAGCCAUCCAAAUCCUUGACCCUGGUUUGUUAGGAAGGGAAAUCGGAAGGUUACCCAUAUCCAGGCCAUAUUUAGAACAUAUAACCUUCACCCACCAUUUAUCCAAGUUGGCAAUAAUUCCCCAGCUAAUCUUCAUCAACAUGCAUUGUUUGAAGUAUACUAAGCAUCCCAUGCAAACAUAUUGAAUAACAAAGAGUCAAAGUUUUCCUAAGCAUUAUGUGUGAACAACGUAAUAAAAGACAUAGAAUCAAAGAUAAUCAUGUAUAAACUUUAUAGAUCCAAGCAUAGAUUUAAUCGAAUAUUAAUCCUAACAAUCAAUAAUGCAUGACAGAAUUGAUGAAAAGAUUUUAAUUACAUCCAACUAAUCAUGUGAAAUAAAAACCAUAAUUAUCAAAGAAUAUAUAUAAGGAAUUAAUUAAAUAAAAAAAUAAUUAUUUUAUUGAAUAGGGUUUCAUCCUUAACCUCAGUAUAAGAAAAUUAGCUAGACAUACUUGAAUAGGAAGCAACAAAAUUAAUAAAACCAGCCAUGGGAAAAUUUGAAACUCUGCUGCCACUCCUGUCUCUCCCGAAUUGUGUCUGCUUCUUUCUCUUCCUGGUGAUUGCUCUCUUUCUCCAAAAGCCAAAAGCUUGCUUUUAUAUUUAGGUGGCGUUUGUUUUUUAACUUAAUGACUUAAAGUGACUUAAUUUAAUUAGUUAAGUUAAUUAGAGGUGUUUGUUUUUAUAACUUAAUGAGACUUUUUAGAUAAUUUUGACUUAAUAAAAUAAGCCAAUUUUUUUUGGCUUUUUAUUUAAUGGAGACAUUUGAAUUAAGUCAAUUACUUUCUAAUGUCAAAAAUAUCUCUGCUUUAUAAUUUAUUUUUAAUGUCUAUCUAAAAACUCACCCAUAGACAUUUACCCCACAUAAUAAUCUCAUCAUUAUUUUUUUAACCGUCAUGGAAUCCCUCCUCACUUUGGUAUCAACUCCUCAAGUAUUGAAGAUCAAAAUUACAUGCGACAACUUCGAGAUGAAAUGACAAAUCAACUAUUUCAAGUAUCUUAUUAGUUUUUUCUUUCUUAUAUUAUAUACGAUAAAAUUUGAAAUUUAUGGUAUUUUAUAUAUUAAAAUUCUAAAAUCAUUAUGUAUUCAUUUGAAUAUAGUUUUACUUAUAAAUGUUAAAAUAUUGUGGUAUUUAAUAUAUUAUUUAUUUGACAUUCAAAUUUAAUAAGGAUAUAAAUGUAAAAGUACAUAUUUUCAAUUUUUUAAAUUUUAAAAAACAAACAACUUAAUAAUUAAUUUCCGAGAUUCAGACGAAAAAACAAAUAUAUUAUUUAGUUUCAGACAUUCAGAUCUUUUCAGAAUUCAGACUAAUUCAGAUCUAUUUAGAUUUCAAACAAAAAAACAAACGUCACCUUAAGCUUUAAAAUGGGCCCCACCGACUUUUCCAACUCUAAAGCCAAAAGGUUUGGCCUUUUAAUUUGUUUUGGCUUUACUCACGUGCUCACCCAGCCGCUUUUAAAUUGUUUCCUCAUUAAUGUUUGAAAGUAAGCCACUUGUUUGACUUAAAAGCACAGGGCCAAUUAAUAAUGUUUUUUAGAGCUUUAGCUUUAAACGUCUUCUUGGUUUGCAUGAGCAUGGCUGAUUUAAUUUAUUGGCUUCGGUUUCUUUCAUCUUGAAUAUCAUGCACAUUUGCUUAAUUGCUUCCACAAAUUGAUUUGAUCUUCAAUGCUUUCCAAUUAUUAUUCUUUAUGCACUUUUCAUCCAUAAUCUUCAAUUAAUCCCCUAUCCAAUAAUAAUUCAAUUAAUUAAAAAUAAUAAAUAAAAAUAACUAACAACUAUAUAAUAAAGAGUAAAAUAUGUAUAUAAAUUAUGCUCUAUCACUUGGAUCAAUGUAUGCUUGGCAUGGCCACGCGCGUCUAUAGGCUUACUUGAAAUGGUCACUUACAGCGGCCAUGGUUUUGCUAGCGUAGCCAUGGGUUUUGCUGGACAUGGAAGUACGAGACCAUGGGUUUUGCCAUGCAAUGGGCAUGGGUUUUGCUGGGCUGAUUUGGAAUUAACAGUGGCUGUGGAGUUGUUCAGUGUGUGAAAGAGAAAAACAAAAAUGCACGAAGAAGAAGAUGAACUGGGAAUAGAAUGAAGAAGAUGAAGAAAGUAGAAGAGAGAGAAAAAAAUAUUUCCCUUUUUUAUAAAUUGUGGGAAUUUUUUUUCAAAAUUUAUAACUUUUUUUUUUAAAUUUGAGAAUCUUAAUGCAAUACGGUGAGAUUUUCUUAGUAACUAUGUGUAGAAGGAACUAGGAAGUUUUUGGUUAGGUUAACAUGAAAUAUGCUUGUUUUAUGAAAUUUAUUAUUGAGAUUUUGUUUUAUUUUCUAAAAAAUAGCUUAGAGGAUGAUUUUCAUUAGUGACAGACAUAAAGUUUGAAUUAGUUAUAUUUUAGAAAUAGUAGAGAUAUAAAUGAUAUAUCUUUCCCACAUAAAUAUAUCAGUAACAUAAGUUAUUCUAUAAUUAAUAAGGAUAUUAUCGUAUUUUAGUGAGUCAACAUUGGUUGAUAGUUAAAUUUAACAAUUUUUAGAGAGUAAAUUGAAGUUUUAUAUUUUUGACAGUAAAUUAAAGUAUGUCAAUCUCAUAAGCAGUUAAAAUGUAAUUUACUCAAAAAUUAGUGUUAAAAUUUUAUAGAUGAGUGUAUAUUAAGAUGUUCGAACUAUUAGAACAUAAAUAAUCUUAGUUUUAAUAAAAUUUUGCUACAAAAUGAAUAUUAUCCCUCAAGAGAAACAUGUCAAUAAAAUAUAAAAAAAUAGAAUGCAUUAGUACAUGUCAAUAACAAGACCGAUUAGAUCAUGUCAUAUUUGUCAUGCAGUUAUUUUUAUUUUUUCAUUUCUUUUGAAACAAGACCAAUUAGAUCAUGCCAGAAGUUAAAUUUGUAUCAUUUUUAAAUUAAGAAAAGGAACAAAGUUUAAAUAUAAAAUUUAUAAUCUUUUUUUUUUAAUGAAAGUAAUCAUUUCAUAAGUCAAACAACACUGUUUAAUACUUUCAAUAUCUCUGCUGGAAUUUGAUCCAGCUAGAUAGCUGAAGUAUUUGCUCCUACAACAAGCUUUGCCAAGGAAUGGGCACAAGUGUUACAGGUUCGAGAAACAUGUCUGAACUUGACCUCUUUAAAAUCUUUUCGUUGCUCCUGGAUGUCUGAGAUAACCCAGCUUAUACCUGUUCUACUGCCCUUGGUGUUGUUAAGUAAGUCCACAACUUCUUUGCAAUCUGUCUCCAUGAUCAUAGCAAAUAGGGAGAAUUCUUUUUCUACCUGGAGGCCCCACUCCAUCGCUUCAGCUUCUGCAAAGCUCACUCCCUCCCUUAGUGGAACUUUCUUUAUGCCUGCAGCCACUAUCUUGCCACCUGGGUCUUUUAUAACAGCUCCCAAACCUGAUACUUGGUUCCUGCUAUUUAUUGUUGCAUCCACAUUGACCUUGAGAAGAUUUCCAGGCGAGGGCUUCCACUUUUUCUACAUAACCCUUUUGACAUUAUGAAUGUGAGAUGCAUCCGUUUUCCUAGCUCUGUGAUAGGCCUCUAAGAGUGAUUCAGCCUUUGCUGCUGAGACUCUUGGGUCUGACUUUUUUCCUUCGAAAAUCCUUUUAUUUCUUGCAAACCAUACUGCCCAACAGUAAGCUAUUGUUUGUUCAGCCUCUGUUUUCCCCGAGUACUCCACAACUCAUAGAUGAAGUCUAGAAUAUCUUGGUUUUGAGUAUUUGAUAUUUGGACUGGAAAAGCGGCAUGAUACUAGAUUUUCCUUACUACUUUGCAAUCCAAGAGUGCAUGUCUGAUUGUCUCCACCUCCUUGUUGCACCCCUGGCAUAUUGGAUCUUUCAGACAUUUUCUUUUUCAAAGAUUUUCAGUCGUUGGCAAUAAAUUCAUAGCUGCCCUCCACAUGAAGAUUUUCAUUUUUUCCGGUAACUCCAAAGAUCAUACAGCAUUCCACCUUUUAGAGUUUGAUCCUAUUAAGAAAAGGAAGAUUUCGGCACUUAACUAACAGCCAAGAUUCACAAAGAUCAACAAAGAACAGUGUAUAAACUAGAAACAAGUAGAAAACAAAGAGAAGGAAUUAACGUGGUUCGGUACCAGAGUACCUACAUCCACGGCUGAAGAACCCCAAAGGGUGUGAAACUUUAUUGCUAAAGGUUGAUUACAAUGUGACUACAAAUGUCAGAGAACAAAUCUCACUCAACCAAGAAUCCUUACUCUCAGUCUUGGUCACUCAACUUAGCCGAAAAAAGAUUUCCCAUGAUCAGCCCUGGCUCUGCUAUUUAUACGGUCAUAACUAAUUAACCACCAGCUGGCCCACACAAGCUGACUCACUGCCGCCUCACCAAUAACAAAAUGUUACUAACUCUCGACUUCACAAAUCUCCACCUUAGUUCAUUCUGAAACCGCUCCACCUUCCUCUCCAGCAACUACUAGUCUAGUUUUACAAGCUACCAACACCAACCAAGUUCAGAGAGUUUCUAAACUUGAUUGCAGGUACUGCUUUGGUUAGAAUAUCUGCAGGAUUAGUCUGAGUAGGAACUUUAAUAGCAUUCACAACACCAUUUGCAAUUUCAUCACUGACAAAGUGUAACCUAAUAUCAAUAUGUUUUGUUCUUUCAUGAUACUUAGGAUUCUUACUAAGCUUAAUUGCACUAGAGCUGUCACAACCAAUACAAACUGACUCCUGCUUUAACCCAAACUCAGAAACCAAGCCACUUAGCCACUUUGCUUAUUUCACUGCUUCUGUCAAUGCAAUGUACUCAGCCUCAGUUGUGGACAAAGCAACUACUGACUGAAAAGAUGCCUUCCAGCUCACUGCUCCUCCAUUUAAAAUGAAAACAUAUCCAGUAAUAGACCUUCUCUUGUCCAGAUCAGCAGCAAAAUCUGAUUCCACAAAACCUGAUACCUGACAUGAGUUAUUUUCAGAACCACCAUACAAAAUUCCAUGAUUUGCAGUACCAUUCAUAUACCUCAACAACCAUUUAACAGCACUCCAAUGUUCCCUCCCUGGGUUUCCCAUAAACCUGCUAACAACUCCCACACUGUGAGCUACAUCAGGUCUAGUACAAACCAUAGAGUACAUUAUGCUGCCAACUGCACUAGAGUAAGGCACUGACUUCAUAUGCUCAAGCUCAUGGUCUUCUUCUGGUUCCUGAAGUUUUGACAAUUUGAAGUGUGCUGACAAAGGUACUGACACAGGCUUUGCACCACUCAUCUCAAAUCUGCUGAGGACCCUUUUAGUAUACACAGCUUGAGUCAGAAACAAGGUUCCUUUACUUCUGUUCCUCACUAUUUGCAUUCCCAAAAUUCUUGUGGUAGUCCGCAAAGCUUUCAUUUCAAAUGCAGUAUUUAACUCCAUUUUAAGCCUUUCAAUCUCAUCUCUUCUUUUGCAUGCAAUAAGCAUGUCAUCAACAUAAAGAAGGAGAUAAAUUCUAACUUCAGAGGACAAAGUUUUAAAAUACACACAGCUAUCAUAUUGACUUCUACAAUAUCCAUGACUGAUCAUGAAUUCAUCAAACCUCAGAUACCAUUGUCUUGGAGACUGUUUUAGCCCAUACAAACUUCUUUAACAAACAUACCAUGUCUUCAGUCCCUUCUUCAAUGAAUCCAUCAGGCUGAUCCAUGAGGAUUUAUUCUUCAAGAUUCCCAUGUAAGAAGGCUGUCUUCACAUCCAUUUGAUCCAAUUCCAGGUCAUUGUAAGCUGCUAUUGCCAAUAGAAUUCUUUGGAACUGUAUUUUACUACAUGGAAGAAUACCUCAUUGAAAUCCACUCCAUGCUUUUGGGUAAACCCCUUUGCUACCAGCCUUGCCGUAUACCUGGGAGGCUCACCAUCCACAGUCCCUUCUUUAAUUUUAUAGAUCCAUUUGCAACCUACCAGCCUUUUGUUUUGAGGUUUCUUGACCAACAUCCAUGUUUUAUUCUUCUUUAGGGAGAUAAUUUCUUCAUUCAUGGCAUCCAACCAUUUCUCUCUAAUUUUACUGCCCAUAGCUUGUUUGUAGCUAACAGGCUCUUCACCAAUGACUUCUUCAGCUACAGCCAGGGCAUAAGAAAUCAUAUCAGCUAUGCCAUAUCUUUUGGGUAGUUUAAUGACUCUCUUUUCCCUGUCUCUUGUUAGCUGAUAGUCAUUCAUUUGAGAAGUGAUGUGUGUUUUCUGACAAGGCUUGGGAUCCAUUUCUGUAGUUUUCUUUUCUUCACUUGACUCCACCUUAAAGUUGUGUUCCUUAACCUCAUUUGUAUCAGGUGUAGUGAGCUCUGUUUCUACUUUCUGAUGCAACAUAGGCUCUUCAUCAAACACAACAUCUCAGUUGAUCAAAGUUCUUGAAGGUUUUCCAUCUAUGCACCAGAUCUUAUACCCUUUGACACUUUCUGGAUAGCCUAUGAUGUAACCCUUGACAACUUUUGGCUCUAAUUUUCCCUGGUUUAUAUGAGCAUAAGCAAGACAACCAAAUACCCUGAGGUUGCUGAGAUCUGGAGGCUUUCAUGACCAAACUUCUUGGGGGGUCUUGAAAUGCAAAGCAAUUGAAGGGCUCGUGUUGACUAAGUAGGCUGCAGUGGUGACAGCUUCUGCCCAGAAGUGUUUUGAAAGGUUUGCAUUAAACAACAUGCAUCUUACCUUUUCAACUAAGGUCCUAUUCAUCAUUUCUGCUAGUCCAUUCUGUUGAGGUGUGUGCCUCACAGUUUUGUGCCUGGCUAUCCCCUUCUUGAUGAAGAAUUGUUCAAAAUCAUUGCAGCAAUACCCGAGUCCAUUAUCUGUUCUUAGUCUCUUUACCCUCCUUUCUGUUUGAUUCUCUAUUAAAGUCAGCCAAUAUUUAAAUUUCUCAAAAGCUUUACUCUUGUGCUUCAGUACAUAUACCCAGACUUUCCUUGAAAAGUCAUCAAUGAAAGUGAUGAAAUAUCUAGCUCCUCCAUGAGAGGGCACUUAAGAGGGCCCCCAUAGGUCUGAGUGAAUAUAAUCCAGUGUGUUUUUUGUUUCUUGUUUCCUUAUAUUAAACUUCUGCCUAGUUGCUUUACCAAAUACACACUUUUCACAGAAUUCAAGUGCUGAAAUUUGGUCAGUUCCUAGUAGACCUUGUUUACUUAACUCUUUUAAACCUUUCUCACUCAUGUGUGCUAAUCUCAUGUGCCUUGGUUUUAUCACUGUUUACAUUUGUAAUAAUACCAGGUAACUCAACUGAGCCUUUAAGCACAUACAAUCCAUUUCUUCUACUACCUUUCAUUAUGAUUGCACCAUCUUUAAGGAUCUGAAGUUCACCAUUUUCUGCCUAUAUGCAGCAGCCUAAUUGGUCUAUCAUCCCUAAUGAUAUGAGGUUUCUUUUAAGCUCUGGAACAUAUCUCACUUGUUCCAAGCCUUUUACUGAACCAUCAUACAUUUUAAUCCUAACAGACCCUAUUCCAGCAACUUUACAGGCUAGAUUAUUUCCAAGCAAAACUUUUCCGCCAUCAAUACUCUCGAAAGUCACAAAAAAGUCUUUAUGUGGACACAUAUGGAAGGAAAAACCUGAGUCAAGUAUCCACUCACCAGAAGAUUUCUUAUCUGCUACAAUAAGGACAUCUGCAUCUUUUGACUCUCCUUCAUCUACAGAUGCAAUGUCAGCCUUCCCACUUGAUUCUUUUUCUAACUUUUCAAGCUUCUUAUUUUCAAAGCAGUCUUUUAUAUAAUGUCCUUCCUUCUGACAGAAGUAACAUUUUCUUUUCUUCUUCAUCUUAUCAGUCUUCUCUUUCUGAUUUUUGUUCUUCUUAUCUUUGUACAUCUUCUUUUCUGUCUUUGCUUUGGCAAUUAAUCCAUCCCUAGUGAUCUGAUCUUUGCCAUCUGCUCUUUUCUUUAAGUCUUUAGAUUCAAGAGCAUUCUUGAUAUCUUUUAGGGUGAGGGUUUGCCUACCAUAGAGCAGAGUGUCCACGAAGUGUUCAUAAGAAUCUGGUAAGGAGCUUAGUAAGAUGAGAGCCCUAUCUUCAUCUUCAAGCAUUACAUUAACAUUUUCAAGAUCGAGUAUGAGCUUGUUGAACUCAUCAACAUGGUCUCUCGUAGUUGUUCCCUCUUUCAUUGAAAAUGUGUAAAUCUUCCUUUUCAUGUACAACCUCUUGGCCAGAGAUUUCUUCAAGAAAAGCUCUUCUAAUUUUGCCCAUAACCCAGAUGCUGACUUCUCUUUUGCUACUUCUCUUAGUACCUCAUCAGACAGGUGAAGGAUGAUUGUACUGUGGGCUUUAUUGUUCAUGGUCCUCAAGUCUCCACCUGAACUUGAAGAACCUUCCUCUCUCUCUUUCUUGGACUUUUCUUCCUCACCAUCAAGGGCACUGUCUAAGCCCUGUUGAAUCAAGAUUGCCCUCAUCUUAAGACUCCAUAGGUAGAAGUCGUUUUCUCCAUUGAAUUUCUCAAGGUCAAACCUGGUGGUUCCCAUCUUUGAAGAUCAAGAACAGAGAGCAUCGUAGCUCUGAUACCAAUUUGUUAAGAAAAGGAAGAUUUCGGCACUUAACUAACAGCCAAGAUUCACAAAGAUCAACAAAGAACAAUGUAUAAAAUAGAAACAAAUAGAAAACAAAGAGAAGGAAUUAACGUGGUUCGGUACCAGAGUACCUACAUCCACGGCUGAAGAACCCCAAAGGGUGUGAAACUUUAUUGCUAAAGGUUGAUUACAAUGUGACUACAAAUGUCAGAGAACAAAUCUCACUCAACCAAGAAUCCUUACUCUCAGUCUUGGUCACUCAACUUAGCCGAAAAAAGAUUUCCCAUGAUUAGCCCUGGCUCUGCUAUUUAUACGGUCAUAACUAAUUAACCACCAGCUGGCCCACACAAGCUGACUCACUGCCACCUCACCAGUAACAGAAUGUAACUAACUCUCGGCUUCACAGAUCCAGAGCUGCUAGGCUCAUCAGGGGCUUUGAUUUUAAGGGCUAUUUGAUAUCCGCUCUUUACUGAGUAUUCUUCACGCUUGUCAUAAUGCCACAACAUCUCAUCCUCCUUUUGGCUUCUUGGAAGAGGAAUUUUGAGAAUAGCCUCUGUAUCUUCUUGCAUAAAAUGCUGGUUCAGCUUUGCCACAUUCCAGUUGUUUUCAUCAUCAAUCAGAUCAGCCACAGUUGUAUCAAUUGGCAAGGUUGGGGGAGAGAUUGGUUUAAAAGUGUCCAGUCUUCGUAUCCAAUUGUCUUUAUACACCAGAAUGUUGCUGCCAUUUCCAAUACGCCACCCCGCUCCUUUUUGAAUAACUUGCCUUCUCCAUAAAAUGCUCCUCUAUAUAAACGAUGGGUUGGACCCAGAUUUUGCAUCUAAAAAAGAGCAGCUUCUAAAGUAUCUUGCCUGAAGAACUUUGGAAACUAGGGAGUUUGGGAAUUGAAUCAGCCGCCACCCUUGCUUUGCCACCAUAGCUUGAUUAAAGCUUGUGAAGUGUCGAAAUCCCAAUCCUCCCCUACUUUUUGCACAACUCAGUUUGUCCCAUCGAGCCCAAUGGAUGCCCCGCUUAUCUUUUUUAGCCCCCCACCAGAAUUUUGCGAUUGCACUUUGAAUUUCCUCACAUAAGCCUUUAGGGAGCUUGAAAACACUCAUGGCGCAUGCAGGGACAGCUUAAGCAACAACUUUUAUAAGGAUUUCUUCGCCUCCAUUUGAAAACAUUUUGUACUGCCAAUUAUUAAUCUUGCUUAAGACCUUUAGCUUGACUUCUCUAAAAAACCUUGUCUUCUUCCAUAAAAUUUAUAAUCUAAAAUUAAUGAUGUGACAAUUAACAUACGUGUUAUUAAGUUAAUAGAGUAAGAAGUCCCAAAUACAUGUACAUCAUAUAUUGCUAAAGAAAUCAGUUCUGCCAGAAUACUUCUUUCUAUUGAAAUUAAUGAUGAUUGUUUGUUUACAUCAUGAAAGUUCAAAUAACUUUGUAACUAAUUGUUAGAGUGUAAUUUAUGCACUAGUUUUGCAUUGUUUACUUCCUUUAAUAUCGAUGAUUUGCACUUAAUAAUAGUGAUUUACUUGUGUUUUAUUUCUGUAGGUGUAAUUCUAUUGAUUGGUGCUAAAAUUGAGCUACAAGAUGAUGUUUGAGGAUGAUUGUUUUCCAAGAGAAAUUAUGAGCUUCAGAAGAACUUUGUUGAUAAGGCAUGGGUGCGUGCUGUCAACUACGGACCUGCAGUUUUUAGUUUAACGUGUUUUGUUUAACGUGUUUUGACUUUUUGGUUAUUUUUGUAAUUACAAAUUUAAUAUUUAGAUAAUAUUUUAGAUAUUAGUAUUUUAUUUUAAAAAGAACUCUAGAGGAGAAGAGAGAGAGUAGAAUUUAAGAGAGGAAUCUAUUGUGAAAAGAGGAGAUUUUUUUGAAAAGAAAGAAACCCUAAAUCUAAAUUUUUCUCUUCUCUCUAUGAAGAACUAAACCUAUUAUCCUAGUUGAAGGUUAAUCAAGCUUUGAUUCGUCACUACAGUGAGAUCUUUCUUAUGCUUUAAUUGUUUUAUUACUUUUUGGGUAUUUGUUUAUUCUCUGAAUUAUUGUUAUGAUUAUGUUUGUUAAUUAGAUAAUUGGCCACUAUUUAAUUAUCAACUUAAUCUAUUGUCAAUUAAAAGAUUCAUCGUAUGCAAAUUUUAAUGUUUGUGACAAAUAGCAUAGCAGUGCAUUGUGUUAUGAGAAUAAACAAUCUAAUUUAAAUGAACCAUCAUAUGCGUUUGUUGAUUAGGAUUUGGGUCUCUCUGUUUUUUCAGGCUGUCAAUUGAUUAAAUCCUACGAUCGUAUCUAGGGUUGUCUAUUGAUUAGGGAAAUAACCAAUGGUUGUACCUUGGUUAUCGACUAGUUAAGGAGAGAUUGGCUAUUAGAGGGUCUCAGUAGCUAUAACCGGUCUAUUCAUAAGUAGUAAUGAUUUAUAUUUGAAUCAAUGAUCAACAGUCGAAUCAAGCUGAGUUAAUUCCUUCAACCAGAACUUUCCCCAAUUUGAAUUACAAUUUUAAUUUGCACUCUUGUUAUUUUAAUUUGAUUUUUAUUAUUGUCAACAAAUCUCCCAUUUUACAUUUUACAUUUUAAAAGGAUUUAAUAUUACCGAUCUCUGUGGACACGACCCUGCUCAAUCACUAUACACAAUUUAUUUAGAGUAGGUAUUUAUUUUUGCUGGCUUCGACAACCAUUACUAAUUUCAUUCUUUAAUUUACGGUAUACAAAUAAAUUCAAAAAAUGUUAAUUUCUCUCAUACUUUUAAGACUAAAAAAUAACAAAAAGUCUUAACAUAUUUAACGGUUAUAUAUAAAUCAUCCGUACAUAUUUUUCUUGUGAGAAGCUCAAUUCGAUAGACAACGCUCCCCUUAAUUUUCUUUUCUAGUUAGAUAAAAGAACAAAAGAAAUUGAUUACAAGAAUUAACGACGAAGUCACCUUGGACUACCUGAUAUAUAUUACAGAGGUAAGCUUUUUUUUACUGCCUAACUAGAAUAACAAACUUUAAUUUACUUCUUAAAGUGUAAAAGCCUCAAUUUAUCCUUAUAUUUGUUCAAAAUAUAAGGGAAUAUAUAUAUAUAUAUAUAUAUAUAGUCAUUCUUCAGUGCACGCGCCCUCAUUUUUUUCAUACGGACACACUUUAAAACUACAGGGUUUAAGAGAGUUAAUUUUUUAAUUCUUUAAACUCGAAUCAUUGUAUAGUUCAUCCAAUAACUAACUCUUUUAAACUGCACGGUUUUAAAAUGUGUCCGCAUUAAGAAAAAUAUGGGCGUCUGCACCUGAGAAUGAUUACAUACACAUAUAUUGUUUUCUUGAUAUAAACAAGUUAAAUUGAUGUUUCACAUUUUUUUAGGAAUAAAUUAAAAAUUGUCAUUCUAAGUAGGAGGUAAAUUUCAAAUAAAACAUGUGUUCAUAUGAUAGAUGUGCAUUUCACAAUAAUUAAUAAAUAAAAAGGGUAGUGAUAUUUUCACCCGGCAAUUUUUGUAAAUCCACCCCACUGCCAAGAAAUAAUUACAAUAAAUUCACAUAAUUUUUUAAAAAUUCAAAUAAAGAAACAUUUUGGAGAUUUAAACUAUUAGAUACAACAGGAUAAGCGUAAACAUUUUUCAUGCAGUAUAAAAGAAUGCAACAGCUCCUUUUCUUUCGGUAUUUUCGCAACAAAAGCACACUUAAUAACUCAUCAAAUUAUUUCUCAUUUUCUUUGAUCGCUUCGCCUUUCCUAGAGCUGCUGAACUCCUUUGUUGCUGGUGAAGUGAAACAACAUGUGACGCAUUUCAAAAGACCACAAUAUGUAUAAAGAGGAACUAAUUACACUAUCAAUGGCUUAAGGUUACCUUAAUGCAGAAGAGGAAAAAGAGAUGGAGAUUCGAUUUGAUCCGAUAAUAGAAGUUUAUUUUAAUUUUUAUUCAUUUGAUUUCAUAGUAGUAAUUUUUAUUUUUCAAAAAUUGGUAAAAACGAACUAAAAUGAGAUAAUUACAUUAAAACAAUCUUCAAUGACUAAAGUAAUUUGAAUAUAAAAAACUCAAAAGAAAUAAGCUCAAAAUUUACCCCUAAUCUGAACAUUAUCCGAAUUCAACCUAACAAACCCAAAUAUGAUUUUAAUCCAAACCCGACAUGACUGGUAUAUAAUUAUAACCCGCUCAGAUCCAAACUCAACCUAAAUUCUUAAUUCAAUUUGAUCCAAUUCAAAUAUUCCUACCCAAUCAAAUUGAAACUUGAUCAGGUUGAUCCGAAGGAAGGGUUAUGUACUGGCAAAUAGAAAUUAAACCAACAUUAUCACCAUAAUAGGUACAUUAUUACCAUCAAAGAUCAAGAUCUGAAUGGAUGCACAGCAGCCAUCCUCAAGACCAAAAGAGGAAGAAAUUGAAAUAGAACAACCACCUUAAGGUGGAGAAGGCCAGAACAAGACACCCAUUCUCAAAUCAUAAGGAAGAGGUGGGUGCAACCAAAAAAAAAAAAAAAAAAAGAGAAUCCACUGGAGAGGGCAAGAAAGAUUUCUGCCUCCAAAGAUUUGGUGAGGAAGAGAUGAGGAAUUUGGAGAGGAAAAGUUUUCGAAGAGAUCUAGAGAUUGGCUUUAAAAAUGUGUUUUAAAGAAAAAGUUGUUGAGAGGAUAAAUAUGCAAUCAAUCCUGUACUCUUCAUGUUUGUUGACUGUGUAAUGUUUAUCCACUAAGCGUAACCAUGACGGUUGGAUUGAGUGAAUAAAAUAAAGAACAUUACAACCCAUGAGUCCAAGCACUUAAAGUUGGCAUGAGUGCAUGGGUUAUUGUCGGGACUCGAUUUCCUUCCUAAUUAAAUUGGAUAGGGAUAAAAUUAUUUCUUUAUUAAUAAAAAUAGAAUAGAUAUUUCUCUCGAUUUUCCUUCUAAUUAAAUUGGAUAGGACUAAAAUUAUCUUAUGAUUAAUAAGGAUAUAAUAUAUAUCUUUCUAGUAUUGUGUGAUGGUAGAAAUUUGGGUUGUAUCAUAUUAAAAUUAUCCAGGAUAAUCUUGAUAGAAUUAAUGCAAAGAAUUAAGAUAAAGCCUCAAAGAUGGAACAAAGGUAAAAAAAGAAAAAAGAGUACAAGACAAAGAAAUUAGAAAAAAAAAAGAAAAAAAGAAGACGAAGAAUAAAAGAAAAAAUAAUUUGAAAAAAAAGGACUGCAUUUUUAAAUUUUAAAUAAGGAUAAAUAGUAGUGGAUGCCAUUGUUGGUAAUUUAUUAUAUUUCAAAGCUCAAAUAAGGAAUAAGAUUAUUAUUAUUAUUGUUUUUGCAAUAACUCGUUUCAAAUUUUAAAAGAUUAUAACUUUUCAUUUUUAACAUUUUAAUCAUAAAUUAAAAAGGAGUUACUAUUCAAAAUUCCUAAGAAUAAUGAAUAAAAAUGAUAAAUAUUAUUCUAAGAAAAUGAUAAAUUUGGAUAUACUUAAAUAUUUAUAAAUUAUUAAUUAUUUUACUAUUUGCCCCUUAGCUUCAUGUUUGGGGAAAAAAUAUACUAAAGUGGCUUUCAAUAAAAAAAUUUAUUAUUAAAAAAAGUAUGAUUAAAAUUAUAACAAAUGAUAUUAAUAAGAAAGAAACUAAUAAAAUUUGGAAUUAGAAAUGGGAGUUAAGGCUUCGGUCUUUGAAUUUCUCUAAAUUUUACAUAUUUUUUUAUUUUUAUUCCGUCGAAUUACAUUAGUAAUGGAAUAUCAAUAAAUUUUGUGGGUUAAUUUGUCUUUUAAAUACUUUGAAGGGUAAAAUGGUAUUUUAGAUGGUAAAAGUCAACUAAUUAAUUAAUGAUUUAUUUUUUUAAAUUUAAAGCACCAAGUGGUGGGGGGUUAGGAAAGACCCCUACUUGUGAUAUAAAUCAAUAAUGAAGAAGUACAUAGGAGGGGGAUAUAAACCAAAACCUCCUCAAGUAAAUACAAACACAUAAGAAUGAAGGCAAGAGAAUAAAACAACAACUGAAAGAAUAGCACGAGUAAUCCUAUCGCCUGAUAUGAGGAAUCUCCUUAGCAUCCAAAUGAAGAAUGCUAGAUAGGCCAGCGAGAAGUUCCCGAAAAGACAAAAAAACAUCAGUUAACUCGAUGAGUGUAAGCCCAAUUAGCCAGAAAAUCAACAGCAUAAGUAGGUGGAGUCUGACUCUACUUUUAGCACGGAGUGUCCAAGCUGAACUGCGAGAUCUAAUCCCUCAUAGACAACCAUAAGCUCAACAUAAAUUAUUGGUUGGUUACCAAGGAAAGAUCCAAAAGCAGCCAAAACCUCCCCCUGAUGAUCACAGAGAAUACCACCCGAAGCAGCCAUCCCGGGAUUGCCCCCGAGCAACCAUCCACAGUCAGUUUAACAAACCCCAAAGGCAGCCGAAACCAAGAGACUAAAUGAAUUGGCCUUUUUGGUGGUGUGAUUAUUCGCAAACCCUCUGUAAUCCUAGAAUCCAACACUCCUCGAAGCUGGGAAGUUUUGAAACCAAAAGCAGAACUAGCAAGCCCAAGGUCCAAUCCCACCUGGUGGACAAUUGCAACGAGAAAUAUUGUGAAUCAAAUUUGAAAGCAUUACGAGCCUUCCAAAUAUACCAUAAGAUAAAAGAAGGUAGGAGAACUUGAAGAUGGCUCCGAAAAAGGAUGCACCAUCACCAAUGAAGAAGCAGAGCAUGAGGGGUCGGAAACACAACUGCAUGCAUACCUAGAAUCUGUCAAAACUAAUCCCAAACCAACCUAAUCUGCGGGCAAGCAGGGAAUAAGUGACGAGCAGUCUCAGCCACCUGACCACAAAUGCGUCAAGAAACCAUGUAAAAACCCCUUGAACAUAAGGCGUCAUCAGUAGCCAAAAAUCCAUGCAACAUCCGCUAGAGAAAGAAGGAAAUCCAAGAAGGGGUGAGCCACUGGCAAAUAAGAGAAAAGACCUUAAUUCUUAGUUUAGUACAACGCACAAGCUCCCACGUUGAUCGUAAUUAAAAAGUGCCAUCGGUAGUGAGAUCCCACCUAAUCAAGUCUGGCUCCGACCUAGAAAUAGGAACUAAAAGAAUCUAUGCCAUGAUAGAGAGGGUAACACAUCCUGGAGUUUACCUUGAUCCCAGACUGUACCCUGCUAGUAAAAAGAAACUGGAACUAUAGAAGCCGCUGCAGGGUUAUAAAGUGCUAAAGGGCAAGACCCUAGUCAACAAUCAUACCAGAAGCUACACUCCCCCCGGCCUAUCAACCAAUGCACAUGGGGCCCUACAAUACACUGAAUCAAAUAGAGGCAUCUCUAAAGUGGAAAAGCAAGAUAACGAAACUGAACUAGGCUCAGAUGUGUGGCUAUACAAUACUUAGACUUCAUAUACGAAGCCCAUAGUGAACUCUGCUCUUGAAAGCGCCACCAAAGUUUAAGUUCUAAAGCCUUAACCAUAUCAUUAGAAGACCGAAUACCCAGACCACCCUCCUCUACCAGGUAACAAACCGUCGUGCAUCUACAUCAGUGAAUCCGAUGCUUUGUAUCGGAAUCUCCCUAUAAGAAUCGUUUAAAAAUUCUCUCUAAGCGGUGGAUCACAACAUAUGGAGGGCUAAGAAUGUCAAACAAAUGCAUCAUAAUAGAAGAUAGAACAUGGCGAAUAAGCAUCAAUUUCCCUCCAAAAGAGAGCAAUCGAUUGGCUCAUGCUGAGAUUCUAUUCCUGACAUUCUGAACCAUAUCGUCAAAAAGAGAAAUCUAACGACAACCCUUAAAGACAGGGCACCCAAGAUAAGUAAGCAGAAGUUUGCGUCUCUGAAAACCAGUAACUGAAUGGAGAAUAGUCUGGCGUGAAGCAGUAGCUGAGUCCCCAAUAUACAAAGUAUUGUUGUCCUGAUUGAUACACUAUCCGGAAAUAGUCUCAUAGUGGUGGAGGAAAUUUGAAAGACGCUGCAAACUGGUCCUACUCCCAUUAACAAAGAUAAAAAUAUCAUCUGCAAAGCUCAGAUGAGACUGUCAUAAGGGUCGAGGUUCUAUAUGCCAUGGAAGGAUACCGAGAAUAAAGGGAAUCUAGACUUCUAGAGAGAAACUUAGCUGUAAUAAUAAAAAGACACGAGGAUAUAGGAUCGCCUUGUCGCAGGCCUCCAUGAGACUGAAAGAAUCCAUGGCAAGAAUCAUUGACCAGAAUAGAGUACCAUGGACCAGAGAUGGCCCGGUAAAUGAGGGAAAUCCAUCGCUUUGAAAAACCAAGGCUCCGAACCAUCAAAAGAAUGAACGACCAUGACAUCCUAUCAUAAGCCUUAGCCAUAUCUAAUUUAAAAACAACAUUAUUCCCAUGGGUCCUCCUAUUUAAAUCAUGAACAGGCUCCUACACCAACAAAAUAUUAUCAUGGAUUACCCUACCUAGAACAAAGCCACUCUGUGAAAGAGAGAUAAUCUGAGGCAGAAUGUGCGAGAGUCGUGUAACUAGUAACUUCGUAACGAUUUUGCUACUGAUGUUGCAUAGGCUAAUAGAUCUGAAGUUUGCCCGUGUUAAUGGAGAAGUCUUCUUCGGUAGAAGGACCAGAAGUGUACUCUAAAAGCCUCGUGGUAUAGCUGAACUUGAGAAAAAAUCAAUCACAAGAGCCAUCAAAUCACAACAAAUAAUUUCCCAACAAAUUUGAUAAAAUCUGCUACAGAAACCAACAGGCCCGGGCGCACUUAAAGGAUCUAUAGAGAAUACAACUUGGCAAACCUCCUCUAUGUUAUGAACUCUAUAUAGCUCCACAUCCUCCUCAUCUGAAACUAAAGAUGGAAUAUCAUCAAAGUCUGAUAAUUGAAACUAGCUGGUACCUCCAGAAAGCAAAUCUUAUUAGAAAUGAACAGUCGAAGCAACAAUAUCUGUAGAAUUAGCAUCCUGAAUCCUGUGAAUAAAACACUGCUGACGCUUCUUUCUAACCACAGCAUAGUAGAAACGAGUGUUCGAAUCCCUCUCUCGGACCCAUCGAAUACCUAACUGCAAUCUAAGAAAAGUCUCAUCACUGGAUAAAGCAUGUAGUAAUCUCGCUCUAGCCUCAGAAAAAAAAUGGUUCUAUCCUCUGCCGACGCAGACAUAUAAAAAAGGAGCUCCCGAUGAGCCACUUCCACUUCAGCCGCUCUAACUCUCUGAAAGACAUCUCUGAAAAUGUCUUUGUUCCAAGACUUUAAACAAAGUUUCAACCAAACUAACUUCUUCUGAAAGGCCCGCAUCCCUCUACCUAUCACUGGUGCUGACUAGGACUGCCUUACCAUGUCGAAAAAGCUUGAAUGUGUGAUCUAAGAAUGAAGGAACUUAAAUCUUGACUGUCCCCUAACCCACUGUCAAUCAAGAGAUAAAAGGAGGGGAGCAUGGUCUGAUAUAGUACGAUUCAUAUGAGUAACCCUGAAGACUGUAAAAAGACUAGACCAUUGUAAGUUGCAAACCACCCUAUCCAGAGUCGCCAAGUAUGCCCAUUAAUCCAAGUGAAUGAGCUACCUAAAAAGCCAACAUCCUCCAAACUACAGUCUAGUACAGCCAAAUUAAAGGCAUCUAUAAGGACUUGAGUCUGGUUAUGUCCACCGGAGAUCUCAGAUAAAGACUGAACAACAUUAAAGUCUCCCCCAACCAUCCAAGGACCAUCCAUACCAUCAGCAAAAGACACAACAGCAUCCCAUAAUUGUUCUCUUACAGAGAUGAACAACUGGCAUAAACAAGUGAGAUAAAUACAAUAUCAGGAAGAAAUUAGUGACUGGCCCGAUAGUGCAGAACCUAUCCCACAUCCUGAAUAACCUCCAAUGUAAAAGAAGCCAACCAGAAAACCCAAAUCUUCCCAGAAGAAGAGGAAAUAGCUGAUUCUAUUCCUAGUCGAUUCCGAGUGGACUCAAGUUUGUCUAAAUAAAGAAAAUGCUCCAACACACAAACUAAGGACAAAUAGUGCAUGUGAAUAAGUUUCUUCAAGCAACUGCAGGGGCUUUACCGAUGCCCCGUAUAUUCCACAUAAUGGAAUUAAUCAUCUAUGUAAAUAGAAGCGAGAAUUGUCCCCUUAAUUAUUUAAUAACUCAGGUAUUUAUUAUCAAGUACAUCAUCUUAUUCAACAUUUUGGCUAUAUAUAAAGAUUAUAAUUUCUAACAGUUGUUUCGGAUUCUUGUGUACUCAGGUUAAUAGGGCAAAUGUCAGAAUGAAGACUGUUCAGUUUAACCGGUUUAGCAAGGAUGAUAUCGGUGAAGAAGAUUGUUGGCAGGCCAAAUAGAGCCCUCCAUUUUGAGAAAUAUCAUCCGCAAAUUUGAAUUGUUGAGCAUGUGAAGUUAACCUUCUUAGUGAGUGAGAAAUUAAGCAUAUAUCAGUGAUUUUGGUCGUCAGUGAAUGUUUUCAUUUAAUAUUAAUACACUGUCGUUUCUUAGUAAAUUCUCUUCAUGUCACUUCCUCCUUGUCGUUCUUAUGGAAAUACCUUCCUUUUUGACCAGUAGCGGCUCGACCUCUAGGCAACUUAGGCGAUUGCCUAGGGCCCCGCUUUACAUGAAGGCCCCACGAGAUGAUUAUUUUGUAUGUAAAAGGGGAAAAUGGAUUUAAAAGUCAUUAUUAUUCAUUUAAUUUAUUAUUAUUUUGUCAUUAUCUUUUCCUAAAUAAACUAUCAAAUUCCUAUAAAGUUUAUUUAAUGUAGUACUUAGUAGUUUUAGUUUCUGCAAAACUGAUAAAUUAAUAGUUUCAAUUCUACAAAUUCUCUAUUUCAUUGUUAGAAUUAAUAUAUUAUAUUUUAAAAGUUUUAUAUUCAUUUUAAACCUCUAUAAAAGCCCCACAUUUUAUUACUUAUCCAUUGAAUUUUUCCUCCAACAAUCAAGAUAUGAUAUGUUCUUGGUGUUCGAGAGAAAGAAAGAGAGAGAGGGAAAAAGAUCCUGCUUCCUCUACUUUCCACGCAAGAAGAAAAAGAAAAAAUCUAAUAGUUUUCUCUAUUCUCUAUGACUAUUGGUCAUUACUUAAAUCCUCAAACAAUUAAUAUAAACAUAAUUUAUGAUUUCAUCUCAAUUUUCAGAUUUUAUCUUUUUAUUAUUCGUUUAAUUAGUUGUGUUAUUUAUUUGUUCUUAUUUCUUUUUAAUAUAUUCUUUUAUUCAUCUACUUUUUUGUGUGUACUUGUUUUAUCUAUUUUAAAAUAAAACUAUAUUGAAAAACUUUAAAGAAUAGAAGAAUAGAAAAAUUAGUUUAAUUUAGAAAAUGAGUAGUAAAAAAGAUAUAAUUUGAGUUAAAAAAAUAAGUGGAAAUAUUAUAAUUGAAUCAAAAUUUAAUGCAUUAGCAACAUUAGAAUAGAAUUUUAUUUAAUAAUUUUAAAUUUUAGAGUGUUUAAAGAAUUGAUUUUCAAUAAAUAAUAUAUAUAUAUAUAAUCUUAAAUUUUAAGAAAAACUAAUUAAAAUCAUUUGCCUAAGGCCCUAAAUAUGGUUGAGCCGGCCUUGUUUUUGACAUGCAAAAUACAUUACAAAAGCUCCCAAACAAUAUAUUUGAACGAAGUUACCCUUUUCGAGAAUUUUGACUCCCAAACAAGCCUGCAGAGUGGUGUAUGGUGGGAUUAGCUGCAGGAGCAGUGCAAGAUUCUUCGUCAAGCUAUCUGGCUGGUAAAAAGACUGUUGCCAAACCUCCUUUUCAUUCCUUUGUUCACUUAUUCAUUAUAAAUAGAGUAAACUUAGAAGAUUGUUCUGUUAACUAUCUAAGCCAGUGUAACAUUUGUUAAAUUUGGGCCAUCUUGAAUGUCUGACAGGUUGUCUGUGACAAUCCCAGCUGUAAGUACUAAUGCAUUUGGGCCAUCUUUAAUGCACUUGUGCUUUCAUUGAACUGUAUGCAAACAUGAGAUAUCAGCUAUUGCGUGGAUUUGAUAGAGCGGUCACCAACCAAUUUGAAGUUAUUGGAGUAGCUCAAUGUUCUCAAGCACGGCUUUGAGGUCUCUCCCUGUCUCUUUUACGUAUUUGUCUAUUGAUCGACAUCUCUAUAUAUACAUUAAUAGACCAAAUUACUCUUGCUUUAAUGUUUUGUUUGUUGAACUUCGACUGGGGAAUUUGUUUAUUUGUCUCAUAUGAUGUCAAUGUGGUUCCCAUUGAAGUGUAUAGAUCUAUCACCUCAAAUUCUGAUUUCAAUUUUCCUUAAUCAACUAGCAUCCUUUCCAAGUCCAGAUAAUUACCAUUUCUCUUAUUUUACAGUUAAAUAUGUAAGAAUAGUUUUAAAUUUACAGAAUUCUGAUAUAGUUCUCUAAGGAAAUGGGAGUGGUGAAUAUGGUUCCAUCUUUUUAAUAGGCUUAAUAGGCCCAUUUGUUGAGCCACAGAAUUCUGAUUGCGGUCUAAAUUCUUCUUUACUGUCUAUAUGUGUUGGAGUUUGUCUAUUGUCCAACUUCUCGAAGGGAUUCCAUGCAGGGUUUUGACUGUCCAAUUAGGAGAAAGAUCAACGGAUGACCUUUUGAAGAAGGCUUACACAAGAGGGCAUCUCAGAAUGUCAUGGCUCAGCUCAAAAGUCCCUAGGUGGUUGAUACCAAAGAAUGCCAUUGUUUCUGGGCCUGGGCUCCUUGGCGUCAAACAAGAUAAUGUUGACUCUAUUGAAGGGCAAAUAGGGGCAACUAAAGCAUAUAAUGUGUUUUUGUCACUUUUGUGAUACACUUUUGACCGCAAGUUUCCAUUUGAAGUAGCCGAUAUUCUUUACAGACUAAUUAUCUAAUGAUUAUUUUGUACAAAAAAAAUCAUAACUUUAAUUAAUUGAUCAUACUCAACUUAGGUCUUGUUUGAUAUUACUAGUUGUUGUGAAAAAAAAAAAAAACUGAAAGCUGACAAUGUGUAGUAAAUGUAUGACUUUUAGAUAAUAAUUUUAAUAAAAUUAAUAAAGAUAUUAUAAUUUUUUUAUAAUAAAGUAUGAGAUCAAAUCAAAUUAAUUUUUAAGUCAUAAUAGCAAAUGUUUAUCAAAACUGUUUAAUUACGUGGCUUAAAAAGUAUAGUUGUCCAACCUCAACAUUAUAUAAGGAUUUACCAGACUCUACCCGACUUUAGUUGUCCUUACUCGAUCAUGCAAGUCCAUACUCGAUAUGCUUGACCAUAUAAGAUGUUACUCAACUUUAAUUAAUCUUGCUCGACUUUGCAAGUUUGGCAUGUGGGAUGGAAUAUGAUAGUAUAUGAUGUGAUAGAAUAUUAUAGAAAUAGUUGUAACAGGAUUACAUUUAGUACUAUUUAAUAUUUUAUGUAAUGCAGUAGAUGGUUGAAUUAUAGGAUCUAGUUAUGGUGCAAUUGUUGUACCAUACCACAGUUGCUUUCAGCCAUUGGAUCUAUUCAUCUUUAGUAAAAUUGUAAUAUCUUAAAUAAUAGUUAUCUUUAGUAAGUAUUUUUUGUAAUGAAUUAUACUUUUAAAAUAUAAUCGAAAAUUCUUUUACUAAACUAAUAAAAAAUAAUUAUUUGAGUUAUCUCCUAAACUACUUAGCUCAGGUGAACGAAACAGUAGUUUUACGUGGGAGCCACAUCCUUUCCACAUCAACCUCAACAUCCAAACAUGAAAUUGGACUAAAAAUAGUUCUCUCCCAUGAAUUUAUGUACCCUCCUGCCACUAGGGGUGUUCGCGGAUCAGAUUUUAUGGAUUGAACCUCAAUCUAUAUUCGAUCCAUGAUUUUACGGAUUAUAAACUUUCAAUCUAAUCCAAUCCAUGGAUUGAUGAAAUUUAAUCUACAUUCAAUCCAUACAUCUAUGGAUCAGAUGUGGAUUUGACCCAAUCCACCAUUUUACAGAUUGGUUUGCGGACUGAAAUUUUUUAACACUACUAGAAAAAUGGUCUUUACCGACACUUGGUUUGUGACACUUUAUUACAAAGUAUCAGUAUUUGUAUACAUAUGGGCCAUUUUCCAUGUUUAACACAUAAGUAUUACAAAUUAAUGAUACUAUGGUGUCUGAAAUUUGGACAUCAGAAAUCACUGACACUAAAGUAUCAGUAAUAAAAAUAAAAUAAUUCUAAUCAUGUAACGGAUGGAAUCCGAACCGGGGACCUCGAACAUCGGAACAUUUAAGUGACACUAAGGUAUCAGUAAAAGAAAAUAAAAUUUAAAUUUCGUUCCAAACUGAUAUUCGAACCUAGGACUUUUCAAAGCCAAAGCUUUUAAGUUGAAAAUUGAAACCGUUAUGACUUUUUGUUAGUUAUGGUACUGAAUUAGUAGAAUAUUAUGUUUUUAAUAUGAAGAACUUGAAAUGUAUUGAGCGCGGCUGAGUGAAAAUUUUAGCGGGUUUUGGCUGAAAAUUUACUAGUAAAUAAUAUAUAAGUGACACUAAGGUAUCAGUAAAAGAAAAUAAAAUUUAAAUUUCGUUCCAAACUGAUAUUCGAACCUAGGACUUUUCAAAGCCAAAGCUUUUAAGUUAAAAAUUGAAACCGUUAUGACUUUUUGUUAGUUAUGGUACUGAAUUAAUAGAAUAUUAUGUUUUUAAUAUGAAGAACUUGAAAUGUAUUGAGCGCGGCUGAGUGAAAAUUUUAGCGGGUUUUGGCUGAAAAUUUACUAGUAAAUAAUAUAUUUUCAGUUAGAAACGGUAUCGUUUCACUUAGAAAAAAUAAAGAUAAGUAAAACGCAUCGUUUUAUUCAACUCUAAGACCAAAAUCGAAGCUAAUUUUUUUCUAAGUCAUUCACUCAUCAGUCUUUCACCCCUCGGUUCUCCUUCUCUGUCAAAGCUAAGUAAACCAAACCCUAAAAUCAUAUCCCUCACUGUAAUCAAACUUCACGUCGAUCCCAACCAAGCUCGAAGCAGAGGAAUUCAUUUCUAUCAUGAUUUGGUUCUCUCUCUCUCUCUCUUCACUGCGAUAAAUUCGUUUAUGAAGGGGCAUUUUAUUCAUUUUUUUCUUUUUAAUUAUUAUGUUUCCAAUUUACAGUGCCUAUUUUCCUCAUGCAUGUUGUUUUGUUGCGGUUUAACUAUAGAAUGAGUUUUAAAAUUCUUAGUUUUAUAUUGUAAUCUUGAUUGUUUAUAAUUUGGGACCUGGGAAAACCUAAUAGAGAGGUAAAGGUAACUAAAGUUGAAUUAUUGUACUAGAUUAUUUAACUAAGAGUAGUUUUAUAAAUGCCUGAUUCAAAUCAGUUUUCUUUCGUCUCUUUCUUUAGUUGCCAUGUCACUGGACUUUGAAUUUCAUGUACACUUUAACUGGAAUUGAUGGAUACAAUGUCAAUGCAGAUUUGGGUUUUUCUCAUUUUCCCCAUUUCUCGAAAUUGCAUUUUAAAUUUUGCAUGAUGCUUUUAAUUUUGGGCCUAACUUGUUCCAUUUAAUUAGCGCUUGAUAAAGAUACAUAUUAACAAAGGGUCAAUUCAUUAAUCCUUUCCCUGUAAUGCACUUGCUAGACUUAGUAUAAAUGCAAUAUCUCACAUGCAAACCCUUCGACAACAACAAGUAUUGUCCUUAAUUUUUUUUUAUGUGAUUUCCCUUGUACAGCUCUCUGACAUAGUAAUUAACAAUCUCUCGCUUUUGAAGAAUCACAAAAGUUUACGGGGUAACAGCUGUCUUCAUUUGGUAAUUCUUUUAAAUCACUCACUUUCUUUCAAUUUCUAUCAUCGUUGUGUUCUGAGUUUUACUUGUACUGACAUGUUUUAAAUAUUGACAUGCAUGGUUUUACUUUCGUUUUUGUUGCAUAGACUGUUCUGGAAUAAAAUUUUUUAUUCUAAUAUAUACUUUUGUUUGUUCUAAUAUGAAAAUGAAAUUUUGAAAAAUGUGGAUGUGGCAUGUUUUGUUGGCUUGGUGAAUGUGUACAUGUAAGUUAGAUUUGCUGGCUUGGUGAAUGUGUACAUGUAUGCUCUGUUGGCUUGUUGAAUGUGUACAUGUAUGCUUUGUUGGGUUGCUGAAUGCUUACGUAUAUGCUCUGUUGGGUUGCUGAAUGCGUACAUAUAUUUAAGUGACUCUAAACAAAUAGAAUUUAGAUUUAUUUUGCAAUUUUUAUUUUUUUAUUUAAACCUAAAAGUUUGGAGUUAUUUGUGCAAUUUAAGUAAACUUAUUAAACUAACAACAUCUAACAAAUGAACAGGUAACAAUACAUAUUAUGGACAAAACUUGGAUAUUCUGUGAUAGAUUGUCUGAUGAGUAUAGUGAUGGGGUUGAUGAUUUCUUGGAGUUUUCCAUUCUUAAUUCUGAAAAUAGAAUGUCAAUUAGAUGUCCUUGUACUACUUGUUGUAAUAUGGAGUUUUUGAGUCCUCAACAAGUGAGGCUACAUCUAUUUAAAAAAGGUUUUCUAGAAAACUAUUUAGUUUGGAAUUGGCACGGUGAGGUGGACCGGAAACCUGCCUCUGUAAAAUGCCAAGACCAGCCACAAAAUCAACGUUUUAGAUGUCCGGAUUAUAGUUAUGUAGACGACUUGGUUCAUGAUGCUUUUGAGCAUUGUGAUAAAGAUUCUAGUUCUUUUAAGAAUGUGCUUGAAGAUGCUGAAAAGCCCCUAUAUCCAGGUUCAAAGCAUUCAAAGUUAUCGAGUCUAAUGAAAUUGUACAAUAUAAAAGGACUUUAUGGCUGGUCUGAUGGUGGGUUUUCAGUUUUGUUGGAAGUGCUUAAUGAGAUAUUGCCAAAUGAUAAUAGUUUGCCUAAGUCCAUGUAUGAGGCCAGAAAAAUAAUGAAGCUAUUAGGCUUAGAUUAUGAGAAAAUACAUGCAUGUUGAAAUGAUUGCAUUCUUUAUAGGAAUGAGUUCGAGAAUCUUAGUGAAUGCCCAAGGUGUGGAGCAUCUAGGUGGCAAAUAAGAAAAGAUGGAUAAAAAAAAAUUAGAAAGGGGGUCCCUAAAAAGGUGUUAUGGUAUUUUCCUUUAAUUCCUAGGUUGAAAAGAAUGUUUCAAUCACCACAAACUGCUGAGAACUUAACAUGGCAUGAAAAUAAAAGAAUUAGAGAUGGCAAGCUUCGCCACCCAGCAGAUUCACCAGCUUGGCAGUUAAUUGAUAAGAAAUGGCGUGAUUUUGCCCAAGAGCCAAGAAAUCUUCGGUUCGCUUUAUCAUCUAAUGGGAUUAACCCACAUAGCACACUUAGCACUACUUAUAGUUGUUGGCCUGUUACAUUGAUAACAUAUAACCUUCCUCCGUGGCUAUGUAUGAAGAGGAAAUUUAUGAUGUUGUCUCUACUGAUAUCUGGCCCUAAACAACCUUGGAAUGACAUAGAUGUAUACCUAGCACCAUUGAUUGAGGACUUAAAAACCCUAUGGGAUGUAGGCGUCGAUGUGUUUGAUGGUUAUAGGAAAGAAACUUUUAAUUUACAAGCUGUGUUGAUGUGGACAAUUAGUGAUUUUCCAGCUUAUGGAAACCUGUCUGGGUGUACUGUUAAGGGGUAUUAUGGUUGUCCAAUUUGUGUGCUAAACACAUGUACAUGUUGGCUACCGCAUAGUCGGAAAAUGUCAUAACACCAAGUUUGGGAAAAAGGUCUAAAAAAAGUGAAAACGGGGUGAGGUUGAGGGUCACAAUAAGGAUCAAGGUGAGGGUAACAGUAAGGGUAACAGUAAGGGUAAAGGUGAGGGUGAGGGUGAGGGUGAGGGAGAUGGUGAGAUUGAAGGUGAGGGUGAGGGUAAUGGGGAUGUAGCUCAGUUGCUAUACAAAAAGAGAUCAAUCUUCUUUGAUUUAGAAUAUUGGGAACAUUUGUUAGUUCGCCAUCAACUAGAUGUGAUGCAUAUUGAGAAAAAUGUAUACGAGAGCAUCUAUGGCACAUACUCCAUCAAGCGGGGAAAACAAAAGAUGGAAUUAUUGCUAGAAAAGAUCUUACACAUCCAGAGCUUAGAGAAAAAAUUAACAAAGCAUUGAUUGUAUUAGCUCCUAUUGAACAAAACAAAGUCCUGCCCCCUGCCCCGUACACUUUAAGUAAGAAGGAAAAAAAAUUGUUCUGUGAAACCUUGCAAAGUGUUAAAGUUCAUGAUGGCUAUUGUUCUAAUUUUAGAAAUAUUGUUUCAAUGGAUGAUUGUCGUCUUCACGGGCUUAAGUCUCAUGAUUGUCAUACCUUGAUGCAACAACUGCUACUAUUAGCAAUUCGAAAUUGUUUACCUCAAAAUGUCAGAUAUGUCAUAAUCAGGUUGUGCCUCUUCUUUAAUUCUUUAUGUUCUAAGGUAGUAGAGCCUAAUUCUCUAGACCAAUUGCAAAAAGAACUUACAACCACCUUAUACAAUUUAUAACAAUCUUUCCUACCUGCCUUCUUCGAUAUAAUGGUCCAUUUAACAGUCCAUCUAGUUGAAGAAGUUAGAUUAUGUGGUCCGGUUUACCUUCGAUGGAUGUAUCCAUUUGAAAGAGAAAUGAAACCUAUAAAGGGCUAUGUACGCAACCGAUACCGUCCUGAAGGUUGCAUUACAGAGUGCUAUAUUACUGAGGAAGCACUUGAAUUUUGUGCUGAAUACCUUUCAAAUUGUAAUUCAAUCGGAAUACCUACUGGUUGUCUAAUUGAUUUUACAGUCGAAAGGCCACUCGGAGGUGCAAAUAUUAAGGUGGUUGAUGGCCUUACAUUGGCGCAAGCGCACCGAUGUGUUUUGGUGAACACCCCCGAGAUUCAACCAUACAUAGAGUAUGUGACUGAAAAUUUGAACCUCUUUUUCGUUCAUUUUUUUUUCAAUUUUAUUAAUUCCGUUGGUAUAAUUUUAGGGAGCAUUUGGCCUUAAUGCAAUCAACACACCCUCGCCAAUUAAAAAAGCCUUUAUGGUUGCCAACUGAGCACUCCCGUAUGUUUGUUGAUUGGCUGAAACAAAAGGUUAGAUUAACUUCAUUAGAUCUAAUAAAAGUAUCCAAGUAAAAGCACACAAACUUUUCUCUUUCAACUAAUUAUUGUGAUUUUAUUAAUUAAACAAUAGGUAACAACUGAUGAAGCAAAUAAUGUAGUGGUUGACGAAAAAGUAUGGCGGCUGGUAAACAAACCCCACUCAAGCGUGGUUACAUAUGAUAGCUACUGUAUUAAUGGUUUUAAUUUUGCUACAAGAGAUCAAGACAACAACCACAUAACACAAAACAAUGGCGUUUAUGUAGUUGCUAACACUUUACAGAUUUCAAGUUCGAAAGACAAAAAUCCUCAUUCUGGGGAUAUGCCUUUUUAUGGGGUUGUCAGUGAAAUUUGGUAGCGUGAUUAUCUGGGGGUUAAGAACGUAGUUUUCAAGUGCGAUUGGGUAGAUGAUAGAGGGGUUAAUGUUGAUGAGUUAGGGUUCACUGUAGUCAAUUUAGAUCGAAUAGGCUACAAAUCUGAUUGUUUCAUUCUAGCUGGUCAUGCAAAGAAAGUGUUUUAUGUGAAAGAUCAGUUAGAUAAUAGUAAAUCAGUUGUUUGUUCAGUGAGCUCAAAAUGUAAUUAUUCAAAUGAGGCCUUGUGUGAUGGCAUCGAUGAGUAUGUACCAUUAUCUAACAAUUUUCCAGAAUUUAAUUUAGGUUUGGGUGAUGAGGAGUUUGUGUAAGAGUAGUUGUUGAUGUUUUUCUUGUAAAUAUUGGUGCGGAAAAUGAAUAAUCCAACUACUAUGCCUUAUUACCACUACUUCCCAUAAGUCACCAACAAAUUUGUUUUUUAUUAUUUUAUUAUUAUAUUGGGAUAUUAGAUUGGUAUCUGGUGCACUCAUCCACUUUGAUGUAUUUGCAGGUUUGUUGGAGACAUGGCAGAUAAAAAAGAGCCAACAUUUGAUCCAUAUCUAGAAGGAAGACCAAGACGAAACCUUACAAAGAAGAAAGACCUGCAGAGAGGAGCUACCACACUGAGGUUAUGUACAAUUCCUACGGAGUUUCGGUUGGAAAAAAGAUAAACGAUCUGAGGAACUACAUUGGGGUGAUUGUACGGGAAAGAGUUCCAAUUAUAUAUGAUGAUUGGAGGAAAGUGCCACUAGACAUCAAAGAGAAGUUAUGGACUCAUUUUCAGGAAAUGUUUAAGUUGAGUCUUAAGGCGAAAACCCAAGUGUUCAAGUGGAUGGGAAUUGCAUUAAGGGGCUUUAGAUGUAAGUUGGCCAAUGAAUAUAUUCUGCCCAAUGCAAACAACUUGAGUUCACUUAAAAAACCUCCUCUUGAGUAUGAAGGCAUUAGAAAAGAGGACUGGAAGAGCUUUGUUGAUAAGAUUUUAUCCGAAGACUUUCAGGUAUGUUUAAAAUUAUGUUAGUUAGAUAAUAUUAUUGAGUUUGUAUAACCAUUUUAAUCAAUAUCCGUUGUGUGCAGGAAAAAAGUAAGGCAGCUGUUGUGCAAAUUUUAAUGUACUCGCAAGCGCACGAAUCUAUUGUAGUAUAGACUAAUGGUGACGAGUGUCGAUCCCACGAGGAGGUGGAUUUUAAUUAUAUGUAGAAUUAAUUUUGUAAAUGGGUGGUUGGAAUUGUGGUGGAAGUGAUUUAAAUUAUCCUAAAAUUGGAAUUGAAAUGGCGAUAAUAAAUUCUAAAAUUGGAAUUGCAAUGGCGAGAAUAAAUUGAAGUGAAAUCUAUUGAAAUAACGUACUUGGGUAUCUGGAUCCGUAUCAACAUGCAUCAUGGGCUAAAUAAUCCGUAUUAAUGCCAAUUAAAUCAUGAGGGGGGAAUCCACACCUCAUGAACCACGCUCUAAUCAAUAUGGUGCUAAGGGCUUAUCGUGCCAAAUAAUAAUAACCUUGUACUAGAGAGCCGGUGUAACCAAGGCGGUACUAGACAAGAUUAGUAUUAUUUGUCGACGAGAAGUCAAAACAUCUACAAAAACUAGAGGGGAAGAGAAACUAAAUUUACCAAAAUAAAGCCCAUGACACAUGUUGAGACUUCACCUUCAACCCAAGCUUGAAAGAAAAUUAGCCACUCAUAAUUGAACUAGGGGCAAAAUGGGAAUUUAUUAAAAUACGAAGAAAAUACAAGAUGGAGAGAGAAUUACAGAAAAUGGAUCCCAAAAAUGGAUUCAGAGAUAUCAAAUUAAGGGGGGGAGGCCCCCUUUUUAUAGAUACAUCGAGUAAAUCAUGCCCAUCGGAUUAAAAACAGUUUGGACGCUCAGGAUUGUGCCACGUCAUCAGUCAAUAGUACGCGGUUUGACCACGCGGAUGAACAGUAACACGGUUUGACCCAGGUGAACAGUGACGCGGUUUGGUUGAAAAUAAUCCUGUAUGAUGCAUGUACCGUACGCGAGAUUUUUCGUCCACUGAUAUGCUGCCACGUCACCAUCAACAGUACAUAAGAAUUUUAGCCCAAUAGGAUCGUGACACCUCAUCGGUCAAUGCCACAUCAUCGGUCAAUGCCACGUCAUAGAUCCGUCUAUGUGAACAGUGUCGUGAACAGUAACGUAGACAGUAUCGUACACGUGAAUAGUACCGUACAUGUGAAUAGUGCCAUUUUUCCUUUUAUGCUCCUCCUAAGAUUUUCGACCGUCCUGAGUUCAAAAGUGAUGUCCGUUUUGCCAUCUGAUCUCUCGUUUAUUGUGAAAUGACUAUGAUGCCCCUAAAAUACAUAAAAUACUUAAUUAAAAUCGAACACACAUAAUUAUAUUGCAAAAAGCUUAAAUACAUAAAAGUAAUGGUUGUUAGUAAAACUUGAAAUGUAAAAUGAUGAUUUUCUCCUUUAUAAAUAUGCAUUUUCUAACACUCAACACACCCCCCAACCAGCUUAUUGCUAGUCCCUAGCAAAUAAAACGAAAACAAAAUUCAAAUCCAAAAUGAUUUUUUUUUUAAUAGAAACACUCGUGUUUAUUCAAUCAGAUUAAUGAUAGCAAUCAAAUAAAAGUAUAAGCAUUAUCUCCAGUCUAAAGGAACAUUACACCCACAUCAACUAUCCACAUGAAUCAGCCCAGUAGAUUUUGUUAUAGCUACUUUCAAGAAUGACAUGUCAAACUCCAAAAUCUCACUGGAAGUAGUGACACUCUCACAAAGAUAUUAAACCCAAUAAAAAUAGUCACUCCAAUGAAUGGUAAUUGAGAGAAAAUAAUAAAGAAGUGUAUCACAUGCUCUCACCAAGAUGAAAGAAAUAUGCCCUCAGCUUAGAAAUAAUACGAUCUCAAGUCAAACAAAAAUGCUAGUCAACCCAUUUUAUUUAUUCAUUUAUUUUUAUUUUAUUUUUUUUUAUGCAUCACUACAUCUUUUUAGCCCAUAUAACUAGCUUUUACUUCAAACUAUAGUUCCCUAAAAUCAAGAAAGACUUUUAUUAGGACGUAACGUAGGCUAGGGACAGGGCUAACAAAGAAGGGGAAUAAGGAAAACAAAGUAUAUGUUUGAGAAAAAAUGCAGAGUUUUUUUUUUUUUUUUGGAAGUUGCAAGGUGGAUUUCACCUAUUAUUGUUUUUUUUCCUUUUUUUUUAAGAAAAAAAAUUUUUUUUUUUGAAGCAAUUUUUUUUUUGGACAUAACUUCACUACACAAAAUAUUUAUUUACAUUUUUCUCAAACAUAAAUAGGUGAUGGAACUUGUAAGAUAUUGGAUAAUACUCCAAAUCGGAGUGGGUCAAGAUAAUAAGUUGACAAAGAAAAUAUAUAUAUAUUUUUUUUAAAGGCUCAAAAGAGUUAACUAUGGAUAUUUCAUAAAAGGGAUGGGUAGAAAGGCUCAAACGGAUCAAAGAUGGCAUUUCCAUCAUUUUUUAGGGCUCUAAAUAAUCUUCCAUAGCUACUAAUUAGAUGGGCCUCCAAAUGUAGCAACACACAUUUUUUUUCUUUUUUUUUUCUUUUUUUUGUUUUAUAAUUUUUUUUUAAGGGUUAACUCAAAAGAAAUCUGGAGAUCGUAUAUACAAUAAUAAACUGCUAAGCUGUAUAAAGAAUAGGCAAAAGGGUUACUCUCCAAGAAAAAUGAUAGGCUCAAAAGCUCACUUGGUACUUAUUAUGACAUGUUCAUUCCUUCAAGCAACUCAUAUUUGUCUCCGACAUCAACAUGUAAAGUAGCAAACAUAGUGUAACAUCACUUCAGACUAAAGAUAAUACAAAUACUAAAAUUUGCAAUUCAUCAUGUCAUCCAAUGUUAACACAAAUCACAAUUUUUUUUUUAAUUUGAAACAACAUUCUACCCCCCAACCUAUUCUAAACAUGAAAGGAAAAUAUGCAUGCAGAAAUGUGAAAAUUAUGUAGAAAAAUUUAUUAGAAAAAGAAAUGUUUUUUUUUUAACUAAGAAGAUGCGUUUCUAGAGGCACGACACUCCAUAUUCAGCCAUCUUCGACUCAAAAAUUGGAAAAUAUAUAUUUAUAAAGGAGAAAGAGGAAGAAAACAAUUUUUUUUUUCAAACGAUGAAGAUGCGUUUCUAGAGUAACUACACUCCAUAUUCAGCCAUCUUCAACACAAAACGUUCGCAACAGUUAGUUUCUACAACAAAAAAUUAGUAAAAACUUAACCAAGAUUCCACAAUUGUCGACUAUUCCCUCCCUCCAACCAGAACGAAACAUUGUCCUCAAUGUUUGAAAGGAAAGAAGUAGAGUUUAGAAGACAUCACCUGGGUGGUGCAACACAGAAGAAAAUAUUUACAGGCGGAGAGUUAAAUCUAAUUUGUACUUCUUACUGCGGCUACUGUUACCAUCAUUAUUUGGUCGCUCUAACACAAAGGUCCAGGGGUCUGGCUCCGGUUUAUAAGCUUGUAACAUAUCAAGUAACUCAUUAGCAGUGUGAGCACAAAUAAAGAGUUUUUUCACAUUAGAAGGAAUGAAAUAGUUUUUUAUUGCAUGGUUAAGAGAUGCGAUAAAGCCAUCAUAAAAGUUAUUGACAUUUAACAAACCGAUGGAUUUCUGGUGGAUGUGCAGAUGGGCCCAAGAUGCUAGUGUGAUAAGUGCCUCUAGUGUUGCAAGAUCUCCUGGAAGGAAAAUAAAAGCAUCAGCAUAAUUAAGCAUUUCAGUUAUUCUUUCUUGCAUACCUGAGACGACUAACUCUUCUCCAGUUGAUGAGUCAGACGAACUGCCCAAUGGUUUUAAGACUCUUGGGAUGAUGCCUAACACUUGACUUCCUCUGAUAAAAGCUGCUUCUGAGACCAUUUUUGAUAACCCUCGGUUACCUCCUCCAUACACCAAAUAUAAAUUUCUCGCCGCUAUGCUUCGACCAAGAUCUAUGGCUGCCUCAACGAACUCUUUAUGUUUGCCAUAGGUAAAUCCAGAAAGCACACAAAUGUUCUUGAAUUGUCUAUUGGGAGUAGCUGCCAUUGGAAUAUUUCUCAAAAACAAUUUGUGAGUGUUUGACAAAAGAAAUCACAUUUAAGAGUCUUGGUGAUAGUGGGUCACAGCUGUGAAUGAGGUAACAUGUCAGUGUCAAAUAACGCGUGAAGCACAUGGCUCGCGAGUCAAAAAGGAAACAGUAAAAAGGAAAAAGCAAACAGUAAUAAAAUUAUUAAAGAUAAUAAUGCAAACAAUAAAACAACAGUGAAAUGAAAUAAAAUAACAGUAAAGUAAAAGGAUAUUUACACGUAGUUGCGACUGUGGCUCACAUCUUCCUCUAGUUUUACGUCCAGAAAUGGCUUGAACGCCCUCUAUGGGUCGAGGAUGGGCUUCCCAUCCAGUUUUCUUAUAAACUGGCAAACAGGGUCGUUUAUAGUCAAAUUCCUGAGACUAUACCGUGCAUGCUCUUUUUGAAAUAAUGGCCAUAACUGGAGAAUCGCUCCUUGCACAUAUCCACUGGGAUGCGUUUCAAGAGACAGAAGGAUAUCAUCCAAUGACUCCUUAUUCAAGCCAUCCCUAAUGAAUUGAAUCUUAUCUUCUCUGUUAUCAGACACCAUUCCUAAAGAACAUGGGUUUUUAUCGCAACUCAUUCUGGCACACUUAUAACAAGCAACAGAAAUUCUUCGAGCUCGUCGUUUUCUUGCAUAAUUUCCUUUUCCACAACCAGGCAUGUAUGCAAUAAAUUUAGAAGGUAACUCACCUGCCAAUCGUACUUUAGCCUCGAUUAACCAACGGAUGUCUGCAGGUAUGUUAUUCCUCAUGAGCAAUCGCAUGCGUUCAGAUCGAGCUUUAUAGAUCGUAAGGAGGGCAUUCUGAGGGAGUGAAGGAAAUCGCUUGUGAAGCUUCGCUAGAAUCUCGUUUCUGUCCAUACCUUCGCCUCAGAAUAUCAGUUAUUAUGGGAAAACUGAAGUAACCGACUUGGUUGUCACGGAGUACCGUUAUCCGCCACUUUACCGGGGUAACAAACUAAAGCACACAAACAGAAAAACAAAUUAAAACACACAAAGAAAAUUAAAAUCGUCCUCUUAUUAAAUUUACCUCAAGCUCCAACUGGAUGUCGUAAACACUUCUCUCAAUGUCUCUGAGUUGGCUUUCUAAACCCUCAACAUAGGCUACUAACUCUGGUGGUUGUAGAGCCCAAAUACGAUGUGUUUUACAAAAUUGAAUCUGCCUUUUGAGAUGAGUUUUGACACGUUGAAGUGGUUUAAGAAUGUUCAAGAGGAACGGUUUAAGCAUGGUACUCAUGAUUAAUAAUAAUAAGAGAAAACUUAAUGGUUAAACAAACACACUUAUGCAAAAAUAAUUUCAAUUAGCAAAAGAAUAAUAUAAAGAGAAAAAAAAUCAAAUCACCGAAAAGAAGAAAAAAAAUCAAUUCAAAUCUGGUGGGUCACUCAAAUUUAUUUCGGUAUCUUCUCCAUGUGCUUGGUACUCUAAAUAUGGCUUUAAUCUUUGACCAUUGACUUUAAACAUGACACCGUUCUUUGGGUCUUUAAUUUCAAUUGCCCCAUGUGGAAAAAUAGUAUGAACAAUAAAUGGACCAAACCAACGAGAGCGUAACUUACCUGGGAAUAGGUGCAAGCGAGAAUUGAAUAAAAGCACUUUCUGACCUGGAGUGAAAGAUUUUCUCAUAAUUUGCUUGUCGUGAAAGACUUUCAUUCAUUGCUUGUAAAUCUUGGCAUUUUCGUAUGCAUCAUUGUGAAUUUUUUCAAGUUCUGCCAGUUGUAAUCUUCUUUCUGAGCUGGCUUGCUGCAUGUCAAAAUUGAAUUUCUUGAUGGCCCAAUAUGCACGAUACUCGAGUUCCACAGGUAGGUGGCAAGCUUUUCCAUACACUAGCCUGUAGGGUGACAUCCCAAUCGGGGUCUUGAAAGCCGUUCUAUAUGCCCAUAAUGCAUCAUCAAGUCUUAAUGACCAAUCUUUUCUGUCUGGCCUCACCGUCUUUUCUAAUAUGUGCUUUAUUUCUUGAUUGGAUAUCUCAACUUGGCCACUGGUUUGCGGAUGAUACGGAGUCGCCACUUUGCGUGUGAUUGAAUACUUUGUCAAAAGAGCUUUGAAUGCUUUAUUACAAAAGUGGGCACCACCAUCACUGAUUAUUGCUCGAGGGAAUCCAAAGCGUGAGACAAUGUUGCUUUUCAAAAAUCCUAUCACCACUUUGUGAUCAUUGGUCCUACAUGGAAUUGCUUCUACCCAUUUCGAUACGUAGUCAACAACAACCAAUAUGUAUUGAUGGCCAAAAGAAGGGGGAAAAGGUCCCAUGAAGUCGAUACCCCAUACGUCAAAAAUCUCAACCACUAAAAUUGGAUUUAGUGGCAUCAUGUUCCUUCGUGUAAUGCUCCCCAUUCGUUGACACCUAUCACAUGAAGAACAAAAAGUGUAAGCGUCUCAAAAUAGUGUUGGCCAAUAGAAACCACAUUGUAAAACUUUAGUCGCUGUUUUCUUAGCACUGAAAUGGCCUCCACAAGCUUGUUCAUGGCAGAAUGAAAGGAUAUUCUGAAUUUCAUUUUCUGGGACACAUCGUCUAACAAUUUGGUCUGCACAAUACUUGAACAAAUACGGAUCAUCCCAAAAGAAAUUCUUUAUUUCCGUAAAGAAUUUAGCCUUGUCUUGCUUGGUCCAAUGCUCUGGAAGUUUACCUGUAACAAGAUAAUUAACUAUAUCAGCAUACCAAGGUAAUACUUCUACACUCAUUAAUUGUUCAUCUGGAAAUGACUCAUUUAAUGGUAAUGGUUCUGUAAUUGUGUCAAAGUGAAGACGAGAGAGAUGAUCCGCCACAACAUUUUCUGUGCCUUUUUUAUCUUUGAAUUCCAAGUCGAAUUCCUGCAAAAGUAACACCCAACGAAUUAGUCUAGCUUUUGCAUCUUUUUUUGUGAGAAGAUAUUUAAGAGCAGCAUGAUCUGUGAAUAUAAUUAUUUUACAACCAAUGAGAUAAGAUCGAAAUUUCUCUAAUGCAAACACUACUGCUAGCAUUUCUUUUUCAGUAGUUGAAUAGUUCAACUGUGCAUCAUUUAAUGUCAUACUAGCAUAGUAAAUAACGUGGGGAAUUCGAUCAACUCUUUGUCCUAAUACUGCUCCUACUGCAUAAUCAGAUGCAUCACAUAUGAGCUCAAAUGGUAAGCUCCAGUUUGGGGCCUGAAUGAUGGGUGAUGAUGUCAACAAUUGCUUUAAUUUUUCAAAAGCCAUAAGACAUGAAUCAUUAAAGAUAAAAGGUUCAUCCUUAGCAAGUAAAUUGCAUAAGGGUCUAGAAACUUUGCUAAAAUCUUUAAUAAAACGUCGAUAGAAACCAGCAUGCCCAAGGAAAGAUCUUACUUCUCUGACUGUUUUGGGUGGAGGAAGAUUAGAAAUGAGAUCCACCUUGGCUUUGUCAACCUCAAUACCUUUGCUUGAAAUGAUGUGACCGAGAACAAUACCUUGUUUUACCAUAAAAUGGCACUUCUCCCAAUUUAAGACCAAGUUCUUCUCGAUACAUCACUGCAGAACUAGCGUUAGAUGAUGUAAACAUUGAUCAAACGAGUCACCAAAGACAGAAAAAUCAUCCAUAAAGACUUCAAGGAAUCGUUCAACCAUAUCAGAAAAAAUGCUCAACAUGCAUCGUUGAAAUGUAGCAGGUGCAUUACAUAAUCCAAAUGGCAUCCUCCUAUAUGCAAAUGUGCCAAAAGGGCAAGUGAAAGUAGUUUUCUCUUGAUCUUUUGGUGCUAUGAGAAUCUGAUUAUAUCCUGAGUAGCCAUCUAGAAAGCAAUAAAAUUCAUGGCCUGCUAAUCUAUCAAGCAUUUGAUCGAUAAAUGGUAAAGGAAAAUGGUCUUUACGUGUGACAGAAUUCAAUUUUCUAUAAUCAAUGCAUACACGCCAUCCUGUAGUCACUCUAGUGGGUAUCAAUUCAUUAUCAGCAUUCGUAACUACUGUGACUCCUGACUUUUUGGGGACAACUUGUACAGGACUGACCCAUGAACUAUCAGAAAUGGGGUAAAUGAUACCUGCAUCUAAUAGCUUAAGGACUUCAGUUCUAACAACUUCUUUCAUAUUAGGAUUUAACCGACGUUGCAUUUCCCUAGUAGAUUUAACAUUUUCAUCGAGGUGAAUGUAAUGCAUGUAGUCUACUGGGUUUAUACCUUUUAUAUCCGCUAUGGUCCAUCCUAAUGCUCCUUUGUGCUCUUUUAAAACAUCCAACAACUUACCUUUUUGUUCGUCAUUGAGGGAUGAUGAGAUGAUUACCGGCAGAGAACUUUCUUCUCCAAAAAAUGCAUAUUCCAAAGUGUUGGGUAAUGGUUUGAGCUCGAGUUUCGGUGGUGAUUCUGAUGAUGGGAUGAGUUUCUUCUCUGAUGGUGCUAGUUGUUCAACUCUUGACUUCCAUUUAUUAGUGUCCAUCGAUGGUGCUGAGUCAAGUAGGGCGUUGACCUCAUCGACCGAUCUGUCAAUAUCAAAAUCCAAACCAAAGUGAGUUAAACAUGUUUGUAAAGGAUUAUCACUAAGGUUUGAAACAAAAGUGUCAUCAACUAAUGCUUCAAUUAAAUCCACAUCAACAAGUCCAUCAUUUGUAUUGUGAGGUUGUUUGGCAUUGUUGAAGAUGUUCAACUCCAUAGUCAUGUUGCCAAAGGACAACUGCAUAUUUCCAGUCCUGCAUUGAAUGUGAGCAUCCGCAGUUGCCAAGAAAGGUCGGCCUAGAAUAAUGAGGAUGUGCUUCCUUGAAUCCUGUAUUGGUUGAGUGUCAAUUACAAUGAAAUCAACAGGAAAAUAAAACUUGUCUACCUGGAUAAGCACGUCCUCCACAAUACCACGAGGUAUUUUCGUGGACCGAUCUGCAAGCUGUAACACCACUGGAGUUGGGUGUAAUUCUCCCAGUCCAAGUUUCACAAACACAGAGUAAGGCAACAAAUUUACACUAGCUCCUAAAUCCAACAAAGCAUUCUCAAUUGUGUGGUUCCCUAUGCUACAUGAGAUAGUGGGGGAGCUUGGGUCUUUGCAUUUUAGAGGAAUUUUAUGUUGGAGUAUAGAACUAACGUUUUCUGUUAAAAAUGCCUUCUUUUGAACAUGCAUGUUUCUCUUUUUAGUACACAAAUCUUUAAGAAACUUGGCAUAAGAUGGAACUUGCUUUAUAGCAUCAAGUAAAGGGAUGUUAACACUUACCUGUUUGAAGAUUUCGAGAAUCUCACCUGUGGAUUUUUCCUUCUUUCCUUUCGCUAACCUCUGAGGAAAUGGAGCUUUCGGAACAUAUUCUCGUGGGUUGGUUUCUUCUCUGUCCUUCGGUGGUGAGUCCUCAGCAUUUACAGGUACAAUUUGAUUUUCUUUUGUCACCAGCAUCUCCACUUUGUUGUCGACUUCUUUUCCUUUUCGCAAGGUCAUGACGGCUUUGACCUCUCCAUGCUGCUGUGGUGAACUGGUACUUGCUUCAUGUACUCCUUUAGGAUUAGGCACUGGUUGACUUGGAAAUUUACCUUUCUCAACAGUCAUUGCCAAGGUCUGAACUGAAGAAGCGAGUUGUCCCACCAUCUUCUCAAGGCUUGAAACUGAUUGGGUUUGUGAGUUGAAGCCUGCUCGCAACUCAUUUCGUAGUCCAUCAAUGGUGCGGUUCUGUUGCUCAAUCGUGGAGUGAGUAAGAUUCUUGAGAUUCUUGAAUGAAUCCUCCCAUGGUCUGGGUUGAGAGUAAUUCUGGUUCUGAUUGUAUGGUCUAAAUGGGGGCUGAGAGGCUUGAGGAUUUUGAGGAAUUGGUGGAGCUGGAGCUGCUGGUCCAUUCUGUUGGAAUCCUUAAGACCAUGAAAAAUUGGGGUGGUCUCUCCAUCUAGGGUUAUAUGUGUUGGAGUAUGGGUUGUAAUUUGAUGGUUUUCUCAUUACACCUAUGGCAUUGGCUUGAUCUGAGUAUGAGUCAUGGUCAUGUGGCUCUGUUGAUUUAGCAGUUGAUAACGAUGCUAUUUGUCGAGAGAGACCUUUAAUUAUUGCUUUGACUUCUUUAAUUUCUGAACUGGAUUCGCCAAUGUGAACCUCAUUUACUCCCUCAAUUCUUCUAGUAUUCCUGAGUGACCGACUCCGUUGUUGGGAAUUAUCCGCUUGUUGCUGGAAGAAUUCCCAAAUCUCUGAUGCACUUUUUGACAUUAGCUCUCCUCCACUUGUUGCCAUUAGCCAUUCUUGCACAUUUGGUAGUAAUCCCUCCAAAAAGUAUUGGCAUUGGUGCCAUUUCUCGAACCCAUGAUGUGGACACUUCAAGAGUAGCCCAUUGAAUCGCUCCCAUGUUUCGAAAAACUGCUCGUCAUCUCUCUGGGUAAACUCUGAGAUUUCCCUGCGAAUAGCAUUGGUUUUAUGCACUGGGAAAUAUUUAUUCAAAAAUUUCGUUACCAUUUGUUCCCAUGAUGAAAUGCUAUUAGCAGGUAAAAUAUUUAACCAUGAACGAGCUCUAUCCUUUAAAGAAAAUGGGAAUAAUCUAAGUUUAACAUCAUCGUCUGAAAAAUUUUCAUAUUUAAAAGUUUGACAAAUUGCAUGAAAAUCAUUCAGAUGAUUAUAUGGGUCCUCAUUUUCUAGGCCAUAGAAUGUUGGGAGACAAUUUAGCACACUAGGUUUUAGUUCAAAACUCCUAGCAGCUACAUUUAGGUAUCUUAUGCAUGAUGUGCUCAAAUUAGCUAAAGGACUAAAGGAGUCCUUAAAUGGCCUCUCCUGUGGUUGCAAAUCCAUUUUAUUUUUAAAUUGUUUGUGUGUGCGAAGUGUUUUUUCUAGUUCAAGGUCUAUAGGUUCAAGAUUAGGUGAUAAUGACCUACGACCAUGCAUGCAAAAUAAAUAAAAUGAAAAUAAAGAUGGGAACAAAACAAAUAAAAAUAAAGAAGAGGGAGAAAUUACGAUACUAACCUUAUUGCGCUAUUACAACCUUUCUAUAAAAAUACACAAAAAAAAAUACGUGAAAUAAAUUAACUAAAAAUUAAAUUAAUAAAAUAAACAAAAAUUACAAAGAAAAAAUAAAUUGAAAAUUAAAUUACAGAAUUUUAAAGAAGAGAAAAAGAAAAGAAAUACUAACCUUUAUAUGUAGAUUCACUUUUUUUCUUUUUUCUUUUUAAUAAUUAAAAAAAAUACAAGAAAACAAAUAAAAGAAAUUAUUGACAAAAAUUAAUUCUAUGAAUUAAAAUUACUUACCUCCCCGGCAACGGCGGCAAAAACUUGUUGUGCAAAUUUUAAUGUACUCGCAAGCGCACGAAUCUAUUGUAGUAUAGACUAAUGGUGACGAGUGUCGAUCCCACGAGGAGGUGGAUUUUAAUUAUAUGUAGAAUUAAUUUUGUAAAUGGGUGGUUGGAAUUGUGGUGGAAGUGAUUUAAAUUAUCCUAAAAUUGGAAUUGAAAUGGCGAUAAUAAAUUCUAAAAUUGGAAUUGCAAUGGCGAGAAUAAAUUGAAGUGAAAUCUAUUGAAAUAACGUACUUGGGUAUCUGGAUCCAUAUCAACAUGCAUCAUGGGCUAAAUAAUCCGUAUUAAUGCCAAUUAAAUCAUGAGAGGGGAAUCCACACCUCAUGAACCACGCUCUAAUCAAUAUGGUGCUAAGGGCUUAUCGUGCCAAAUAAUAAUAACCUUGUACUAGAGAGCCGGUGUAACCAAGGCGGUACUAGACAAGAUUAGUAUUAUUUAUCGACGAGAAGUCAAAACAUCCACAAAAACUAGAGGGGAAGAGAAAAUAAAUUUACCAAAUAAAGCCCAUGACACAUGUUGAGACUUCACCUUCAACCCAAGCUUGAAAGAAAAUUAGCCACUCAUAAUUGAACUAGGGGCAAAAUGGGAAUUUAUUAAAAUACGAAGAGAAUACAAGAUGGAGAGAGAAUUACAGAAAAUGGAUCCCAAAAAUGGAUUCAAAGAUAUCAAAUUAGGGGGGGGAGGCCCCCUUUUAUAGAUACAUCGAGUAAAUCAUGGCCAUCGGAUUAAAAACAGUUUGGACGCUCAGGAUUGUGCCACGUCAUCAGUCAACAGUACGCGGUUUGACCACGUGGAUGAACAGUAACACGGUUUGACCCGGGUGAACAGUGACGCGGUUUGGUUGAAAAUAAUCCUGUGUGAUGCAUGUACCGUACGCGAGAUUUUUCGUCCACUGAUAUGCUGCCACAUCACCAUCAACAGUACAUAAGAAUUUUAGCCCAAUAGGAUCGUGACACCUCAUUUUUCAAUGCCACAUCAUCGGUCAAUGCCACGUCAUCGGUCAAUGCUACGUCAUCGAUCCGUCUAUGUGAACAGUAACGUAGAUAGUACCUUACAUGUGGAUAGUGCCAUUUUUCCUUUUAUGCUCCUCCUAAGGUUUUCGACCGUCCUGAGUUCAAAAGUGAUGUCCGUUUUGCCAUCUGAUCUCUCGUUUAUUGUGAAAUAACUAUGAUGCCCCUAAAAUACAUAAAAUACUUAAUUAAAAUUGAACACACAUAAUUAUAUUGCAAAAAGCUUAAAUACAUAAAAGUAAUGGUUGUUAGUAAACUUGAAAUGUAAAAUGAUGAUUUUCUCCUUUAUAAAUAUGCAUUUUCUAACACUCAACAACAACAAAGGAAAAAAGAGCAAAGAAUAUGUACAAUCAUCACUUGGACAGCACAGGAUAUGCUGGGUUGUUGCAUAAAAGAGUAAGUAUAAUAACCACUCUAUACAAACUGAUGACAUUUUUAAUACAAAUAAUAGGAUGAUUCAUAGCAGUUUUCAAUUCAAUUUUUGUUGAAUUAUUACAACAGUUGGACCUCAGAGUUACUGAGUGCGAGAUUGACCGCAAUGAAGCCUGGUUAUUGGCUCACAGGAGAAAAGAUGGAACUUAUACACCUGAAGUGCAUCAAGUGGCUGAGAGAAUUGUAAGUUUCCACCACCAUAGUCAUUAUUUAACUUAUUUGUUUUUUUAUUCCUAAUUUUGAUCAAAUUAUUUUUGUAUUUAUUUUGUAGAGUGAGCUAAGAAGUCAAGUUGAGUAGGGAACGUUCCAAUCCCAAGGACCGAAUGAUAUCCUAGGUGAAGCACUUCAAAAGAAGCCUAAUGGAAGUCGGGUGCAAGGAUUUGGUCAAUUCAUCACCCCAUCCAUGUAUUUCAAUGUUCCUGACCCCACGGAGUUGGCGCGAGAACAGAGAAUGUAUCAGGAGAGUUUUCAGUUUAUGCAAGCUCAAUUAGAUCAAAUGAAUGCAAGGAUAAAUGCCUGCAACAACACUGAAGUUGGCAGUUCCAACUUUCCUAACUCCAAAGGUGAUUUGCAGUGUUAAGAUGGAGAUAGAUCGUCGAUCACCCAGCAAAGUUACUCCAAAGUCAGUGACUAAAAACCCCAAAGCAACUCCAAAGUCAGUGACCAACAACCCCAAAGCUACCCCAAAGUCAGUGACCAACAACCCCAAAGCUACCCCAAAGUCAGUGACCAACAACCCCAAAGCUACCCCCAAGUCCAUGACCAAAGUUAGUCCAAAGUCAGUGACCAAUGACCCCACUAUUUGUCCAAAACCUGACAAAAACAUCAACACACCUCCCCUGCCAUCCCCUGCACAGAAUCCACCUCUAGUAGUUUGUGAAGCCACUUCAAAAAUCACCCCAAGAAGAUCUCCAAGAUUAACUCCUUCAAAGUGAAAAGUGGAUGGCCGAAAGUCUCCUACAAAUGCCGUGGUAUAUCUGUAUGAAUAGAAACGAACAACAAAGGAACCCGUUGUUGUAAAACCAGUGACAGCAAGGAAACUAGUUUUGAGAAUGAAUACCUGUGGAGCUGUGAAAGCAAGAAAAGAGAACAAAAGUUCACAAAUGAACAUCUUUUCUUUGAUGAUUGAGAGCUCCCUGCCACGGACGAUUAUGAUUGCCCAUGAUUUGAAGACUUUUGGUGUCUACUGGGAGAGUAGAUUGGACGAGCAAAUUUGCAAUGAAGUCAUUGAGUUUACAGAGCUCUCAAAUUCUGUUUUGGAGAUAUGGAUUAGGUAAGAAAUAAAAAACUUGAUUUAUGUUUUUACUAUGUUUUCUAAUUUUGCAAACUGUCAUUAAUUUAUUUCUUAUAUUCAUGUCAUGAAAGUUUCUUUUUUUAAUAGACACUUGUAUGAAGAGAUGGAUAAUGGUAGUGGUGUUAUUCGAAUUCAAUUUGGAUGCAUAGCUAAGUUACAGCCAAGUCAAGCAAGCUACCCAAAUAGGUGUUCUUAUAUUUCAGACCUUUUGGACAAGAUUCAAAUAGCCCAAAUAAUUGUCUUCCCAUAUAACCCAGGGUAUAGUUUAUUUAUUUUUUGUCUAUUUUAUUUUUUAACAUAAAUGAUUUAAAUUUAUCUUGUAAUCUGUUUUUUUUUUUUUACUUGUUUGUUUAGUGGCCACUGGGUGCUAGUAACAAUUGGUAUGGUGAGGCGAAAAAGUUAUUAUCUUGAUCCAUUAGGUGAUAAUCUUGAUGAUGAGUUGAAGCAAAUGGUGAAUGAGUAAGUUUAAUUAGUAUACUUAAUUCUUUGUCAAAUAUUUAUGUUGUAGAUUAAUUUGUUGCAUCUGUUAUUUAUUAUUUAUAGUGGGAUAACAAUGCAUCAAGUGAAGAGUAAUAAAAAGAAGGCUGUGCAGUGGGUCUCUGUGAAGGUAUUAAUGAAACAAAGUUUUGAUUUCCAUUGUUACUUCAUCAGUAUAUUUGAAACUAAGUUUUUUUUUUUUAGUGUCCGAAACAACCUGGAACCUUUGAAUGUGGUUACUAUGUGAUGAAGUACAUCCAGGAUAUUGUUCGCGAUUUGUGCAUUCUUGAAAACAAUGUGAGUUUCUCCAGAACUUGUUUAAUAUUUUUUCGAAGAAUGCAUUGUGAAAUGGAUUUUCUUAAGUGAAUUGUGAAGAUGGUUAAUGGGUGAACAGUUUGCUGCUUUAUGCUUGAAACUAGCAAUAUAAUCAUAUCUUGUGCUAGGGAUUAGAGGAAGUGUUGUGUAUGUUUAGGAUAAUCACAUACACUUUAUUUGCCAUAUUUAUUAUAGGUAAAAGCUAUAACGCUAUAUACAUUUUACUGAAUGCAUUCAACAUGUUUGGAAAAAUUAAUGCCAAUUUUUACUGUGUUCUACUAUGUAUUUAAGGCACUUUAGUGUAAACCAAAAUGACUGGAGCUGUUGCAUGUACAAAUAGAAUACAUAUAAAUCUCAGUGUUCAGAGUUAAAGUAUUAUUGAGCAAUCAUUGGAGCUGCUGCAUGUACAGAUAGAAAGCAUAUAAAUCCCAGUGCUGAGUGUUAGAAGUAAUAUUGAGUAAAGCAAAUUAUAUAUUAUAAAUUAUCAGCUUCUUAGAUAGCUUUGGUAACUGUUGUUUGCUAUGGUGAUACAAUUUAUUUGCAUGUUCUUCAGUUUUAAUGUUAAUCGUAGCAAACUUAAAAAUAUAUGUUUUUAUUGUGUUGUUUUAUUUUAGGACAGAUUCUAUAAUAUAUGAAUACAUUUUGUUGCUUUAUUUUUUAAGUUCAAGGGCUGUAAUGAGUACACUAUGGACGAUCUUUCGCAACUUCGCGAUCAGUGGGCCAUGUAUGUUGCAAAGUUACUUGUAGCAUACAAUAAUGAGGUAAAUUAUAUUUUUGCUUGUAAAUAUCAAAGAAUUGAUUUUUGUAGCAUAGUGGCUAAUUGAUUCUAUAUACUACAAUUAUAGGUGGGAAAGGUGAAGGGAAAGGCAAAGGUCAAAGAGUAGAGAUGUACUGAUUGUUUCCUGCAAACUGUCAUUAUGUGUUCAUGUAAAUAUUUGACAUGUUUUCAAACAAUAUUUUAGAUAUUUGUAUUACUAUUUUAUUUGAUACCUAUUUAAAUGUUAGUAGGAAUGUUAUAUACUUAUAUUUAAUUAUUCAAAUUUGUCCUUUAGUUUAAUUUGAAUAGAUUUUCUUUGAAUACCAAUAUUUGUUUGGCAAAACUAAAAGAAUAAUGAAAAUAAUCGAGUAACAACAAUAAUUUCAGCAUCUUUUCUUUGAAGCCAUUGACGCUAAAAAAUGUUUCAGCAUCAUAAUAUUAGUGAUGCUAUAGUAUUGCAAAUUGCUGACACUGAAGUAUUAGUAUUCGUUCAUUCUAUCAUGUCAUCUCCCAGUGUAAAACAAACUAAUGACGUGUAAUAAUUGUUAGUAAAUACUAUCACUAUAGUGUCAUAAUAUUUUGUGAUACUAUGGUGAAAGUAACUUUUAACAAGCGAUCAUUAUCAGUAAUUACUAAUACCAUAGUGUCAUAAAUCUGGUAAUACUAUAGUAAUAGUAAUCACUAACACCAAUUACAAGUGUCACUAUUUUUCUGACUCCCAGAUUACUGACACAAUUAAUAAGUGUCAGUGAAAGUAAUUUCUGACACUAUUCUAAAGUCAGUAAAAACCAUUUUUCUAGUAGUGUAAUUUUGUCCAAUUCACGAACUAACUAAAUAAAUUAAUAUAAAAAUAAUUUUACUGCCGAUCAAAUUUAAAAUUAAAUAAGAUUUAAAUAAAUUAAUUGUUUAAAUAAAGCUAGAAAAUACAUUUAAAGUUUCAAAACAUAACACACCAAAAUGAAAAAAAAAAUCUCAUCUGUUUAGAUCAGUAUAUGGAAAUUAACUGUUUACAAAGCUAUAUUUGUUUAUUUAAUUAUUUUUAUUUUAUAUUAUUAUCGGAUAAGAUGUAAUAUAGUGUUAAUGUAACUAUAUUUUAACUUAUUUAUCUACUAACAAGUACUAAUGACAUAUUUACAAGUUUUAAUUUUUAAUUAAAUAAAUACUUCUUAUUUUUUUGCGGAUUCGCGGAUUUUAGCGGAUUUGCAGAAGUAGAUCCAUAUCUAAUCCAUCGAUUAUGGAUUAUCAAAAUUUCAAUCCAAUCCAAUCUAAUCCAUCAAUCCGCGGAUCGAAUUUUUACGGAUCAUAUUUUUACGGAUCAGACGGAUUGAGCGGAUCAACUUAGAUUCUGAACACCCCUCCUUGCCACUAAACGCAAUUGUAUAUUCUCGACCUUAUAAUUUUCUCCCAUUUCCGUAUUGUCGACGUUGAGUGCAUGUAAUUCACGAGUUUGAUUCAGCAGAAAAUAGCCAAAAAUCUAAUGACACCCACGUCCAAAGAUGCCGUUGUCACAAAGGCCUGGACUGCAGACCUGAAACCCAUCCUCUUUUACCAUAUUUUAUAGUUAAAGAGGUCAUUGUUGGAAAGAAAAGAAUGAUAUGUUGGUAUGAAAUUACGUUAAAAUGUAUAUAUCACUUUUUUUUUUUUUUGCGUGAGUGAUGGCUUCGUUUAAUGACAAUUGGUCGACAAUGGGUCAUCUUUUAAUCUCAUAAGGGGUUAAAAUACAAUUUACCCAAAAAUUAGUGUUAAAAUUUUAUAGAUGAGUGUAUAUUAAGAUGUUCAAAGUAUUAGUUUUAAUAAAAUUUUGCCACAUAAUGAAUAUUAUCCUCAACCUCAAGAGAAACAUAUCAAUAAAAUAUACAAAAAUAGAAUGCAUUAGUACAUGUCAAUAACAAGACCAAUUAGAUCAUGUCAUAUUUGUUAUGUGGUUAUUUUUAAAUUAAGAAAAGGAACAAUGAUAGUCUUACAAAGUUUGAAUAUAAAAUUUAUAAUCUAAAAUUAAUGAUGCGACAAUUAACGUGUUAUUAAGCUAGUAGAGAAAGAAGUCCCAAAUUCAUUUACAUCAUAUCUUGCUAAAGAAAACGGUUCUACCCGGAAUACUUCUUUGUAUUGAAAUCAAUUAUGAUUGCUUGUUUAAAUCAUGAAAGUUAAAAUAAUUUUGUAAAUAAUUUCAUUCUUUAAUUUACGGUAUACAAAUAAAUUAAAAAAAAUGUUAAUUUCUCUCAUACUUUUAGGAUUUAAAAAAUAGCAAAAAGUCUUAACAUAUUUAAUGGUUAUAUAUAAAUCAUCCGUACGUAUUUUCUUGAGAGAAGCUCAAUUCGAUAGACAAUGCUCCCCUUAAUUUUCUUUUCUAGUUAGAUAAAAGAACAAAAGAAAUUGAUUACAAGAAUUCACGACGAAGUCACCUUGGUCUACCUGAUAUAUAUUACAGAGGUAAGCUUCUUUUUAAUGCCAAACUAGAAUAACAAACUUUAAUUUACUUCUUAAAGGAUAAAAACCUCAAUUUGUGCUUAUAUUUGUUCAAAAGAUAAGGAACACACACACACAUACAUAUUGUCUUCUUAAUGUACACAAGUUAAAUUGAUGUUUCACGUUUUUUAGAAAACAAUUAAAGAUUGUCAUUCUAAGUAGGAGGUAAAUUUCAAAUAAAGCAUGUGUUCAUAUGAUAGAUGUGCAUUUUACAAAUUACAAUAAUUAAUAAACAAAAAGGGUAGUGAUAUUUUCACCCUGCAAUUUUUUUAAAUCCACCUCCACUCCCAAGAAAUAAUUACAAUAAAUUCACAUAAUUUUUUAAAAAUUCAAAUAAAGAAAAAUUUUGGAGAUUUAAACUAUUAGAUACAAGUGGAUAAGCGUAAACAUUUUUCAUGCAGUAUAAAAAGAAUGCAACAGCUCCUUUUCUUUUGGUAUUUUCGCAACAAAAGCACACUUAAUAACUCAUCAAAUUAUUCCUCCUUUUCUUUGAUCGCUUCCCCUCUCCUGGAGCUGCUGAAACUCCUUUGUUGCUGAUGAAGUGAAACAACAGGUGAGGCUUUUUAAGAGACCACAAUACGUAUAAAGAGGAACUAAUUACACUAUCAAUGGCUCAAGGUUACCUUAAUGCAGAAGAAGGCAAAGAGAUGGAGAUUCGAUUCGAUUCGAUCCGAUAAUAGUAGUUUAUUUUAAUUUUUAUUCAUUUCAUUUCAUAGUGGUAAUUUUAUUUUAUUUUAUUGUUGAAAAUUGGUAAAAACAAACUAAAAUGAGAUAAUUACAUUAAAACAAUCUUCAAUGACUAAAGUAAUUUGAAUAAAAAAAACUCAAAAUAAACAAGCUCAAAAUUUACCCCUAAUUUGAACAUUAUUCGAAUUCAACCUAAUUGACCCAAAUCUGAUUUUAAUCCAAAUCGGACAUGACUGGCAUAUAAUUAUAACCUGUUCAAAUCCAAACUCAACCUAAAUUCUUAAUUCAAUGCGAUCCAAUUCAAAUAUUCCAACCCAAUCAAAUUGAAACUUGAUCGGGUUGAUCCAAACCUGAAUUUGCCACUUACAUAGGAGACCAUGACCCUAAAGGUUUUGAAAAAAUCUUUGAGGUUUGUAAAUGAAAUAUUAAAAGUUGGGUAUAAAAAGAUUGAUUCGACCGUAAGUAAACUUGAUAUAUAAAUUUCAUACAUUAUAUUUUGUGAAAUAAAAUCAAAGUAACCCGGCUGUUUGAAUUUUUUAUUAAUUACUUUCCAUUAUGACAAAAUGACAAAUAGGCUUUAUUAAAAGUUUAAUAAAGUUUGUGCCUAACUCUUAAUUUUGUUUUCAAUUAUUCUACAUUUUGUUUCUUACUUGCAGCAAUAGCUUCAAUUAUCAAUCAAAGCCUCCAAAUCAAAAUCACUGCAACCUGUAGCUACAAGCAAAAUUCUCAAAUUUUGAAAUUUCUAAUGACUACAUAAUAGCUAUAAAUAGAAAAAUCAUCUAAAAUUAAUCCCCCAGCUGGCAAAAAUAUUAGUUUUGCAGGUAUUGCGAACUAUGUUUUUCUUUGUAUUUUCUGCCCAAGGAUGAAGAAAUUUCCUUCAACUUUUAUGGUGAAUUACGAACAUAUGACAGUUAACCGUUGGCAGUGACUUGUUUAAAACGAAAAAAACACUUUAAAGCAAUAGGAGAUAUAAUAACCUUUAUUCCUUAGAAAAAUCUAUCAGAUAUAUUAUGCCUCCGACUGCUAUUAAUUGCUAAAAAUAAUCAUAAUUAAUGAUUACUGAGAAAUAAACUGCUAUUAAUUGCUAAAAAUAAUCAUAAUUAAUUAUUACUGAGAAAUAAGUAGUUAUUUUUUUAUAUAUAUUACACUGGUAAAAGGUUGGAUAAAAUUUAAAAUAAUUUUAAUUUUUAAUCUUUUUUGCCAUUUCGAAUUUGAAACUCGAGAAGUCAACUAAAUAAACCUUCUUCAGAGGCUGAUUAAAUUCUUAGUAAUUUCAUAUAAUUUCAUUUCGUCAGAACAAUUUUCCAAAAGCAAUUUUAUAAAUGGUUGUCGAAAGCUUUGUUCCUUAAUUAUCUUUCAUGUAUUUUCUUUGUAAUAUGAGGCGAGUCCAUAGACCAUAAUAUGAUAUUUAUUGUAAUUAAAAUCAAUAUGGAACUGAUUUUAUUCUUUUUUCUCAAACAAAGUAUCUAACUGCAGAUGUAAUAAAUCACUAAUUACCAUUAUUUGAGUCGCACUCUUUGAAUUAGAUCUUGGAGUUUCAAAUGACCAAUUAAUUAGUGAGAUAAUGGCUUUUGCUUUUGUCUACCUGAUAAUAAAACUUGUCCACCGUAUAGAGAAGAAAUGGACCGGAUCCACACGCUAUACACGCUAUAGCUAAAUUAAAAAAUUUAUGUGGAGUUUUAUUGCAAGACAUUUUUAACUGAAUAGACAAAGUAAAAUUUCAUCACUUUUAUUUGAACGAUAAAAUGUCUGAAUUGAAAAUGAGUUUUCUUCUUACAAAUACACUCAUUAAAUAUAUUUAUUUCCUGCUUAGCUAUUAGAUGUCAUAUUAGAAUUUCCCUUGAUCUCAAAUUUUACUUGGUAUUAAAUACUUAACAUGCGUUCAAUUGAAAUUUUAAAAAAUUUUCUUUUGUUAUUAGAUAACAACUUUUUUACAUAUAAAUAUUAUCCUAGAUUGUAAAAAAUAAUUUUUCAUAAACUAUAUAUCAAAUGCUUCCUUUAUAAAUAUUUAUAACAUAUAAAAAUUAUUGUACCAUAUACUACUGGAAAUGUAAAUCUAUUUAAAACUUCAAGUAUAUACACUACCUUCUAGCUCAUAAGAGUAAAAAUAUUAGAUUUAAGAUGCUUUAAAUUUGUAAAAACAAUCAACUUACCUCUUAUACUCAUACAUCAAAAAAAAAAAAAAAACAAGCAUAUUGAUUUGAUAUAUGCAUUCAAAUCUAUUUAGACUUCAGUAACAUUUAAACAUGUUUAGAUUUCAAAUAAAAAAACAAGUUAUAUAAUAGUUGGGGAUAUAUAUUUGUGGGGAAUGACAAAUAUAGAUAGUUGCAAUAACAAAGGGGAAACUUUAUUAUAAUAAAGUAAUGCAUUUACAACUCUGUAGGCACUACAAGAUAUAAUAGCAAUAGGUAAACUACAGAAAAUUAAUGUGCAUAUCAAAGCACGUUACAAAUGCUGCUUUCCUUAACAAGGGAUGUCCUAUUCUAGAAGAACAAUACAGAGGAGAAGACUGGCAUAAGAUAUCUCACAUUCACCACAUUGAGUUGGAAAUUCUUGAACGGUUGCAAUUACUAUCCCCAGCAGGUAAUUUCUACUCCUCUAUUUUACUUCGUUGUUUCUUGUAAUGAAUUUAAUAAUGAUGAUGAUGAUUAUAUUUUGAAUUAAAUUUCUAUAUUUUUCCAAUGUCUCAUAGGAAUAUGCAAUAUUUUCUAAUAUUUUGAUUUUCAUAUUGAAAAUAAUUAUUUACUUUAACCAUUAAUUUAAUUUUUUUUUUUAGUGCACGAUAAUUAAUUUGUUAUGUGGAACUUCCCUAGAGACAGAAUUUUCGUGAUGCUUUGCAGUAGUGUUGAAAUUCUGUAAUUAACUUAAUAAUAAUAAUAAUAGUAAUAAUUAUAUUUUGAAUUAAAGUUCUAUGAAAAUGUUCUGCUGGUAAUUCACUUGCAUUAUUUUGUAGAAUUUCAUUUCCAUCUUCUUCUUUGUUGUGUAUAAACAAGAACAGAGAAGUAAAUAAUUGAACCACAGAGAAGUAAAGAUAUAUCAAAACUUGCUAAUACUAUGAUGUUAAAGCAAGCACAAGCACUCGAUUCACUACUAAUAUUGCGUUGCAUUUUUAUCUUAUUUAAUUUAUAGAAUUUUCAUUUCCACCUGAGUUGCAUUUUUAUUUUAUUUUUAGGUUGAUUUUGGAGACUCUAUGGAGAACAUUGGGGUAACCAAUGAUUAUCACUGUAGUUAUUGUGCAACGUUUGGUCUGCUCUGUUUCAAUUUGGAUGGAUAGCUGCCUGAAAGAUAUGAUGAUUAUUAUUGCAUGAAGUUUAGGUGCUGAAAACAUCAUUUCUUUCUUGUUUCAUUCUCUGAUUCAUUUAUCCUAUAUGAACAUAUUGAAUUAUGCUAAUACUGUCAUCUUUUCACACAAUUUUCACCGUUGGUUGCAAUAACAAUUUGAGUUACUCAAAAGCUACAAAGCGAAGCACACGUGGGCUGAUCAUAUGCUUCCAUGGAGGAAGGAAUCCGGUGUUGACGUUAUUGUGCAGGUAACCACAGUUCAUAAUUUGCCCAAAUCUACAUUGCCAGAAUAACCUUUAAUAUUCAUUGUGUUUGUUUGUGUUACCAGGCUAUCAUGAUCUGUAGGAGCGUUUGCAAUAAAGUUACCAGCUCGUGCAAUUGCACAUUCAUUCGGAGUACAAUUUUGGAUUUUCAAGGUUUGUAUGUUUAGUUGCGAUUAAAAUGUUUAGUCACUCAUUCGCAAUCUCUUCUGAUUUUCAAAUUAUUUAAUUUGGGUCCAUAAACAGUUUUCAGCUCAGUGAGAAUUUCCUUUUUUAUUUUUUUUUCAAAAUAUGUUUCAAUGCUUGUAGUGAUAACAAUUUCAUAUCUUGCAUCUCCAAAGUUCAUCAUGUUCAAGGGUUUGAAAAACUUUUGCAGUAAAGCUUCAGUGCUUCGACAAUGGCUGUGAAGAGGCACAUUCAAUCCGGUACGUUUUGAGAGUGGUAAUAAUUGAAGAAAGUUAUUAUCUUAACUGAAUUACAGGUGAUAAGAUGUUGCUUGAAUUCAGCAAGCAUCUCAUCUCAAUUCAAAAAAAAAAAAUUGUGUUUUUCUGUUUUUACGUGAAAAGCCAAUAAUAAGAACUUGAUUGACAAUGAAUAUGGUUCUUAGAAAGGGUUAAAUAUUGUCUUAGUUUAUACUUAAUUCUUGUGUUAGUUUCUCUUGAUUGAGAUUCUUUACACUAUGAGCACUAAUAUCAAUUCUUUCAUAAUUUUGACUUGAAAUUUGAAAUUGACGCAGCUUGAGUUGAGAAUUUUAGAUAGAGUAAAUGACUGUUUGUCUUGAUUCUUAUCUCCACAAUACACAAUAGUAUACACAGGCGCCAAAGUCAGAAAUAGCUACCUAUAACCCUUAAGAGUGAAGCUAUCCUUGAGUAAUUUGGGCCUAUGUACCACAAGUAUGUAGAGGAUAAUCUACCAUGAGAAGAAGGCUACCUUAAGGGGUAGAGUGAAAGCUCCUGACUAUGGUUAAAAAAAAAAAGAGAAAGAAAAAAAAUGAAAUCAAGUGCAUGUGCUAAAAAAAAUCAAAAGAAAAUGCACAUAAAAGCCUGUGAGAGGAAAAAAUUGGAGAUCAAGAUGAUAAGAUUAGUUUGACCUAUUCUUUUCUUUGUUUGAGGCGAAGGCUGUUGAUGUUGAAGAUUUUUGGGAAUGAAUUUGAUUGAAUUGAUUUCACACACACAUACAAGAAUUGAAAGAGAGAUGGGAUUGAUUAUUAAAUUAAAGUUAGAACUUUACCAAUAUUUGAAAUUUUCUUUGAGCUAUAUAAUUUAUGCAAUCUUUUAGGCCAUCUUCAUGUUUUGUUUAAAGCUCGUUGUUCUUUUCAUUUUAUUUUUAUUUUUUUAAAAAAUAAUGUUUGUGGGUAUUAUGACUGAAGCCCUCACGAGACUAUAACUCGUCCACUAGGGCCGCCUAGGGGUUUAAAAGCUUGUUGCAUACACUAAAUGCAAUCGCGAUUACCUGUGAAAAUAGUUUAGUUAGGAUUUACUUUUUGUUUCAUUAUUUUUAUUUUUGCUUUUAGUUUUAGUUUUGCUCGAGGACUAACAAAAUCUAAGUUUGGGGGUAUUUGAUGAGCAUAAUUUAUAUACAUAUUUUAUCUUUUAUUAUAUAUUUGCUAGUUAUUUUAUUUCUUAUUUUUAAUUAAUUGUAUUAUUUUAUUGAAUAAGAAAUUAAUUGGAGAUUGUGGAUAAAAAAAGGCAUGAAGAAGUUCAAAUUGAGAAGGAAUAAAGAUUAAAAUUGGAAGAUAAAAAUACAGUCAAGAAUUGAUAGAACCGAGCGGAAGAAAUCAAAACAAUUAAUCCAAUUGAGAAAUGUUGAAUAAUUAAAAGAUUUAAUUUUUCCAAUUGGCAAUUGGAGUGCACGUGCAUGGCAUUGCAAAAGUGGAAAGCAAUUUAAAUGGGCCCGUAAUUGACUUUCAAAAGUUGGAAUUAAUGGCUUUUGGUGGCGUUAAAUUGGAAAAGGAUUUCAAUUAGAAUUGAAAAAGGAUUUCUUUCGAGUUGUUGGAGAAGAAUUCGGUCAACUAGCAUUAUAAAAGGAAGGCCGCCAGAGGACAAAGGGAAAAAAAAAAGGGGAGACGCAAGGCUGGGCAGAGAAGAAGAAUAGCGAGAGUAGCAACAAUUCGGCUUCUCCAUGGCUGUUUUUAUUUGUUUUGUUUCUCCCAAUUCAAGUAUGUCUAGCUAAUUUUCUUAUUCUGAUGUUAAAGAUGAAACCCUGUUCAAUGAAAUAAUUAUUUUAUUUAUUUAUUUAAUUUCCUAUAUAUGUUCUUUAAUGAUUAUGGUUAAUUUUUAUUUCACAUGAUUAAUUGGAUGUUAUUAAAAUCUUUUCAUCAAUUCUGUCAUGCAUUAUUGAUUGUUAGGAUCAAUAUUCGAUUAAAUCUAUGCUUGGAUCUAUAAAGUUUAUACAUGAUUAUCUUUGAUUCUAUGUCUUUCAUUAAAUUGUUUACACAGAGUACUUAGGAAAACUUUGACUCUUUGUUAUUCAAUAUGUUUACAUGGGACACUUAGAUAUCAUAUUAUUAAGCAGAAAAAGAACCUACACAAGAUUAAUUUUAUUUGGGCUUAAUUGUUAUAUCCAUGAGAUGAUAUAGAUUGAUUUCGAGAUGUCACUCUAAAAUUGAGGAUUAAUGAAUAUUUAGAUAAUUACUAGUUGAAUAGUGGUGGAUUAUAAAACCUUGGUAAUUCUUAUCUUAUUGAAUUCUCCUUUAUUUUAAUUGCUUCCUUAGUUUAAUUGGUUUAAUUUUCUUAGAAACUCAAUUUUGUCAACUAGGUUAGAAGUAAUAUUAAGUUUAGAUUUAAAUUAGACUUUUCAAUUUAUAACAAUCCCUGUGGAAUCGACCUCGUUACCACUAUUCUAUCUCUAGAUUCGUGCGCUUGCGAGUACAUUAAAAUUUUCAAAACAUUAGGCUUUUGGCUUUAUAUGUUAUUAGAGCUAUCCCUUUUGAGAGAUGUCUCAUCAAAUUUGAGUAGAGAAUCUUUGAUAAGAAUUUUGUGUGAAGAGUUUCACUAUAGUGAUAAUUGAGAGCUUGAAGUCUCUUGAGAAGAAGAAAGAAUCAUUAUCCUUCCAAUAUUUGUAAGCUCUCGCUUGUUAGUAAAAUCAUCUUUGUAUAUUGACUCUGCUUUUUUGUUAUCAGGUAGAGUAUGAUCUUCAAGGUUUUGAGAAAGUCUUUGCAGUGAAGUUUCCACCACAUGCAACUGCUGCGGAGAGGCAUAUACAUUUGAGUAAUUCAGUUUUCGAUUUUCAAGGCGUGUAUUUUUAGUUAGUUUCGAUUAAAAUAUUUAGUCGCUCAUUCUAGAUCUUUUCUAAUUUUCAAGUUCCUUAGCGCCACAACCAAUUUUUCAAGUCUGUAUGUGGCUGCAAAAAGAUUGAUGGCCAUAAAAUUAUCUUCGGCGUUGAGGCAUCGCGUUUGAGCACACACAAAAACCGAGCUAGGGGAAAAGAGCUUGAAAGUACAAGAUACUCAAAAUAUAGCAGAAGUAUAUUUCUACUUAUUGUGGCUAUUUUACUUUUGUUUCUUCCGUCAUCAUAUUUGAUUAAUUCGUUCAAAUUCACACUCUCAGUCAUUAUUUAAAACCAUUUUCAGGUGGCUUGCAAGCUAAAUAAGUUAAUGCAAAAACAAUACUCUAGACAAAGAUGAGCAAAUUGAAGGUGAUCAAUGCAUAUAUAGUUGCCAAGUCACUUAUUCUACUUCAUUCCUUACGUGAUUCUGGAUUUGAAUUUCCAUAACUGAUUGUUGGGUUGGUGCAGAUUUUCUUAAAAGGGCCGUUAAGCUACCUUCUGAAAUUGGAAAGUUCUUAUUGCUUGAAAGCAAGCAGCAUCUUCUGUUGCGAAGGCUUUCCCUGAAACGACCCACCCCGAAUCCCCCCAGGCGAGUCUAUCUAGUCUCAUCAAAACGGACUUGAUAAUAAUUCUAUUACUAAAGAUUCUGCCGAAAAUUCAGCAGAGUCUCCUUUAUAUAUAUAACACUUCCAAUCUACAAAUAUGAAUAUAACACUCCCAAUAUAAUUCAAUAUACAACAAACUCCAGUGAUCAACAUCCUCAACCAAAAUGCUGAGUUUUAUAUCUCCAGAGUCUCAAAAGAUAAUAUUAUAACUAAUAUUAAUAUCUCAGUUUAUUUUUAAUCCCAAAAGAAUAAUAUAACAAAAUUAUACAAUCCAACAGGAUGAAAUAACCAAGAUGUCCUAAUAAAAACAUCUAUAUCUUCUAACACCAUCACGUGGCCAAGACUCAAAAUAUACUUACAGUCGCUGGGUCGGUCUGGUAUACCUGCAACCUCCUGGUGAGGGGGGAAAAUAUAAUAAAAACGGGGUGACUUUAAAACUCAGUGAGAUCAGUGAGUGGAUAAUAGUUUUUGAAAAUUAAUUCUUACUUUAAAAGAAAUAAUCAUAUCAUUUCCAAACACUAUUUCAUUAAACCAUAAGCGAGAAACCAGUAAUAAAUCAUUUAACAUUUAAACCAGAUUACUAACCAUGCAAAUCAUAUCACAAUAUCAUUUAGAAUACACAAAUAUGAAAAUCAUCACCAAACAAGUACUCAGGGGAAUAAUCUCAUCAUAUCCAGACUUCAACAGACAGGCAAUGACAUACUAUCUGGGUAUCGUCAUGCCCCCGAGCUACACAGAUAGACAUGGAAAUACCAUCUCAUAUCUCAUCAUAUCUGUGCAUGCAUAAUCUAGUCCCCAAGGGACAAAAGUGCCCAAACACACGGCCCAAAGCCUCAGUGUGUACUCAGACGGGCCCCAAAGGCCUGUAUCUCAUCUGUAUCAUCUAUAUCUCAAUAUCUGUCUGUAUCUCAUAUUUGUAUAUCUAUAAUCAUCAUACCGCAUGCAUAUGCCCCCAAAAGGCAAAAGCGCCCAAACACACGGCCCAAAGCCUCUAUGUGUGUUCAGACGGGCCCCAAAGGCCUCUCAUCUCAUAUCAUCUGUAUCACUGUAUCUGGAGGGAAAGAUACUGUCCAAUGAUUUCAAAAACAAUCACUAUACUCAUAUUCACAUACCUUUUAACCAUACUUUAAAUCAUACCACAGUUGAAUCCACUUUUCUUAUCUUUAAAAUACUAUCAUGCUUAUUCAAAGUCGAUCCGCAAAAUCAUUGAUCAAACAUUUUAAUAAAAUACCAAUGCAUGAAUAAAAUCCAUUUCGAGGAAAUCAUUAAAUCAGGACAUUUAAAAUACUUAUUUCGCAAACAUGCUUUACUAUCAUCUCUAACUAUGAAAAUAAGUUUUGUAUAUUCCACUCACAGUGACGGUGUUCACGCUCGGUUAUCGUCCACGUCCGCGGACCAGUUCUCGCUCGCGGAUCCUCCUAAAUCAAGGAAACAACAUAAUUAUUUUUCGUAAAUCGAAAUUAGGACUAAAUUUAUGCAAUAAACUCGAAACGAACAUCUAUCCAUAAUUUACAACUCCUGUGUCGAUAAAAUUACUAAAAUGCUCUCGAGUCCGUAAAUCAUUAAAAUACUCCGAAAUCAGAAAUCAUCGAAUUACCCUCGGAAUCGUAAUUACAGCCAAUCCUCAAUUCUAGGAAUUACUAAAAUAUCCACAGGUUUAGAAAUUACAAAAUUGCCCUCGGAGUGUGAAAUUACCUAAAUGCCCUUGUCGGUCAACGGUCACCGAAAUUUGGUCAACGCUGGCUGAGAAGCUCAAGUCUGAAAGUUCCAAUCAUGCUGAGUUCAAUAGUACCGGCGGUGAGCCGGAAUCUAGCUCGGCAACCGUGAAUUCCAACAAUUGAUCGGCGGCAAAACAAUGAAUCUCGGUGGCUAUGGAUGGUCGGAAAUGGAAGCGGGAGUCGUGAGGAACAAAAUCCAAUCAGUAGUGUCACCCAAAACCGGCAAAAAUCUCGGCGGAGCAAAGUGAAACAGUCGCGGGUUUCCAAACUUUGAUCACCAGCGUUCCGAUUGGUUUUCAGCGGCAAGAAUGGCAGGGGAACCACGGUGGCUUCUAAGCUUCAAAUUGAUACCGAGCUCGGACGAAACAGUGGCCGGAAAUGGCAGAUAUGGUCGGGUCAAGGUCGCGGGUUCCGGGUCGGGUUUCGGGUCUGUUGUUGGGUCGGUUUGGCAGCAUCUCUCUCACUCUCUCACACGUGUAUCUUCCCUCUGUUUUCCAGCUCUUUUCUCUUUUGCUUUUACUAACUUCUUCACCGCCUCUUUUGAUUCAUUUUUAAUUCACAUAUGUUACAUUCCCCACUAGGGAUGGCAAAAUCCGGAUCCGGGUUUAACCAUUCCGGAUCUGGACCCAGACGAAUAUUUUCUAUACUGGACCCGGAAAUAAACUCGCAUUUUUCCACUUUAGGUCCGGUAUGGGUUCAACCUGGAAAAAUCCGGGUUCCCGGACUGCAGGUUUCCAACCCGGAAUCAUGAAUCCAAUUGAAAAAAUAAAACUAAAUUCGACUUAAAAAAAUCAAAUAGAAAUACAUAUCCAGGAUUUCAGCAAAUCAAAGAAAAAUUAUUUCAUCUGGAAACUAAUUAACAAAAACAACAAUUUUGUUUGGCUGCCCAGAAUCAGCAACCCAAUGUGGCGGCUCGUUCAAAACAUUAGUAAAGAGAACUAAAGAACUAGCUUUAGUUGCGAGCAGGAAGUCAGGAGUCAAGGAGUAGCCAAAGCACUUUUAAUGGUGAUGGGAAAGCUGGAGGGGUAAUGCAAAUAAGUUUACAUUGAUUGGAUAUUCAGAAGAAGUAAUACGCCAUUAAAAGCAACAAGUUUUCCAAAAAGCUAACAAAGACAGACACUACCACACCACCCCGCACUGGAUGAAAAAAGAUGAAACCAUGAUAAGUGGCAUCGAGUAAGCCACAUUCUCUCUCUCUCUUUCACUCGCACUUGCACACACUGUUACUAAAAUGACCAAAAACAAGAUUCCCAUCAAAAUAUUUUCGAGUAUCGUUCUUGAAAGUGACGGCUACUGAUGAUGAUGUUGAACAGCCACGAAGAUGGGCAAGUGAUGCGACGAUGAUUUGAUGAAGAUGAAGAUGAGUUGAAGAGGGAAUAAGAGAGGAAAUGUUUGUGCGGCUGGGAAAGUGUAAUGAGCUGCUAGGGCACCAUUUGGGUUUUUUUGGUUUCCUAUUUAUAUUAAAAAUAAUUUUAAAAAAUUAAUAUAUAUUCGGGUCCGGGUUCCGGAUGUACGGGUUUACCUAAAUCCGGAACCGGACCCGGACACAUGCGGGUUUUUAAAAUGACAUCCGGAUCCGGAUUUUAUUUAAUCCGGUACGGGUUGAACCCGGACCGGAAAAUCCGGGUUUCAUCCGGGUCCGGGCCGAGUGCGGGUUGAAAUGCCAUCCCUAUUCCCCACAUGAUGAGAUGCUGCGAUUGUUACCAGACCUGUAUUUAUUAACUCAGAUCAGUAUUAUCAACUACAUCAUCUUCUUCACCAUUUUGGCUAUAUAUAAAUACUAAAAAUUUAGAACAUUUGUUUUGGUUUCUUGUGUAAUCAGGCUAAUAGCGCACACGUCAGAAAUGAAGAUUGUUUAGUGCAACUGGUAUGGCAAGGAUGAUGAUGGUGAGGAAGAGUGUUCACAGGACAAAUAAAGCCCUCCAUUUUGUGACAUAUCUUCCUCAAAUUUUAUUUGCUGAGCAUAUGAAGUGAAGCUAAAGCCUUUGAUUAGUGUUAAAUAUUGUAUGUUUAUUAAGGAGUAAAAAUGUUAUUUUGUGCUUAUAUUAUAAUUUACAUUUGUAAUUAUGUAACAUAUUGUGAAUUUCUAAUUAUUUUUCUAGAUAAUUGAUUUUGUGUAUUUUUGUAUUUUUUAAUGUAAAAAUAAUAAUUUCAUGCAAUCUGAGGCUUCAAACUAAUGUACGAAUGUCAAAUUUGAAUUCCGGAAGUCCGAGAAGUUGGGUCAUUGUCGACAAAGAUCCGUGACUUUUGUUGUAAAAUUAUAAAAUUUUACCACGGUAAAUGUGGUAAUUGUGAAAUUGUAAGUUUUUGCCAUAUUAGGUGUGGUAAUUGUUAGUGGAAUGAGUUGAGUGUUCUUGAGUGCAUUAAGUUAAGUUUAUAUUUUGUUAGUGGGAUAAAUGUAUGUUUAAGAUGUAAUUAGUUUUAUUUAUUUGUGUGGUGUGGAUUAAUCAUGUAUUAGUAUAAAUAGAGGGGGGGCACACCUCUCUACACUUUUUCUUCUCUUCUUUCCCCUCAAAUUCUUCUUAUCAUCUCUCUUUAUAAUAUAUUUUGAAUAAAUAAAAUUAGUUUUAUUUUCAAUUUUCAAAUACUUUUUUUAAUUAUUUUUAUAAUUUUAAUAAUUACCUUUGUUUCAAAUAUGUUUAAUUGCACACUAAUAAUUAGGGGAAGGUGAAACUGUAACGUCCAAAUUUUCACUAGUUUAUUUAUAUUUUUUAUUGGAAUUUAUAAAUGACAUUAUUGCCCUAACAAAUAGGGGUUAUUUAUGAGAUAAUUUUUGGGAAAAAGGUUAUUUUUCCAUAUUCAAUGGAGUUUCUUAAGACUCCCUAUAAAUUCAUAAUUUUUCCCUUCCAUAACCCUAAGUCCACAACGUUUCUUCUUCUUCUUCUCUGCUGCUCAUUACGCUUUUACCCAAACCAUAGGAUUCAAACCUUUGUUGAGGAGAGAAUCAAAGCGAUUGGUAAGUUUACUCUCCUUAUCCUCCACAGGCUUUUCAACCACUCUAUCUAGGGUUUGAAUUGGCAUGAUUUUAUAUUGCUAUAGAUUAUAAUGCAUGCUUUAGGAUGUGUUUAGGCUUUGUUUAGGGCUCUGAUUUAUUAUGAGUCUAGUUAAUCAAUCCUUGAUGCGUUAAGCGCACAAGAUAAUUCUAGACAGCGUGAGUACCUCGAAUUUAUAUUUUUGGAAACUAGACAUGUAGGGCUUCUUGAAUAAAUUUUGUUUCAUUAAAUUUGAAUUCGUUUUCGAUUUUAUAUGUAUUUUUGAAACGGACACUGGUGCACUGGAAAACUGCGAUUCCAGUCCAGCGACCAGAUUCACAAAAUUAUUUGUACUAUCAAAUGAACUCAAAAACUUCUGAAAUUCUAUUUUGAAGUUAAUAUAUGUGUCUAGUAUUUAUAGUUUUAAUUUUAUAAGUUUCUGAUAAGUAUCUGAUUUUAUAAAAAUCUCAGAAUCGGCUUUGUUCAAUUAAGGUAUUGUGAAACAGUUUCUAAUUCUUCAAGUAAUAAAUAGUUUUGAAAAGGUUUCUGUUAUCGGAUCCUCUUGAAAGUUUUACAUGAGGUACCUAUGGAUGUCCAGAAUAGUUUUGUAUAUUUGUAUGUCAUUCCAAUUUUUAUAUUAAGAGUUAAACUUCUGAGAAUCUGACUAGUACGGGUAUGAAUGAGAAAAUCAGAUUCUUAGAAUUAGUCAUUGAUAGUAAUAUCUUGUAUUUUUUUAACGUGGUGGAGGUGUUUGAGGCUCUUAGAGGCUUAGAGGUGUGUUAAUUCAAAUUCUUUUUUGAGGUAAGUAACUUCAUUCCUAAUGUACUGGAUAUAUAUGAUUAUUUUGAUAUUAUUAUAAGUAUUUUAUACUAUUUAGAAGAUUAAUUGGUUUUCAUAACAAAAUUAGUUUAUGUAAAUGUUUUCAAACCUAAAUUCCUUUUAACGAAGUAUUUUAUAAAUGUUUUUAAAUAUGUAAAUUAUUUUAUGACACGACUACAUUUUAUGAUUUUAUCUAUAAAAUAUUUUGUAAGCCUAAAUUGUUGUUAUGGACAUUUAUGAAACUGAUAUGAAUGUUUUGUGUCUAUGUAUGAUUUUAAUUAUUUAUGAUUGUAUGGGGGCCACCUUUUGAGGGCUAAAGUGUUGCAAAGUGCCACAUAUAAGUCAUUAUGUUUUGGCUCAUUGUCCGUAGUUAUUCUGAUUCUAAUUCUAAUUCUGAUUAUGAUCGUAUUGUACGAUAUAUAUAUAUAUAUAUGUUAUGGACCAGUAUUGGGUUUCUGUUCUGAGGGUGCACACGAUAUUCUGAUUCUGAUUCUGUUUCUGGUCGGGUCAUCGGGACUAUAGGUGACACUAUGUGACAUGAGCUAAUUAUUUGUUUUUUUUUUUGUGGAUGCGUUAUACGAUUUAAUUUUAUAAUUGAUUAUUCUUUUGAUAUUCUGAAUUACCAUGUAUUUAUGUUAUCUAAUUGAAAUAUGUUGUUUUAUGAAAUUUAUGAAUUAUAAUAAAUGUUUUUAAAUCAAAGAAGGCUUGCAAUAUUUUUUGUAUCAAUAAGCCUAGUGGGUUAGGAAUGGUUUUACUUACCGAGUUGAUGGCUCACCCCUCGUCAUUACUUUUUGCAGAUUAAAUUCCUUUUGAGAGGUGUGCUUAGCUUCAGAGUUAGAGAUUUCAUUUUCGUUUGCUAUUUGAAUAAGAGGAGGAAUAGACUCAUGUUUCUUUUUAGUUUAAUUUCUGUUAUGAACUUGUAAUUUAGAGUUUUGAGACUUUUGUUAUUUUUAUGUUUUUGGAGAGAUUAUUUAGUGUUAGACAUAUGAAAUUGUGGAUUUAUUUGAUAAGAAUGUGAGGUAUUCAAUUUGGAGUUUGUGAGUAAGGAUUAUAAUUUGUAAGUAGCCUCCUUCUUCACGUGCUCCGCACGUGUUAGAUUUGGGGUGUUACAGAAACUCUUAGUAAGAAAAUAUGAUUUAAUCAAAUUUUACUUUUAAUUAUAUGAAUUAAAUUAUUUUCCAUCUAAUUUUAUCUAUAUUUUAUAUUUUGAAAUUUUGAUUUGUUGUAGACAAACAUGGGGUUUGGCACAAUGAAUUCUUAAUAUCUUAGUAUAAAGUAUCGUAAAAUGGUAUUUUGACUUAUUGUAGACAAGUUAAAUUUUGGCACACUAAGUACUUAAUCCAUAAUAAAAUGAUUGGGAAAAUAAUUGUAAUUUACAUAAUUAAUCAUUUGGGCAAUAAACAAAAAAUAAAAAGAAUUUAUUAAAUUGUAUUUGUUACUAAGAGUGCAUCCAUAACUCUAACUCAUUUAAUUUUAUAGUUUUGCUCAAAUUAAAUUGAAUAUAUUUAAAUUUUAUUUUCUUUUUUUAAGAUAAACUAAAAUUAACAAAUUAAAUAUUUUCUCUAUGGAUCAACCUCAAACUCAGCGAGCUAUAAUAUAACUAGGCACUCUUAUACUUGCGAGUAAAUUAAAUACUUUUGAGUCGUGUCAGCCUUAAUAAUAAGAUUUUCCUGUGAAAGCUUCAUUAGAGUGAAUUUUGGGAGAUUGAAUAUUCCUAGAUGGAAUGAGAUAUUAAGGACAUAUCAAUGAUUUAGGUCAUCGGUGUGUGUUUUCCUUUAACAUUCAUACACUCUCAUUUCGCAGUAAAAAUCUCUUCACGCUUUGGCCGUGAUGCAGGCCAAUAGCCGAACCAUGUAGAAUUAUAUUGUGAUUUCUUUAUACCAGUUUCUAUAUAUCAGUUCUGUACAAUCAAGAAUGUAAUUUUGUAAUUAUUUAACUCCGCUUCCGCAAACAUGCAGUAUUACAAGUGACAUCUUGCAUAUUUUUUUUGCUCUUUUUCUUUCUCCAUUAAAAUUGCCAGAAAAGGAAGUGAUUGGCCUGAUUUUAGCUCCUGCAGAAUGUUCUGGGGGCAAUGUCUUUUGUAUCAGCAAGUUAUCAAAGAUCGUAGUCUAAAUAAAGAAUCCUAAAAUUGCUAUAUGAAAGUCCAGGUCUUUCAUCUUUCAGUUUCUUAAUAGCUACAAAACAAACUGCAUGUGGGCUGAUAUACUUCCACGGUUCAGGAAAGAAUUUGGUGUUGACACUAUAUAUUACGCAGGUAACCGCAGUUGACAAUUUACUCAAAUAUGUCAUAGUUGACAAUUCGCUUACAGUCUUUCCUUCUGUUAUCAUGUGUGAAUUGAAAGAUUGAGAAAGGAUGAUUUUAACUAACUUAUGCAAUUAAAGAGUUUGAAAAAGCAUUUGCGCUAAAGUUUGCCGCUCGUUUAAUUGCUGUGAAGAGCCGCAUUCAUUCUGAGUACAUAAGUUUUAGAUUUCCAAGUUGUGUAAGUUUAGCAGCCACUUAAAUGUUUAGUCACAUAUUCUUAAAAUCUUUUCUAAUUGUCUAUUUUUUUGGGCCAUCACAAAUAGUUUUACGAGUGUGCAAGUGGUUGCUAAAGAUUGAUGGUUAUAAAAAUUAUCUUGAGGUAUGAAAUCUUAAUUUUCUAUAAGUAUCUGUAUUUUGAGUACAAAUUUUUUUCUAUAAGAUUGAUGCAUAUGGUGCAUGAUUUUUUUCCAAUUUGUAAGCAGAAAACAAUGUGUUUUGUUAGAAAGUUAUCAUGGUAGUGAGGAAUCAGUCGUAAACUCUUUUGAUGAGAAAGUCCAUCACUUAAUGUUAACUCUUUAGUGUUAAAGUCUUGGUUGGGAGGUGCCGCCCAAAGAAAGAAACAAAAGAGAAAGAAGAAAAAGAAGAAAGAAAGAAGAAAAAAUGGGUUGGCCGAAAUGCUUGAAAAGGAAAAUGAAAAAGAAGUAGUUUGAAGAAGAAAAGGAGGAACACGGUUUUGAAAAAGAGGAACACGGUUUUGACUUUCUUGGCCAUCAUUUUGUUAUAAAUAGAAGUGCAAAUGAAGAGCUGUAGUAUUCCAUCGAGAGACAAGCAUUUCCUUCCUUUAGAGUUGAGAGUAUUAAGAGUUUAAUAAACUCUUGAGUGAUUAGUGUUCUGAGAGUUUGGGUGUAUUGGGAUUUUGGGAAGUGAGCUAAAAUACUACAAUACUUGUAACUCCUUUUCACUAGUAAAAUAUUUCUUUCUGUCUUCGCCCGUGGACGUAGGCUAAAAGCCGAACCACGUAAUUUCUGGUGUCCUCUCUUGUGCUUGUUCUUUAUUUUAUUUCAAUUUCACUUUAGUUGCAUGUCUGCUUCACCCACCAAUUUCCUAACAGUGGUAUCAGAGCUAUUGGUUGUAUUUUUUGGAGUCGAGUACUAUUCAUGUAAAGGUACUAUUCCUAGGGAUGGCAAAAUUCGGGUCCGGGUCCGGGUUUGGCCUUCCCGGUUCCGGACCCGGACGACCAAUUCAUUAUACCAGACCCGGGUAAAACCCGUAUUUUUUUAAUCCGGGUCCCAUCCGGGUUAAACCCGGCAAAGUCCGGGUUCCCGGAUUGCGGGUUCUAAACCCGGAUUUUUUUCCCCCAAAAUCAAUAUCUUCAGCACGUUGCAUCUUGGUAAAAACAAAUAAAAUGCAAAGACCAGUCCAUUAAAUCAACAAUCAUACUGUAGUUCAAGUAACUAAGCAACCUUUUUAAAACAGUAAAGAAAACAAGUCACAAAAGCAUUCAUAACAAACAGAAGAAGAAUUUCCCAUUCUUAAGUGACCCACAAAGCCUCAAUUACUACAAUACCUCCUGCCAUUACCGAACAAAAAACUGGAGUAGAGAAGAGAGACAAUGAAGCAGAGAAGCUUCAGACAUCUAGAGGUUGCAGAGCUGGUGUGGUUAGAGGAGGUGGCUGCCUUGAUGAUAGGAGAUGAGGAAGAUGAAAGAUGCGGCUAGUUUGAGCCCGUGAGGCUUAGAUUUUGAGGGCUGCUUUUGUUUUUUCACUUACUUUUUGUUCUUAUAUUUAUAACUAACAAUUAAAAAUUAUUUAUUUAAAUAAUUAAAAACAUUAAAAUGCGGGUCCGGGUUCCGAAAAUCUGGGUUAGAAAAAAUGCAUUCGGAUCCGGAUAUUUCAUAAAUCCGGUACGGGUUAAACCCGGUCUAGAUCAUCCGGGUCCGGGUUUAUUUGCCAUCCCUAACUAUUCCCAUAUACGAUACUGUUCACGUAUACGGUACUGUUCACGUAUAUGGUACUAUUCACGUGAAACAGUGGGAGCGAUCCAAGAAUUUUGCGGUGCAAGGCAGGGAAUAGUGGUGUGAGUAAAACAACUGUGUGGUUUUGUACAUGUCUAGGAAAGUUCUGUCACAAAGGCGAUAAGAGCUUAAUGAGUCUGGGUUUUAAGUGGGACCAUUGUGACCCCUCCAGUCUUUCCUGGGAACUUUCCUGAUGUGCAUUCUCACACAUACUUACAACUAUUCAAGGUGGUAUACUAGCUUGUGUGCAGUAUUUAUCAAAAAAAUAGCGGCAAAGUAUGAAAUUGAGAAAUUUAACGGAAACAAUUUUUCGUUGUAGAAAAUGAAGAUGAAAGUUGUAUUGAGGAAAAAUAAUUGCUUGGCAGCAAUUGGAAAAAGGCUCAUGGAGAUAACUGAUGACAAGUGAAAUGAGAUAGAUGGCAACGCCAUUUCUUAUCUACACUUGGCACUUGUAGAUGGAGUAUUAUCUAGUGUGGCAGAGAAAAAUCAACGAAGGAAAUAUGGGAUACUCUCACAAAAUUGUACGAGGCCAAGUCACUACACAACAAAAUCUUCUUGAAGAGAAAACUCUAUACUCUUCGAAUGGUGGAAUCUACAAUGGUGACCGACCAUAUCAACACCUUGAAGACUCUAUUUUCAUAACUCACAACGUUGGGUUAUAAUAUAGAGGAAAAUGAAAAUGCAGAGCUUCUACUUCAAAGUCUACCAGAUUCGUAUGAUCAACUCAUUAUCAACCUGACAAACAACAAUCCAGUGGACAGUCUAGUUUUCGACGAUGUUGAGCAGGUGGAAAAAUAAGGAAAAUAGACAAGCAAGUUCGCAGCAAGCGGAGGCGCUAUGGGUGACGAGAGGGAGAUCAAUGGAACGUGGCCCCAGUGGGAGUCAAAAUCAUGGUAGAUCAAAAUCCAGAAGUAAAAAGAAUGUUAAAUGCUACAACUGUGGCAAGAAAGGACACGUCAAGAAAGAGUGUUGGAGUAACCAGAAGAGAAGAGAGGGCAAAGAACUUGCGUCAUCAAAUGCUUAAGGGUGUGUAACAAGUACCUCGGAUGAUGGCGAAAUUCUUUACAGCGAGGCAAUAACUGUUUCAGAAGGCAGAAAACGAUUAUCUGAUGUCUGGCUUAUAGACUCAGGAGCUACCUGGCACAUGACCUCUCGGAGAGAAUGGUUCCACACAUAUGAACCUAUCUCAGGAGGAUCUGUAUAUAUGGGUAAUGAUCAUGCCUUGGAGAUCGCUGGUAUUGGUACUAUCAAAAUAAAAAUAUUUGAUGGUAUAAUUCGCACAAUUGGGGAGGUACGACAUGUAAACGGCCUAAAGAAAAAUCUAUUGUCUUUAGGACAAAUAGACAGUCAUGGGUGCAAAACUCAUGUGGAGAAUGGAAUUAUGAAGAUCGUUAAAGGCGCGCUUGUAUUGAUGAAGGCAAAAAAGAUCGGUGCUAAUUUAUUCAUGCUUAAAAGAGAAACACUACAGGAGGCUGAUGCGUGUGUCGCAUCAAAUGGAGAAGAGUCAACAAUGAUGUGGCAUCUCAAAUUUGGCCACAUGUCAGAACAAGGUUUGAAGAUUCUCUCUGAGCGAAAAUUGCUUUCAGGACUCAAAUCGGUAAGUUUACCAUUUUGCGAGCAUUGUGUUACAAGUAAGCAGCAUAGAUUAAAAUUCAGUAGAUCUAUUGCUAGAAGUAAAUGCAUUCUAGACUUGAUUUAUUCUGAUGUUUGGGAAUCACCGGAUAUAUCCAUGGGAGGUGCAAAGUACAUGGUGACUUUCAUUGAUGAUUAUUCCUGAAGAUGUUGGGUGUAUCCAAUUAAGAAAAAGUCAGAUAUAUUUUCAAUAUUUAAAGAAUACAAAGCGCGGGUGGAACUUGAAUCUGGUAUAAAGAUCAAGUGCUUGAGGACAGAUAAUGGUGGAGAGUAUACAGACGGCGAGUUUCUUGCUUUCUGUAAGCAAGAAGGUAUUCAGAGGCAGUUCACGGUGGCAUACACUCCUCAACAAAAUGGAGUGGCAGAGCAGAUGAACAGAACUCUUACAGAAAGAAUAAGAGCUAUAUUGAGGACCACUGAUCUACCCAAUUCAUUCUGGGCAGAAGCAGCCAAAACUGCCUGUUAUAUAGUAAAUCGAUCGCCAUCUACAACUAUUGAGCUGAAGACAGCGAUGGAGAUGUGGACUGAAAAGCCAGCUGAUUAUUCCUACCUACAUGCAUUUGGAUGUCCUGUGUACGUGAUGUACAAUACCCAAGAAAGAACAAAACUGGAUCCAAAAUCUAGAAGAUGUAUCUUCUUGGGAUAUGCUGAUGGAGUAAAGGGGUAUCGUCUGUGGGACCCCACUGCCCACAAGAUCGUCAUCAGCAGAGAUGUUAUUUUUGUAGAAGAUCAACUACAAAGGAAAAAUGGAGAUGAUAGCACUGCAAAAGAAAAUUCAGAGACCGUGCUGGUAUAUAUGGAAAAUAAUUCAGAAGAUUCAGAUUCUUCGGAAGCAGCACCAGAGCAUGAGGAACAAGAACUAGUCGAGUCCGAGGCUCCAGAAGUUCAUUGGUCAACUCGUGAGAGACGACCGCCAACGUGGCACUCGGAGUAUAGAGUUCAACGUUACAUACUGUCUUCUAACAGAGGAUGGAGAGCCUUCAACUUUCCAUGAAGCUUUAAACAGCUUAGAUGUUGCUUUGUGGAUGACAGCAAUGCAGGAAGAAAUUGAAGCUCUACACAAGAACAAGACAUGGGAACUUGUACCACUACCACACGGAAGAAAAGCCAUUGGAAACAAAUGGGUCUACAAGAUCAAGCGUGAUGGCAAUGACCAAGUGGAGCAGUAUCGUACAAGAUUGGUGGUGAAAGGAUAUGCUCAAAAAGAAGGUAUUGACUUCAACGAGAUAUUUUCUCCGGUGGUUCGACUCACAACAGUCAGAGUAGUCUUGGCGAUGUGUGCUACACUUGACUUACAUCUUGAGCAGUUAGAUGUGAAAACUGCAUUUCUUCAUGGAGAACUUGAAGAAGAAAUAUAUAUGCUCCAACCAGAAGGUUUUGCAGAAAUAGGAAAGGAGAACUUGGUUUGCAGGUUGAACAAAUCUCUAUACAGUCUCAAACAGGCACCGAGGUGUUGGUAUAAGAGAUUUGAUUCCUUCAUCAUGAGCCUUGGAUACAACAGACUAAGUUCAGACCAUUGUGCAUAUUACAAGAGGUUUGAAGAAAAUGAUUUCAUUAUUUUGUUAUUGUAUAUGGAUGACAUGUUGGUAGCAGGCCCCAACAAAGAUCGAAUCCAAGAAUUAAAGGCACAGUUGGCUAGGGAGUUUGAAAUGAAGGACUUGGGACCAGUAAACAAGAUUAUAGGGAUGCAAAUUCACCGAAACAGAAAUAACAAGAAGAUUUGGCUUUCACAGAAGAAUUACUUGAAGAAAAUCUUGCGACGCGUCAACAUGCAAGAUUGUAAGUCAAUUUCUACGCCACUUCCUGUUAAUUUCAAAUUAUCCUGAAGUAUGUGUCCUAGCAAUGAAGCAAAGAGGAAGAAGAUGUCUCGAGUACCGUAUGCUUCAGCAGUGGGAAGUUUGAUGUUCGCUAUGAUAUGUACUAGACCGGACAUUGCACAAGCAGUGGGAGCAGUCAGUCGAUACAUGGCGAAUCUUGGAGGAGAGCAUUGGAUAGUUGUGAAGAGGAUUAUGAGAUAUAUCAAAGGAACCUCAGAUGUUGCAUUAUGUUAUGGAGGAUCAGAAUUUACUGUCAGGGGCUAUGUGGAUUCAGAUUUUGCAGGAGACCUUGAUAAAAGGAAAUCCACUACUGGUUAUGUGUUUACACUUGCGGGAGCAGCUGUAAGCUGGGUUUCGAAACUGCAGACCGUUAUGGCCUUAUCUACAACAGAAGCAGAGUACAAGGCAGCUACACAAGCUUGCAAGGAAGCUAUUUGGAUACAAAGGUUAUUGGAGGAGCUCGGGCACAAACAAUAGAAAAUUCUUGUAUUUUGUGACAGUCAGAGUGCCUUGCACAUUGCAAGGAAUCUAGCCUUUCAUUCCAGAACAAAGCACAUAGGAGUUCAGUAUCACUUCGUUCGAGAAGUAGUGGAAGACGGAAGUGUGGAUUUACAGAAAAUCCAUACGAAGGAGAACCUAGCAGAUGUUUUGACCAAGCCAAUCAAUACUGAUAAGUUUUUCUGGAGUAGAUCCUCUUGUGGCCUAGCAGAAACGUAGGCAACAUGAUUAUGGCGAAGCAGAAAGGAUGGUGUGGAGAUUGAUUGAUUUUCAAUCUAAUCUCCAAGUGGGAGAAUGUUAAAGUCUUGGUUGGGAGGUGCUGCCCAAAGAAAGAAACAAAAGAGAAAGAAGAAAAAGAAAAAAGCAAGAAGAAAAAAUGGGCUGGCCGAAAUGCUUGAAAAGGAAAAUGGAAAAAUAAGCAGUUUGAAGAAGAAAAUGAGGAACACGGUUUUGACUUUCUUGGCCAUCAUUUUGUUAUAAAUAGAAGUGCAAAUGAAGAGCUGUAGUAUUCCAUCGAGAGACAAGCAUUUCCUUCCUUUAGAGUUGAGAGUAUUAAGAGUUUAAUAAACUCUUGAGUGAUUAGUGUUCUGAGAGUUUGGGUGUAUUGGGAUUUUGGGAAGUGAGCUAAAAUACUACAAUACUUGUAACUCCUUUUUACUAGUAAAAUAUUUCCUUAUGUUUUUGCCCGUGGACGUAGGCUAAAAGCCGAACCACGUAAUUUCUGGUGUCCUCUCUUGUGCUUGUUCUUUAUUUUAUUUCAAUUUCACUUUAGCUGCGCGUCUGCUUCACCCACCAAUUUCCUAACAUUUAGGAGAUUGUUGGUUUCCUAACUCCAUUCAUAGACUUAGUAGAUUGCGUGCCCUCUUAAUUUGUGAUGUUAACAAUUUGUCUCUUGAUAGUAGCAUCCUUCUAUAGUUAAUUAGCAAAUCGUUUUAUCGUGAUACAAGACGAUUAAGUUUUGGUGAGACAAAUUAAUUUGACUGAAGAGAUUCCAGAAAAUGUAGGAAAAAUGAUACAUUUAAAAUACCUUAAUUUGUCUAGUCUGGAUAUAGAGGGACUACCUGGGACUUUGUGCGAGUUAUACAGUUCACAUGGGCUAGAUAAAAGAGCAUACCGAGAUAUCAGAGAAUUACAUUCAGGAAUUGGCAUGUUAAUGAAAAUGAGGAGAUUUCUAAGUGGUGAAACUGGUUCGUUGAAGUGCAUGCCAAAAGGGAUCUUAAGAUUAACCAAUCUUCGAAGAUUGGAUAAGUUUGUUGUGAGUGGAGGUGUUGAUAAUGGCAUACCAAGUCGUCUUGGUUCUAUGAAAAACCUUCAACUCCUUCGAGACUGUGGUAUGGAAGGGCUGGGUAAUGCGUCAUAUUUAAGUGAUGCUAUGAGACCAGAACUUGAUAAAAUGAAAAACCUUCUGCUUUUGAAACUGUCCCUUGAUGGGGAAGAUCGAGAAGGAGUUGUUAAGGUGCAUUUCUGAAAAUCCUUCUUUCUUCACACACGUUUCAAUGUUGGUUGUAAUAGCAAUUUCAUCUCUCAGGUUAUCAUGUUCAAGGUUUUGAAAAAGCUUUUGCGGUAAUGUUUCAAAUUAAGCUUGUACAAUGACUGUGAAGAGGCAUAUUCAAUUCGGUACGUUUUGGUACGAUCUCCUUAUGCUAGUAUCAUGUUGUGUAUAUUUAAUUGCAAUUAAAAUGGUUUAAUCUCCCAUCCUUAAUCUUUUCUGAUAUUCUACAGAAGAUUAACGGUGACAAUUAUUCUUCAAGUAUGCAGUCUCAAUUUACAAUAAAUCAUGAGUACUUGUGUACAAAGCUUUAUAUAUUAGCUAUAUGGGGAAUGAAAUUUUAAACAUCAUAUCGAUCUUCAAUUUUUGGUAAUUCUCGUUUAUUUGCUUCUACAGAGUGCCUGUCUUGGCUGAUUUGUCUAAUUCGUAGAAAUUCAUUUCCAUUGGUUGGAGCACAAACAAGACAAGAGAGCUCUGGGGAAAAGUAAUCUACUUCUUGUGUUACUACGCCUUUGUUUCUUCCUUCAUAAUAUUUGUUUGACUUCAUGCUCUCAUUCAAGAUUAUGAAGCAAUUUCCAGGCAGAAUUAGAGAAGGUGUUGUUAAAAGGGCGUUUAGCUUCCCUACGAUUGAAUAUGGAACUACUGAGAAUAAAAUUGAUCAAUUGACGACGUUAGUUUGGUUGGGUGGUUUACUUAUACUCAGUCUGACAUUCAAACUACGUAUCAUCAAAUGUCCGAUGUAUUGGUAUCCUUUUCAUGUUUUUUCUUCGAUUUUGGGUUAAUUUGUGCGGUUGAUUUUAGUUUAGAUCUCUGCCUGUUUAUUAUUCCGGCUUUUCUUCCUAAUCAAAUGGUGCUUUCUUUGUCAAAAAAUCUACGUUGUUCCAUCCAUGCUUUGACAAUGCUAAAUGCAUUUUUUACGUUUCCUUUCUGACACAGACAUAUAAAGGACAUCACAUCCUAGUCUUGCUGUGAAAACUUUAGGCAAAUUUUGGACCGUCUCAAAGGAAAGCAGAGAAUGUAACAAACAUCUAAUGCCAUUUUGAUGCCGGCCUAAUUAUAAACUAAACUUUAUUAUUUAGUAAAACACACACAUAGACAAGGCGAGAGCAAAGCUCACUACAAUGUGAUAUUUUCACCACCCAAUAAUGUCUUACAAGAGAUACAUGACGCUUUAACUCACCAAAGCUCACCACUUAAGAGGAUUACAAAGGGAUUUAGAUAGUCAUCAUCCAAUGAUAUCCUACAAGAGAUACAGUACUUCUCAACUCACCACUCUACGGAAUCAACCCAAGAGAUCCGGAGUUCUAUGAAGAAACUCUAACAAGAGCACUCUUCUAGGUUACAUUCUCAUAAUCACCCCCUUUUGUAAGGUUACAACCUAAUACCUUUUGUAUAGACAACUUGGAACAUCCCUUCAAGCUUAGGAUAAGAUCUCUAUCAUUUAGAAUUCAAAUCAAACUUGAAUUAUAGGUCUUAGCUGUCAUGAGGUGGAAGAAAACAAAACAAAAUGCAAUUUGACAUCAAGGUCGGUUUCAAGUGCAAGUCAGAGUAGUCAACAUUCAUUUAAUCAUAUCUUGAUGUAGAAAGCUCCAAAUCAAACAUGUAAAAUUCAUUAACAUCUUGACUCAAAAAGCUUUUCACUUAUGUGAAAGUUUUUAAUUGGAUCUUGAUGCAUUUGUACCAAUAAAUUCAGAACUUUUGGCCGUGUGCAGAAUUCCUAACAGUUGUGACCUUCGUUGACAAAAUCAUGAAUUUUUUUAAGAAGAGAAGUCUGAAUUUGAUUCCAUAAAAUUCUUCAAAGACUAGGCAUAUUCAUCUUUCUUUGAAUAUAUAUGAUACAUAGUUUAAUUACAUCUAGAAAAAUACAGUCAAUUCAAACAAUUGGAGUCAUAAUCUUGGAUUGUACUUGUCUCUUGGACUAAAUCUAAAACACGCCUGUGUCAUAUUUAUGGCUUUACAUUAUUUAGAAUGAAUCUUUUGAGAUUUCUUCAGAAUAAAUCUUAGUUUCGGGAAAAGUAUGUCUGUUAGCGAAAAUUUACUUCUCAUUGGAACCCUUAACCCAGCUGGAUUAAGGCUCUGUUUGUGUGAGCUUUUUGGUCACUCUGCUGCCAAAGAUAAGUGUUUUAGUAAAUAAUUGCAGUUUGGUUUUGGCAAGGUAACUGAUUAGUGCCCACAACUAUUUACUUAACUGCUUAAGCAUAAGUUCUAAAUACAAAAUAGGAUACCAAACAGUUUUUAACUUGACAAUUAGUAGUGUUUAAGAAACACUCGUCAACUUUCCCUUUACACUUAGAACUUUUGUUUUGCAACAACAAUGACUCAAAAAUUGAUUUCAUCUUUGGUAACUUAGAGCUGCAAGCACUGAGGUGCUGUUUAUUGAACUUUUGAGGCUUCAACCUUAAGGGUGCAUUGGGUAGCCCGCAACUUGUUACCGACCCAUGUUUGGCAAAUUUCGAAAUUGCAUUGUGGUGCUUUCAAUAAUGCACCACAUUGUAAAUUUUAGUGCAUUACACAAGCCCGGGGGACCCCGAGUUAGUGCACUGCGUAACUUGACGCAUUAGCUUUUGCUGUAUAUAUGAGCAAAAGCUAUUGAUAAUUAAUAUAACAUCGAACUAAUAAUUUAGUAAAAUUAUAUUAUAUUACAUUACAAUAUUAUUUAUAUUAUAUACAAUAUUAUUUAUAUUAUAUUCUACUUUUUCUUUUAUUUUUUAUAUUUAUAAUAAUUAAUAAAUAAAUGUAAAUUUGUAUUAUGUAUUUUUAGUUAUUUUUAAUUUUAUUAUGUUAUUUAGUAAUACCACAUCAUAUUAAUAUAAAAUAAUUAUUUAAUAUAAUUAAAAUAAUAAUAAUAAUAAUAAAUUUAUAUUUUCGAAUUUAAAGCAGCAAGCGCCGAAGUAAAGUAGAACUGCACACUAACUGAAAAAGAAAAGAAAAUAUUAAAAUAUUAUAAUAAAAUUAAAAAUAAUUAAAAAUAUAUAAUAUUAAUUUACAUUUAGUUAUUAGUUAUUAUAAAUACAAAAUAAUAUAAUCUAUAAUAACUAUUAUUUAAUAUUAAUCGGCAACGACAACUGCUCUAAAUCACUCUCGCGAAAAUCAGCCGCUAGCUUUAUAUGUCUAUUUGAGUUUAUUUUAGUAUUGUUGGAACUCGUUGUUUGAGCAUUACGACAAUAUAUGUUUCAUCGGAACGGAGGCCUCCAUCAUUCUUUGUCUAUAGAUCUCUAGUGAUCGGAAACUGUAUUUCCAGUGAAACAUGUACAUUGAGGAUUAGCGAUGGUUGAUGUGUACAUUGCAGGCCUCCACCGAUACCAAAAAUAACAUCAAACAAAACCAAAAUGUGGUGUCGGCGCUGAUUCGUGGUGAUUAGCGAUGGUUGAUGUGGCUGUCAGUGAUUUAUUCUUUUGUUUGUAAAUUAAAUUAAUAAAUGUGAUAUAAUAAUAAUAUAAAGUAUUAAUAAAUAUACAUAAUAUUAAUUUCACAUAAAUAUUUUAAACCACCUCCAAUCGAUAACCACAUGCAACUGCUGAAGAAAGUGGGCGGAAGUUAAGGUGGCAACCACCCACGACCAAGGGCCUAUUUAAACUGAAAAGGGGAACUGAGGAAGGGGUUAGCAAAAUUAACCAAAGCUUAUACAAGUUUAAACCUUAACAUUCUUUAUAAGAUUUUCGACUCCUCUACCGGAAAAUCACCUGACUUUAACUCAUUUACAAUUCUUCAUUCUCACUUUUCUCCCUUUAUUCAUAAUUUUUAACUUAAGCAUCAGAGGGUAUACGCUAGAACCCCACUGGCGAAUCCUGACCGUGUUUCUGGUCUGCAGGUAUAGAAAGUUGCGAUCAGACUGGCGUUUGAGCUUGGAUUCGUGCUGUAAUUCCCCAAAAGAAAUAAAUUAAGCUAUUGGGGUCGUUUAUUGGCAUCAACAGUGAUGAUGAACCAUCUUCAUCUUCAUCGUCAUCAUUAGUUAUUGCCUUCCCCAAUUUGAAAUCACUCGAAAUUGUGGACUUGAAAGAAUUGGAUGAGUGGGAUUAUAGGAUUACAAGAAAGGAAAACAUCUCCAUCAUGCCACGUCUUUCUUCCUUGGAAAUUCGGUCUUGCCCUAUAUUAAAGGUGCUGCCGGAUUACCUUCUUCAGAAAACGACACUGCAGAAAUUGAGUAUCUUUCAUUGUCCAAUUAUGGAAGAACUGCCCAUUCUAAAAGAUCGCAGGACAACAUACAUACCACGUCUUUCUUCCUUGCGAAUUACGUGUUGCCCCAAAUUAAAGGUGUUGUCGGAUUACCUUCUUCAAACGACAACGCCCCAAAUUCUAGAAGAACGUUACAGAUGUCAAAGUAUUUGGCUGCAGCUUCUAGAAGCUACAUCUAGAAGCGUUGAUGUAGCAAAUGUUGAAGGGUUAGGCACCGCCAAGGAAGAAUGAAGAAGAUGUUGCCGAAGUUGAUCUUGACAAAUGAUGGUUGGAACGCCAAAAUGCAAGAAAGAAAAAGGUUGGAGCACGGCUUUGAAGAAGCCACGAGAAGAAUAAAGAAAAUAUUAGAAUAAUAGCCAAUUUUGGCUAUCUAAAGGAAGCUCCCCAUUUCUAGUUUUUGUAUCCAAUCCUCAGUUUCUCUUCUUCAUUCAGAGAGUGUUUCUUUGGGGUGUAUUUGGGGAUUAGGUGAGAGAAAAUUAUUUCUGAGAGAGUGGUUGUAAUAAUUUUCCACAUAGUGAAUAUUUUUUUCUCUAGUUGUCUUUUUGACAACGGCCGUGGUUUUUCUCCAGAUUUGGAGUUUUCCACGUAAAUCUUGUGUUGUGGGAUUGAUAUUAUUUUUCAUUUAAUUUUUCUUGUUAAUUUGUUACUUGACAAAUUGCUUGGAGAGAUCCUGGGAGGAAGCUCAAUUUCCUAACAGUGGUAUCAGAGCCAUUGAUUGAAGUUUUGGUGUCGGGCACUGUUCAUGUAUACGGUACUGUUCACGUAUACGGUACUAUUCACGUGAAGCAGUGGGAGCCAAUCCAAACAGUCCGUGGUGAAGAGUAAAAGCUGAUCUACAAAGCAAAUAUGUCAGGAUUGAAAUUUUCAAGUCUGGUGAAAUUUGAAAUAGAAAAAUUCGAUGGGAGAAUUAACUUUGGCUUGUGGCAAGUUCAAGUCAAAGAUGUGUUGAUUCAAUCUGGGUUACACAAGGCAUUGAAGGGGAAGCCAUCCCCUGCUUCCAGUAGUGGCUCUGGAAAAGCUAGUAUAAGCGAUGAAGAUUAGGAAGAUUUUGAUGAUGGAGCUGCAAGUGCCAUACGACUGUGUUUAGCAAAGAAUGUUCUUGCAAAUUUAGGAAAAAUUCCUACAGCGAAAGAACUUUGGGAGAAGCUAGAAAAGUUGUAUCAGACAAAGAGCAUCUCAAAUCGGUUGUACCUGAAGGAGCGAUUUCACACACUGUGAAUGGCUGAAGGUACAAAAAUUUCCGAUCACCUCAGUGUUCUCAAUGGUAUUGUGUCAGAACUUGAAGCCAUUGGAGUUAAAAUUGAAGAUGAGGACAAGGCGCUUAGGGUACUAUGGUCACUUCCAACUUCCUACAAACACUUGUUACCUACUUUGAUGUACGGGAAGGAGACAGUAGAUCUUGAAGAAGUUACUAGUACUUUACUCUCAGAAGAAAGAAGACUAAGUGGUGAAAGUACUAAAACUAUAGAUGUCUCAGCUUUGGCAGUUGUAGGGAAUUGGCAGAAAGAUAAAUCUAAGAAGAAAGAAGAAAGGAGCUUUGGCAGUUGUACAACCGCCACUGAAUACAUGCAGCCACUACUAUAUUUUAUUCUAAGACAAUAACCUUUUGAAGAAACUAGAGCCCAUAUCAUUCCCCACCCCUUAGAAUCACCUUGUCCACAAGGUCAAAGUGCCCCAUUCACUUAACCAGUAUCGGGUGGUGUGAAUGGUGGAGGAUCUUCAAUCAUGAACAGUUAUGGCCUUUGGCAGUGAUGGCCAGGAACGAAUUUCUCAUCACAAUAAUAACAUAGCCCUUUUUCACGUCGAGCCCAUACUUCUUGGUUAGUCAACCGCUGGGUAGGAGGAGUGGUGGCAUUGGCUGUUUGGUUUGCCUUAGGAGGGGGGGCCUAAGAUCCCAGCAGAACUAUUUGGGAUUGGUUGUGGCAUCACGGAAAUAUGUGGUGGUGCAGAAAAGUGUUCAGUGCAGCGAUCGAGAGAAUUCUGCUCCUCAAUCAGUCUUGCCACACCAAUGGCGUCAGCUAAGGUUCGAGGUUGUUUAAUCUUAACAUCAAGUCGUAUGUCGUCUCGCAACCCAGCAAUAAAACACCUUACAAGAAACUGCUCAGGGAGGUUAUCAAUGUUGUGAGAGAGUUUUUCGAAGGCUUCUUGGUAGGCUGCCACCGUUGAAGUUUGUUUGAGACGUGUUAAAGCUUCGGAUGGGUCUUCAUAAUCCGUUGGUCCGAAUCGUAAGAGCACUGCCUUAGUAAAUUCUGCCCAAGUUAGUGGACCACGAAAUUUCAUUAACCAUCUAUGCCAUUAAAGAGCGAUCCCCUCCAAAUGGAAUGAGGCUAACUGUAUAUGUUGUUCCGGGGCUACAUUCUUAAAUUCAAAGAAUUGUUCUGCCUUAUAGAUUCAACCAAUCGGAUCCUCUCCAUUGAAAUUUGGGAAGGUUAGUUUGAGAUGGUGGUGGUGGUUAGGAAGGUUUGAGGAGGCAGGCUUUACGACUUGGUGAGAGGAUGCUGUAGGUGCAAAAGGAUUAACUUCAGAGGCAAUUCCAUGUGAGGCUUGGGAGGCACGAAGAGAUUGGAGCUCCGAUAAUACAGUUUGCAGAGUAGCAUGAACUUGGUCUAGGCUAGACUCAUGACGACCUAAGAUUUCUUGAACCUCAUUUCGAAACUCAGCGUUUGAUUGAUUUCGGGUAGCCAUUUUCCCGGAAAACCGGCUCUAAUGCCCUGAUACGAAUGAAUUUAGAUAAGAAGUAGAAGUCGAAGAAGUUAGUGAUAGUUUAGUUUCCAGUUUAGAAAGGGAAGUCAAAGAAUUAGAGAGAAGAAUAUGAAUUGAUUAGAAGGGGAAAGACAACUUCAUUCCAUUCCUCCCCAUUACAAGUCCACUAAGUCUUUUAAAUAGACCUGUACACUCUGAAACUAGAAAAGAGGAAAAACAUGUGCAAGUCCAGCAAGCACUACACUUGAAAAUAGGAACAUGAACACUUAAAAUGGAAAUGUGCACAACCGCCACUGAAUACAUGCAGCCACUACUAUAUUUUAUUCUAAGACAAUAACCUUUUGAAGAAACUGGAGCCCAUAUCAAUUUGUUACUUGACAAAUUGCUUGGAGAGAUCCUGGGAGGAAGCUCAAUUUCCUAACAACAGAGAGGAGGAAGGAGAAGACUGGCACAAGAUAUCUCACAUUCCCCACAUCGAGUUGUAAAUUCUUCGAAUGUUUGCAAUUACUAUCACCCACUGGUAAUUUCUCCUCCUCUAUUUUACUUUAUUGUUACUUGUAAUGAAACUACUAAUAAUUAUUAUGAUUAUUAUCAUCAUCAUCAUCUUUUGAAUUAAAAUUAUAUAUUUUGCCAAUGUUUCAUAGGAAUAAGCAAUAAUUUCUAAUAUUUUGAUAUUCACAUUGAACAUAACUAUUUACUUCAUUGCACGAUAACUUGUUAUGUGAAACUUAUAGAGAGACAGAAUUUCUGUGGUACUUUGUAGUAAUGUUGGAAACUAAAGUAUUAGAAUUUGAUAAAACAAGCUCAAGCACUGGAUUCCCCACUACUAAUGGGUUGCAUUUUUAUUUUAUUUUAGGUUGACUUUGAAGACUCUAUGGAGUAGGCUGGCAAUGGAACUACUAUGACUAUGGUAUUGUGCAACGUUUAGUUGCCGGUGCUAUGUUUCAAUUGAGUAUGGAUAGCUGCCUGGACGACAUGAUGAUUAUUAUUGCAUGAUAUUAAGGUGCUAAGAUCAUCAUUUCUAUCUUGUUUCAUUCUUUGAUCAGCUUAUCCUCUAUAAGCAUACUGAAUUAUUCUAAUAAUAUCAUUUUUUCACCCAAUUUUCACUGUUGGUUGUAAUAACAAUUUCAGGUUCUUAAAAGGCUACAAAGCAAAGCAUACGUGGGCUGAUAUGCUUCCGUGGAGGAAGGAAUUCGGUGUUGAUACUAGUAUGCAGGUAACCACAGUUUAUAAUUUGAACAAAUUUUGCUUUCUCAGAAUACCCUUUAAUAUUCGCUGUGUUUCUUUGUGUUAUUCAGGUUAUCAUGCUAUGUAGAGUAUCAUCUUCAAGGGUGGUAAGAGCCCUUGCAGUGAAGUUACCUGCUCGUGCAACGCACAUUCAUCGGAGUACAAUUUUGGAUUUUCAAGGUUUUCAUGUUUAGUUGCGAUUAAAAUGCUUAGUCACUCAUUCCUAAUCUUUCCUGAUUUUCAAGUUAUUUAGGUCCAUAAACAGUUUUCACACAUGUUUCAAUGCUAGUUGUAAUAACGAUUUCAUAUAUUGCAUCUCAAAAGUGCAUCACGUUUGAAACAACUUUUGCGGUAAAGCUUUAAUGCUUGUACAAUGGCUGUGAAGAGGCACAUUCAAUUCGGUACGCUUUGGUGCAAUGUCCUAAUGCUAAUAUCAUGUUGUGUAUAUUUAGUUUGCUAUUAAAAUUUAGGUAUAAAAUCUUAAUCUGCAAUAAAUCAUUGUGUACAAAGUUUUCUAUUAAUUAUAUGGCGACCAAAAUUUUAAUUAUCUUAAAAUAUUUUGUAACUCUCUUUUACUUUGCUUGUACAGAGUACCUGUUUUGGCUGAUAUGUCGAAUUCGUAGAAAUUCAUUUCCGUCAGUUUCCAUUGGUGCGAGCACAUACAGAAACAGAGCUCUACUUCUUGUGGUAUUAUGCCUUUGUUUCUUCAUUCACCAUAUUUCUUCGAAUUCAUGCUCUCAUUAAGAAGGGAAAUUGUUGAGGAAAGUUCUUGUCUUAAUUAAAUUACAGGUGAUAUGAUAUGGCUUGAAUUCAGCAUCUCGUAUCGCGAUGAUUUUUUGUCCACAUGAGAUGCUGUGAUUCUUGACAUCAGGAUAAUUCAGGUCAAUUUUUAGUAUCAACAUAUAUCAUCUUCUUGGCUGUUUUGCCUUUAAAGAGCAAACAUUAGUAAAGUUGUUUUUGUUUGUGUAAGUUAUCAGGUUAAGGAAACCACGCAGCUUAUUAAGGCAAAUGUCAGAAUGAAGAUUGUUCACCACACCUGGGACGUAUGAUGGCUUUAUAUAUUAUUGGAGCUCCCCCUUUUUAGAGAUAUCUCAGGAAAUUUGAGUAGAGCUCUCCCAAUAAUUCUAUGCUCUCAUUUGUUUGUAAAAUCAUCUUCUUAUAUUGAUUGUGUUUCCUUGUGUUAUCAGGUAGAGUAUCAUCUUCAAGGGUUUCAAAAAGUCUUUGCAGUGAAGUUUCAACCUUAUACAAUUGCUGUGAAGAGGCAUAUUUUGAGUAAUUCAGUUUCAGAUUUUCAAGGCGUGCAUGUUUAAGUAGUCUCGAUUAAAAUAUUUUAGUCACUCAUUCUGAAUCUUUUCUAAUUUUCAAGUUCCUCAGGGCCACGGCCAAUUUUUCAAGUCUGCAUGUGGCUGCAAAUGGUUGAUGGUCAUAAAAUUAUCUUGAGCCUUAAGGCAUUGCGUUUGAGCGCACACAGAAACAGAGCUAAAGGAAAAGAAAUUGACAGUAGACGAUGCUCUAAAUAUAACAAAGUAUAUUUCUACUUCUUAUGGUUAUUUUACUUUUGUCUCCUGUCAUCAUAUUUGAUUAAUUGUUCGAAUUCACACUCUCACUCAUUAUUUAAAACCAUUUUCAGGUGGCUUGCAAGCUCAUUAAGUUAACGCAGAAACAAUACUCAAGACAAAGAUGAGCAAAUUGAAGGUUAUAAUUGCAUACACAACAUGAUUCUGAAUUUGAAUUUCCAUGAAUAACUAUUUGGCUGGUGCAGAUAUUCUUGAAAGGGCGUUAAGCUACCUUAUGAAAUUGGAAAGUUAUUAUUGCUUGAAUGCAAGCACCAUCUUCUGUUGCCAAGGCUUUCCCCACAUGAUGAGAUGCUGUGAUUGUUACCGGACCCUUGAUUAUUUAUUAUCUCAGGUGUUUAUCAUCAACUACAUCAUCUUAUUCACCAUUUUGGCUAUGUGCAAAGAUUAAAAUUUAGAACACUUGUUUCGGUUUCUUGUGUAAUCUGGUUAUUAAGGGAAAUGUAAGUACAAAGGUUGUUCAGUGCAGUUGGCAUGGCAAGGAUGAUGAUGGUGAGGAAGAUUGUUCACAAGCCAAAUAGAGCCCUCCAUUUUGAGAAAUCUCAUCCUCAAAUUUGAAUUGUUGAGCAUAUGAAGUGAUGUUAAAGCCUUAAUAUUAAGUCUUUCUGAAAGUUUCAUUUGAAUGAAUUUUCGGAGAUUGAAUAUUCAUACAGUGAGUAAGAAAUUAAGCACAUAUUUGCGAUUUGGGUCGUUGGUGAAUGUUUUCCUUUAAUAUUUGUACACACCCAUUUCAUAGUAAAAUUUUCUUCAUGUCUUUGACUGUGACGUAGGCUAAUAGCUGUACCAUGUAACAUUAUUUGCUACAUACCAAUUUUGUACAAUCAAGAAUGCAAUUUUGUAACUAUUUAACUCUGCUUCCGCAAACUUGCAGUAUUACAAGUGACAUCUUGCAGAAUUCUUUUUUUUCCUUUGUCUUUCUCCGUUAAAAUUGGCACAAAUGGAGGCGAUUGGCUUCAUUUUUGAUCCUGUAAAAGGUGCUGGGAGCAAUGUCAUUUGUACCCGCAAGUUGUAAAUCGUCGUAGUUUAAAGAAUCCCAAGUUGCCAUCCAAAACUAAAGAAAUUGCAAAUUAAGUAGUUCUUGAGAAAUGAUAUAUUUUGAGUUGCUAAUUAUUAAGUAUUUCAUUCAAAAAUGCAGGGGCGGACCCAAGACUUAAUAUUAUCUCGGGUUAAUUUUUAAAAUUUAUAUUUUAAAGCGAAUAUAAAAAUUUAUAAGUAGAAAGAAGUACAUUAAAUAAGAAGGAACACCAAAAAUCUUAUCCCUCUAAAUAUGUACUAUAGACAAAAAUAACUAUAAAAAAUAAUAGAAAACAAAAGGCAGCUCAAAUAUGAAAACAUUAUUUUUCACUUAUAAAAUCUGACAUUGCAACCUAUGAUAACAUGUAAUUAUAUCAGGAUUGAAAAAUUAAUUAAUAAUUUCAAAUUAAAAUAGCUUAAUACAUGCAAUUACAAUCAAUUAAAAAUUUCAAAUAAAACUUUUUAUACUUGAAGUAAAGUACUAAAUUACCAAACUUAAUAAAUUAAACAAUUAAAAUUUAUUCGUCAUUUCAAAUUGUAAAAGUAUUAUUAGUCAAAAGUUUCAAUAAUAAAUUAAACUCAAUUAAGCAAAAAUGUAUUUUGGUAUAGUUGUUUUUUUGUCAGACACUCUAACUCUCUUUAAAAAACUAGAUGUUGAUGAUUCUUCUACCAAAAUUUCCUUAAAAUACUCAAAUUUUAUUUUCUAACUUGUCUUCUUAAUUAAUAUAACUAAUAAAUAAAAUCUAAAAAUUCACAUAAAAAUUUUAUGAAAAUAUUGAUAAUUGUUAUUAUAUAUUGUUUCUAUAAGUACUUUUAAUAUUAGUGACGAUGUUAUAUUACAUUGACAUUUUUUUUCAAUUAAAAGUUUUUAAAAAUAAAUUAAAGCAAUAAUAAAAUUUUAGCUCCCUAGUGUUUUCAAUCUAUUCAAUAAAUAUAUAAUUUAAUCAUUUUAUAAAAUAAGUCACUAAUUUCAAUUGAAAAUUAUAUAAUUGAAUUAGGGACAUAUUUAUAAAUAAAAUAAAAACUCUAUUGUCAUAUAAAAUUGAUGAAAAUGUAAGGGUAAUUGGGUUGGGGACAUAUUUGAAUAUAAAAUAAAAACUAUAUUGUUAUACUAAAUUGAUAGAAAUAUAAGGGUAUUGAGUUAGGGAAAUAUAUGAAAAGAAAAUAAAAAUUCUAUUGUUUUACAAAAUUAAUUAAAAAGUAUGGGUAUAGAUGACUUUUUUUGGACUAGAUCGGGCUACAGCCCGGUCUACCCCACGUGUGGGUCCGCCACUGCAAAAAUGUUCUCGUUCCCACAAUUCUUAAUGUUUAGAGUGCAUCAUUGCUCCACUUCUAUCAUAACAGCAUGAGAGAAUUUAACAUAAUAUUGAGAAAAUGAUUAUUUUACCCUGAUUAUAAAUGAUUAUUCUACCCUUAACAUGAAAUAACUAAUUUGCCCUAAUUUAAUGACAAAAAAAAAUUAGAUGACUGCAAUAUAGUUAUUAAAUAAUAAACAAAACAAAAGAAAUCAAAAUUAAAACUAACAUAAUUAAAAGAGACCUUAAGAGAAAACCGCACUUUAAUCAGGUUCACAAGGGAUGGGGCCGGUACCUGUACCCGCGGAUCGUGGCGAUGGCGGAUUGGAGCUUAUUAUCAACUCGUUUAAGAAUUUUAAAUUUUAAAGUUUUUUUAAACCUUGAAUUGUUUUGUUUAUUGCUUAAAUGAUAAAAUUUGGUGGUAGUUUGAUACUGUGUUGUAUGUUGCGUUAUUUUAGCUCAUUUUGUUAUUUUGGGGCAAUCGUUGGUGUUAAGUAAAUAAAAGCACCAGGUCGCCCAUGCUAUUAUUUCCACCCUGGCAUGGAUCACCUCAGCCAAGUGGUACGAGCAGAACACGAUGACCAACACGAGUACCAACCAGGGGAAUAUACCGACCAGAGGUAUAUACCGAGGCAAUACACAUCCCCCAAAAAGCGGGAACAUGAUCUCACAAAAUCACGGUAGUUGCGCUUUUCCCAGAACCGUUGCGGGAGACGCGAGAUCCCACAUUUGCCCAUAAUGUAACCGUUAGAGUCCCAUGAGGGGCUGCCACCACCCGAAAAAGGAGGGAUGAGGGGAAAACGGACACGUGGAACAUCGGCUAUAAAAGAAGAAGAAAUCGAUGAAGAAAGGGAUGAAAAAACUGAAAGAGGGGAAAUGCUGCCAAAUUGCAACCAGACCAUUUUCUUACAAACUUUGAAUAAAUUAGAAACCAUUUUUGAAUCCAAAUUGAGCUGUUUUCCGGUAAACGCCUUGUGCUAACUUAGGCAUCGGAGGGUUUACGCAGGUUUAGCAAAAGAAAGGAGGGUGAUUCCAACCCCAGUGGUUCGAGCAACAGUUGAUAACAUACACGUUGGUGAAAGAAUCUGGUUGGUCAAAGGGCGAGCAGAUUUCAACAUCAACAUUUUGGCGCCGUCUGUGGGGAAGCUGGAUAAAAAGCUACCACCGAAUUAGUAAUUACCGGAGAAACAGUGAACGGUUAGACAUGGAUGUACUAAGGAAGGACGCUGUGAGGGAGGAUAACGAAGCUGGGGAGACAAUCACUCUUCGGGAAAUAGCAAAUGAAGCCCGGGAGAGGAUGAUGCAAGAUCGAUGGAGCGGAUGGAGAAACAAAUGGAGACUCUCGCGACCAUACUGUAUGAGUUGAGGGAUGAGCGGAGAAGGGAUUGUGAAACCCCCGUGGGGAGAGACGAUGUUGGAGCAGAACCCAGCCUCCGAAGGCGUAGAGUCGAGGAAAUCCCUCCGCCAGCAGACCAACCUAAUGGGGUGCAUCCCCACAGGAGCAUUGGUCAGAUUCUAGGAGAACAGGUAGAUGAAGGGAGGGAUCAACCUCGCCCCAGACGGGUACUGGAAACGGAUGGCCGAGGGGCCAGUGUUGAUGAAGGAGAGCUCAGACAGAGGCUGCAGAAUGCCGAGCAUGAGCGAGAUCAGAUAGCUGCGCGUGAUCCUGACCGUGCUGUAGAAAUGGAGGGAGAGGUGCGCAGAUUAGCGCGAGUGAUAGAGGAGAUACAGGGCAAGAGGAAGCCCCCAAGCUGGAGAAUAAUGCUAGAUGAAGAAUCUCCGUUAUCAACUGAAAUCAUGGGUACCGUAAUCCCAAGAGACUUCCGCUUCCCCGACCUCAAAUACUCCGGGCGAAGCGAUCCGUUGGUGCACAUUGAGCGUUUCAACGACAUGACGGGUGUGCAGGGGCUCACACCAGCUCAGAGGUGCAGGGUGUUCCCAUUGACACUAGAGGGACGAGCCCGAGAAUGGUACCGCAAGCUACCCCGAGCAAGUAUAAAGUGGUACGAGCAGAUGUGCCAGGAGUUGGCCGAACAGUUCCGAGGAGCAGUAGCCCCAGAGGACGACAUAAUGGAACUGAUGGGGAUGAAACAGGAGGAGGAUGAAUCCCUUCAGGAUUUUGUUAAGCGAUAUCACCGAGCCGUACUGGAUCUAGGAGCUUUUAAUCACCCGCAAGCGCUGAGGGGAUUAAAAGAGGGUGUAAGAAUUGGCCGACUGUGGUAUAACUUAAGAAGCCCCCUAGUGCAGAAUUACUUGGCGGGAUAUGAGCAGGCGAGGCGAGAUAUAGAAAUCGAAGAGGAGAAAUUGGCGAGAAUAAAAAGUGAACAGCUGGAAGAACUGAGGCGAAAGGAACGGAGAGCCCCGAACGGGAGCGGGUCGGGAAAGCGAGCUGGGGAAUCUUCAGUAAUGGGCGGAAUAUCAGCUCGGUCCCGCCCUUACCCCAUAGCUCCGAGAUCACAACAGUUCCAACACAGCCGGGCUCAACCUCCCCGCCCCCCGUUCCCAGAGCGGCAGCGAGAAUUCAGGCAGACGGUGGCCCACCCUUACCACAACAAUCCCAGAGCGUUAAAUGCAACUAAUUCCAGGUCUGGACGACCAGAGCAGCUACCGGCUACACCAGGCCGAGGCGACAUCCACGAUAGCCGAGCAGUUCAAUUGGUUGACCAGAGCAUGGCAUAUGGACAGUACACUCCAUUAAAAAUAUCCAUGGAGGAACUGUAUGAGAGGAUCGAGGGACGAGGACUGCUGUACCCACCAGCCCCUAUAACAAAACCUGCUCACCGACGGGAUAAGAGCAGAUUCUGCAAAUUCCACGACACUCACGGUCACACUAUCAGCCAAUGUUGUGGCCUAAAGAUUCAGGUGGAGGAUUUAGUGAAGAACCGAUACUUGGAUGAGUACGUGGAUAGAGUGUCCCCUGUCAUUGAGUCACAAUACACAAGGGAUGAAGGAGUUGUGAGGGGUCUGGAGCAUGAACAACCAGUUAUCCGUGUGAUAGCAAGAGGGCCAACAUUGGCCGAGGAUUCGAACAGGGCCCGGAAGAACUAUGGGAGAUACGCCCUGACUAGCAAAGAAGUGCUUUUUAAUUUGCCAGCAACCAAGAAGGCAAAAGUGCGGCAAGUUCCCAUUAUGUGGACAGAUGAAGAUGAAGAGGGUAUCUUAUAUCCUCAUGAGGAUGCAUUGGUGAUUAAGGCAAUGGUGGCUGGUAUAGAGUUGCGACGAAUACUAGUAGACACAGGCAGCUCGGUCGACAUCUUGUUUAAGUCAGCUCUAGAUGAUAUGGGGAUUGCAGACUUGAAAUUGGAGCGGACAAAUACAUCCUUAAAGGGAUUUGGAGGGGGACAGCUAACUCCCAUGGGGAUCAUCGAACUCCCGAUUACUGUGGGGUCAAAACCGUUUGAAAAAUCGAUGAUGUUGGAUUUUGUCGUAGUAGAGGAAAAAAGCCCCUACCAGAUGAUACUGGGGAGACCGUUCAUGAGGAUAAGCCAAUGUGUAAUGUCCACGCAUUAUUUUGCGUUGAAGUACAGAGUAAAUGGAGUUGUUGGCAUAGUAAAAGGCGAUCAGAGAAUGGCGAGGAGCUGCUAUGCUACAGCGGCCAAGGAAACGCUGCAGGUUACCUCUCUAGAUAACCGAGGGGAUUCAAAAAAUGGUCACCAGGAACCUGUCGAGAAGUUGGAGGAAGUCGUUAUAAGCAAGAAUAACCCGAGCAGAGUGGUUAAAGUCGGGUCAGAAUUGGGCGAAGCGACAAAGGGUGAGCUGGUGAAGUGUCUACAGUCCCAUGCAGACAUAUUUGCUUGGUCUCAUGAGGAUAUGCCCGGAAUUGAUCGAAGGGUAGCCUGCCACAAGUUGGCGAUCAGGAAAGGAGCAAGGCCAAUGAGGCAGAAAAGGAGGUGCUUCAACCAAGAAAGGUACGAAGCCAUAAAUACCGAGGUUGAAAAACUGCUGAAAGCGGGAUUUAUAAGGGAAGCCAAGUACCCGGAGUGGAUUUCCAAUGUAGUACUGGUAAAGAAGGCCAACGGGAAGUGGAGGAUGUGUGUGGAUUUCACAGAUCUUAAUAAGGCAUGUCCGAAGGACAGUUUUCCCCUACCAAAGAUAGAUCAAUUGGUAGACUCAACAGCGGGUCACAGUCUGCUCAUCUUCAUGGAUGCCUUUUCAGGAUACAACUAGAUACCCAUGGACGAGCAGGAUGAGGAAAACACCACCUUUAUAACUAACAUGGGUUUGUUUUACUAUAAGGUGAUGCCUUUUGGCCUGAAAAAUGCAGGAGCUACUUGUCAAAGGUUGGUGAACAAGAUCUUCAAGCCCUUGAUCGGUCAUACCAUGGAGGUAUAUGUGGACGAUAUGAUCACAAAGUCCAAAAAACUGAGGGAUCACGUGAAACACCUGGAAGAGACCUUUGAAUUACUGAGGAAGUAUGAAAUGAAGCUAAACCCGGAGAAAUGUGCAUUUGGAGUCAGCUCGGGCAAAUUUUUGGGAUUCCUGGUGAGCCACCGAGGGAUCGAAGCCAACCCAGAAAAAAUACGGGUGGUAAUAGAAAUGAGAUCCCCUCGAACAGUUAAGGAGGUGCAGAGCCUUACAGGGAAAUUGGCAGCAUUGAACCGAUUCAUCUCGCGGGCCACGGAUAAAUGUCACCCUUUCUUCCAAACCAUAAAGAAAGGGAAGAAGAUGGAAUAGACAUCAGAAUGUGAGGAGGCGUUUGGGCAGCUGAAGGAGUAUCUGGCCCAUGCCCCGUUACUGUCAACUCCGAGAAAAGGUGACCAGCUGUUUUUGUACUUGGCAAUCUCAAAGUGGGCUACCAGCUCAGUGUUAGUCCGAGAAGAAGAAGGGAAGCAACACCCCAUGUAUUACACUAGCAAAGCCCUGGUAGACGCAGAAACUAGGUAUCCAUUAAUGGAGAAAUGGGCACUGGCUCUAGUGACGGCAGCACGAAAACUGCGACCAUAUUUUCAGGCCCACCCGAUAUUUGUGAUGACUGACCAGUCUCUUCGGCAAAUGCUCCAAAAACCAGAUGCAUCAGGGCGGUUAGUGAAGUGGUCCGUGGAGCUAAGCCACAGGCCCCGAGGAGCAAUCAAGGCCCAAGCACUGGCUGAUUUUAUGGCUGACCGUGUUGAACUAGGGGAAGAGGUCCAAGAGAAGCAGCCAAUAGAGUAGGAGAAACCAGAGGGGGUGUGGCUGGUAAUGGUUGACGGAUCAUGUAGUGAGCAAGGAUCUGGAGCAGAAAUUGUGAUACGAAGCCCAGAAGGAACCGAAAUAACGUAUGCAGUGAAGUUCAAAUUUCAGCUCACAAACAACCAAGCUGAAUAUGAAGCCUUUAUCACCGGGCUCGGACUUGCACACGCUUUAAGAGCAGAGAGGGUAGAAAUUCACGUAGAUUCCCAAUUGGUAUGUAAUCAGCUCAAUGAUCAGUUCCAAGCAAGGGGAGAGUCUUUAUUUGAAGAAGGCGAAGCAGAUGGUUGGGCUUUUCCAAGAGGUAGAGGUAAAGCAGAUAUCCCGGAAUGAGAAUUACCGAGCGGAUAUGUUGGCUAGGAUGGCCGCAAUUGCAGAUCCGAAAUUACCUAAGUCAGUUCCACUAGAGGUAAGGACCUCGCCAAGCAUAGGGGAGGAGGUAGAGGUGAUGAGAGUAAGCACUGGAGAAUCCUGGAUGGACCCGAUUCGCGCAUAUGUACGCGAUGGAGUUUUACCAGAGGACAAAAGGCAAGCAAGAAAAUUAAAAUGCCGAGCAGUGAGGUACACGCUAUUAGAUGGAGUGUUGUACCGCCGAGGGUUCACUUUGCCCCUUUUGAGAUGUUUGGAUGACGAAGAGGCAGAUUAUGUACUAAGGGAGAUCCAUGAGGGAAUAUGCGGCAAUCACUCGGGAGCAAGAACUUUAGCCUUCAAGGCGCUCCGGCAAGGAUACUUCUGGCCAACCAUGCAUCAGGAUGCGAAAAGGAUGGCAAAGAACUGUAAAACCUGCCAAAACUUCUCUGAGGUUCCUGCACAACCCCCAGAAAAGCUGACCACUAUGACAUCCCCAUGGCCUUUUGCUCAAUGGGGAAUCGACUUGAUUGGUCUGUUACCUAAGGGCCGAGGAGCGGCGACACAUGCAAUUGUGGCAAUAGACUACUUCACCAAGUGGGUAGAAGUGGGAGUCCUCAGCCAAAUCAUGGAGAGAAAGACAACAGAUUUUAUUUGGAAGAAUAUCAUCUGCAGAUACGGAAUCCCCUAUGCCAUCAUUACAGAAAAUGGGAGGCAAUUUGACAACGGUAACUUUAGGGAAUUUUGCCGAAAUUUGGGGGUGGACCUGAAGUUCUGCACCCCCGCACACCCCCAGGCAAACGGACAAGUGGAAGCGGCCAACAAAGUGAUAAAGAAGCUCUUGAAAACUAGAUUGGGGAAGAAGAAGGGAGCUUGGGUUGAUAAACUACCGGGAGUAUUAUGGGCCUACCGAACAACUCACAAAACCGCCACAGGGGAAACCCCAUUCGCUUUAGCUUUUGGUCAUGAGGCGGUAGUCCCAGCAAAAAUUGGAGUAAGGACACAUCGAAUGGAACCUUUCACUGAGGAGCAAAACAACGAGCAGAUCUGCUUAAGCCUGGACCUGCUUGAGGAGAAAAGGGAUGGGGCCUCGCAGAAAAUGGCCCAGUGUCAACAAAGGGUCAUGCGUUAUUACAACAAGAACAUACGCGUGAGGCAGUUCCGAGCAGGAGAUUGGGUACUUAGGAAGGUGAACCAAAACACCAGGGAUCCUAACCAUGGCGCUCUUGGCUCGAAAUGGAAAGGCCCAUACAGGGUGGUACGAGCCACUGGACCAGGAGCUUAUAAGUUAGCGCACCAAGAUGGACGAGAUGUGAAGAGGUCGUGGAACGCCGAGCACUUGAAGAAGUAUUUCCAGUAAGCAAAAUUAUUUUUGAAGAAGUUAUUUUUGUUAACUGCAUGAUGGCUUGUUGCGCCUGUAUAUAUUAUGUAUUCUUGUAAUACAUUCAAAUUUCAAAUAAAGAUGAAUUCAGCAUGAAAUCCCCCUGCUAGCAAACCCAAUAAGAAUUUUACUAAGGCAAGUAAGUGCCUGUUUCUGCUCGGUCAACGAAAGACCAUCAGAUAAUUUUAUGAGAAUUUUACUAAGGUAAGUAAGUGCCUGCUUCUGCUCGGUCAACGAAAGACCAGCAGCUAAUAUUGCAAGAAUUUUACUAAGGCAAGUAAGUGCCUGUUUCUGCUCGGUCAACGAAAGACCAGCAACUAAUUUUACGAGAAUUUUACUAAGCCAAGUAAGUGUCUGCUUCUGCUCAGUCAACGAAAGACUAGCAGCUAAUAUUGCAAGAAUUUUACUAAGGUAAGUAAGUGUCUGUUUCUGCUCGGUCAAUGAAAGACCAGCAACUAAUUUUACGAGAAUUUUACUAAGGCAAGUAAGUGCUUGCUUCUGCUCGGUCAACGAAAGACCAGCAGCUAAUUUUACGAGAAUUUUACCAAGGCAAGUAAGGGCCUGCUUCUGCUCGGUCAACAAAAGACCAGCAGCUAAUUUUGCGAGAAUUUCACUAAGGCAAGCAAGUGCCUGCGUCUAUUCGGUCAACAAAAGACCAGCAACCAAUUUUACGAAAAUUUUACUGAGGCAAGUAAAUGCCCACCACUCUUGCUCGGUCCACCAAGGAACCAGCAGGCAAAAUCAGAUAAAUUGUCCGAUUAUUUUGCAGAAACAAUCUAUAAACAAAAACCAGACAAGAAAGCCAAUAGAGAGCAUCUAAAAAUUUAUAAAUGUUCAAUUGUUUGCAAAAUAAAUGCGAAUCUAGAGUUUAUACAAAAAUAGACUUAAAGAUUAGGAGAGUCAGCGGCUCCAGCAACUGAAGGAUCAACUACCUCGGGAGGUAAAGGGUCAGCAAUCACAGAGGUGGGAGAUCAGCAAUACCGGAAAGAGGAGGCAUGGACCCUUGACCCACUUCGAAAGCACGUCCCCCAGCUUCCCCCUCCUACAUCCUAUCCAAAAGAGCCUCCACCUGAUCCUGCUCACCCUGUUCCUUAUCUGCCUGGCCAACCUCUGCCAUAUACCGCUGCACUCCAGCUUCCAACUUGCUCAUGUCCAGCUCGGGAUAUUCUUCCUUAAGCACAGACAUGAUGCACUUAUAGGAGAAAGCAACCCCAGAAUCAUACUCGGCAUCUAGCCGAUCGUCUACAUCAGCGGAUUUGCCUUUCUCCUCAGCCAGCUGCUCACCCAAGGAUUUGAUUUCCCCCUCAAGGGCGGUCCUCAGAGUAUCCUUUUCACUUUGAGUAGCCUGAAGAUCAGAUUUCAAGUCACCCAACUCACCCUCAAGUUUGGAGGAAGUGGACUCAGCAACCGCAACUUUCUCCUCUAGCUCCGCAAUCUGCCUGUUCAGCUCGGCCAGCUUCUCCUUCGAGCGAUCAGCAGACUCAACCCUCUUUUUCAAGUCCUGGUUCUCAGCUUGAAGCUUCCUCUCAUGGCGCGUGAUCCUGUUCUUGUAACAAGAUAUUAUGGUAGCCAACUUGAAGGAGACCCUCUGGACAGAACCAGCCAAUUAAUUGAGAUUCAUGCUCUCAAUGUCCUGGACCAUCUUGGGCCCCACCGACUUCCCAUAGUCCCUCUGAUACGGGGUCAGGUAGUCACCCUGAUCACGAGUCGGAAGAGGGGAGGAUCGGUCCCCAGAGCGGGUGCUAACCUCUGAACUCUUGUCAGUAGUUUUAUCCCCGACACUCUUACGAGGUGGUGGAGGGGGCAGGGUAGGAACAGAAGCCUUUGAAGGGCCAUCACUGACUUUCUUCGGAGGAGGAGAAGGGUUGCUGGAGCUGCUCAGAGCCCGACCGCGCUUUCUGCUCAUUGCACUGAGGAUCUUGUUAUCCAUCCCGGCAGCAAUGUCCACUAAGCCCGAACCGACCAAGUUUGUUGGUGACAGCAGGUCUUGGCAGGUUGACGCGUUCACCAGAGUAGUUUCCACCUGAAGCAAAGGUCGGUCCUCAAGUUCCUUAAUCAAACCCCACAAUUCUGAAAGAACAAACAAGGUUAAAAAACCAAUAAGUGACAAGUCGAGAAAAGAUAUAGGCAAAAAUGGACGACCUGGGGUGACAAAAUGUGUUGGGAGGUAAAUAUCACCACCCAACGAAUGAGCUGCUGGACACCAACUUCCCCCAGCAAAGAAGAAUUGGUUCUUCUAAUUUUUGUACGAGGAGGGGAAGCCGGUGAUUGGUUUCCUCUUCGCAGAGCUCGACAUGAAAUAGUACCAGCUUGCUUCCUUCAGGCUACUCCUCAGCUGAUAGAGAUGCUUCACUUCAACAAGGGAGGACUCCUCUGAUCCACACCUCUCCCACAGCACAAACAUUGCUGAGAGAACCCUCCACCCGUUGGGAUGUAGCUGACCUGGGGCUAGGUGCAUGCCACCCAGGAUUUUAGCAAAAUAACGUUGAAGGGGCAGCCGAGCUCCUAAUUUGAAACUCUCCAGGUGCAUCGUCACGUACCCCCGCGGAGGCCGACUAGGAACAUCAUCUUUCCCAGGAACUACUAGGAGAACCUCCUCAGGAAUAUUGUAAAGGUUCCUAAGCUUGAACAGAUCAGUUUGGGUAGUGGAACAAGCUAUGUAGUCAAUAGGAUAAGAGUCCGCCUCUACCCUAUGACCGAGGUUCCUUCUCUGAGGGGGUACGCUCGGUCCGGAACUGCUCCCCUCACCAUCACCAGCUCCUUCAGGGACCCCAACCCCAUCAAAGCUGUGAUUCUCACCAGAGCCCGACGCAGGUCCACCUCUAUUCCCUACGAGCUCUACUUCGAGGGAGGGAGAAACAGCCAAGGGGCGUGGGUACUCAAGGGUAUCCCUACCAUGGGAGGGGUCUACACUACUAAAGGGACGUAAAAAAUCAGUGGGUAUUGACAAAUUAAGGUCUGAGUCCCCUGUUUCCUCGUCACUCUCUUCGACAAUCAACUUCCUUUUCCGAUUCGACAUAUUGGAAUCCCAAAAGAAAACAAAGCAAACUCAAGUAUACGGAUAUAAAAGGGGUGACACAGAACCCAAUCAACAGCAACCAGAGAAGAAAGUAAAAGCAAUACCUGGAUUGAACGGGCACUAAUAGCGCGGCCGUGACAAAAGAAAAACCCAGCAAAUGGAUACUCCAGAUGCGGGAAGUGUGAGCAAAGUUCAUAGAGGGGGUUAGUUGGCGACGGAGAGACGAAUAGCAAAACGAUGAUGAUUUCAGUCUAGGGAUUUGAAACGAAAAGGGGGAAAUGAAAGCGUUUAAGUGAUGGGGAUGACAGCUCAUUCACCGAAUAUCGAGGACAGAUAACCCAUCAUUUCAAAUUUCAAAUACGAAGAGUCUGGAGAUGCCACGUCACUAACCGUUACCAGAGACCAGGCCAGAUGCAAGCCCAGAUAUGCAAUGUAUAUGCUCAUUUAGGCCUAUGCUCAGGUCGGAUUCUCCCCAAAAGAAAAUUGGUAUCUGAGGUCCGUCCCGAUAAACAGAAGACCAGAUGAGAAGCUCCCCGGGUCGGUAAGAUUUGACUAUCAGUUUCUACUCUUAACUCAUUCCACUCGCGAGACUAGAAACUGGGGGACUGGUGUUAAGUAAAUAAAAGCACCAGGUCGGCCAUGCUAUUAUUUCCACCCCGACAUGGAUCACCUCAGCCAAGUGGUACGAGCAGAACACGAUGACCAACACGAGUACCAACCAGGGGAAUAUACCGACCAGAGGUAUAUACCGAGCCAAUACACAUCCCCCAAAAAGCAGGAACAUGAUCUCACAGAAUCACGGUAGUUGCGCUUUUCCCAGAACCGUUGCGGGAGACGCGAGAUCCCACGUUUGCCCAUAAUGUAGCAGUUAAAGUCCCAUGAGGGGCUGCCACCACCCGAAAAAGGAGAGAUGAGGGGAAAACGGACACGUGGAAUAGCGGCUAUAAAAGAAGAAGAAAUCGAUGAAGAAAGGGAUGAAAAAACUGAGAGAGGGGAAACGCUGCCAAAUUGCAACCAGACCAUUUUCUUACAAACUUUGAAUAAAUUAGAAACCAUUUUUUAAUCCAAAUUGAGCUGUUUUCCCAUAAACGCCUUGUGCUAACUUAGGCAUCGGAGGGUUUACGCUGGCAAAACCACCGGCGUCUCUGAUCCAUUUUUGGUGAACGCAGGUUUAGCAAAAGAAAGGAGGGUGAUUCCAACCCCAGUGGUUCGAGCAACAGUUGAUAACAUACACGUUGGUGAAAGAAUCUGGUCGGUCAAAGGGCGAGCAGAUUUCAGCAUCAACAGUUGGUAAUGGUUGCAGAAGAGGAAAUUUAUGAUUCGUUUGAUUUUUCAAUAAAUUAUAGGACCACAGCGAAAACAAAUGUGGCGGUUCGCCUUCUUUGGCCCCUGGUAAUCAUUCACCAUUCACUCGUUAUGUCUUGUCUCAGUUGUUUGUUUGUUACUGUUGAAAGUUUCAAGCAGAUGGGAUUAUAUAAUUCUUCUUUAAACACGACGUCGUUUUUGUUCGUUAAGAGCCCAAUGAUAAUUUUAUCAUUCUUACAUCAAUAAAAUUCUAACGGCAUGAUGACAAUAGUGUAGAAAUGAUACAUUUUUUAAAUAGAUAAAAGCCUAUUUAGUCUCUGUAUUUUGAGAUUAGUGUUCAUUUAGUUCCUGUAUUUUUAAAAAUGUCUCGAAACAUCCAUACCAUUAAAGUAUUGAUACCUCUACCGUUACUUUUUAUUUAUUUUGCCUUACUUUUACAAUAUUACCCUUUUGUAAUAAUUUUUUUCGACAUUAAUAAAAAGAAAAUAAUUAAAUUACCAAUUUAACCCUAAAAAAUUAAAAAAAUAUAUUAAUUUUUAAUUGUCAUAAAUUGUCAAAAUUGCAUGCAAACUACCAAGUGUGCAAAUGGUGCUUGCAAAAAAAUUAAUAUAAAUUUUUUUAGGGUCAAAUUAGUAAUUUAAUUAUUUUCUUUUUAUUAAUAUCCAAAAAAUUAUUAUAAAAGGGUAAUAUUGUAAAAGUAAGCUAAAAAAAAGUAACGAUAGGGGUAUCAAUACUUUAACGACAAGGCUAUUUUGAGAUAUUUUAAAAAAUACAAGGACUAAAUGGAUAUUAAUCUUAAAAUACAUGGACUAAAUGAGCUUUUACCCUUUUUAAACAUCAAGUAGAAUUGUUGUAAAGAAAAAAAAAUGUGUUUUUUGUAUUUUUGAUAAAGUCUAAAACAUCAAGUGAUCAGUGAAUAUUUAUCUUUUAAGUAUUUCAUUCAAAAAAAUUUCCAUUCCUAGACUAUUUGAGUUGCUACCAAAAGUGUGAAUUUUUUUUUUAAUUUUAAUGAUGAACCUCAAUAUUUGGGGUGAAUAUUUUAGUAUUUAAACUUAAUGGUCAAUAAUAGGCCCACUAUUGGUAGUGGAAUUUUUAUUCCAAUACUAUACAAUUUUCGUAUGAGGUGGUCUUGAGCUUAUCUCAACCUCAAAAGUCAAAAGCUAGUUCAAUAAGUGAGAUUUUUUUCUCACACUUAUAAAAUCACCACGAGCUCCUCCCACAACCGAUGUGGGAUAAUCCCAACAAUCUCCCCUCACUCAUCAGGUCUUGGGUUAGAAGCAUAAACAUCCAUUCUCCCUAUUAGUUAGUUGAGAUGUUGGUGAACCUGAGCUUUGAUGCCAAUGUUAGAUGGUCUUAGCCUCUCUCCGACUUCAAAAGAUUGCUCAAGGAGAGAUAUUUUCCCUCAUAUUUAUGAAGUCAUUAUCAGCCUCUUCCAAUACCGAUAUCGGCUAACCCGACAUUUCUCUCUCUAUAUAAUACAUAAGUUGGAUAAUUUUCCAAUUUAACCUUAACGUAUGGACCAUUUUUUGUCUAUAUUGAUUAUGGGGCUGACAACUUUGGUUAUCAGGUAGGCAAAAAGAAAAGUCAUUGUCUCAUUAAUUCAUUUGGUCAUUUGAAAACGUUGUGGCUCUGUUUUAGUCCAGUGUCAAUAUAUAAAUUUAUUAUGUCAUGACAAACUUCAAAAUCUAAUUUAGACUGCGACUUAAAUAAUUGUAAUUAGUAAUUUAUUAUAUCUGCCGGAUAUUUUGUUAAGGAGAAAAAAAAAGAAUAAAAUCAGUCCCAUAAUGAUUUUAAUAAAUAUCAUACUACAAAGAGAAUAUGCGAAAGAUAACUAAGAGUGCAUUUGGGAUUGAGUUUGGACAGUUGUAGGUUAAAAACUACAACAAUGAAGUAUUUAGUAUACACUAGCUGCUGUAACUUAAAAGUUUUAUUGAUAUGAUUUUUCACUUGUAUAAUGGUGAAUCUAUUAUAUCUUUAAUAAUUUUAUCAAAAUUAUUACUUAAAAUUUAUAUUUACUACAUAUUAUUAACUUUUAUUUUAUAGUUACAGUUUUUUUUACAGCAGCUAUAACUUUUAAGCUACAACAACUCAAUCCCAAACGUACCUUAAGGAAUAAAGCUUUUCUACAAUGAUUUAUAAUAUUGCUUUUGGAGAACGGUUAUGAAAUUAUAUCAAAUUACUAAGAAUUUAGUUAACCACACAAGAAGUCUAUUUUGUUGACUUUUUUGACGAAGGUAUGUUCUUUCUUUCUUGCUGCUCAAACUGCUUUGGUGGUUUCAAACAACUCAGUCUUCAUCAUGCUAUUGCUGUCAAGAUUAGAGAAAUCAGUGAAAAGCUAGAUGAUAUUGCCGAACAAAAAGAUUGUUUCAAAUUUGUUGAGAAUGUGAGUGACAAUGUUAAGAAACCACAGCGACUACCAAACACCUCUUUGAUUGAUGAGAGGAACAUAAAAACUUAGGAGGCGCAUAAAAUAUAUUUGGUAUUGUUCAUAUAUACGGUACUGAUCAUGGAUACAAUAAUUUUCACAUAUAUGGCGCUAUUCACAAGUAUGACAUUGUUCACAUAUAUGGUACGAUGACAUGACAUUGACCGAUAAUGAAGCAAUAUCCUAUUGGACCAAUGAUGUGGCAUUGAUUGAUGAUGUGGGGUUGAUCGAUGAUGUGGCAACAUCUUAUUGGACAGAAAUGCUGAUGUGGUGAUGACCGAUGAUUCUCUCUCCAUCUUGUGUUUUCUACAUAUUUUAGUAAAAUUAUCAUUUUACCCGUAGUUCAAAUAUGAGUGGCUAGUUUAGUUUCAAGCUUAGGUUGAAGGUGAAAUCUCAACAUGAUCCAUGGGCUGAAAUAGGUGAGUUUAUUUUCUUUUCCUCUCUAAUUUAUGUGAUUGUUUUGACUCAUUGUUGACAAUAGUGUAUCCAUUCUAGAUUUUGCACGGUAUAUCGAAUCCCUAGUGAAAGAUUGUUACUGUAUGGCACAAUGAGCACUUAGCACCAUAUUAAUUAGAGAGAAAAUUUCCCUCUAGUAUUUUGUGGGUUGUUUUGACUUAGUGUUGACAGAGAGUGCAUCUACGCUAUUUAGUGGAUGGUAUUGCCACGUUAUUGACAGAAGAAUUAUUAUCGUCUGGCACGCUGAACACUUGAUACCAUAUUUAUUAGAGUGAGGAUUAUGAGGAGUGGAAAUACUCUCCCUCAUGCAUUAAUUGGAACUAAAAAGGAAAUAUUAAGCAUAUAGUGGAUGUUGAGUGUGAAUCCAGAGAUUUAAGCAUUUCAUUUACAUUGUUUUCAUCUUUAAUUCAUUUCUGCCUUUUCAUUUUAAAUCUUGAGAUUAAAAAAAAAUUCACUUCCAACCAACUCACAUUUACACCUAGAAAAUUAACCUUACGAAUAAUUAAAUCUACAUUCUCAUGGGAUCAAUACUUGUGUUGGUUAAUUUUAUAAUCAAAUGCUAUUGAUGUCAAUGUGUAAUUGAACACAACAAGUAAUAAAGUGAUGAUAUUCAAGAUCGUCUCUAUAGGAAUUGAUGUCACUUGAAAUGCUAUAGCAAUCACAAUAGUGCAACUAAAUUCAAUUCGAAGUUAACAAAUGUAGAGUGGGUUGUAUUGUAAUUAACGAUUAUGAGAGAAUAAAGUAAAAUAAUACUAUAAUGAAUUAAACCAAAUUAAAUGUGUCUAAGAUUCAAUUGAGACUAUGGUAGUUGAAUGAUCAAACUUUCCUUAUGGGCUGACUGCUUUUCAUCAUGUUAACACCAGUUGUUACGGCAAGUGCUGCAGCACUGGGCAAAAUUAAUCUGCAUCCUCAGCUAUCGCAUAUUGGAACUCUCAUACCCUUAAAUCUAUUAACAAUGACCAGUUGCUAAUCUACUUAUGGUAUGGCAUUAUGAUCCUUUAGUCUCUCCACCCUAUAAGGUGAGCACCUAUAUCAAAGUCAUGUUCUUCACUACAGUAUAGACAAGAAAGUUCAGCAACUUGCUUCACUAAUGCUGGAGCAGAUGUCAUGGCCUUUACCAUGUUAGUCAAUGAAGUUACUUACCCUGAUAAGGCUGUAAUUGCAUCUAUGUUAUGUAACCCUGCUGAUCCUCUUGCUGCUGGUUGCCUGGUUGAUAGCCACUGAUAAUUAUUAUUGGCAAUUCUCUCUAAAAUUUCAUAAGCUUCGAUAUAAGAUUUGGAUAACAGGGCUCCAUUUGCUGAAGCAUUCACCAUUAAUCUAGUACUAGGAUUUAACCCAUUGUAGAAAGUUUCCAAUUGAAUGCAACAAGGAAUGCCAUGAUGAGGACACCUUCUGAGCAGUUCUUUGAAUCUUUCCCAAGCUUCAUACAAACUCUCAUCUUCAAGUUGAUGGAAAGAAGUAAUCUCAUUCCGCAACUUUGCAUUUUUUAUCGGUGGAAAAUAUUUCAUUAGGAAUUUAUCAGCCAACUCAUUCCACGUAGUGAUGGAAUCAGGUGGUAACGAAUUUAACCAUGCUCUUUCUCGAUCUCUUAAGGAAUAAGGAAAAAGCCUUACCCUUAAGAUAUCUUGUGUUGCUCUAGUAAUCUUAAAAGCAUCACUCACUUCCAAGAACAAUUUAAGAUGGAGAUGAGGAUCUUUAUUUAGCAAUCCAUUGAAUUAACCAACUGUUUGCAACAUUUGAAACAUCACUAGCCUCAACUCAAAAUUUGCAGCUUCUACCUCAGGUCUGAUUAUCCCAGGGUGUACAACUUGAGGAGUUAACACGGCAUAAUCUCUAAUAGCUCUGUCUCUAUCAUCAGCCACAUAAAUAAUAUUGUUAUUGUCUGGUUGUCUUUCGUUAGCAUGUUCAUUCUACUCUUCUUGAAUGUUGACUGGUUGUAAGGGCCCGUGAGGGUUCAAAUUUUCCACAUCCUGCAAAUUAUUCAUGCCUAAAACGGCUUUUGAAUUCCUUUGUAUUCUUCGCAGUCUCCUGACAGUCCUUUCAAUCUCAAGAUCGAAUUGGAAUACAACAGAUUUGUCUUUACGCAUGCACGUAUUGAUCUGCGAACCAAUAGAAUGAAUUAAAUCAAGUUUGGCACUAUCAAGAUUUACUUCACACUUUAAAAAUAAACAAUCAAUCCCCGGCAACGGCGCCAAAAACUUGUUGGUUAAUUUUAUAAUCAAAUGCUAUUGAUGUCAAUGUGCAAAUGAACACAACAAGUAAUCAAGUGAUGAAUAUUCAAGAUCGUCUCCACAGGGAUUGAUGUCACUUGAAAUGCUAUAGCAAUCACAAUAGUGCAACUAAAUUCAAUCUGAAGUUAACAAAUGUAGAGUCGGUUCUAUUGUAAUUGAUGAUUCUGAGAGAAUAAAGUAAAACAAUACUGUAAUGAAUUAAACCAAAUUAAAUGUGUCUAAGAUUCAAUUGAGACUAUGGUAGUUGAAUGAUCAAACUUUCCUUAUGGGCUGACUACUUUUCAUCAUGUUAACACCAGUUAUUACGGCAAGUGCUGCAGCAUUGGGCAGAAUUAAUCUGCAUCCUCAGCUAUCGCAUAUUGGAACUCUCAUACCCUUAAAUCUAUUAACAAUGACCAGUUGCUAAUCUACUUAUGGUAUGGCAUUAUGAUCCUUUAGUCUCUCCACCCUAUAAGGUGAGCACCUAUAUCUAGUGUGUCAUAAAUCUUAACUUCAAAUAUAGCCCUUAUAGAAUUCAAGAUAACUUAAUCCAGGAAACUUAAAUUAAGAUCAAGUAAUACUCUAAUAAUGUCCGCUAAGACAUGCCUUUUUACUGCUCUAUCUUAAUUGGAACUAUUAAAUAGGUGGUCAACCAAAAUAACAAUUAUAUUAAUAAUAACUGCUAGAGUAUAAUGUUACAGCAAUGACAUAACAAAACAUAAGAACAGUCAAGAACCCAUUAGAUUGUUUGUCACUCAACUACAAGCAAAUCUAGUUCAUUAUUCUGAAUAAGAAAAACAAACAUAAAUAUGUUGUUCACAGGAUACAAAUCCAAAUAAUUCUGAAAGAUUCCUCAAUGUUGCCGAAACAACACUCUUCAAUUCUGAUCUUCUUCUCCUUUCCUUUCUAAUGAUUCUAAUGAUAAUUCCCUUGCCGCCUUUCGACGUGGUGUACGCCUCCCUUUUAUACUGCAAACUAGGGUAAACAAAAGUCUAUGGGCAUGCAUGAGUUAAAUUAGGAAACAUGCAAAUCACGAUUCUGCAGCUGACCCGCGCCUGAGUUUUCUCCCGCAUUGCUCCCAGAUUGCUACAGCACUGAUUGCUCUAACAUCUGCUACAACACUGCACUAUUCUCGAUUGUACUUUACUUCUUUUGCGGCCAUCUUCUUUCCUCCUCUUGCUCAUCUAAUGUCUCACUAUCCCCUCAUGAAUUAAGACUUUUUAAAAACCUACAAUUAUGCACCUGUUUUUAGCACAAAUUGCUUUGAUUCAAACAAAACUUAUUAAGACUCAACUAAAAUGAAUGUUUAUGCAAAAUAUAACCAAAAUGUAAUAAAAACACCUUAUUUGUUCUCUAAGUGAUCUUGAUUUAAGUCUAGAAUUUAUGUAAUAACUCUCAUUUCCUAGAGUUAUCAAUUUGUCACCACAAAAUCUAUUUUAUGAUAGAUUCGUGCAUUUGCGAGUACAAUAAAAUUUACACAACAAAAAGCAGGUAGCGUUUGGUCCUUUGAGGAUCAUGAAAUUUAGAACCAAUCGAUCUAAGAAUUACAUGAAAGUGCAAAAUAGGGAAUCUCUUAUGCUCUAAAAGAGUAGUAAAAGAACAAAAAAGAAUUUUAGAUAGUGAUAUGUGGAAGGUAGAAGAGAUUAGGAAAGGUCUUUUGACUCCUUUAUUGUUGAGUUAUAUUGCUUUGCCGUCCAUGGUAAAACGAUUCUUCACAUAUUGUGUUGUCUUUUCAAAAGACUACAACAUGUAUAAAGAGGAACUAAUUACCCUAUAGAUGAUUUAAGGUUACCUUAAUAUAGGAGAAGGCAAAGAGAUGGAGAUCCAAUCCGAUCUAAUAGUAGUAGUUUAUUUUAAUUUUUGUUCAUUUGAUUUCAUAGUAGUAGGUUUCAUUUUUUUUUUGUUUAAAAUUAGAAAAAUGAACUAAAAUGAGAUAAUUUUGAAAAAGAAUCAAAACAAAAAAAGGCCCAAAAUUACCCUUGUUCCGAACAUUAUCUGAAUCCAUCAUAAUUGACCUAAAUUCAAUUUUAACUCAAACCCAGCCUCGGCCUCAUAUAAUUAUAACCUGAUCCGAUCUAAACUCAACCCCAAAGUUUUGAUUUAAUCUAAUUCAAUCCGAAUAUUCCAAGCCAAUCAACUUAAAACCCAAUUAAGUUGAUCCAAACCCAAAUUUGUACACUCCUAGAGGGGACCAUCACCCUAUAGGCUUUGAAAAUUUUUUGAGGUUUUUACAUGAAAUAUUAAAAUUAGGUAUAAAAAGACUAAUUUGACCCUCGAAUAGUUUAUAUAAAAACUUUAGAUAUAUAAUGAAACUUUAAUUGUAUAUUUUGUGAAAUAAAGUCAAAGUAACAUGAUUGUUUGAUUUUUAUUUGUUAAUUAUUUUUUAUAGCCUUUUUUAAAAGUUUGUAAGUUUGGGCCUACCUCUUGAUUUUUAUUUUGUUCAUUUUGUUUUCACUUGCAACAGUAGUUUCAAUUAUCAGUCACAAAAUCCUCAAAUUUUGGAAUCCCGUACAUGCUAGCUAUAAAUAGAAAAAAAACUGUCUAAAAUUAAUACCCAGCUAACACUUGAAAUUUAAACUUGGGCCUCAUGAAGAUUUACCCUGAGCUUUGCCCCUGGAUAUGGAGCAAAAUAUUAGUUUUGCUAGUGAAAUUGCCAACUAUGUUUUUCUUUUGUAUUCUCCGCUUAGGUAAGAAGAAAUUUCCUACAACUUUUGUGGUGAAUAUCUUGUGAAUAUAUGACAGUUUAAUCUUUAGUUGCCAAUUGUUUAAAAUAAAAAAGGGAAAAAGGAUAUUUAUAUCUCCAAGAUUUUGAGAAAUAGUCACCAACACCCUUCUAAAAAGGACAUCAAGACUUCCUUUUGACCAUAAUACCCUUUAUCUUUAAUAUCUCGAAAAAUUUAACUUGCAAAUUUUUAAUAAACAGAAAUAUUAUAUAACUAAUAUAAUCUAUGUAGUAGAUUAAUAAUAUUAAAAUAUGUAAAUUAUUAUAUUUAUUUUAAUAAUAUAUUUGUAUUUAUUGUAGAGAUUUUAUAUAAAUAUUUGUAUUAAGUACAUUUUACAAUUAAAAAAGUCUCACAUACUAAUAAUGUUAAAAUUAUUAUUUUCAUAAUAAUUUAAAUUUUAAUACAUUUAUUUUAAUAUUAUAUUUCUAUUUAUUAUAAAAAAAUUAAAGUUAUUUUUGGGAAUAAAGGUAAAGGGUAUUGUAGUAAAAAAAGAGUCUUAGUGUCUCUUUUUGAAAAAUUAGGAGUAUUGGUGACCAUUUCUCCAAAAUUUAGGAAUAUAGGUGUCCUUUUCCUAACAAAAAAUGACACUUUUGAUAGGAGAUAUAAUAAGCUUUGUUCCUUAGAAAAAUCCAUCAGAUAUAUUAUGCCCGCGGUUGCUAUUGUUAAAAAUAAGUAGUUCUUCUUUUUGUAUAUUAAAAUAGUACAAGGGUGGAUAAUAUUUAAAAUAUUUUUUAACCUUUAUCUUUUUUGACAUUCGAAUUUUAAACUCGAGAAGUCAAGCAAAUAAACUUCUUGAGAGGUUAACUAAAUUCUUAGUAAUUUGAUAUAAUUUCAUAACCGUUCUCCAAAAGCAAUUUUAUAAAUCAUUGUGGAAAAGCUUUAGUCCAUAGUUAUCUUUUGCAUAUUUUCUUUGUAAUAUGAGGUAAGUCCGUAGACCAUAGUAUGAUAUUUAUUAAAAUCAUAAUGGGACUGAUUUUAUUUUUUUUUUCCUUCUCAACAAAGUAUCCGACUACAUAUAUAAUAGAUUACUAAUUACAAUUAUUUGAGUCGCACUCUAAAUUAGAUUUUGAAAUUUGUCAUGACAUAAUAAAGUUAAAUAUUGACACUGGACUAAAACAGAGCCACAGUUUUUUCAAAAUGACCAAAUGAAUUAAUGAGACAGUGGCUUUUGCCGACCUGAUAACAAAAGUUGUCGGCCAUAAUCAAUAUAGAGAAAAAAUGGUCCAUACGUUAAGGUUAAAUUGAAAAAUAUAAAAAAUAAAUUUCAUUUCUGAUGAAAUUUGUAAUGGAUUUAUUACUAAUUUUAUCAAAUUCUUAUCAAAUAUUUAAAAAAAUAUAAAAUCACUUAAUUGAUGGUAUUAUUAAUUUUCGUGAUUAUUUUUAAUAUUAUAUUAGUUCUUAUUAAAUUUAAUACAAUCAAUAAUGCAAUAAAUCGUUAAAUGGUUAAUUUUAUUGACAAAUUAUCAAAUAUGCAAGUAAUGAAAAAUUAAUCUCAAGAGUUAGUAGAAGUAAAGUUCUAAUUUAAUCAGAUGAGAGAUGAUAAAUAAAAAAAUAUUUUAAGUAAAUCAUAAAUUAAAAGAAUUAAUUAAUUAUUAUUAAGUAUAAAUAAACAAUAAUGAUAUGAAUUAAAGUCUAUAAAUUUUUUCUUUAAUCUUAUCCCAACUAAAGCCAUGUGUAAAUUAGGAUUAUCAAUCCCAUAAUUUUAGGGUUAAAAUUAAAUUUAGUCCCUCAGUCCAAUUCAAUUAAGCUUACCAAAUAUGAGAUAAAUAUAUAAUCACAAAAUUAGUCCAAUUCCGUACUUAAUCCUAGUAUCGAACAUGGCCUGAAACAAUUUAAAUAAAUUUGAAAGUUCAUAAUAAUCAUAACAUGUGCUAUCUUUUCUUCCUUUUCUUAAUUAAAUAAAAGAAAAAAAUUAAUUACCGAGCCACUGAUGUCUAAAAUGACCUGAAAAAUAAUUUAGGUAAUAUACUCCUAUCGCGCAAUCAGAUAGAAAAAAGGGUCGGCUGCAUGAUUUUUUGAACUUUUGUCUUAUUUUUCUCUUUUCAACUAAAAAUUAAUUUAAGAAAGUUAUAUUUAACUACUUUUUGUCGUGACAUAAUAAACUAAAACGGAAUCACUACGUUUUCAAAUGACCAAAUGGCCUUGGCCUACCUGAUAAUAAAAGGCCAUAUAGAUAAGAAAUGGAUCCAUACGUUAAAGCUAAAUUGAAAAAUAUAAUAAAUAAGUUGUCAGGAGAUGAUUUUAUAAAAAAUUUCACUCGCAUGGUCCCGACCAAAUACAAAUUUGUGAUGAUAUUCGUAAUGAAUUUAUACAAUGAGGCGAAAUUACUCUGUCUAAUUUCAUCGAUAUAUAUUACACCAUUAAAAAUAUACUAAUAUUUAUAAUGAAAAAACUUAUGACUACUUUAAAUCGACUGUAUUAUAUGUGAAUUCACAAGAUUCAUAGAUAGAUUGCACUAAGCUUUUUGUUGCAGUUUACAAAUAUUUUGUUACUAAUGUAAGAAAUUUUACAAGUGCUGAUGCUGUGUACUCUGCAGAAAGCUAGCCCCAGACGGUGACUCCUGUGGGGACUCCUUCAAUUUGCAGCACAAAAGAACGUUCACAUUGACAUUGACUUGAGGGUAAAACUUAAAUAACUCCUAUGGUAUAAGAAGAAUGCAAACAUGCUUGAAUCAACAUUCUCUCAGAAUACAUAAAACCUACUUUCCUCUGAGCAUUUUAGCAGCAAGAAAAGCAAUUGCAGCAUUUACCAAUUGAUCUAAUAUCAAAAUGGCUCUUGCGAUCGUUUCCUCUCUCCUGGACCAGCUGAAAUCCAUUGCUCAAGAUCAGGUGAAAGAAAAGUGGAGGCUUGUGACGGGUGUCGAACAAGAAGUGGAAAAGCUUACCAAAAAUCUUCGAGCCAUUCAAGCUGUGCUGGAAGAUGCAGAGCAGAGGCAAAUGAAGCUCGACAAAGCUGUUACUGAUUGGCUGGAUGAGCUCAGAGACGCAUUCUACGACAUGGAAGAUGUGUUGGAUGAGUGGAUCACUGAAACACGGAAAUUGCAGCUUGAUGAGGGUGGCGAUGAUGAUAACGACAAUGCUUUUGUUACUCUUUUGACAAAGGUAUGUUCCUUCUUUCCUGCUACGUCAAACUGCUUUGGUGGUUUCAAACAACUCAGUCUUCGUCAUGAUAUUGCUGUCAAGAUUACAGAAAUCAGUAAAAGGCUAGAUGAAAUUGACACACGAAAAGAUAGGUUUAAUUUUGUUGAGAAUGUGAGUAACAAUGUUAAGAAUCCAGAGCGAGAGCGAACCAUCUCCUUGAUUGAUGUGGGAGAGGUUUGCGGUAGAGUUGAUGAGAAAAAUGAGCUCUUAAGCAAGUUGUUGUGUGAAAGUAGUGAACAACAACAAGGCCUUCAUGUCAUCUCACUAGUUGGGUUAGGGGGUAUAGGUAAAACCACUCUUGCACAACUGGCAUAUAAUAAUGAUGAGGUGAAAAGCAAUUUUGAAAAAGUUAUAUGGGUGUGUGUAUUAGACACUUUUGAGGAGAUUAGGGUCGCCAAAGCAAUCAUUGAAGGUCUAGGCGUGUCAACUUCUGGUUUAAGCGAAUUCGAAUCUCUUAUGAAACAGAUUCAGGAAUAUAUUAGGAGGAAGAAAUUUUUUCUUGUUUUAGAUGAUGUGUGGGAUGGAGAUUACAAAAAAUGGGACCCAUUCUUUUCUUGUCUAAAGAAUGGCCACCAUGAAAGUAAAAUUCUAAUUACCACACGUGAUAGGUCAGUUGCACUACAGUUGGGAUCAAUAGAUAUUAUCCCUGUCAAGAAGUUGGGUGAAGGGGAAUGUUGGUUACUGUUUAAGCAGAUAGCAUUUCUACGUAGGUCCUUUGAGGAUCGUGAAAAAUUAGAACCAAUGGGGCGAAAAAUUGCACACAAGUGCAAAGGCUUGCCUCUUGCUACAAAGGUAAUAGGGAAUCUCUUGCGCUCUAAACGUACAGUAAAAGAGUGGCAAAGAAUUUUAGAGAGUGAAAUGUGGAAAGUAGAAGAGAUUGGGCAAGGUAUUUUGGCUCCUUUGUUGUUGAGUUAUAACGAUUUGCCCUCCAAUUCUAUGGUAAAAUGGUGUUUCUCAUAUUGUGCUGUCUUUCCAAAAGACUACAAUAUGAAUAAAGAGGAACUAAUUUCACUAUGGAUGGCUCAAGGUUACCUUAAUGCAGAAGAAGACGAAGAGAUGGGGAUGAUUGGGGAAGAGUAUUUCAACAUUUUAGCAGCACGCUCUUUCUUUCAAGAAUUUAAGAAAAAUGAUGAUGAUGAUAUUAUGAGUUGCAAGAUGCAUGACAUAGUACAUGAUUUUGCUCAAUUUGUAGGUAGCAAAGAAUGUUUGUGGCUAGAAAUUAAUGGUACCAAAGAAUCAGUCAUAAACUCUUUUGGUGGGAAAGUCUGUCACUUAGGGUUAAAGUUUAAAGGACGUGCUUCAUUUCCUAUGUCCAUUCAUGGACUUAAUAGAUUGCGUACCCUUUCAGAAUGAUGAAAGUCUUUUCAAUCCGUCUCUUAAUAACAGCAUCCUUUCAGAAUUAUUUAGUAAAUUGGCGUGUUUAAGGGCAUUAGUUAUAAGCCAAUCGUCCCUAAAUUUUCCUUCUUUUCAUCUUGACCCAUAUAAGAUUAGAGAAAUUCCAGAAAAUGUCGGAAAAUUGAUACAUUUAAAAUAUCUUAAUUUGUCUGGACUAUGUAUAGUGAGACUACCUGAGACUUUGUGUGAAUUAUAUAAUUUACAAAAGCUAGAUAUUAGGCGGUGCCGAAAUCUAAGAGAAUUGCCUGCGGGGAUUGGGAAGUUAAAGAACAUGAGGAGUUUAUUAAAUGGUGUUACUCUUUCGUUGAAGUACAUGCCAGUAGGGAUUUCCAAAUUAACCAGUCUUCGAACAUUAGACAAGUUUGUGGUGGGUGGAGGUGUUGAUGGUAGCAAUACGUGUAGGCUUGAAUCUCUGAAAAAUCUUCAACUCCUUCGAGAAUGUGGAAUAGAAGGGCUGGGUAAUGUGUCACAUUUAGAUGAGGCUGAGAGGUCACAACUUCACAAUAAGAAAAACCUCCUUCGUUUGCAUCUUGAGUUUGGUAGAGUCGUAGAUGGGGAAGGCGAAGAAGGGAGGAGGAAGAAUGAGAAAGAUGAACAACUUCUUGAAGCUUUACAACUGCCUUUGAAUGUAGAGGAAUUAUGGAUUAUAUCCUACCGAGGCAACAUUUUUCCCAAAUGGUUGACUUUGCUAACCAAUCUAAGGAAUUUAACACUUUCCGCGUGCGUUAACUGUGAGCAUUUGCCUCCUUUGGGAAAAUUGCCUCUGGAAAAACUCAAACUACGGAAAUUAAAAAGUGUAAAAAGAGUGGGUAAUGAGUUCUUGGGAAUAGAAGAAACUAGUGAGGAUGACCCAUCUUCAUCUUCAUCAUCAUCAUCAGUUACUGCCUUCCCGAAAUUGAAAUCACUCGAAAUUUGGGAAUUGGAUGAAUUGGAAGAGUGGAAUUACAGGAUUACGAGGAAGGAAAACAUCUCCAUCAUGCCCCGUCUUUCUUCCUUAAAAGUUGGUUCUUGCAACAAAUUAAAGGCGCUGCCGGAUUGCCUUCUUCAAACGACGGCACUGCAGGAACUGAGUAUUUAUUUUUGUGAAAAUUUGGAAGAACUGCCCAUUCUAGAAGAUCGCAGGACAAUAGACAUACCGCGUCUUUCUUCUUUGCGAAUUGGGUAUUGCCCCAAAUUAAAGGUGCUGCCGGAUUACCUCCUUCGAACGACGGUGCUGCAGGAAUUGAGUAUUAUAAAAUGUCCCAUUUUGGAAAACCGUUAUGGAGAGGGGGAAGGAGAAGACUGGCAUAAGAUAUCUCACAUUCCCCACAUCAAGUGGUCGCCGUAAUUUAUCACUUGCCGGUAAUUUCUCCUCCUCCUCUAAUUUACUUCAUUGUUGCUUGCAAUGAAAUUAAUAGAAAUAAUUAUAUUUUGAAUUAAAAUUCUAUAUAGAAUCAAUCAUGGUAUAAAUACGUAAAACUUCCUAGUUAUCAAAUCUGUUAAACUUGUUUUCUAAAGAUUAAAUAAUUAAAAAAAAAACAAAGUGUAGUCUGCUGAAAUUUCUAUAUUUACUUUUAAAAAAUAUGUGCUCUUUUGUAAAAUUUCGUGCAAUGUAAUUUAUUUUUUAAUGUACGAAAAUUUGUUAUGUGUAACUUGCUGAGAGACAAAAUCUCUGUGAUAUAUUUGCAGUAAUGUUGAAAACUAAAUUAUCAAUUUUAUCUUGUAUAAUGCUAAUCUUAUUUUUUAUAUAUAUAAUAUACAUGACUUUAAUUCUUUAAAGUAAUUGUGUAAUUGUUUUUACUACAAUAGCCCACUUUGUUUUAUUUCAUACUUGUUUAAUUGCCAGGUCCAAGCUAAUUUGGUUUUAAUGAUGCAGGCAGGAGAGCAAGACUAUGAAAAUGAAAAGUUUAGCCAAAGGAUUGCUAAAAUGUUCUGCUGGUAAUUCACUUGCUUUAUUUUAUAGAAUUUCAUUUCCAUCUUCUUCUAUUGAUAUCUUGUUGUGAAUAAACAAGAACAGAGAAGUAAAGAUAUAUCAAAAUUUACUAUUACGAUGAUGCUAAAACAAGCUCAAGCUCAAGCAUUGCAUUUUUAUUUUAUUUUAUUUAUAGAAUUUUCAUUUCCACCUGCAUUGCAUUUUUAUUUAUUUUUAGGUUGACUUUGAAUACUUCAUGGUGAACAUUGGGGUGACCAAGGAUUAGGGUGGCAGUGGACCGACUACCACUGUGGUUAUUAUGCGACUUUAAAGAAGAAAGUGAUGGCUGGGUCUGCUCUGUUUCUAUCUUUUUUAAUUCUUUGAUCGGUUUAUCCUAUAUAAACAUAUGGAAUUAUGCUAAUAUUAUCAAUUUUUUCACCCAAUUUUCACUGUUGGUUGUGAUAACAAUUUCAGGCUCUCAAAAGCUACAAAGCAAAGCAUUUGUGGGCUGAUCAUAUGCUUCAAUUGAGGAAGGAGUUUGGUGUUGGCAAUAUUGUCCAGGUAACCACAGCUGAUAAUUUCCACAAAUUUGCAUUGUCAGAAUACACUUUAAUGUUCAUUGUAUUCCUAUGUAUUAUCAGGUUAUCGUGGUAUGAAAAGUAUCAUCUUUAAGGAUUCGUAAGAGACUUCGCAGUAAACUUAGUUGUCACCAGCUCGUGCAAUUGGUCAUUCAGUCAAGAGUACUUCAAAAUUAGAUUUUCAAGGUUUAUAUGUUUAGUUGCGAUCAAAAUGUUUAGUCAUUCAUUCGUAAUCUUUUCUGAUUUUCAAGUUCUUUAGGGCCAUAAACAUUUUUCGAACUCAUUCUUAAUUUUUAGGUUGAUUUCGAGAACCCUGUUGAGGACAUUCCUGAGACCAAGGAUUAGGCUGGCGAAGAAACUACUACCUCUGUUGUUAUAGUGCAGGGUUUGAUCAUUGGACCUUGAAUAAGAAGGCCUUCCACGCAUUCUGUAAUUCAAGCAUUCUCUAAAGGAAAAGAGCAGUAGAAGGGAUAGUGAUGGCCGGAUCUGCUCUAUUUUAGUUGAAGAUCUCUGUGAUGUCGAUGAACUUAACGCAGUUGAUACUUCUUGAAAAUUGUUAUUACGGAUGAAUUGAUUCUUGGAGAGGGGUAUCCAAAGGCGGAUUUUCAUAAACUUCCUUCUUUAACAAAUGUUCCAAUGCUUGUUGUAGUAACAAUUUCAUAGCUUGCAUCUCUCGGGUGCAUCAUGUUCACGGGUUGGAAAAAGCAUUUGUGGUAAAGCUUCAAAGCUUGUAAAAUGGCUGUGAAAAGGCACAUUCAAUUCGGUAUGCUUUGGUGCGGUCUCCUAAUGCUAAUAUUAUAUUUUGUAUAGCAAUCUUAAUAUGCAAAAAAUCAUUGUGUCCAAAGUUUUCUGUUAAUUAUAUGGUGACUGAAAUUUUAAUUAUCAUAUCAAUCUUAAAAAUUUUUGUAACCCUAUUUUACUUUGCUUGUACAGAAUACCUGUUUUCGCUGAUAUGUCUAAUUCCUAGAAAUUCAUUUCCAUCGGUUUCCAUUGGUUUUAGCACAAACAGAAACAUAGAGCCCUGGGAAAAAGUUUUACUUUUGGUGGUAUUAUGCCUUAUUUUCUUCAUUCAUCAUAUUUGUUUCGAAUUCAUGCUCUCAUUCAGAGAGUAAAGCCUUUUCCAGGCUGUUUUGUAGCCAAAUUUCGAUGCCAUCGAUGCGUGAUUGUCAUUUAGAUUUUCGAAAUAAUUGUUAGAUUGGAGAAGAAUAAGAAUAUAUUGUUCAAAGGCUAUUUAAUUAGCACCCUCUGAAUUUAGUUGGCAAUAAUGCAUUGAAAUGGUUGGGGAAAGUUAUUGUCUUAAUUAAAUUACAGGUGAUAAGAUGCUGCUUCAAUUUUGCAAGCAUCUUGUACUGCAAAGAUUCUGCCCACAUGAGAUGCUGUGAUUCUUGACGUCAGGACAACACAGGUCAAAUUUUAGUAUCAAUAUAUAUCAUCUUCUUUACUGUUCUGCCUCUAAAUAUUAAACUUUAAUCAACUUGUUUUUGUUUGUGUAAAUUAUCAGGUUAAGGAUACUAAGCUGCUUAUUAAGGCAAAUGUCAGAAUGAAGAUUGCUCACCGUACCUGGUAUGCAUGAUGGCCAGGAAGAUUAAUUGUUCACAAACCAAUUUGAUCAGUGUUAGAUUUUUUGCCUCCUUUCGAGGGACAUCAUCAUCAAAUUUGAGUAGAGAAUCUUUGAAGGGAAUUUUGUUGUAAGAGCUUCACAGUAGUGAAUUCUGGGAGCUCGAACUUGAGUGAGAUAAUAGGGAGUAUUGGGGAUUUGGGUUAUGAGUAAUCAUUAUCCUUCCAAUAUGUGUAAGCACUCACUUGUUAGUAAAAUCAUCUUCAUAUAUUAAUUGUUUCUUUGUUAUCAGGUAGAGUGUGAUCUUCAAGGGUUUGAGAAAGUCCUUGCAGUAAAGUUUCCACCAGAAGCAAUUGCUCAGUUUCAGAUUUUUUAGGCGCUUAAUUAGUUUCGAUUAUAAUGUUUAGUUAGUUUCAAUUAUAAUAUUUAGUCACUCAUUCUGAAUCUUUUCUAAUUUUCAAGUUCCUUAGGGCCACGACCUGUUUUUCAAGUCUGCAUGUGGCUGCGAAAAGAUUGAUGGUCAUAAAAUUAUCUUGACCCUUGAGCCAUUGCGUUUGAGCACAAACAGAAACAGAGCUAAAGGAAAAGCACUUGACGCAAGAAGAUGCUCUGAAUAUAACUGUUGAUAAAUUAGAAGUAAUUGAUAAGGAUUUGUUUGUUAGAGAUUUGGAUAAAAUCCUAAGAUUUAGGGAUGAGAUAAGUUAGUUCCUGAGUGUAGGAUUAAUCCUUUAUUUUUCCUUAUUUAAGUUGUUUGUUUUCUCUAUUUUUUAGUGAAUUGAAUAAGAGAAUUUUUCCUCCUUCUUCCUCUGUAAAAUCUACAUGGUAUCAGAGCUAGGGUUUGAUCAUGAAUUUCAAGGCCACCAUGGUUGGCUCUAGUUCAACCACUUUGGAUGGCAGCAGUAGUACGACUUCAUCGGAGGAAGUUUCUCAACCACUUCCGACUAUUUCUCUUUCUGAAAAUUCUCUUCAAAUUAUCAUUCACAAAUUGAAUGGAAAGAAUUAUUUUGAAUGGUCUUAGUCUGUUCGUUUGGUGAUUGAUGGAAAAGGGAAACUAGGGUACUUGAAUGGCGAGGUAACACCACCAGCCACUAAUGAUCCAAAAUACAGGCAGUGGCGUUCAGAGAAUUCAAUGGUUACUGCUUGGCUGAUCAACUCAAUGGAUUCUAUUAUUGGAAAAACCUUCAUGUACUUGAAGACUGCUCGUGAUGUCUGGGAAGCAAUUCGGGAAACCUACUCAGAUUUAGAAAAUCAGUCACAAUUGUAUGAAUUAAACACCCAUAUGUGGAAGAUGCAGCAAGGUAAUCGUGAUGUAACAGCUUAUUAUAAUGAUAUGAUGGCUGUUUGGCAGGAAUUGGACUUGUUUGAAGAUGAACAAUGGGAAAAUUCUAAUGACAGUGCUCGAUACAAAGAGAAAGUUGAAAGAGGUCGGGUAUUUGUUUUCUUGGCUGGUUUGAACAAAGAACUUGAUGAGGUUCGAGGACGUAUACUAGGGAAAAAACCUUUGCCAACUAUUAGAGAAGUUUUCUCAGAAGUGCGCAGAGAAGAAGCACGACGGCAAGUGAUGUUGAAGAAUAACGAUGAACCAAAAAUAAAUAGUGAAGGAUCUGCUCUUGUGGCUCGAGGUACAGACUCAGGGGGAAAGCAGAAGCCCCGGUGUGACUAUUGUCGAAAGUCGUGGCAUACUCGAGAAAGUUGUUGGAUGUUGCAUGGGAAACCAAAGAAAAAAACAGGCAGCGACACCAAGUCAGGGGGAGAUGUCCGCGCAUUUCAAGCUAACAGCACUGAUCCAGGGCAGCAAUCAUCCUCAGAGUCUCUUCCUUUUACCAAGGAACAGAUAGAGCAUCUACAUAAAAUGUUUCAUUCCCAAUCCUUAGAAAAAUCUAACCUAUCUUGUUCUCUAGCACAGUCAGGUAAUUCUUUCAUUGCAGCCCUAGCGUGUACUAAGUUUCAUGGCUCCUGGAUAUUAGAUUCAGGUGCUACUGAUCAUAUGACCGGUAAUUCGCAGCUCUUUUCCUCAUAUAUACCUUGUGCAGGAAAUCAAAAGGUUAAAAUUGCAAAUGGUUCCUUAGCUACUGUUGCUGGAAAAGGAACAAUUACUAUUUCUCCUUCUCUAGUCCUUAAGAAUGUUUUGCACGUCCCACAUUUGUCUUAUAAUCUUUUAUCUAUCAGUAAAUUAACUUUUGAUCACAACUGUCAAGUUAUUUUUCAAUCUUCCUGUUGUAAAUUUCAGGAUUUAACCUCAGGGAAGAUGAUUGGGGGUGCUAAAAUGGGUGGUAGACUCUAUUUCUUUAAUAACGGAUCAACCUAUGGAAGGCAAGAUCUGCAGACUUGUUUUAAUUCUAUCUCUGUUGUUAAUGACAGUAAGAUUAUGUUAUGGCAUUAUCGAUUAGGACAUCCAAAUUUUCAAUAUUUAAAGCUUUUGUUACCCAAGUUAUUCAUGAAUAAAAAUCCUUCUGUUUUUCGAUGUGAAUCUUGUGAAUUAGCUAAACAUCAUCGGGCUAUUUUUCAAUCUCAACCAUAUAAAAAAUCAAAACCAUUUACCAUGAUUCAUAGUAAUGUUUGGGGUCCUUCUAGAGUGCCAACUUUUUCUGGAAAGCGCUAGUUUAUUCUUUUUAUUGAUGAUCAUAUUAGAGUCACUUGGGUCUUUCUUUUAAAAGAAAAAUAUGAUGCUGAAACUGUGUUUAUAAAUUUUUAUAAUAUGGUUCAGACACAAUUUCAGACUCAGAUUAAAAUUUUUCGAAGUGAUAAUGGAAAAGAGUUUUUUAACAAAGUGUUAGGAAUUUUUUUUUGCUGAAAAGGGGAUUGUUCACCAAAGUUCUUGUAAUAAUACACCUCAACAGAAUGGGGUGGCUGAAAGAAAAAACAGACAUCUCCUUGAAGUUGUUAGAGCUAUUAGUUUUACGACUAAGGUUCCUAAAUACCUUUGGGGAGAAGCAGUGUUAACAGCCACUUAUUUGAUCAAUAGACUGCCAACGAGAAUUUUGGACUUUAAACCACCAAUUAAAGUUUUAAGUGAAUGGUUUCCCACAACUCGGCUAACAGCCGAUAUUCCCUUUAAAAUUUUUGGAAGUGUGGCUUUUGUUCAUAAUCAUGAUACUAGACAUUCAAAACUUGAUCCAAAGGCACAUAAAUGUAUUUUUGUAGGCUAUCCUACAAAUCAAAGAGGUUAUAAAUGUUUUGAUCCAAUUCUGAAAAAAAUGUUUGUGUCUAUGGAUGUCACUUUUUUUGACGGAUAAUUAUACUACAACAAUUUCCUUCUUCAGGGGGAGAGCACUAGUGAAGAUGAUUUUUUAGAUAAUUCUGAUGUAACUUUUGAGUUUGUUCAGGAUGAUGAUGUUUCUUACAAACAGUCACCAAAAGAAAAUGGGAUGGGAAACACAAAAUCUGUGGAAACAAAUGAACUAAAUGUUGAAAAUAUUGAAUCCACAACUGAACAACCUUUGGUAAUUCCAUCUCAAAAUCAAAAUACUAAAACAACUGAGAUGUGUACAAAACGAUUUAAAGGUCUUGUAUAUUCAAAGGAACAUCUAGCACAAAAAAGAGCCACUAUCCCACAGCACUAUCAAGAAUCUGACCAGAGGUUGGAUCAUGAAGUUUGUGACGAUUCUCCAGAAAUCCCUGAAAACAAUCCUCCAUGUAAUUAUGAGUCAAAUUCUUCUAGUCAGCUUGAUCUUCCCAUUGCUCUUAGAAAAGGUAUUAGGUCUUGUACAAAACAUCCUUUGCCAAAUUUUAUAUCUUACAAAAAUAUUUCUUCAUCAUAUUGUGCUUUUAUUUCACAAGUGUCCAGUGUGGUUAUUCCGAAAAGUGUCUAUGAGGCUCUAAAUGUUCCUGAGUGGAAAGAAGCUAUGCUUGAGGAGAUGAGAGCCCUGGAAAAGAAUGCUACUUGGGAGAAAGUGGAUCUGCCGGAUGGGAAGACAACUGUCGGCUGUAAAUGGGUGUUUACUGUGAAGUACAAUUCAGAUGGGUCCUUGGAAAGGUACAAGGCUAGACUUGUAGCCAAAGGUUUCACUCAGACAUACGGAGUAGACUACUCUGAAACUUUCUCUCUAGUGGCAAAGCUAAAUACAGUUAGAGUACUCUUGUCUAUUACAGCUAAUCUUGAUUGGCCUCUGAAUCAGCUGGAUGUGAAGAAUGCUUUUUUGAAUGGGGACUUAAAGGAGGAAGUCUAUAUGGAGCCUCCACCAGGUUUUAAUGAGAAAUUUGGAACCAAGGUAUGUAAGCUAAAAUGGUCUUUAUACGGCCUUAAACAGUCUCCCAGAGCUUGGUUUGAGAGGUUCACAAAUUUUGUUAAAAGCCAAGGAUAUGAUCAAGGGCAAUCUGAUCAUACGCUGUUCACAAAGAGAUCUAUUGAAGAUAAAAUUUCUGUUCUUAUUGUGUAUGUAGAUGAUAUAAUUUUAAUUGGAGAUGAUAUAGUAGAAAUGAGCAAAUUGAAACAAAACCUAGCCAAGGAGUUUGAGAUUAAAGAUUUAGGCCAACUAAAAUACUUUCUUGGAAUGGAAGUGGCAAGAUCAAAUAAGGGUAUUGUUGUCUCACAAUGGAAGUAUAUUCUUGAUCUCUUGAAAGAAACUGGGAUGAGUGGUUGCAAACCUUCUGACACUCCAAUAGAAGCCAACUCUAAGCUUGGGGAAGUAAAAAAUGGUGUUCCAGUAGACAAGGGGAGAUAUCAAAGACUUGUUGGGAGACUAAUUUACUUGUCACAUACUCGUCCAGACAUUGCUUUCGCUGUAAGCAUGGUAAGCCAAUUUAUGCAUUCCCCAUAUGAAGAACAUCUUGAAGCUGUAUACCGAAUCCUUCAUUAUCUGAAAAGUACACCAAGAAAAGGACUCUUCUUCAAGAAAAAUGAGAAGAGGGGAAUUGAGGUGUAUAUUGAUGCUGAUUGGGCAAGUUUAGUCACUGAUAGAAGAUCAACUUCGGGGUACUGUACAUUUCUAUGGGGUAAUUUAGUCACAUGGAGAAGCAAGAAGCAGAAUGUUGUUGCUAGAAGUAGUGCAGAGGCUGAAUUCAGAUCAAUGGCGCAAGGAGUAUGUGAGAUUCUUUGGCUAAAGAGGGUUCUAGAAGAGCUUAAGAGGCCAGUGAGUUUGCCUAUAAGGUUGUAUUGUGACAACAAGGCAGCUAUCAGCAUUGCUCAUAAUCCUGUUCUACAUGACAGGUAGGGGUGGGCAAAAAAAGCUGAUUAAUUAAAAACCGAAUCGAACCGAUCGGUUCGGUUCGGUUUUUAUGCGGUUUUUUUAUCUUCAAAAAACCGAAAUAGUAACAUAAAAAAAUAGUAAAAUCAAUCGGUUCGGUUUUCGGUUUUUAAAAAAAAACCACAAAACCGAACCAAAAUCUCAAAUAAACCGAUUGUUUUGAAAGCUAAAGCCAAAACCUAAAAGCCUAAAAUCUAAAUCUAAACUUCUGACUUCUGUCUUCUUCGGUUCCCGACUUCCCGCUGGCCGCUGCUCGUCGUGACUUCUUCUGUUCCCGCUGGCCGUGCGGCAUCCCUCGCUGUAAUUUUUGCGAUCGUGCGGCAUCCCUCACUGCAAUUUUUGCUUCUGCUAACCUUGUUACUGUCUCAACUGCACUCUUUUCCACAGAGUUGAAAUCAUUCUGCUUUUUGGCCUCCGUUGUCUGCACCCAGACCUUUACAAAUUGACCUUAUUGAUUGAUUCAAUCAAUUUGAUUGCUUUUGCUUGGGAAAUCACAGAGAAGAUGCAACACGUAAGGUGGGAUGCACUUUCCUUCUUGGGCAUAUUAAAAAAUUAAUUUUAACUUUUUUCUUUAAACCAAAAAAGAAAAAGAAAAAUUAUUAUCCAUAUGUCAUCAUCAUCAAUUGGAAUUGGUCAUAAUUUGGGACCACCACGUUUGUGCUGCCAUGUCAAAUUUUUCUGCAGUUCUCUUUUUCAUUUUUUUAUCAUAUAUAAUCUCGAUUUUUGUAGAUAGUUUAUGUAAUAAUUUAAGAUAUAUAUUCUUGGUUGGCCAAAAUGAAUACAAAUGCAAUUAAUGAAUGAAGAAGUUAUUCAUAAAGCACCAUUUAUUUAUUUGUUCAUUGCGGUUAAGUUGUAUGCGAUCCAUUUGGUUGUUGGUUACAACCAGUUAAAUAUUUAUUUAAAAAUAAAAUAUAACUUGUUAAUUAAGAUGAAUGUUGUAAUAUGAAGUGUCUUAAUUUUGUAAAAUGUGUGUGGUUAUUCAAUAAUUUUGUAAAAUGGUAGAUUUAUUAAUUUAAAGUUUUAAAUUUAAAAAAGUCCAAAAUAGGCCCAAUAGGCCCAUAAUCGAAAUAAUCGAACCGAAUCGAAUCGAAUUAUUUCAAUUAAUCGAGUAUUUGAUUAUUUCGGUAAUUUGAUUAAUCGCGAUUAUGAUUUUAAAAUAAUCAUAAUCGAACGAUUGUGAAAAAUUUAGUAAAAAACCGAACCGAACCGCGCCCACCCCUAAUGACAGGACGAAACAUGUUGAGAUUGACAGGCACUUUAUAACAGAAAAGCUUAAAGAAGGAAUAAUUUGUACUCCAUUUGUACCGACCACACAGCAAGUUGCAGAUGUUUUAAGUAAAGGCUUGCUGAGACAGCCAUUUGAAGUUCAAGUUAGCAAGUUGGGCAUGACAAAUAUAUUUGCACCAACUUGAGGGGGAGUGUUGAUAAAUUAGAAGUAAUUGAUAAGGAUUUGUUUGUUAGAGAUUUGGAUAAAAUCCUAAGAUUUAGGGAUGAGAUAAGUUAGUUCCUAAGUGCAGAAUUAAUCCUUUAUUUUUCCCUAUUUAAGUUGUUUGUUUUCUCUAUUUUUUAGUGAAUUGAAUAAGAGAACUUUUCCUCCUUCUUCCUUUGUAAAAUCUACAAUAACAAAAGUAUAUUUCUGCUUCUUGUGGUUAUUUACUUUGUUUCUCCUGUCAGCAUAUUUGAUUAAUUCGUUCGAAUUCACACUCUCACACAUUAUUUAAAACCAUUUGUAGGUGGCUUGCAAGCUAAUUAAGUUAAUGCAGAAGCAAUACUCUAGACAAAGAUGAGCAAAUUGAAGGUGAUAAAUGCAUAUAUGGUGGCCCAAUCGCUUAUUAUAUUUCAUCUCUCAAUCUAAUAUGAUUCUGAGUUUUAAUUUCCAUGAAUAAUUGUUAGGCUGGUACAGAUGUUCUUAAAAGGGCCAUCAAACUACCUUAUGAAGUUGGAAAGUUGCUAUUGCUUGAAUGAAAGCACCAUCUUCUGUUGCCAAGGCAUUCCCCACAUGAUGAGAUUAUGUGAUUGUUACCGGCUUCUUAAUUAUUUGUUAAAUCAGGUUUUUCUUAUCAAGUACAUCAUCUUAUUCACCAUUUUGGCUAUAUCAGAAUUUGCUAAUACCAUGAUGUCAAAGCAAGCUCAAGCACUAGAUCCCUAAUAAUAAUGCAUUGCAUUUUCAUUUUAUUUUUAGGUUGACUUUGAAGACCGUAUGAAGAACAUUGGGGUAAUCAAGGAUUAGGCUGGUGAUGGAACUACUUCCACUGUGGUGUUGUGUGCAACGUUCAGUUGCUGGACUUUGAAGAAGAAAGUGAUGGCCAGGUCUGCUCUGUUUCAAUUGAGGAUGGAUAGCUGCCUGGAAGGCAUGAUGAUUUUUAUUGCAUGAUAUUAAGGUACAAAGAUAAUCAUUUCUAUCUUGUUUUUUUCUUUGAUCAGUUUAUCCUCUAUAAGCAAAUUCAAUUAUGCUAAUAUUACCAUUUUUUCUCCCAAUUUUCACCGUUGGUUGUAAUAACAAUUUCAGGUACUCAAAAGCUACAGAGCAAAGCACAUGUGGGCUGAUCAUAUGCUUCCAUGGCGGAAGGAAUUCGAUAUUAACACUAUUAUGCAGGUAACCGCAGUUGUUAAUUUGCACAAAUUUGCAUUGUCAGAUUGCCCUUUAAUAUUCACUGUGUUUCUUUUUGUUAUUCAGGGUACCAUGGUAUGUAGAGUAUCAUCUUUGAGGGUUUGUAAGAGCCUUUGCAGUAAAUUUACCUGCUCGAGCAAUUGCACAUUCAUCGAGUACAAUUUUGGAUUUUCAAGGUUUGUAUGUUUAGUUGCGAUUAGCAGGCUUAGUCACUCAUUCCUAAACUUUUCUGAUUUUCAAGUUAUUUAGGUCCAUUAACAGUUUUCACACAUGUUUCAAUGCUAGUUGUACUAACAAUUUCUCAUCUUGCAUCUCUAAGAUGCAUCACGUUUGAAACAGCUUUUGCGGUAAACUUUCAAUGCAUGUACAAUGGCCGUUAAGAGGUACAUUCAAUUCGGUACGUUUUGCUGCAGUCUUCUAAUGCUAAUAUCAUGUUGUGUAUAUUUAGUUUGCAAUUAAAACUUAGGUAUACAACCUUAAUCUCAUAUAAAUGAUUGUGUACAAAGUUUUCUACUAAUUAUAUGGUGACUAAAAGUUUAAUUAUCUUAAAAUUUUUGUAACUCUCUUUUACUUUGCUUGUACAGAGUACCUGUUUUGGCUGACAUGUCUAAUUCGUAGAAAUUCAUUUCCAUGGAUUUCCAUUGGUUUGAGCACAUACAGAAACAGAGCUUUACUUCCUGAGGUGUUAUGCCUUUGUCUCUUCAUUCACCAUAUUUGUUCGAAUACGUUGUCUCAUUAAGAAUUUAAAGCCUUUUUCUAGGCAGCUUUGUGGCCAAUUUUUGAUGCCAUCAAUGCAUGAUUGUCAUUUAGAUUUUCCAAAUAAUUGUUAGGUGGGGAAGAUAUUGUUAAAAGGGCAUUUAAUUAGCUACGUCCCCUAUGAAUUUAGUUGCCAAUAAUACAUUGAAAUUGAGAAGGCUAAUUUAAAUUACGGGUGAUAAGAUGUUGCUUGAAUUCAGCAUCUUGUAUUGCGAUGAUUUUGCCCACAUGAGGCUCUGUGAUUCUUGACAUCAGGAUAACUCAGGUCAAUUUUUUGUAUCAGCAUAUAUCAUCUUGUUUACUGUUUUGCCUUUAAAGAAUAAACUUUAGUGAAGUUUUUUUUGUUUGUGUAAGUUAUCAGGUUAAGGAUACUAAGCAGCUUAUUAAGGAAAAUGUCAGAAUGAAGAUUGUUCACCACACCUGGCAUUUAUGAUGGCAAGGAAGAUUAAUUGUUCACAAGCCAAUUUGAUGAGUGUUAGAUUUUUGGCUUUAUAUAUUAUUAGAGCUCUCCCUUCUGAGAGAUAUCUCAUUAAAUUUGAGUAGAGCUCUCCCAAUAACUGCAAGCUUUCAUUUGUUUGUAAAAUCAUCUUCUUAUAUUGAUUGUGUUUCCUUGUGUUAUCGGGUAGAGUAUCAUCUUCAAGGGUUUCAAAAAGUCUUUGCAGUAAAGUUUCAACCAAUUGCUGUGAAGAGGCAUAUUCAUUUGAGUAAUUCAGUUUCAGAUUUUCAGGGCGUGUGUGUUUAAUUAGUUUUGAUUAAAAUAUUUAGUCACUCAUUCUGAAUCUUUUCUAAUUUUCAAGUUCCUUAGGGCCACAGCCAGUUUUUCAGGUCUGCAGAAACUAUCUUGAGUGUUGAGGAAUUGCGUUUGAGCACACACAGAAACAAGGCUAAUGGAAAAGAACUUGACAGAAGAAUUAUGCUCUAAAUCUAACAAAAGUAUAUUUCUACUUCUUGUGGUUAUUUUACUUUUGUAUUUUCUGUCAUCAUAUUUGAUUAAUUCAUUCGAAUUCAGACUCUCAUUAUUUAAAACCAUUUUCAGGUGGCUUGCACGCUAAUUAAGUUAAUGCAGAAGCUAUACUCUAGACAAAGAUGAGCAAAUUGAAGAUGAUAAAUACAUAUAUGGUGGCCAAGUCGCUCAUUACAUUUCAUCUCUCAUACGAACAUGAUUCUGAAUUUGAAUUUCGAUCAAUAAUAGUCAGGCUGGUGCAGAUAUUCUUAAAAGGGCAUUAAGCUACCUUAUGAAAUUGGAAAGUUAUCAUUGCUUGAAUGAAAGCACCAUCUUCUGUUGUCAAGGCUUUCCCCACACGAUGAGAUUCUGUGCUUGUUAUCGGCCACUUAAUUAUUUAUUAAAUCAGGUUUUUGUUAUCAAGUACAUCAUCUUAUUCACCAUUUUGGCUAUAUAUAAAGAUUAAAAUUUCUAACAGUUGUUUCGGAUUCUUGUGUACUCAGGUUAAUAUAGCAAAUGUCAUAAUGAAGAUUGGUCAGUGCAACCGGUAUAGCAAGGAUGAUAGUGGUGAGGAAGAUUGUUGGCAAGUCAAAUAGAGCCCUCCAUUUUGAGAAAUAUCAUCCUCAAAUUUGAGUUGUUGAGCAUGUGAAGUGAAGCUAUAGCCUUAAUAAUGAGACCUUCCUGUGAAAGUUUCAUUUGAGUGAAUUGAACGUUCUUAGUGGGUAAGAAAUUAAGUUCCCAGCUUGUUUAAAUGCUGUGUAAUUUUUACCCAAGAUUAUGCAAUUGACUUAUGCAAUUCACUUACAGUGUUCUGAGUACUUGAGUUUCAGAUUUCCAAGAUGUGUAAUUUUAGUUGCCAUUGAAAUAUUUAGUCGCUCAUUCUUAAAAAUCUGUUCUAAUUUUCCUGUUAUUUUGGGCCAUAAACAGUUUAACAAGUCUGCAUGUGGUUUCUAAAGAUUGAUGGUUAUGAUAUAUAUUGUGAGGUAUGAAAUAUUAAUUUGCUAUAAAUAUGUGUACAAAUUUUUCCUAUUACAUGGGGACUGAAAUUGUAACUUGCAGGGUCAAAAGAAAUCUUAAUUUGCUUAAGUGUCUGCAUUUGUGUACAAAGGAAAAAUAAGAAAUUCUGCUACGUGGGGACCGAAAUUUUAAUUGGCAGGGUCUUCAUCAAAUGUUUGUUAUCAAUACUGAUCCCGGAAUGUGUGGAACACGGUGAAAAGUUUUUCAUAGUUUUGUGAAGAAGGCUGAUUUAUCUGAUUCAUAGAAUUGUUAAAAGGGCAUCGGGCGGGGGACAAAAGAAGUGUUGAAAUUAAAAAGGUUAAUGGUUAAAGCAUGCAGUUUCUGUUGCAUUUGCAUUGGCCUGGGUUUAGGGAACUGUCAGAACUUUCAGAAGAAGAUGGAGUUUCUCAAACCAAAUCUAAGAAGAUAUCUCACAUUCCCCACAUGGUCUCAACGCACAGGUAAGUUCUUCUCUAGCUCUGUUUUUCAUUGUUUGUUUUAUCUAUUUUUAAUUCACAUGUCCACAGUAAUUUCAUUUUAGUUUGAGCUGAGUGAUGACUUUUCAAGGCUCACUUACUCAUUGGGAGAAGCUGCAGGACGCAGGCUGCAAGGAUUUAGAUUUUCAUUCGAAGGCUCACUUGCUCAUUAGCUUGUGCAAUUCCUGUUAAGAGGCACAUCCAUUCGAAGUAAUUCAAUUUUAUAUUUUCAUAGUGUGCGUGUUUCGUUGCGAUUAAAAUGAUUAGUCUCUCGUUCUUAAUGUUUUCUAAUUUUCCGGUUAUUUAGGGCCAUAAACAUUUUCCAAGUACUGCAUGUGGCUGCCAAAGAUUGAUGAUGAUAAUUAUAUCUUGAGGCCUGUGUCUUGCUUUUGAGCACUCGCAGAAACAGAGCUCAAGGGAAAGAAAUUGGAAGAUGCUCUAAAUAUAAUGAAAGUAUAUUUCUACUUGUGGUCAAUUUACAUUUGUUUCUUGUGUCAUUAUGCAGAUUAAUUUAUUCAAAUUUUUCCUAUCUCAUUCAUUUAUUUUAGACAAAGUUUGAAAAAAAAUUAUAAGUAUACAAUUUCCAAUGGAUUUGAUAGAGCGGUCAUCAACCAUAUUGAUGUUAUUGGAGUAGCACUGUUCUUAAGCACUGCUUUGAGGUCUCUCCCUCUCUAUAUACAUUGAUAGACUAUUCUGGUCGUACCAAAUUAUCCUUGUUUUAAUGUUUUGUUUGUUAAACUUUGACUGGGGGAAUCUGUUUAUUUGUCUGAUAUGAUGUUAGUGUGGUUUCUAUUGAAGUGUGUUAGAUCUAUCACCAAUUAUUAUUUCAAUUUUUCUUACCAAAUCGACUUGCAUACUUUCCAAGUCUAGAUCCUUAACAAUAGUGAGACUACGCUACAGAAGUACGAUUUCUCUAGUUUUGUAGUUAAAUACGUUAGAAUGGUUUUAAAUUAACAGAACUUUGAGAUAGUUCUCUGAGGAAAUACAAGUGGUGAAUAUGGUUCCAACUUUUAAGUGCCUUAAUAUUCCCAUUUGUUCAGCCCUGUGCGUAAACAAUUAGUAAUUUCUGUCCAAAUUCUUCUUUAAUGCCUAUAUGUGUUGGACUUUGUCUAUUGUUCAACUUCUCAAAUGGAUUCCAUGCAGGGUUCUUAAUGUCCAAUUAGGAGAAAGAUCAAGGCUUGCUUGGCUAGGAGUGGAAGCGGAUCCACUACUUCAGUCAGAUGACCUUUUGAAGAAGGCUUGCAACAGGCCGUCUCAGGAUGUCAAUGGCUCAACUCAAAAGUCCUCAAAGUGGCUGAUAUCAAAGAAUGCCAUUGUCUCUGGGCUUGGGCUCCUUGGCAUCAAACAAGGGAAUGUCGACUCUGUUGAAGGGGAAGCAAGGUGUUGAUGCGGGAUUCCGGUUCUCCUCGUUCUACGACCAGGAUCUCUGCUCGAUCAACUUCAUCACGACCAGGAGGUCUCCUCGUAAGGCUUCUUCUCCAGAGGUUCCUGCGCACACAGACAAGUCAGAGUACGCCGGUUGUUUUCCCGGCGCAAACCCUCCGACGCUCAAGUCAGAUAUCAAGGUUCGAGGAACGUUUGCCACAGAUCUUAUGGCUUUUUCGUGGUUUUCUCUCUUUUUAAUUUCUUUUCUAAAAAAAUGCCAACCCUUUUACCUCGUUGGCUACCUUUUUAUAGGCUUCCUCUGAAUCCCAGUUUUCUGCUUUUUUCGAGACGGUAUGGGACUCUGACUGCUGCGUUAUGGGCAAACGUGGGAUCUUGCGUGUUACGCCACGGUCCUGGGGAAAGCGUGGCUGUCGUGGUUCUGUGAGAUCUUGCGUGUUACGCCACGGUUCUGGGGGAAGCGCGGCUGUCGUGGUUCUGUGAGAUCUUGCGUGUUACGCCACGGUUCUGGGGGAAGCGCGGCUGUUGUGCCUAGAUUCUCGGGCUGGAGAGCAUGUCUUGCCAACUGUCGUUGACCGGAUCUCCUCGCCUCUCGACCUCUAGCCGGAAUGGCCUUAUGCCUCUUACAGGAAAUUGGCCUCGCGGAUGACGUGCUCGUGGACGAGCAGGAUAUUUCUGCUCCUGUUCCCCCGCGCGCCAGGCUCUUACGGAACACACCGGUUCGCAGAACUAUGCCACCAGAUAUCUGCUCACCAUGCCUGGUCUCGUCGACGUAUUUCUCCCAAACACCGGUCCCCCAGUUUCUGGUGUUGGGCAAUGUAGUGGACCAGCAGUAGAAACUCGAUAGUACUCGCUCGCGUGGGAUUGGAAAAGGCUGCCAAGAGUCAUGUCGCAUUUAAUUGCGGACGAGGUGACGUGGCAGAAAUCCCCCCCCCCCUCCAUUUGAAUUUCAAACCGACGGUUAUGAGACCCUCGGGAUUCGGCGCUGUUAAAUGCUGGCAACCUAAGAGUCCGUCCUCAGUAGGAAAACCAAAUCCUCUCGAACGGCAUAUUCGCCAUUCACUCCGUCUCCGUCUCUGUCUCUCCGGCAAAGAAGUUCCGGCAUAAAGGUCCUCCAUCUCUGAUUUUCACCGACUGAACCAUUACUUCAGGUAUUUCUUCUAUCUCCUUGGUCUCGGAUAGUUGUAGAUAAUUUCUCUUCUCUUCUGUUUGGGGUAGUAGUUGGUGGUGUUGUGGUUAGAGCUUAGGGAAUGUCGAAAGGCAAGGAGAAGGUCAUUGAGGUUGAUGACGACGAGUUGGACUUCCUGCCUAGUCUGCUCACCGAUCCUGCUUUUGACCCCGGGAUCCCUUUAGAGCCCAUUAGGUCUAGUGUCGGGACUAGUGCUAGGAGGAUGUCUCCCCAAACAACCUCUACGAGCGGAAGUAAUGGUGAGGAGAGAUCUUCUGGCUCCGAGGAUACUUUGAGUGAGGAUGGCGAAGGUGAUUCUGGUGAGGUGUCUCCAUCUGGAACGUCACGACCAGAAGGACGGGGUACAGUAGGGGGUAGAGCCUUGUUGCGUGAUUAUGCCAUCGACUAUAUGACGUGCACGACCACGUUUGACGAGCUCGAUGACCUCCGUCUUAGGUACAGCAUUCCUGGUGAAAUACUUCUCAAGGUCCCAGGCAAGAAGGAUACCCCUAGCUGGCCUCCUAGGGGAUAUGUUACCCUGUAUCUGGAUAGCUUUAAGUAUGGGCUUAGGUGUCCCUUGCAACCUUACUUUGCCCGGAUACUUAGCGGGUUGAAUCUAUCUCCUGGUCAGUUGAACCCAAACGGUUGGAGAGUGCUCUCUGGUCUGUUCAUACUGUGGGACAGAUGUUGCCAAAGCGAGCCCACGGUCGACGAGGUGAUGCACCUGUACCAGCUGAAAAGCAGCCCAAAAGAUGCCGGCUGGUAUUACUUCCAAUCAAGUACCAAGACCAGGAAACCCAUAACCGAUCUCCCUACUGGUGGUGGUGGGAAUUGGAAGAGGAAGUUCUUCUUCGCAGGGGGUCCCUGGGGUCAAGUUGCACGGGUUGAUGGGGAAGACUUCCGCGUCCCACCCCGUUUCGUGGUCCCAGGUUGCCUGCUCGUAUUAGAUGUCUUGUCUCCCUUGUCGUUUGCGCUUUACUGGUUUGUCUCUAAUCAAAUGUUUGUUUGUGUUGCAGGUUCUUGGGGUGUCCACUUCCCGCUUGAACCUGACCAGCUCAAACGGGUCGAGGCUGUACUAGCCAAUUCCUGCUCAAGCCGAGAACUGUUAACUACAUACAACUUGCUCGAGUCUCGCUUGAUACUUCCUGGCCAUAGGAUGGAGGACGCUGUGAUUGGGGCUCUGACCCGAAAACGUUCUUGACCUCCAACCACGAAAAGGGACCAGAGUAAGGAUGCCCCUGCUGCGAAGCGGGCCAACAUCGUGCAGCAGGUCCCAUCCUUGAAGAUUUUACCUCCUGCUCCUGUAAAAGUCGGGGAAGCUAGUGGAGCAGCCACAGAUCCUGCUUCCUCUUCUCCUCCUGUCGGGCCUCGAUCUCGCUUACCUGACAGCCGAGCAGAACACCUGGUCCCCUACCUCAAUGAGUUAUCUAAACUCGUGAGCAAGAAGGACCUGGAGGACUUUGACGGCUGCACCUUGGGUGAGCUGGUGGGGGCCAUGCAGCAUAGCGCUUUCCACCUCAGCUGCAUGACCACCUAUUACAAGGCUAAGAUUGGCCGCUACGACCGGAAGAUGAAGGAGGAUAUUCAAUCGGCGACGACCAGAGCUGACGUUGCCGAGCAGAAAGCAGGGGAGCUGAAUCUCGAGAAUCUGAAGCUGAUAGAGCAAGAAUCACUUGCUCAAGCAAAAGCCAUUACCCUCGAGGAGGAGCUUACCAAGGUCAAGGAGGAUCUGCAAAGGCAGAAGGCUAUGUAUGAGGCUCAGCUCGAAUCUCUCCACGACUCCCACCGAGCUCAGGUCGAGAAUUUGGAGAGGGAGGCCGACAACCAGUACGACCAGGGACUUCGGCAUUCCUAUCGUUGCAUCAUGGCCGUCCUCGGGAAGCAACACCCUGAUCUGAAGAUGGAUGACCUUGCAGCUGGUGUUGCUCAACAUACGGACGAGGAGGCGGCCAAGGAAGAUGCCGAAAGGGUAGAGCCGAUUGUGAUUGAGGAGGAAAACUAUCCUCCUCGUGCAGUCCCUGCUGAUGUUGGCGAGGCGAGCACCCCCCCUGACGCAACUGGUGAUACCCCUCCUGCACCUGAGGAGGUCCAACCAACCGAUGCUGCUGGGCUUACUGAUCCACCAUCUUCUUGAUAUAUUUCUUAUAUUGUAAUGAACAAUGUUUAUGGAGAUUAUCCCCUCUGUUAAUUAUUAACAAAUUAAUAAAAAUGUUUUUUGAUUACUUUCUUGUGUUGUAAUUAUGAAUUAAUUUUCGUUUGAGAAUCUGCUCGUCUUUGUCUAGACGAGCAGGUUCCGGCUUGGCUCAUGGUUUUGUGCCACAUGCCUUUGAAGAUUCUUCAAUGCCUGGGUUUCGGCUCGCAUUCGCGCGGUCAAGCAGAUCCUGGUACGCUUGACUUCUAUCUCGCUAUAAAACAGGCUUUGAGACUUGGUGAGCCUUUACAUGCCUUGGGAAUUUCUUCGAAUGCUUUGGAGUCUGCUCGCCUUCUCGUGGUCGAGCAGAUCCUGGCAUGCGUGGCUUCUGUCUCGCCAUAAGACAGGCUUUGAGACUUGACGGGCCUUUGCAUGCCUUGGAUAAUUUCUUCAACGCUUGGGAUUCUGCUUGGCUUCUCGUGGCCAAGCAGAUCCUGGCAUGCUUGGCUUCUGUCUCGCCAUAAGACAGGCUUUGAGACUUUGUCGAGCCUUUGCAUGCCUUGGAUAAUUUCUUCAAAGCUUGGGAUUCUGCUAGCCUUCUCGUGGCCGAACAGAUCCUGGCAUGCUUGGCUUCUGUCUCGCCAUAAGACAGGCUUUGAGACUUUGUUGAGCCUUUGCAUGCCUUGGAUUCUUCGAGGAUUGGGAUUCUGCUCGCCUUCUCGUGGCCGAGCAGAUCCUGGCAUGCUUGGCUUCUGUCUCGCCAUAAGACAGGCUUUGAGACUUUGUUGAGCCUUUGCAUGCCUUUGAUUCUUCGAGGAUUGGGAUUCUGCUCGCCUUCUCGUGGCCGAGCAGAUCCUGGCAUGCUUGGCUUCUGUCUCGCCAUAAGAAAGGCUUUGAGACUUUGUUGAGCCUUUGCAUGCCUUUGAUUCUUCGAGGAUUGGGAUUCUGCUCGCCUUCUCGUGGCCGAGCAGAUCCUGGCAUGCUUGGCUUCUGUCUCGCCAUAAGACAGGCUUUGAGACUUGACGGGCCUUUGCAUGCCUUGGAUAAUUUCUUCAAAGCUUGGGAUUCUGCUAGCCUUCUCGUGGCCGAGCAGAUCCUGGCAUGCUUGGCUUCUGUCUCGCCAUAAGACAGGCUUUGAGACUUUGUCGAGCCUUUGCAUGCCUUGGAUAAUUUCUUCAAAGCUUGGGAUUCUGCUAGCCUUCUCGUGGCCGAACAGAUCCUGGCAUGCUUGGCUUCUGUCUCACCAUAAGACAGGCUUUGAGACAUUGUUGAGCCUUUGCAUGCCUUGGAUUCUUCGAGGAUUGGGAUUCUGCUCGCCUUCUCGUGGCCGAGCAGAUCCUGGCAUGCUUGGCUUCUGUCUCGCCAUAAGACAGGCUUUGAGACUUUGUUGAGCCUUUGCAUGCCUUUGAUUCUUCGAGGAUUGGGAUUCUGCUCGCCUUCUCGUGGCCGAGUAGAUCCUGGCAUGCUUGGCUUCUGUCUCGCCAUAAGACAGGCUUUGAGACUUUGUUGAGCCUUUGCAUGCCUUUGAUUCUUCGAGGAUUGGGAUUCUGCUCGCCUUCUCGUGGCCGAGCAGAUCCUGGCAUGCUUGGCUUCUGUCUCGCCAUAAGACAGGCUUUGAGACUUGACGGGCCUUUGCAUGCCUUGGAUAAUUUCUUCAAAGCUUGGGAUUCUGCUAGCCUUCUCGUGGCCGAGCAGAUCCUGGCAUGCUUGGCUUCUGUCUCGCCAUAAGACAGGCUUUGAGACUUUGUUGAGCCUUUGCAUGCCUUGGAUUCUUCGAGGAUUGGGAUUCUGCUCGCCUUCUCGUGGCCGAGCAGAUCCUGGCAUGCUUGGCUUCUGUCUCGCCAUAAGACAGGCUUUGAGACUUUGUUGAGCCUUUGCAUGCCUUUGAUUCUUCGAGGAUUGGGAUUCUGCUCGCCUUCUCGUGGCCGAGCAGAUCCUGGCAUGCUUGGCUUCUGUCCCGCCAUAAAACAGGCUUUGAGACUUGACGGGCCUUUGCAUGCCUUGGAUAAUUUCUUCAACGCUUGGGAUUCUGCUUGGCUUCUCGUGGCCGAGCAGAUCCUGGCAUGCUUGGCUUCUGUCUCGCCAUAAGACAGGCUUUGAGACUUUGUCGAGCCUUUGCAUGCCUUUGGGAACUUUCUCGGUCUCAAGCGAAAGAAAUUCUUCGACGUUCCAUUAAUGGCAGGAUUCGACUUACAUGAAAUUGUUUGGACAUAAAACGUGAAAGAUAAAUGAUAAUGAACAUGAGCAAAAAUAGCUUUCAAAUGUGAACAAGUCUUACUGGAAGUAUUUUCGGAGGUGUGCUGCGUUCCAUGGGCGUUUCACCUCGUGGCCGUCCGUGCGAACCAGCUUGUAAGCUCCGGGUCCCGCUAUCUGCUUGACUCUAUAUGGCCCUUCCCAAUUCGGUCCCAGUACUCCUUGAGUCGAAUCUUUGGUGCUCUGAUUCACUCUUCUCAGUACCCAGUCUCCGAAUUGCCGUAUGUUCACCUUCUGGUUAUAGUACCGAGCAACCCUCUGUUGGUAAAUGACUGAUCGCUCGGCUGCUUGCUCCCUCCUUUCCGUUAGCAGAUCAAGAUUCAAACAUAUCUGCUCGUCGUUCUCCUGCUCAUUGAAAUGAUUUGUCCGGUGUGUGGUCGUUCCUAUCUCAGCCGGCACGACCGCUUCAUGUCCGAAAGCCAAAGCGAACGGUGUCUCCCCAGUUGCGGUUUUGUGGGUUGUUCUGUAUGCCCAUAGCACACAUGGCAGCUCGUCAACCCACGCACCCUUUUUUGCUCCAAGCCUGGUUUUCAGAAGCCUCUUGAUGGUCUUGUUGGCUGCUUCUACUUGUCCAUUUGAUUGAGGGUGAGCAGGCGAGCAAUACUUCAGCUCUAUCCCGAGGUUCUGGCAGAAAUCCCUGAAGCUGUGAUUAUCGAACUGCCUGCCAUUAUCCGUUACCAAGGCAUAAGGGAUCCCGUAUCGACAGACCAGGUUUCUCCACACGAAGUCUGUUGUUUUCUUCUCUGUGAUCCUGCUAAGGGCUUCUACCUCAAUCCACUUCGUGAAGUAAUCUAUAGCAACUAUUGCAUGUGUUGCUGCUCCUCGUGCCUUUGGCAAUGGGCCGAUCAGAUCAAUUCCCCAUUGAGCAAAUGGCCAGGGGGAGGUCAUGGAGGUGAGUUUCUCUGGUGGUUGGUUAGAGAAAUUUGCAAAACUCUGGCAGCUUACACAACUCCUGGUCUUCUCUUGCGCAUCCUGGUGCAUUGUCGGCCAGAAAUAUCCCUGCCUUAGAACCUUGUGGGCCAGGGACCUCCCGCCAGAAUGAUUUCCGCAGAUUCCUUCAUGUACUUCUCUCAGUACGUAAUCCGCGUCGUCCUCAUCCAAACACCGAAGGAACGGUAGUGUAUAUCCUCGCCGAUACAGUACCCCAUCAAUCAUCGUGUAUCUCGAGGCCUGGGCUCUAAUCUUGCGAGCUCGCAGCUUAUCUGGUGGUAAUACCCCGUCUCUAAGGUACGAAACUAUCGGGUCCCUCCACGAGCAUUUUUGUUCUAUCCGCAACACCCCCAAAUUCUGAUCGAUACUUGGGCUGGACUUCACCUCCAGAGGGACCGACUUUGGCAUUUUUGGGUCGGCUACUGCUGCCAUCCUAGCCAAAAUGUCUGCUCGACUAUUCUGCUCCCUGGGGAUUUGUAUCACCUCCACUGCUUCGAACUUCCCCAUCAUCUGCCUGACUAUCUUCAGGUACUGCUCCAUCUUUUCCUCUCUUGGUUGGAAUCUUUCACUGACAUGAUUCGCAACCAGCUGGGAAUCAGUUCUGAUCUUACCUCUGUCUGCUUUCACGGCCUUAGCCAAUUCCAGACCUGCUAUCAAGGCUUCAUACUCUGCCUGGUUAUUCGUGGCUGCAAAUUCCAACUUUACAGCAUAAGAGAUCUCCUCCCCCUCUGGGCCUUCCAAGACAAUCCCUGCUCCUGAACCCCGCUCCCCUGAUGACCUGUCCACAGACAUCUGCCAUACUUGAGUUUCGUCAUUGCUUAUAACUGCAUCUUGUUGAUCUAAGCAUACUUCGGGCUCUGUGAAUUCAGCUACGAAAUCGGCCAUUGCCUGGGCUUUUAUCGCUGCGCGAGGUUUAUAGUCUAUGUCGAACUCGCUCAGCUCUACAGCCCACUUGACGAGCCGACCAGAAGCAUCUGGCUUGUGCAGAGUUUGACGCAAUGGCUGGUUUGUUAUUACCGAGACCGAGAAUGCUUGAAAAUAUGGCCUCAACUUCCGAGCAGCAACCACAAGGGCAAGUGCCCAUUUCUCCAACGGUGGGUAUCUGGUCUCAGUGUCGAGCAGGGCCUUGCUAGUGUAGUAUAUCGGAUGCUGAACUCCUUCUUCCUCUCUCACCAGAACAGAACUGGUGGCCCGAUCCGAUACCGCCAAAUACAGAUACAACUUGUCCCCAUCCCUCGGUGUGGACAGCAGCGGAGCUUGCUGCAAGUAUUGCUUCAAGUUCCGGAAGGCUUCCUCGCAUUCCGGGGUCCAUUCUGUUUUCUUUCCCCUCCUUAUCACUUGAAAGAAUGGCUGACACUUAUCUGUAGCCUUGGAUAUGAAUCUGCUCAACGCCGCCAACCUCCCCGUGAGGCUCUGCAUCUCCUUCAGGUUACGAGGAGACGUCAUUUACACAAUCGCCUGGAUUUUCUCGGGAUUUGCUUCAAUCCCCCUAUGGCUCACCAUGAAUCCAAGGAAUUUCCCUGACUCGACCCCAAAAGCACACUUUUCCGGGUUGAGCUUCAUCUUAUACUUCCUCAAAAGCUCGAAUGUCUCCUCGAGGUGUCUGACAUGUUCCUCCGGGAUUUUGGACUUGGUGAUCAUGUCAUCCACGUACACCUCCAUGGUUUUCCCAAUCAACGGCUUAAAGACUUUGUUCACCAACCUUUGAUAGGUGGCCCCAGCAUUUUUGAGACCGAAUGGCAUUACCCUGUAACAGAACAAACCUUGGUUAGUGAUGAAAGCCGUGCUCUCCUCAUCCUGCUCGUACAUGGGGAUCUGGUUGUAUCCCGAGAACGCGUCCAUGAAGCUAAGCAGACCAUGUCCAGCCGUUGAAUCCACUAACUGAUCGAUCUUUGGUAAAGGGAAGCUGUCUUUUGGGCACGCCUUAUUGAGGUCUGUGAAAUCCACACACAUCCUCCACUUGCCAUUCGCCUUCUUUACCAACACCACAUUCGAUAUCCACUCGGGAUAAUUGACUUCCCGAAUGAAUCCUGCUCUCAAGAGCUUUUCUACCUCGCCAUUUAUAGCCUCAUACCUCUCCUGGUUGAAGCACCUCCUCUUUUGCCUUACUGCCCGAGCACCUUUCUUUAUUGCCAGCUUAUGACAUGCUACCUCAGGGUCAAUCCCCGGCAUGUCUUCAUGUGUCCAAGCAAACACAUCAGCAUGAGCCUGUAAGCAUUUCACCAACUCCUGCUUUUGCUCUCUCUUAAGUCUCGACCCGAUUCUGAUCGUCUUUCCCGGGUUCUCUGGUCCUAGGCUUACUGUUUCCAGAUCCUCUACAGGUUCUUGUCUGCCCUUCUUGUUUUCCACUCGGGUAUCGAGGGAUGUUAUCUGCAUUGCUUCCCUUGCUGCCGAGGAGUAGCAGCUUCUUGCGAUCCUCUGGUCUCCUCGUACCACUCCUACUACCCCAUUCACCCGGUACUUCAGAGCCAGAUAAUGGUUGGACAACACCGCUUUGCUCAUCCGUAAAAAUGGCCGACCUAGGAUCAUCUGGUAAGGACCUUCCUCAUCCACUACGACAAAGUCCAGUAUCAUUGUUCUUUCUGUCGGGGAGCUCCCAAUUGUGAUAGGCAGCUCGACCACGCCCAGAGGGACCAGCUUCCCUCCUCCGAACCCCUUCAAGGAGGUAUUCCUGUAUUCCAACUUCCGGUUGGCUAUUCCCAUCUCUUCCAGGGUUGACUUAAAUAACACAUCAACUGAGCUCCCUGUAUCAAUCAGGAUCCGGUCAAACUUCUUGCUAGCGACAGUAGCCUUGAUGACUAAAGCAUCCUCGUGGGGGUAUAGAAUCCCUUCCUCAUCCUCAUCCGUCCACAUGAUUGGCACUUGCCUGACCCUUGCUCGUUUGGCUGCUGGGGUGUUGAAGAGUACCUCUUUACUGGUCAUGGCGUACCUAGCAUAAUUUUUUCUCGAUCUGUUGGAAUCUCCGGCCAAUGUUGGGCCCCCAGCUAUCACCCUUACUGCGGGCUGCUCGCGCCUCAAGUUUCUACCACUCUGCUCCCCUUCACCUGUUGUGGCCACCAUCGGGAAAGUCCCAUCCAUAAACUCGUCCAGGUACCGAUUUCUCACCAAAUCUUCGACCUGGGUCUUGAGAUCUCUACACUCUGCUGUGGUAUGGCCAUGGGUGCCAUGGAACUUACAAUAACGUCCUCUAUCCCUCCUGUUGGGUAGCUUUGUUAUUGGUGUAGGGAGGUGCAGCAGCCCUCGAUCCUUUAUGGCCUCGUACACCUCAUCCAGGGACAUCUUCAAGGAAGUGUACCGCCCAUAGUCCGGGUUCUGGUCGAUCAGGCGCACUGCUCUUUCUCUGUUUGCCCCGCUCUGAGUUGGGGGCAGUGGGAGUACUUCUGGUCCGCUCGCUCUGCUACCGUGGGGAUGUUGAUGAAGACCACCAGAUGCCGACUCAUGCCUUCUCCAAGGCUCCCUAGCUGGGGAACGAGGAGGUUGCGCCCUGCUGCGCUGAUACUGUGGUGGCCUCUGAUGAGGCUGGUAUGCAGUUACCCGACCUCCUGCUCCACUACCGGAGGCCUGGUGGUCCCUCCUCCUGAUCGGCCCAUUCCCCGGUAAUGCUUUCUUCUCUUUCCUCCCCAACCCUUCUAACUGGUCUGUCUUAAUCCGUGCAGCCUUCUCCUCUUCAAUCUCGAUGUCUCUCUUAGCCUGUUCGUAUGCGGCUGCAUACGUUAUAAUAGCUGGGCUUCUUAAAUUGUACCACAGCCUUCCUAUCUUCACCCCUUCUUUCAAUCCCCUUAACGCCUGAGGGUGGUUGAAGGCUCCCAAGUCGAGGACAGCCCGAUGAAACCUCUUGAUGAAUUCCCGAAGGGUUUCUUGCUCCCCCUGUUUCAUGCUUUUCAGCUCCAUCAUGUCAUCUUCCGGUGCCAUUGCCCCACAAAACUGCUCCGCGAAUUCCUGACACAUCUGCUCGAAGGUUUUAAUGCUGCCCCGAGGAAGUUUUCUGUACCAUUCUCGUGCACGUCCCUCAAGGGAUAGUGGGAACACCCUGCACCUUUGGGAUUGGGAUAAUCCUUGUACCCCAGUUAUGUCGUUGAAGCGCUCUAUGUGCACCAGCGGAUCUGUUCUUCCUGAGUAUCUGAGGUCUGGGAGGCGGAAAUCUCUCGGAAUAACUGCCCUCAUGAUCUCUGCUGCGAGCGGUGAUUCUCCGUCCAGCAUUAUCCUCCAACCAGGGGCUCUGUUCCUUCCUUGCAUGUCGUCAAUUAUCUGUGCUAGUCUGCGCACUUCCUCCUCCAGCUGCACUGCACGACCAGGGUCACGUGCUGCAACUUGAUCCCGUUCUUGCUCUACAUCAUGCAAGUGUUGCCUCAACUCUGUUUCCUCUGCAUUCACCACCCCGUCGUCCUCGUCACCAGUCUGUCUUACCGGGGACUGCUCUCUUUCUCUAUGAAAUUCUCCCCGCAGAGGUACGUUACCUCUCUCACCACCAAAUCUCCCGGUGGUUUGACUUCUCCCCGCACUAUCGGGACCUGGUGCCACUCCACCGCCUCUCACCCUUCCCUCUUGGGUUACCCUUCGCUCGCUCCGCAGCUCAUGCAGGAUGGUUGUCAAGGUCUCCAUCUGCUUUUCCAUCCGUUCCAUCCGGUCGAACAUGACUUUUUCCCGUGCUUCACUGACUAUCUCCCUCAGCGUCACGGAAUCGUUAAGCCUCCUAUCACCCCCUUGUGCACUACUUCCUCCUGUCUCCAUCGCUUUUUACUUGCUUCGCCCCUCUUCUUGCUAUCAACAGAAGCUUUUUGCUUUCUCCCCACAGACGGCGCCAAAAUGUUGAUGCAGGAUUCCGGUUCUCCUCGUUCUACGACCAGGAUCUCUGCUCGAUCAACUUCAUCACGACCAGGAGGUCUCCUCGUAAGGCUUCUUCUCCAGAGGUUCCUGCGCACACAGACAAGUCAGAGUACGCCGGUUGUUUUCCCGGCGCAAACCCUUCGACGCUCAAGUCAGAUAUCAAGAUUCGGGGAACGUUUGCCACAGAUCUUAUGGCUUUUUCGUGGUUUUCUCUCUUUUUAAUUUCUUUUCUAAAAAAAUGCCAACCCUUUUACCUCGUUGGCUACCUUUUUAUAGGCUUCCUCUGAAUCCCAGUUUUCCGCUUUUUUCGAGACGGUAUGGGACUCUGACUGCUGCGUUAUGGGCAAACGUGGGAUCUUGCGUGUUACGCCACGGUCCUGGGGAAAGCGUGGCUGUCGUGGUUCUGUGAGAUCUUGCGUGUUACGCUACGGUUCUGGGGGAAGCGCGGCUGUCGUGGUUCUGUGAGAUCUUGCGUGUUACGCCACGGUUCUGGGGGAAGCGCGGCUAUUGUGCCUAGAUUCUCGGGCUGGAGAGCAUGUCUUGCCAACUGUCGUUGACCGGAUCUCCUCGCCUCUCGACCUCUAGCCGGAAUGGCCUUAUGCCUCUUACAGGAAAUUGGCCUCGCGGAUGACGUGCUCGUGGACGAGCAGGAUAUUUCUGCUCCUGUUCCCCCGCGCGCCAGGCUCUUACGGAACACACCGGUUCGCAGAACUAUGCCACCAGAUAUCUGCUCACCAUGCCUGGUCUCGUCGACGUAUUUCUCCCAAACACAAGGGCUCCUAAAGUUCGAAGAAAGAGAAUAGUCCGGAAGAAGGUGAUCGCAUAAAUUUCUUGGGAGUUAAUCCUAGUCAAUAGCCCAAUUUUGCUGCCUGUCGAAGAGAUACAACACGGAAGUCCUCAUCAAACUCUUUUGAGACAUCUAAGAACUAGUAGGGAGGUGGUGGUAUUUCACCGUGUUUCCUGGCAAGUAUAGUUCACUGAUAGAGGGAUUCUUUUCUUGAUGUCUAAAUACUAUAUGUGAUACAACGUCGUAUAUUCCAAUUUUUCUCCAGUUAAAUUAUAGUAAGUUAGAAAAGUUAAUUUUGUUCUAGCGAUGAAUUGUUUUCUUAAUAAUAAUAAUGGCCUGUUGCUUUGGAAUCUUAUUCACUCUCUGUAACCCAAUUAAAUUGUGCAAAUUCUACUGCAGAUUUGUCAAACAGAGUGUCUCUGUGAUUGUUUUGAUACACCUUUUAAUUACUAGAUUGUACUCGAGUUCCUAUUUAUUACUACUGUGUUGUAGUUAUAGUUAUUGUGAAAAAGGAACUGAAACUAUAAUAUAAAUGUUGAUCUUCUGUUGUAUAUAUGAUUUUUAAAUAAUAAUUUUGACAAAAUUAAUAAAUGUAUCAUUGAUUUUUUUAUACUCCCAACUUAAUUUUUAAGUCACCAUAAUAAAUAUUUAUUAAAUACUUUGAUACUGUAACUUUAAAACUAUGCUCCGCGGCACUCUUAUCUAAUUUUAAUUGUACUUUAUAGCUCGAUUAUAGAAAUCCUUACUCGAUGUACUUUACCAUACAAGAUGUUAGUUUACUUAAUCUUACUCGACUUUAAUUGCAUAUUUUAUAACGAAAUUUUUGUCAAAAAAUUGGUCCCGAUUCCAGCAAAACAGUAACUUCCAUUCAAAAGGGUUCCACGUUGAGUGCAUGUAAUCUGCACCAAGUUUGAGAAGAAAUAACCAAAAAAAAAAAGAAACCCGCGUCCAAAGAGGCCGUCAUUGAAUUCAAAAAUUAUGAUCCAAAAUCCAAAAAUAGAAGAAGAAUUGGAAACAUAGUCGGAGUUUUAAAUUGAUAUGAGAAAAGAAUUUAUCAUUUUUUUAACAAAAUUUAAGCUAAGACGAAAAAAUAUGCCUAAAACACCCCUCACAUUAUCCCAAACUUUCGAAACUCCCCCAUUCCUCUGACCAUCAUCUCUCCCAAAUCAAUCUUCCCCCAAAACCAGCCAUGGCUUCAAAUUCAAUCAGCUUAACACUCCAAUAUUGCUUGUAAGCCACCCACAAGUCCUCAACUUCAUAUGGACUCAAGACCAAACCCUAGCUUCCUUCCCACACAUCCUCAUUCACUCCAUCAUUACUUACCUCUCCCUCACAUCCAUCCUUUACCACACAUCAACAUCAACAUCACCAUCACCAUCAUCAUCACCUCUCAUUGGACCCCACAUCCUCAGACCCAUCACAGCCAUCCAUAACAUUUUUCAUUUUGAUGCUGUAUGAUCAUUUUACGGGAUUUGGUUUCCCUGGGUUUUGGGGUUGGUGCUUCAAUACUGUGUUUAAUGCUUCCCUUUUGGCCCUUUUUGUUAAUUUUCAUUACAAGAGCUAUGCUAAGAAAAAGAAGCAGGGAUGAUCAAAACAACUAGUAGUUAUCCUUGUUUUGUGUUUUCUUUUUUAAUUUAUCUCUAUCAUUGCCAUUGACAGAGAUGUUUCCAGUUGCCUAAACUUUGUUUUUUCAAUUUUGGUACUACGUGUAAUUUGUCACCACAUUUGUUUAGUCUCUCCCUUUUAAAUUCCCUCUCGCACACAAAAAAUUCGGAUUUGUAUUUUGUAGACUAAUAUUUUUCAUUUUGUUAAUGAAUUAACUAUUAUUAUCUACAUUAAUGUGAUGGAACACAAGCCACAUCAACUAGAAUUAGAUUAUGAAUUUUUGCAGCCCCAGCAAAAAACAUUUAUGAAAGAUGUUUAGGUAAGGAUUAUUUUGGUAUUCUAAAGAGUAGAAUAAAAAUUAAUGUUCAAAAUAUUAGAACAUAUAUAUUCCCAGCCUUAAUAAAAUUUUGCGACAUGAAAUGUACAAAGUUAGAAAUAUAGAAUGCAUAUUAGUACAUGUCAAUAACAAGACCAAUUAGAUUAUGGCAUUACUUUAUUUUAUUUAUUUAUUUUUUUUAUUCUUUUGAAACAAGAUCAAUUAAUUAGAUCAUGCUAGAAGUUAAAUUGUUUUUUUUCAAAUGAAAAAGGAGCAGUCAUACAAAGUUUGAAUAUAAAAUUUAUAAUCUAAAAUUAAUGAUGUGACAAUUAACAUGUUAUUAACCUAUCUAAUAGAGUAGGAAGUCCCAAAUACAUCAUAUUCUGCUCCCGAAAUCAAUUCCACCUAGAAUACUUCUUUCUAUUGAAAUUAAUGAUGAUUUGUUUGUUUGCAUCAUGAAAGUCAAAAAUAAUUUUGUGAGUAAUUUGAUUCUUUACGGUACAAAAAAUAAAUUCGGAAAGUACUAAUUUCUGUCAUACUUUUCGGGCUAAAAAAUAAAUGUAAGUCUAUCAUAUUUAUUAUUUAAUGGUUUUAUAUCAAUCAUCUGUAUGUAUUUUUCUUGGGAGAAGCUCAAUUAAUUUCUCUCAUACUUUUUGAUCUGAUCCAAUUCUAGCCUAAUCAACCUGAAACCCAUUCAAGUUGAUAUGAACACAAAUUUGCCCACUCCGGAGAUUGUGACCCUACAAACUUUGAAAAAUUUUGAGGUUUCGAAGUAAAACAUUAAAAAUUAGAUAUAAAAAGACUGAUUUGACCCCUAAGCACUUGAUGUAUAAACUUUAUACAUAUAAUAGAAAUUUAAUUUAUAUUUUGUAAAAUAAAAUCAAGUAAACUCGAUUUUUUUUUGUUAAUUAUUUUUUCAUUAUGACAAAAUGAAAAAUAGCCUUUUAUUAAAAUUUUUAUAAAUAAUCGGGCCUAAGUCUUUGAUUUUUAUUUUGUUAAUUAUUUUUUAGUUUUACUUGCAACAGUAAGUUCAAUUAUGAAUCAAAGUCGGCAAAUCAAAAUCGCUGCAGCCUGUAGCCACAAGCAAAAUUCUCAAAUUUCGAAAUUCCUAACGACUACAUAAUAACUAUAAAUAGAAUAACAGUCUAAAAUUAAUCCCCAACUAACAUUUUAAGUGAAGUUGGGCCUUCCGAAGAUUUACCCCAUAUGGAACAAAAUAUUAGUUUUGCUACUAAAAUUGCGAACUACGUUUUUCUUUGUAUUUUCCGCUCAAGGAUGAAGAAAUUUCACUCAACUGUUGUGCUGAAUAUCUUGCGAACAUAUGACAAUUUAAGACCCGUUUGGGGCAGCUGCGCGGUGGUCCUUAAUCUUUGGCUGAGACUUGUUUAAAAUAAAAAAUGACACUUUAAAGCAAUAGGAGAGUUUUAUAUAUCAAAAUGGUAAACGGAUGGAGAAAACUCAAAAUAAUUUUUUUAACUUUUUAUCUAUUUUGACAUUCGAAUUUUAAACUCGAGAAGUCAAGCAAUGAAUAAACCUUUUUGAGGGGCUAAUUAAAUUCUUAGUAAUUUCACAUAAUUUUAUUUCAUCAGAACAGUUUUAUCAAAAGCAAUUUUAUAAAUCGUUGUUGAAAGAUUUAUUCCUUAAUUAUCUUUCACAUAUUUUUUUGGUAAUAUGAGGUAAGUCAUAGACCAUAGUAUGAUAUUUAUUAAAUAUCAAAAUUAAUAUGAUAUUUAUUAAAUAUCAAAAUUAAUUAGACAUGUCUUUAUAAUAAGACAUCAUUUAUUUUGAAAUUGUUCCAGCACUAAGAUUAUUCUAGAUCAAAUUAAUCUAUUAUAUAUAACUUCAGAAGAUUUCUCGGUGGAUUGCUUUAAGGUUUUACAGGAGCUGAUGCUGAGUAGUCUGAAUAAUUAUUAUGAAUCAUAGAAACGGGGCAGAUGCUGUUAAAUUAUUGAGGUGGUGGAGCAGAUGCUCAGUAGUCUGAAUAAUAAUGAUGAAUCGGAAAAAUAGGGCAGAUGCUGUACAAUUAUUGAGGUGGUGGAGCAGAUGCUCAGUAGUUUGAAUAAUUAUUAUGAAUCGGACAAACAGGGCAGAUGCUGUACAAUUAUUGACGUGGUUGAACAGAAAGCUAGCCCCAGACGGUAACUCCUGUGGGGACUCCUUUAAUUUUGCAUCACAAAAGAACGUUCACACUGACAUUGACUCACGGGUAAAAAUUAAAUAUCUCAUAUGGUAUAAGAAGAAUGCAAACAUGCUUGAAUCAACAUUCUCACAGAAUACAUAAAACCUACUUUCCUCUGAGCAUUUUAUCAAGAAAAGCAAUUGCUGCAUUUACCAUUUGAUCUAAUAUCAGAAUGGUUGAUGCGAUCGUUUCCGCUCUCCUGGAGCAGCUGAUCUCUGUUGCGGCUGAUGAAGUGAAACAGCAGGUGAGGCUUGUGACUGGUGUCCGAGAAGAGGUGAAAAAGCUUACCAGCAAUCUUCGAGCCAUUCGAGCUGUGCUGGAAGAUGCAGAGAAAAGGCAAAUGCAGCGCAACAAUGCUGUUACUUUUUGGCUGGAUCAGCUCAAAGACGCAUCUUACGACAUGGAAGACGUGUUGGAGGAGUGGACCACUGCAAGGCUCACAUUGCAGAUUGAGGGCGUUGAUGAUGACACUGCUCUUGCUCUUGCUCCUCAUAAGAAGAAGGUACGCUCCUUCUUUUGUGCUGCAUCAAACUGCUUUGGUAGUUUCAAACAACUUAGUCUUCGUCAUGACAUUGCCGUCAAGAUUAGGGAAAUCAAUGGAAAGCUAGAUGAUAUUGCCUCCCAAAAAGAUACGUUUAAAUUUGUUGAGAAUGUGAGCAACAAUGUUAGGGAACCAGAGCUAGUGGGAACCACCUCCUUCAUUGAUGAGGGAAAGGUUUGUGGUAGAGUUGAUGAGAAAAAUGAGCUCUUAAGCAAAUUGUUGUGUGAAAGUAGUGAACAACAAGAAGGCCUUCAUGUCAUCUCACUAGUUGGGUUAGGGGGUAUAGGUAAAACCACUCUUGCACAACUGGCCUAUAAUAAUGAUGAGGUGAAAAGAAAUUUUGAAAAAGUUAUAUGGGUGUGUGUAUCAGACACUUUUGAGGAGAUUAGGGUUGCGAAAGCAAUCAUUGGAGGUCUAGGUGAGUCAACUUCUAGUUUAAGUGAAUUCCAAUCUCUUAUGAGCCAUAUCCAUCGAUCAAUUGAAGGAAAAAAGUUUUUUCUUGUUUUAGAUGAUGUAUGGGAUGGGAAUUACAAUAAAUGGGAACCAUUCUUCCUUUGUCUAAAGAAUGGUCACCAUAGAAGUAAAAUUUUAGUUACCACACGUAAUGAGUCAGUUGCACGUAUGAUGAGAUCAACAAAUAUUAUCUCCAUUAAGCAAUUGGCUGAAGAGGAAUGCUGGUCAUUGUUCGAGCAGUUAGCAUUUUUCAGUCGUUCUCUUGAGGAUCGUGAAAAAUUAGAACCAAUGGGGCGAAAAAUUGCACACAAGUGCAAAGGCUUGCCUCUUGCUGCAAAGGUAAUAGGGAAUCUUUUGUGCUCUAAAAGUACAGAAAAAGAGUGGCAAAGUAUUUUAGAGAGUGAAAUGUGGAAAGUAGAAGAGAUUGGGCAAGGUCUUUUGGCUCCUUUGUUGUUGAGUUAUAACGAUUUACCCUCCAAUUCUGUGGUAAAACGGUGUUUCUCAUAUUGUGCUGUCUUUCCAAAAGACUACAAUAUGGAUAAAGAGGAAUUGAUUAAUCUGUGGAUGGCUCAAGGUUACCUUAAUGCAGAAGAAGACGAAGAGAUGGAGAUGAUUGGGGAAAAGUGUUUCAACAUUUUAGCAGCACGCUCUUUCUUUCAAGAAUUUCAGAAAAAUGACGAUGAUGAUAUUCUGAGGUGUAAGAUGCAUGACAUAGUACAUGAUUUUGCCCAAUUUAUAAGUAGAAAAGAAUGUUUGUGGCUAGAAAUAAAUGGUACCAAAGAAACAGUCAUAAACUCUUUUGGUGACAAAGUCCGUCACUUAAGGUUAAAGUUUCAAGGAGGAGCUUCAUUUCCUAUGUCCUUUUUUGAAUUUGAUAGAUUGCGUACCCUCUUAAUUUAUGAUGAAAGUCUUUCCAAUACAUCUUUAUUUGAUGAUGAAAGUCCUUCCAAUCCAUCUCUUAAUAGUAGCAUCCUUCGGAAGUUAUUUAGUAAAUUGGCGUGUUUAAGGGCAUUAGUUAUAAGACAACUGUCCCCACCUUUUUGUCCUAAUCACCCAAAUUUGAUUAGAGAAAUUCCAGAAAAUGUUGGAAAAUUGAUACAUUUAAAAUAUCUUAAUUUGUCUAGACUGUGUAUAAAGAGACUGCCUGAGACUUUGUGUGAAUUAUAUAAUUUACAAAAGCUAGAUAUUAGGCGGUGCCGAAAUCUUAGAGAAUUGCCAGCGGGGAUUGGGAAGUUAAUGAACAUGAGGAGUUUACUGAAUGAUAAAACUCGUUCUUUGAAGUACAUGCCAGUAGGGAUUUCCAAAUUAACCAGUCUUCGAACAUUAGGCAAGUUUGUGGUGGGUGGAGGUGUUGAUGGUAGCAAUACGUGUAGGCUUGAAUCUCUGAAAAAUCUUCAACUCCUUCGAGAAUGUGGAAUAGAAGGGCUGGGUAAUGUAUCCCAUUUAGAUGAGGCCGAGAGAUUAGGACUUCACAAUAUGGAAAACCUCCUUCGUUUGCGUCUUGUGUUUGAUGGAGUCGUAGAUCUUGUGUUUGAUGGAGUCGUAGAUGGGGAAGAUGAAGAAAGGAGGAGGAGGAAUGAGAAAGACAAACAACUUCUUGAAGCUUUACAACCGCCUUUGAGUGUAGAGAAAUUAUGGAUUGUAUCCUACGGAGGCAACAUUCUUCCCAAAUGGUUGACUUUGCUAACCAAUCUAAGGGAUUUAAGCCUUUCCUCGUGCGUUAACUGUGAGCAUUUGCCUCCUUUGGGAAAAUUGCCUCUGGAAAAACUCACAAUUAACAACUUGAAAAGUGUAAAAAGAGUGGGUAAUGAGUUUUUGGGAAUAGAAGAAAGCAGUGAGGACGACCCAUCUUCAUCUUCAUCGUCAUCAUCAGUUAUUGCCUUCCCCAAAUUGAAAUCUCUCAAUAUUGAGGAAUUUGAUGAAGUGGAAGAGUGGAAUUACAGGAUUACGAGGACGGAAAACAUCUCCAUCAUGCCACGUCUUUCUUCCUUGACGAUUUCUUCUUGCAACAAAUUAAAGGCGCUGCCGGAUUACAUUCUUCAAACGACGGCACUGCAGGAACUGAGUAUAUAUUUUUGUGAUCUUCUAGAAGAACUGCCCAUUCUAGAAGAUCACAGGACAACAGCCAUACCACGUCUUUCUUCCUUGGAAAUUAGUUGUUGCCCCAAAUUAAAGGUGCUGCCGGAUUACCUUCUUCGGACGACGACGCUGCAGAAAUUGACAAUUUGGGGAUGUCCCCUUUUGGAAAACCGUUAUAGAGAGGGGAAAGGAGAAGACUGGCAUAAGAUAUCUCACAUUCCCCACAUCAAGUGGUCGCUGUUGCCGCCGGUAAUUUCUCCUCCUCCUCUGAUUUACUUCGUUGUUGCUUGCAAUGAAAUUAAUAAAAAUAAUUAUAUUUUGACUUAAAAUUUUAUAUAAAAUCAAUCAUGGUAUAAAUAUGAAAAACUUCCUAGUUAUCAAAUCUGUUAAACUUGUUUUCUAAAGAUUAAAUAAUAAAAAAAUACAAGUGUAGUCUGUUGAAAUUUCUAUAUUUAUUUACUUUUAAAAAAUAUGUGCUCUUUUGUAAAAGUUCAUACAAUAUCAUAGAAAUGUUAUGUGUAACUUCCUGAGAGACAAAAUCUCUGUGAUACAUUUGCAGUAAUGUUGAAAACUAAAUGUCAUUAGCCCACCUUGUUUUAUUUCAUACGAGUUUAAUUAUGUUCACCAGGGAUUCGAGGAAAUGUCAGAACUACACUAGCAAUUCGCAGGUCCACGCUAAUUUGGUUCUAAUGAUGCACGCAGGAGAGCAAGACUAUGAAAAUGAAAAGUUUAGCCAAAGGAUUGCUAAAAUGUUCUGCUGGUAAUUCACUUGCUUUAUUUUAUAGAAUUCAUUUCCAUCUUCUUCUAUUGAUAUCUUGUUGUGAAUAACAAGAACAGAGAAGUAAAGAUAUAUCAAAAUUUACUAUUGCGAUGAUGCUAAAGCAAGCUCAAGCUCAAGCAUUGCAUUUUUAUUUUAUUUAAUUUAUAGAAUUUUCAUUUCCACCUGCAUUGCAUUUUUAUUUAUUUUUAGGUUGACUUUGAAUACUUCAUGGUGAACAUUGGGGUGACCAAGGAUUAGGCUGGCAGUGGAACGACUACCACUGUGGUUAUUGUGCGACUUUGAAGAAGAAAGUGAUGGCUGGGUCUGCUCUGUUUCUAUCUUUUUUCAUUCUUUGAUCGGUUUAUCCUACAUAAACAUAUGGAAUUAUGCUAAUAUUAUCAAUUUUUUCACCCAAUUUUCAUUGUUGGUUGUGAUAAAAAUUUCAGGCUCUCAAAAGCUACAAAGCAAAGCAUUUGUGGGCUGAUCAUAUGUUUCAAUUGAGGAAGGAGUUUGGUGUUGGCAAUAUUGUCCAGGUAACCACAGCUGAUAAUUUCCACAAAUUUGCAUUGUCAGAACACACUUUAAUGUUCAUUGUGUUCCUAUGUGUUAUCAGGUUAUUGUGGUAUGUAAAGUAUCAUCUUUAAGGAUUUGUAAGAGACUUCGCAGUAAACUUAGUUGGCACCAGCUCGUGCAAUUCCUCAUUCAUUCAAGAGUACUUCAAAAUUAGAUUUUCAAGGUUUGUAUGUUUAGUUGCGAGCAAAAUGUUUAGUCACACAUUCGUAAUCUUUUCUGAUUUUCAAGUUCUUUAGGGCCAUAAACAGUUUUCCAACUCAUUCUUAAUUUUUAGGUUGAUUUCGAGUACCCUGUUGAGGACAUUCUUGAGACCAAGGAUUAGGCUGGCGAACAAACUACUACCUCUGUUGUUAUAGUGCAGGGUUUGAUCAUUGGACCUUGAAUAAGAAUGCCUUACACACACUCUGUAAUUCAAGCAUUCUCUAAGGAAAAGAGCAGUCGAAGGGAUAGUGAUGGCCGGAUCUGCUCUAUUUUAGUUGAAGAUCUCUGUGAUGUCGAUGAACUUAAAGCAGUUGAUACUUCUUGAAAAUUGUUAUUACGGAUGAAAUUGAUUACAGGAGACGGGUAUCCAAAGGCGGAUUUUCAUAAACUUCCUUCUUUAACAAAUGUUCCAACGCUUGCUGUAGUAACAAUUUCAUAGCUUGUAUCUCUCGGGUGCAUCAUGUUCACGGGUUGGAAAAAGCAUUUGUGGUAAAGCUUCAAAGCUUGUAAAAUGGCUGUGAAAAGGCACAUUCAAUUCGGUAUGCUUUGGUGCGGUCUCCUAAUGCUAAUAUUAUAUUUUGUAUAGCAAUCUUAAUAUGCAAAAAAUCAUUGUGUCCAAAGUUUUCUAUUUAUUAUAUGGUGACUGAAAUUUUAAUUAUCAUAUCAAUCUUAAAAAUUUUUGUAACCCUAUUUUACUUUGCUUGUACAGAAUACCUGUUUUCGCUGAUAUGUCGAAUUCCCAGAAAUUCAUUUCCAUCGGUUUCCAUUGGUUUUAGCACAAACAGAAACAUAGAGCACUGGGAAAAAGUUUUACUUUUGGUGGUAUUAUGCCUUAUUUUCUUCAUUCAUCAUAUUUGUUUCGAAUUCAUGCUCUCAUUAAGAGAGUAAAGCCUUUUCCAGGCUGCUUUGUAGCCAAAUUUUGAUGCCAUCGAUGCGUGAUUGUCAUUUAGAUUUUCGAAAUAAUUGUCAGAUUGGAGACGAAUCAGAAGAUAUUGUUCAAAGGGUAUUUAAUUAGCACCCUCUGAAUUUAGUUGCCAAUAAUGCAUUGAAAUGGUUGGGGAAAGUUAUUGUCUUAAUUAAAUUACAGGUGAUAAGAUGCUGCUUCAAUUUUGCAAGCAUCUUGUACUGCAAAGAUUCUGCCCACAUGAGAUGCUGUGAUUCUUGACAUCAGGAUAACACAGGUCAAAUUUUAGUAUCAAUAUAUAUCAUCUUCUUUACUGUUCUGCCUCUAAAUAUUAAACUUUAAGCAAGUUGUUUUUGUUUGUGUAAGUUAUCAGGUUAAGGAUACUAAGCCGCUUAUUAAGGCAAAUGUCAGAAUGAAGAUUGUUCACCACACCUGGUAUGCAUGAUGGCCAGUAAGAUUAAUUGUUCACAAGCCAAUUUGAUCAGUGUUAGAUUUUUUGCCUCCUUUCGAGGGUCAUCAUCAUCAAAUUUGAGUAGAGAAUCUUUGAAGGGAAUUUUGUUGUAAGAGUUUCACAGUAGUGAAUUCUGGGAGCUCGAACUCACUUGAGUGAGAUAUUAGGGAGUGUUGGGGAUUUGGGUUAUGAGUAAUCAUUAUCCUUCCAAUAUGUGUAAGCACUCACUUGUUAGUAAAAUCAUCUUCGUAUAUUGACUAUGUUUCUUUGAGUAAUUCAGUUUCAGAUUUUCAGGGCAUGUAUGUUUAAUUAGUUUUGAUUAAAAUAUUUAGUCACUCAUUCUGAAUCUUUUCUAAUUUUCAAGUUCCUUAGGGCCACAACCAGUUUUCAGGGUCUGCAGAAACUAUCUUGAGGGUUGAGGAAUUGCGUUUGAGCACACACAGAAACAAGGCUAAUGGAAAAGAACUUGACAGAAGAAUUAUGCUCUAAAUCUAACAAAAGUAUAUUUCUACUUCUUGUGGUUAUUUUACUUUUGUAUUUUCUGUCAUCAUAUUUGAUUAAUUCAUUCGAAUUCAGACUCUCAUUAUUUAAAACCAUUUUCAGGUGGCUUGCACGCUAAUUAAGUUAACGCAGAAGCAAUACUCUAGACAAAGAUGAGCAAAUUGAAGAUGAUAAAUGCAUAUAUAGUGGCCAAGUCGCUCAUUACAUUUCAUCUCUCAUACGAACAUGAUUCUGAAUUUGAAUUUCCAUCAAUAAUUGUCAGGCUGGUGCAGAUGUUCUUAAAAGGGCAUUAAGCUACCUUAUGAGAUUGGAAAGUUAUCAUUGCUUGAAUGAAAGCACCAUCUUCUGUUGUCAAGGCUUUCCCCCACACGAUGAGAUUCUGUGCUUGUUAUCGGCCGCUUAGUUAUUUAUUAAAUCAGGUUUUUGUUAUCAUGUUCAACAUCUUAUUCACCAUUUUGGCUAUAUAUAAAGAUUAAAAUUUCUAACAGUUGUUUCGGAUUCUUGUGUACUCAGGUUAAUAUGGCAAAUGUCAGAAUGAAGAUUGUUCAGUGCAACCGGUAUAGCAAGGAUGAUAGUGGUGAGGAAGAUUGUUGGCAAGCCAAAUAGAGCCCUCCAUUUUGAGAAAUAUCAUCCUCAAAUUUGAAUUGUUGAGCAUGUGAAGUGAAGCUAAAGCCUUAAUAAUGAGACCUUCCUGUGAAAGUUUCAUUUGAGUGAAUUGAACGUCCUUAGUGGGUGAGAAAUUAAGCAUAUAUCAGCGAUUACUGAAUGUUUUUCUUUAACAUUAGUACACUCUUAUUUCUUAGUAAAAUUCUCUUCACGUCUCUGACUGUGACGUAGACCAAAAGCUGAACAAUGUAAAAUUAUAUUGUUAUUUCCUUAUGCUUGUUUUGCUAUAUAUCAUUUUUGUGCAAUAAAGAAUGUAAUUUUGUAAUUAUUUAACUCUGCUUCUGCGAACAUGCGGUAUUACAAGUGGCAUCUUGCAGAUUUUUUUCCCCUUUUUUUCUUUCUGCAUUAAAACUGCAACAAAUGGAAGUGACUGGCUUGAUUUUAGCUAAUGUAAAAAAGUGCUUGGGGCAAUGUCUUUUGUAUCAGCAAGUCAUCAAACAUCAUAGUUUAAAUAUAGAAUCCUGAGUUGCCGUAUAUUGACAAAGCUAACCGUCUGUGGGCUGAAAUGCUUCCACGGAUCAGGAAGGAAUUUGGGGUUGACACUAAAUGUUAUGCAGAUAACUACAGUUGAUAAUUUUUACCCAAAAUAUGUCACAGUUGACAAUUCACUUACAGUGUUUCCUUGUGUUAUCAGGCUCUCAUAUGUGAAUUGAAAGAUUAAGAAAAAGCAUUUGCACUAAAUUUCAAUUUUAAAGUUCCCAGAUUAAGAAAGAUUGUUUGUUAUGCAAUUGAAGAUUAUGAAAAAGCAUACGCACAGGUAAGUUCUUCUUUAGCUCUGUUUUUCAUUGUUUGUUAUAUCUAUUUUUAAUUCACAUGUCCACAGUAAUUUCAUUUUAGUUUGAGCUGAGUGAUAACUGUUCAAGGCUCACUUACUCAUUGGGAGAAGCUGCAUGACGCAGGCUGCAAGGAUUUAGAUUUUCAUUCGAAGGCUCACUUACUCAUAGUGUGCAUGUUUCGUUACGAUUAAAAUGAUUAGUCUCUUGUUCUUAAGUAUACAAUUUCCAAUGGAUUUGAUAGAGCGGUCAUCAACCAUAUUGAUGUUAUUGGAGUAGCACUGUUCUUAAGCACUGCUUUGAGGUCUCUCCCUCUCUAUAUACAUUGAUAGACUAUUCUGGUCGUACCAAAUUAUCCUUGUUUUAUUGUUUUGUUUGUUAAACUUUGACUGGGGGAAUCUGUUUAUUUGUCUGAUAUGAUGUUAGUGUGGUUUCGAUUGAAGUGUGUUGAUCUAUCACCAAGUAUUAUUUCAAUUUUUCUUUACCUAAUCAACUUGCAUACUUUCCAAGUCUAGAUCCUUAACAAUAGUGAGACUCCGCUACAGAAGUACGAUUUCUCUAGUUUUGUAGUUAAAUACGUAAGAAUAGUUUUAAAUUAACAGAACUCUGAGAUAGUUCUCUGAGGAAAUACAAGUGGUGAAUAUGGUUCCAACUUUUAAGUGCCUUAAGAUUCCCAUUUGUUCAGCCCUGUGCGUAAACAAUCAGUAAUUUCUGUCCAAAUUCUUCUUUAAUGCCUAUAUGUGUUGGACUUUGUCUACUGUUCAACUUCUCAAAUGGAUUCCAUGCAGGGUUUUGAAUGUCCAAUUAGGAGAAAGAUCAAGGCUUGCUUGGCUAGGAGUGGAAGCGGAUCCACUACUUCAGUCAGAUGACCUUUUGAAGAAGGCUUACAACAGGCCGUCUCAGGAUGUCAAUGGCUCAACUCAAAAGUCCCCAAAGUGGUUGAUAUCGAAGAAUGCCGUUGUCUCUGGGCUUGGGCUCCUUGGCAUCAAACAAGGGAAUGUCGACUCUGUUGAAGGGGAAGCAAGGGCUCCUAAAGUGCGAAGAAAGAGGAUAGUCCGGAAGAAGGUGACCGCAUAAAUUUCUUGGGAGUUAAUCCUAGUCAAUAGCCCAAUUUUGCUGCCUGUCGAAGAGGUACAACACGGAAGUCGUCAUCAAACUCUUUUGAGACAUCUAAGAACUAGUAGGGAGGUGGUGGUAUUUCACCGUGUUUCCUGGCAAGUAUAGUUCACUGAUAGAGGGAUUCUUUUCUUGAUGUCUAAAUACUAUAUGUGAUACAACUUCGUAUAUUCCAAUUUUUCUCCAGUUAAAUUCUAGUAAGUUAGAAAAGUUAAUUUUGUUCUAGCGAUGAAUUGUUUUCUUAAUAACAAUAAUUGCCUGUUGCUUUGGAAUCUUAUUCACUCUCUGCAACCCAGUUAAAUUGUGCAAAUUCUACUGCAGAUUUGUCAAACAGAGUGUCUCUGUGAUUGUUUUGAUACACUUUUGAUGGCAAGUUCAAGUUUGAAUCAUCUUGUAAUGCCAAAAAACCAUAGCGCUUUUAAUUACUAGAUCGCACUCGACUUCCUAUUUAGUACUACCGUGUUGCAGUUAUAGUUAUUGUGAAAAAGGAACUGAAACUAUAAUAUAAAUGUUGAUCUAGUGUUGUAUAUAUGAUUUUUAAUUAAUAAUUUUGAUAAAAUUAAUAAAUGUAUCAUUGAUUUUUUUAUACUCCCAACUUAAUUUUUAAGUCACAAUAAUAAAUAUUUAUUAAAUACUUUGAUACUGUAACUUUAAAAUUAUGCUCCGCGGCACUCUUAUCUAAUUUUAAUUGUACUUUCUAGCUCGAUUAUAGAAAUCCUUACUCGAUGUACUUUACCAUACAAGGUGUUACUUUACUUGAUCUUACUCGACUUUAAUUGCAUAUUUUAUAACGAAUUUUUUAUCAAAAAAUUGGUCCCGAUUCCAGCAAAACAGUAACUUCCAUGAUGAUUUUUAAUAUUAUAUUAGUGAUUAUUAAAUUUAAUACAAUCAAUAAUGAAAGAAAUUAUUAAAUGGUUAAUUUUAUUGACAUAUUAUCAAAUACGCAAGUAAUGAAAAAUUAAUCUCAAGAGUUAGUUGAAGUAAAGUUCCAAUUUAAUAGAUAAAUAUAAAUUUUAAGUAAAUCAUAAAUUAAAAAAUUAAUUAAUAUUAAGUAUAAAUAAAUAAUAAUGACAUAAAUUAAAGUCUCAUAAAUGGAUAACUUUUUUUCUUUAAUCUUAUCUCAACUAAAGUAAUGUGUAAAUUAGGAUUCUUAAUCCCAUAAUUUUAGGAAUAAAUUUAAAUUUAGUUCCUAAAUCCAAUUCAAUUAAGCUUACCAAACAUGAGAUAAAUUUUUAAUCACAAAAUUAGUCCAAUUCCAUACUUACUCCCAGUAUCCGAACAUGGCCUGAUAACAUAAUUUAGGUAAUAUACUACUAUGACUCACAAUUUAAAUAAAUUUAAGAAUUUAUAUAGGGGAUGGAAAAUUCACAAUAAUCAUAACAUAUGCUAUCUUUUCUCCCUUUUCUUAAUUAAAUAAAAAAAAAUUAAUGACAGAAUAACUACUGUUUAAAAGGGUCGGCUGCAUGAUUUUUCCAACUAUUGUUUUAUUUUUCUCUUUUCCACUACAAAUUAAUUUGAGAAUGUUACAUUUUCCAAUUCUCUUUUUGUCGUGACAUAAUAGACUAAAACGGAAUCACAUACUUUUUCAAAUGUCCAAAUGGCUUUGGCCUACCUGAUAAUAAAAGGAAUGGAUCCAUACGUUAGUAUGGAUAAAUUGAAAAAUAUAAUAAAUAAAUUGUCAGGAGAUGAUUUUAUCAAAAAUUUCACUCGCACGGUCCCGACCAAAAUCGACUGUAUUAUAUGUGAACUCGCAAGAUUCAUAGAUAGAUUGCACUGAGCUUUUUGUUGCAGUUUACAAAUAUUUUGUUACUAAUUAUCUCAAGAGCAGCAUGUAACUAAAUACAAAUGUAAGGAAUUUUACAAGUGCUGAUGCUGUGUACUCUGAAGAAUUAACAAUGAAUUAUUAUGAAUAAGAGAAACAGAGGGCAGAUGCUGUGCAAUUAUUGAGGUGGUGGAUCAGAAAGCUAGCCCCAGAUGGUGACUCCUUUAAUUUGCAGCACGAAAGAACGUUCACAUUGACAUUGACUCAAGGGUAAAAAUUAAAUAUUUCAUAUGGUAUAAGAAGAAUGCAAACAUGCUUGAAUGAACAUUCUCACAGAAUACAUAAAACCUACUUUCCUCUGAGCAUUUUAGCAGCAAGAAAAGCAAUUGCUGCAUUUACCAUUUGAUCUAAUAUCAGAAUGGCUCAUGCGAUCGUUUCCUCUCUCUUGGACCAGCUGAAAUCCAUUGCUCAAGAUCAGGUGAAAGAAAAGUGGAGGCUUGUGACGGGUGUCGAACAAGAAGUGGGAAAGCUUACUACCAAUCUUCAAGCCAUUCAAGCUGUACUGGAAGAUGCAGAGCAGAGGCAAAUGAAGCAGGACAAAGCUGUUACUCUUUGGCUGGAUCAGCUCAGAGACGCAUCCUACGACAUUGAAGAUGUGUUGGAAGAGUGGAUCACUGAAACAAGGAAAUUGCAGCUUGAUGAGGGCGGCGAUGAUGACGAUGCUCUUGCUCUUGCUCCUCCUAAGAAGAAGGUAUGUUCCUUCUUUCGUGCUGCCUCAAACUACUUAGGUGGUUUCAAACAACUCAUUCUUCGUGAUGAUGUUGCUGUCAAGAUUAGCGAAAUCAGUGAAAAGCUAGAUGGUGUUGCCACUCGAAAAGAUAUGUUUAAAUUUGUUGAGAAUGUGAGUAACAAUGUUAAGAAACCAGAGCGAGUGCGAACCACCUCCUUGAUUGAUGAGGGAGAGGUUUUUGGUAGAGAUGACGAGAAAAAUGAGCUGUUAGGUAAGUUGUUGGGUGAGAGUGGCGAACAACAUCCUCAUAUCAUCUCACUGGUUGGGUUAGGGGGUAUAGGUAAAACCACUCUUGCACAACUAGCCUAUAAUAAUGAUGAGGUUAAAAGAAAUUUUGAAAAAGUUAUAUGGGUGUGUGUAUCAGACACUUUUGAUGAGAUGAGGGUUGCUAAAGCAAUCAUUGAAGGUCUAGGCGAGUCAACUUCUGGUUUAAGCGAAUUCCAAUCUCUUAUGAGCCAUAUCCAUAGAUCAAUUGAAGGAAAAAAUUUUUUUAUUGUCUUAGAUGAUGUAUGGGAUGGGAAUUAUAAUAUAUGGGAUCAAUUCUUCUUUUGUCUAAAGAAUGGUCUUCCCGGAAGUAAAAUUGUGGUUACCACACGUAAUGAGUCAGUUGCACGUAUGAUGCGAACAAUAGAGUUAGAUAUUAUCUCCAUUGAACAACUAGCUGAAGAGGAAUGCUGGUUGUUGUUCAAGCGGUUGGCAUUUUUCGGUCGCUCUUUCAAGGAUUGUGAAAAAUUAGAACUAAUCGGGCGAAAAAUUGCACGCAAGUGCAAAGGCCUGCCUCUUGCCGCAAAAGUAAUAGGGAAUCUCUUGCGCUCUAAACGUACAGUAAAAGAGUGGCAAAGAAUUUUAGAGAGUGAAAUGUGGAAGGUAGAAGAUAUUACGAAAGGUCUUUUGGCUCCUUUGUUGUUGAGUAUAAUGAUUUGUCCGCUAGUUCUAUGGUAAAACAGUGUUUCUCAUAUUGUGCUGUCUUUCCAAAAGACUACAAGAUGGAUAAAGAGGAAUUGAUUGAUCUCUGGAUGGCUCAAGGUUACCUUAAUGCAGAAGAAGACGAAGAAAUAGAGAUGAUUGGAGAAGAGUAUUUCAACAUCUUAGCAACACGCUCUUUCUUUCAAGAGUUUGAAAUAUAUGGUGCCGAUGGUGAAUAUGUGAAGUGUAAGAUGCAUGACAUAGUACAUGAUUUUGCUCAAUUUGUGAGUAGCAAAGAAUGUUUGUGGCUAGAAAUUAGCGGUACCAAAGAAUCAGUCAUAAACUCUUUUGGUGACAAAGUCCGUCACUUAGGGUUAAAGCUUAAAAGAGGCGCUUCAUUUCCUAUGUCCAUUCAUGGACUUAAUAGAUUGCGUACCCUCCUAAUUAGUGAUGAAUUUUAUAAUCUGUCCCUUAGUAGUAGCAACCUUGCAGAGUUAUUUAGUAAAUUGGCAUGUUUAAGGGCAUUAGUUAUAAAGCAAUUUUACCCAAAUAGGAUUAGAGAAAUUCCAGAAAAUGUCGGAAAAUUGAUACAUUUAAAAUUCCUUAAUUUGUCUAGACUAGCUAUAGAGAGACUACCUGAGACUUUGUGUGAAUUAUAUAAUUUACAAAAGCUAGAUAUUAGGCGGUACGAAUAUCUUAGAGAAUUGCCUGCGGGGAUUGGGAAGUUAAAGAACAUUAGGAGUUUACUAAAUGCUAGAACUCCGUUAAAGCAUAUGCCAAUAGGGAUUGCCAGGUUAACCAGUCUUCGAACAUUGGACAGGUUUGUUGUGGGAGGAGAUGUUGAUGGUAGCAGUACAUCUAGGCUUGAAUCUCUGAAAAAUCUUCAACUCCUUCGAGAUUAUGUAAUAGAUGAGCUGAGUAGUGUGUCACAUUUAGAUGAGGCUGAGAGAUUAGAACUCCACAAUAUGGAAAACCUCCUUCGUUUGUGUCUUGUGUUUGAUGGGGGAGAUGAAGAUUGGGAAGAUGAAGAAGAAGAAGACGCAGAAGUUGUAGAGGGGUUAGAUGAAGAAGGGAGGAGGAAGAAUGAGAAACUUCUUGAAGCCUUACAACCGCCUUUGAAUGUAGAGGAAUUACGGAUUGUAUCCUACGGAGGCAACAUUUUUCCCAAAUGGUUGACUUCGCUAACCAAUCUAAGGGAACUAAAACUUCUCUUGUGUUUUAACUGUGAGCGUUUGCCUCCUUUGGGAAAAUUACCUCUGGAAAAACUCCAACUAAAGAACUUGAAAAGUGUAAAAAGAGUGGGUAAUGAGUUUUUGGGAAUAGAAGAAAGCAGUGAGGAUGGCCCAUCUUCAUCUUCAUCGUCACCAUCAGUUUUUGCCUUCCCCAAAUUGAAAUCACUCGAAAUUCACGGAAUGGAAGAAUUGGAAGAGUGGAAUUACAGGAUUACGAUGAAGGAAAACAUCUCCAUCAUGCCCCGUCUUUCUUUCUUGGAAGUUAGUUCUUGCAACAAAUUAAAGGCGCUGCCGGAUUACCUUCUUCAAACGACGGCACUGCAGGAACUGAGUAUUUGUUCUUGUGAUCUUCUAGAAGAACUGCCCAUUCUAGAAGAUCGCAGGACAACAGACAUACCACGUCUUACUUCUUUGUGGAUUUCUGAUUGCCCCAAUUUAAAGGUGCUGCCGGAUUACCUUCUUCAAACACUGCAGCUAUUGAUAAUUUUGGGCUGUGACCUUCUAGAAGAACAUUAUAGAGAGGGGAAAGGAGAAGACUUGCAGAAGAUAUCUCACAUUCCCCACAUCAAGUGGUCACCGUAAGAUAUCACUCGCCGGUAAUUUCUCCUCCUCCUCUGAUUUACUUCGUUGUUGCUUGCAAUGAAAUUAAUAAAAAUAAUUAUAUUUUAAAUUAAAAUUCUAUAUAUUGCCAAUGUCUGACAAGAAUAUAUAAUAUUUUUCUAAUAUUUUGAUUUGCAUAUUGAAUUUUGUUUACUUUAACCAUUAAUUUAAUGGGUCACUUUAUGAUGCUGUUAUAAAAAUUAUAGAAUCAAUCAUGGUAUAUAUAUUUUAAUUUAAGUUAUUUAAAAUUUAAACUUCCUAGUUAUCAAAUUUAAACUUCCUUAACAUCAUGCAAAAAUAAUCAUCAUGUCUUUUAGCCGAAGGAUUGCUAAAAUGUUCUGCUGGUAAUUCACUUGCUUUAUUUUAUAGAAUUUCAUUUCCAUCUUCUUCUAUUGAUAUCUUGUUGUGAAUAAACAAGAACAGAGAAGUAAAUAAUUGAACCACAGAGAAGUAAAGAUAUAUGAAAGUUCGCUAUUGUGAUGGUGUUAAAGCAAGCUCAAGCUCAAGCAUUGCAUUUUUAUUUUAUUUUAUUUUUAGAAUUUUCAUUUCCACCUGCACUGCAUUUUCAUUUCAUUUUUAGGUUGACUUUGAAGACUCUAUGGAGAACAUUAGGGUAACCAAGGAUUAUCACUAUGGUUAUUGUGCAACGUUUGGUUGCUGGACUUUGAAGAAGGAAGCGAUGGCCGGGUCCGCUCUGUUUCAAUUGAGGAUGGACAGCUGCCUGAAAGACAUGAUGAUUAUUUUUGCAUGAUGUUAAGGUGCUAAGAUCAUCAUUUAUAUCUUGUUUCAUUCUUGGAAUCAUUUAUCCUAUAUAAACAUAUUGAAUUGUGCUAAUAUUAUCAUAUGCUUCAAUGGAGGCAGGAAUUUGGUGUUGACACUACUAUGCAGGUAGCCACACUUCAUAGUUGGCACAAAUUUGCGUUGUCAGAAUAUCCUUUAAUAUUCAUUGUGUUUCUUUGCGUUAUCAGGUUAUCAUCUCCAAGGGUUUGAAAGAGUCUUUGCAGUAAAGGCAGUUGUCACCAGCUCGUGCAAUUGCACAGUCAUUCAGAGUACUUCAAUAUUGGGUUUUCAAGUUUUGUAUGUUUAGUCGAUUAAAAUGUUUAGUCACUCAUUCUUAAUCCUUUUUUCUGAUUUUCAAGUUCUUUAGGGCCAUAAACAGUUUUUCAAACUCAUUAUUAUUUUUUAGGUUGAUUUCCUACUCGUGGAGAACAUUGGCAAGUCCAAGGAUUAGGCUGGCGAUGGAACUACUACCUCUGUUGUUAUUGUGCAAGGUUUGAUCGCUGGACCUUGAACAAGAAUGCCUUACACACAUUCUGUAAUUGAAGCGUUCUCUAAAGCAAAAGAGCAGUAGAAGGAAUAGUGAUGGCCGGAUCUGCUCUUUCUUAAUUGAAGAUGUCUGUGAUGUUGAGGAGCUUAAAGCAGUUAAUGCUCUUUGAAAAUUGUUAUUACAGAUGAAUUGAUUCCUGAAGACGAGUAUCUAAUGAUUGUUAAGGCGUAUUUUCAUGAACUUCCUUUCUUAACAAAUGUUUCAAUGCUGGCUGUAGUAACAAUUUCAUAUCUUGCAUCUCCCGGGUGCAUCAUGUUCACGGGUUUGAAAAAGCAUUUGUGGUAAUGCUUCAAAGCUUGUACAAUGUCUCCCAAUGCUAAUAUCAUAUUUUGUAUGGCAAUUAAAAUUUAGCUAUACAAUCUUAAUAUGCAAUAAAUCAUUGUAUACAAAGUUUUCUAUUGAUUAUAUGGUGACUGAAAUUAGAUUGGAGAAGAAUAAAAAGAUACUGUUAAAAGGUUAUUUAAUUAGCGCCCUCUGAAUUUCUUGGAGUUAAUGUAGUCAAUUGCCCAAUUUUGCUGCCUGUGGAAGAUACACAGUAUGGAGUCCUCAUCAAACUCUGAGACACCUAAUAAAUAGUAGGAGGGGUUGGUAUUCGCCUGGUGUUAAUUUCCUGGCAAGUAUAGUUCACAGAUAAAGGGGUUCUUUUCUUGAUGUCUAAAUACCGUAUGUGAUACAACAUCGUGUAUUCCAAUUUUUCUCCAGUUAAAUUUUAAUAAGUUAGGAAAGUUAAUUUUGUUUUAGCAAUGAAUUGUUUUCUUAAUAAUAAUUGCCAUGUUCCUCUGAAGUCUUAUUAAUGCCAAACCAACAACUACUAGGUUCAUCUCUCGUUCACUUCCUCAGGGAUUCUCGAGGGCAUUCUUUGGCAGGUAGUCUUUCUUGUUGAGCUCCUGGAAUUACUUUUAAUUUAUCAUCUGUUGGGUUUUGCUUUUUGAUUGCUUUGUGAUUUGUGUUUUUAUCGCUUUGUCGCUCAUUAAUCUUGGCUGUUUUGAAUCUGUGUUGGAUUUAGACGUUUGGAGUUGAAAACAGUUAAAGCUUAGACUAGUAGAAGAGAUUUAUACAUUCAUUUAUCUUGGACAAAGUUUUUGGGGGAAAAGAAAAAUUAUAAGUAUACACUUUCCAAUGGUUCGGUGAUGUUUGAUUGGUUUAAAGAUGUUGGAUCUCUCAUCAGAUUUCUUAUGUAUCGACUGCUGUUGCCACAGGAUGCUCGCAGAUCCUGCUUUUUUGUAUAAACUUCUACCAGAGCAGGCUGCCACAAUUGGUUGCACUGUUUUGUGGGAGUUGGAGAAUCACAAGGAGAGGUGUUUUUUCUCUCAUAACAAAGGAACUCUCCCCUUCCUUUUUAUUCUCAUUUUAUAUAUUAAGCUAAUAAAUGUUUGUUUCUGUUGUGAUGGGAUAAAGCAAGAAUGGGAUCUUUGCCCUAAUAAAUGUGCUCACAGUAACAGCAUGUAAUGCUUUUGUUGUUUGGUCGCUUGCUCCUUGUCAUUCUUAUGGAAACACCUUCCGGUUUGACUUGCAAAUUACAUUACAAAAGCUCCCAAACAAUAUAUUUGAACGGCGGUACCCAUUUCGAGAAUUUGACUUGCAAAAGAGAAUCCACUCCCUUUUUUACAAGGCUGCAGAGUUGUGUAUGGUGGGAUUAAGUGCAGGAGAAGUGCAAGGUUCUUUGUCAAACUAUCUUGCUGGUAAAAAGGACAGGUAAACAUGGUUGCAAAACUUCCUUUUCAUUCCUCGUUCACUUAUUCGUUAUAAAUAAAGAAAACUUAGAAGAUUGUUCUGUUUACUGUCUAAGCCAGUUUAACAUUUAUUAAAUUACCCUUGUAAAAGAGAAUCCACUCCCUUUAAUGUCUGACAGGUUAUCUGUGACAAACAUGAGAUAUCAGCUAUUGUGUGGAUUUGAUAGAGCGGUCAUCAACCAUUUUGAUGUUAUUGGAGUAGUACUGUUCUUAAGCACUGCUUUGAGGUCUCUCCCUCUAUCUCUUUUACGCAUUUGUUUAUUGAUCUACAUCUCUAUAUACAUUGAUAGACUAAUCUGGUCGUACCAAAUUACCCUUGUUUUAAUGUUUUGUUUGUUAAACUUUGACUGGGGAAUCUGUUUAUUUGUCUGAUAUGAUGUUAGUGUGGUUUCUAUUGAAGUGUGUAGAUCUAUCACCGAGUAUUAUUUCAAUUUUUCUUUGCUUAAUCAACUUGCAUCCUUUCCAAGUCCAGAUCCUUAACAAUAGCGAGACUUCGCUACGGAAGUACAAUUUCUCUAGUUUUACAGUUAAAUACGUAAGGAUGGUUUUAAAUUAACUGAACUCUGAGGUAGUUUUCUAAGGAAAUACAAGCGGUGAAUAUGGUUCCAAGUUUUAAGUGCCUUAAUUAACCCAUUUGUUCAGCCCUGUGCGUAAACAAUCAGUAAUCGCUGUCCAAAUUCUUCUUUACUGCCUAUAUGUGUUGGACUUUGUCUAUUGUUCAACUUCUCAAAUGGAUUCCAUGCAGGGUUCUUAAUGUCCAAUUAGGAGAAAGAUCAAGGCUUGCUUGGCAAGGAGUGGAAGUGGAUCCGCUACUUCAGUCAGAUGACCUUUUCAAGAAGGCUUACAACAGGCCAUCUCAGGAUGUCAAUGGCUCAACUCAAAAGUCCCCAAGGUGGUUGAUAUCAAAGAAUGCCAUUGUCUCUGGGCUUCGGCUCCUUGGCAUCAAACAAGGGAAUGUCGACUCUGUUGAAAUGGAAGCAAGGGCUCCUAAAGUGCGAAGAAAGAGGAUAGCCCGGAAGAAGGUGACCGCAUAAAUUUCUUGGGAGUUAAUCCUAGUCAAUAGCCCAAUUUUGCUGCCUGUCGAAGAGAUACAACACGGAAAUCCUCAUCAAACUCUUUGAGACAUCUAAGAACUUGUAGGGAGGUGGUGGUAUUCACCUUGUUUCCUGGCAAGAAAUUUAUGGAACUUAUCUUCUAAAAACCAGCCAUGGCUUCAAAUUCAAUCACCUCAACACUCCAAUAUUGGCUUGUAAACCACCCACAAAUCCUCAACUUCACAUGGACACAAAACCAAACCCCAGCUUCCUCCCCACACUUCCUCAUUCUCUCCAUCCUCACUUACCUCUCCCUCACAUUCAUCCUCUACCACACAUCAACAUCAACAUCACCACCAUCAUCACCUUUCAUUGGACCCCACAUCCUCAAGCCCAUCACAGCCGUCCAUAACCUCACCCUCCUCCUCCUCUCCCUCAUCAUGGCCGUUAGUUGCACUCUCUCCAUCAUCGUCCAUUUGCCCCACCUCCAUUACACCCUCUGUUUCCCCCCCACCAUUUCUCCGUCUGGCCCCCUCUUCUUCUACGCUUACCUCUUCUACCUCUCCAAAAUACUCGAAUUCGUAGACACCCUUUUGAUCAUUUUGUCAAACUCCGUCCAACGGCUCACGUUCCUCCACGUCUAACACCAUGCAACCGUCGUCGUAAUGUGCUACCUUUGGUUACAGACGAAGCAGUCUUUGUUUCCUAUUUCACUUGUGACCAAUGCAAGUGUGCAUGUGAUCAUGUACGGGUACUAUCUAUUGUGUGUGAUGGGGUUGAGGCCAAAGUGGAAGAGAUUGGUCACUGAUUGUCAGAUUGUUCAGUUUGUGUUUAGUUUUGUUGUUUCGGUUUUGAUGCUGUAUUAUCAUUUUACGGGAUUUGGUUGCUCUGGGAUUUUGGGUUGGUGCUUCAAUGCUGUGUUUAAUGCUUCUCUUUUGACACUUUUUGUUAAUUUUCAUUCCAAGAGCUACGCUAAAAAAAAGCAGGGAUGAUCAGAACAAAUAGUUUUUGUGAUUGUUUUGUGCGUGCGUGUGUGUGUGUGAUUUUUUUUUUCAAGUUUGAUUUUGUUUAAUUAUGAAGGGUUGUGAUCUGUUCAUUGCAAUUGACAGAGAUGUUUUCAGUUGCCUAGACUUCGUAUUUUCAGUUUUAGUAAUAAAUGUCGUUUUUCACCACAUUUGUUUAGUCUCUCGCUUUUAAAUCCCCUCUCACACACAAAAAAAAUUGGAUUUGUAUCUUGUAAACAAAUAUUUUUCAUUUUGUUAAUGUAUUAAUUAUUGUUAUCUACAUUUAUGUGAUAGGGCACAUGCCACAUCGACUAAAAUUAAGUUAUGAAAUUUUGCAGCCCCUGAGCACUCAAUGUUUGUAGGCACAAGUUCAAGUCCCACCAUUUGUUAGGAUUUAAAUAAAGAACAUUAUAACCAUGCGUCCAAGAACUUAAAGAUAGCUUAAGUGCAUGGAUUCGAGUCCUAGUUAUUGUUGGAAUUCGAUUUCCUUUCUAAUUAAAUUGGGUAAGGGUAAAAUUAUCUCUCAAUUAAUAAGGACAGAGUAGAUAUUUCUCUCGAUUUUCCUCCCAAUUAAAUUAGUUAGAAGUAAAAUUAUCUCUCAAUUAAUAACAGUAGAAUAAAUAUCUCUCUAGUAUUAUGCAAGGGUAGAAAUUUGGGCUGUACCAUGUUAGAAUUAUCAAGGAUAGUUUUGGUAGAAUUCUAAUUGUAAUAUAUGAGUGUAUAAAAAAAAUGAACAUCAAUGAAAGAUUUUAGGCAAGAACUAUCUUGGAAUAGAAUUUUGAUUGUAAUAUAUCAGUAUAUAAAAAAAUUUUAUGAAAAAUGUUUAACAAGGACUAUUUUGAUAUUUUAAUGAAUAGUAAAAAUUAAUGUUAAAAUUUGAUAGACGAGUGUAUAGUAAGAUGUGCAAAGUAUUAGAACAUAUAUAAAUAAUCCUAGCUCUAAUAAAAUUUUGCUACAAAAUUAGUUUAUCCCUUAAAGAAACAUAUCAAAAAAAUAUACAAAAACACAAUGCAUGAGUACAUGUCAAUCACAAAUGAAAGCAAUUAAGAUAAAGGAUAUGAUUUAUUUUAUUUUAUUUUAGUUAUUUUUUUAAUUAUUUUUUGUUUCUUUUGAAACAAGACCAAUUAGAUCAUGCAAGAAGUAAUUUUUUUUUUAAAUAAAAAAGGAGAAAUGAUGAAACCCACGUCCAAAGAUGCCGUUGUCGCGGAGGCCUAGAUCUCACUACACCCCAUCCCCUUCUACCAUAUUUUAUAAUUGAAGAGGCCAUUAUUGAAUUGAAAAAUUAUGAUUCAAAAACCCAAAAAUAGAAAAAGAAAAGCAAUUGUUGGAAACACACUCGGAGUUUUAAAUUGACAUGAGAAAAGAAUAUAUUCAUCAACCUCAUACGUUAAAGAUGCGACGAGUUUGAGAUUAUGAGCCAAAUUCCUAACGUGUGGGAAUUUAAAGAUGUUACUACAAAACAUGUGUUCGUCGGUGGAGUAGAAUCAGGGAAAUUAAAGAUGCUACUACAACCACUAACGUGUGGGUGGGGAUAAGCAUAACUUUUUUCAUCAAAUGCCAAAUCCCCCCAGGUGGAGAGUGGGGACUCCUUCGCAUAAAUGUUGAUAAAAUUUUGAUUAUGAUGUUAUUAGAAAUUAGGAAAAACCUGUGGUGCAACUGUGGUACCGUGUUAUAGUUGCAUCCAGCCGUUGGAUACUAGUGGACCCUAUUGUUAACAUAUAUGUUUCCAUAAUAUUGAUUUUGAUGAUAACAAACAAAAUUAAGAAUGAUUAAUCUUUUAAGCUCAAAUUAUUUAAUAUUCUUUUUAAAUAAAUCAUUAUUUUCACAUUAUAAAUGUUUUAUAUUUAAUGGAAAAAUGAUUUUAUGAAAUUGAUUGUUUUUAUUCUCUUUAAAUAAAUCAUUAUUUUUACAUUAUAAAUGUUUUAUAUUUAAUGGAAAAAUGAUUUUAUGAAAUUGAUUGUUUUUAUUCUUUUUAAAUAAAUCAUUAUUUUCACAUUAUAAAUGUUUCAUAUUUAAUGGAAAAAUAAUUUUAUGAAAUUGGUUGUUUUUCAAAGUUUAUGGUUUAAUUAAAAGAAUUUUGAAAACUUUGAAAUAAAUGCUUGAAAUUUUGGAGGACUUAUUUGAAAAGUGUCAUAGCAUUUUUAGCUAUAUCAUAAUUUCAGAAAGUUUUGGGAUUAGCAAAGCAUUACUUAUAAAUUCUAAAAUUGGACCUAUUUAAAAAGUUUUAUAACUUUUUGGGCCGUAAUAUAGUUUUGUAAAGUUUUGGGGUCAAACUGUAAUUUCAGAAAAUAAUGCACUAUGCAGGUUACUGUAGCAUCCGGCUUACCGGAUAUAAAAAACUAGAAAACCGGAUACGGGGCAGUAAGCAUCCGGAACGCAAACGGCUUAUCGGAUUUCGUAACCGGCAAGCCGGUUAGGCAAAAUUCAAAUUUUUGCCUUAGUGGUAACAUAAAUCCAGCUUACCGGAUUCCUUAAACGGCAAACCAGAUACGCUCAGAAUGUGUAUAAUGGGUAGUUUUUGAGUUCAAACUAUAUAAACUCAAAAUCAAUUCAUUUUUGGUAAUACAAGAAAGCAAGAACAAGUGCACACAACAUAUAUUGAGCUUCAAUUUCGUGAAUCAUCAUUCAUUAAAUCAUCUUUGUUCUUAAAUUUGUAUAUCCACUCUUAAAGAGAGUUUGAUUGUUGUAUUUUUCAUUUCUCAUUAAAUUGUGAGAGUACAAGUGUGAGAAACACUUGGAGUGAAGAGAUUGGAGAGAUAAUCUCUUGUUGUAGAGGUUCAUUGACACCUUAAAGUCAAUUGUAAACAUUUGAAGCCUUGGAAAGGCUUGGAUAGUGAAAUCCUCAAGCCCGGUGUGGUUGGAGGCGUGGACGUAGGCGGGGAUUGCCGAACCACGUAAAAAUCCUUGAGUUUGCUUUCUCUUCCCUUACUCAUUUAUUAUUGUGCUUUCAUUGAAUUUAUUGUUUUCGAAUUUAUUAAGGCAUUAGAUUGGAUUUGUGUGGUUUGCUUUACUUAAUUUUUAAAAUUCUAAUUCACCCCCCUUCUUGGAUUGCCUAGUUAGUAUUUCACAUAUCCAUGCAAGUGUAUCCAACAACUGGAUGCAACUAUGGUAAGGUACCACAGUUGCACCGUAGCCGGACCCUAGAAAUUAAGAUAUUAUCUCUCUACAUAUUUUUGCACGAAAUAAUAUGCAAAUAUAAUAUUUUAGUUUAUUAUUAAUAGUUUUACAAUAAUAAAAAUCAUUUUGAUAGACUGGAAAAUGUCGUAUUCGCACUUUAUUUUGUACGAACGUCUGCGAGAAAGAAUAUAUCUAUAUAUAUAUAUUGGAACAUGUAUUUAAGAUUUAGCUAGUGUGAAGUUGGGAAAGUUUUUUUUUUUUUUAACCCAGGCUAAAAAUAUUUCAAUAAAUUUUGAUCAUGGAGACUAAUAAGAUUUUUUUGGUUAUAUUUAUUAAUUUUUUAGGGACUGACAUGAAUAUUAAUAUUUUUAUUGAGAUUAUUAAAAAAAUGUGCUAUUUUACAUCUAUGACUUUUCCAAUCUUUUUUUCUUUCGUUAUUUAUUCCUUUGUGAAUUUUAGUUAAUGCUUGAUAUUAUUUGUUUGCUCAUUUUUUAAAGCAGUAAUUAAAUCUGAACCCUUACAGUAGAAGAUUAUGAAAAAGUAAAGACACAAAAAUCAUAAAAAUCAUUGUAGGUCCAAAUUUGUGCUAUUUUCAUACAUAAUUUGAGAAUAUUUAUAAUUACGCAUCACAACUAGUGGAGUAGAAUCAGGGAAAUUAAACAUUCUACAAUCAUUGACGUGUGGGUUGGGGAUAAGCAUAAACCUUUUCUAUGCAGUAUAAAAGAAUGCAAUAACUCCUUUUCUUUCAGCAUUUUCGCAACAAAAGCACAUCUAAUAACUCUUCAGAAUUCUCGUCUUCUUUGUCAGAAUGGUUGAUGCGAUCGUUUCCUCUCUCCUGGUGCAGCUGAGCUCUGUUGCGGCUGAUGAAGUGAAACAACAGGUGAGGCUUGUGACUGGUGUCGAGGAAGAAGUGAAAAAGCUCACCCGCAAUCUUCGAGCCAUUCGAGCUGUGCUGGAAGAUGCAGAGAAAAGGCAAAUGCAGCGCGACAAUGCUGUUACUUUUUGGCUGGAUCAGCUCAAAGACGCAUCUUAUGACAUGGAAGACGUGUUGGAGGAGUGGACCACUGCAAGGCUCAAAUUGCAGAUUGAGGGCGUUGAUGAUGACAAUGCUCUUGCUCUUGCUCCUUAUAAGAAGAAGGUACGUUCCUUCUUUUGUGCUCUAUCAAACUGCUUUGGUAGUUUCAAAAAACUCAGUCUUCGUCAUGACAUUGCCGUCAAGAUUAGGGAAAUCAAUGGAAAGCUAGAUGAUAUUGCCUCCCAAAAAGAUAGGUUUAAAUUUGUUGAGAAUGUGAGCAACAAUGUUAAGAAACCAGAGCGAGUGCGAGCCAUCCCCUUGAUUGAUGAGAGAGAGGUUUGUGGUAGAGUUGAUGAGAAAAAUGAUCUCUUAAGCAAGCUGCUGUGUGAAAGUAGUGAACAACAAGAAGGCCUUCAUGUCAUCUCACUAGUUGGGUUAGGGGGUAUAGGUAAAACCACUCUAGCACAACUGGCCUAUAAUAAUGAUGAGGUGAAAAGAAAUUUUGAAAAAGUUAUAUGGGUGUGUGUAUCAGACACUUUUGAGGAGAUUAGGGUCGCCAAAGCAAUCAUUGAAGGUCUAGGCGUGUCAGCUUCUGGUUUAAGUGAAUUCGAAUCUCUUAUGAAACAGAUUCAGGAAUAUAUUACGGGGAAGAAAUUUUUUCUUGUUUUAGAUGAUGUGUGGGAUGGAGAUUACAAAAAAUGGGACCCAUUCUUUUCUUGUCUAAAGAAUGGCCACCAUGAAAGUAAAAUUCUAAUUACCACACGUGAUAGGUCAGUUGCACUACAGUUGGGAUCAAUAGAUAUUAUCCCUGUCAAGGAGUUGGGAGAAGGGGAAUGUUGGUUACUGUUUAAGCAGAUGGCAUUUCUACGUAGGUCCUUUGAGGAUCGUGAAAAAUUAGAACCAAUCGGGCGAAAAAUUGCACACAAGUGCAAAGGCUUGCCUCUUGCUGCAAAGGUAAUAGGGAAUCUUUUGCGCUCUAAAAGUACAGUAAAAGAGUGGCAAAGAAUUUUAGAGAGUGAAAUGUGGAAAGUAGAAGCAAUUGGGCAAGGUCUUUUAGCUCCUUUGUUGUUGAGUUAUAAUGAUUUGCCCUCCAAUUCUAUGGUAAAACAAUGUUUCUCAUAUUGUGCUGUCUUUCCAAAAAACUACAAUAUGAAUAAAGAGGAACUAAUUUCACUAUGGAUGGCUCAAGGUUAUCUUAAUACAGAAGAAGACGAAGAGAUGGAGAUGAUUGGGGAAGAGUAUUUCAACAUUUUAGCAGCACGCUCUUUCUUUCAAGAGUUUAAAAAAGAUGAUGAUGAUGAUAUUAUGAGCUGCAAGAUGCAUGACAUAGUACAUGAUUUUGCCCAAUUUGUAAGUAGAAAAGAAUGUUUGUGGGUAGAAAUUAAUGGUACCAAAGACUCAGUCAUAAACUCUUUUGGUGACAAAGUCCGUCACUUAGGGUUAAAUUUUCAAAGAGGCAUUUCAUUUCCUAUGUCCAUUCGUGGACUUAAUAGAUUGCGUACCCUUUUAAUUUAUGAUAGAAGUGAUUUCAAUCUGUCUCUUAGUAGCAUCCUUUUGUCUUUUAGUAGUAGCAAAGAAUGUUUAAGGGCAUUAGUUAUAAGGCUGUUGCGCCUAUGUUUUUGUCCAAACACAUAUAAGAUUAGAGAAACUCGAAAGUUAUUUAGUAAAUUGGCCUGUUUGAGGGCAUUAGUUAUAAGGGAAUCAUUAGUUAUAAGGCUUUCAUCCACGCCUGUUCGUCUUCACUCAAGUUUGAUUAGAGAAAUUCCAAAAAAUGUCGGAAAAUUGAUACAUUUAAGAUAUCUUAAUUUGUCUGAAUUAGGCAUAGAGAGACUACCUAAGACUUUGUGUGAAUUAUAUAAUUUACAAAAGCUAGAUAUUAGGCGGUGCCGAAAUCUUAAAGAAUUGCCAGCGGGGAUUGGGAAGUUAAAGAACAUGAGGAGUUUACUGAAUGGUGAAACUGAUUCGUUGAAAUACAUGCCAGUAGGGAUUUCCAAAUUAACCAGUCUUCGAACAUUAGACAAGUUUGUGGUGGGUGGAGGUGUUGAUGGUAGCAAUACGUGUAGGCUUGAAUCUCUGAAAAAUCUUCAACUCCUUCGAGAAUGUGGAAUAGAAGGGCUGGGUAAUGUGUUAUAUUUAGAUGAGGUCGAGAGAUUACAACUUUACAAUCAGCAAAACCUCCUUCGUUUGCGUCUUGAGUUUGGUAGAGUCGUAGAUGGGGAAGAUGAAGAAAGGAGGAGGAAGAAAGAGAAAGAUGAACAACUUCUUAAAGCCUUACAACUGCCUUUGAGUGUAGAGAAAUUAGGGAUUAUAUUAUAUGGAGGCAACAUUUUUCCCAAAUGGUUGACUUCACUGACCAAUCUAAGGAAUUUAUAUCUUCGCUCGUGCGUUAAGUGUGAGCAUUUGCCUCCUUUGGGAAAAUUGCCUCUGGAAAAACUCGUAAUCAUCCACUUGAAAAGUGUAAAAAGAGUGGGUAACGAGGUUUUGGGAAUAGAAGAAAGCAGUGAGGAUGGCCCGUCUUCAUCUUCAUCACCACCAUCAGUUAUUGCCUUCCCCAAAUUGAAAUCACUCAUAAUUGGGGCAAUGGAAGAAUUGGAAGAGUGGAAUUACAGGAUUACGAGGAGGGAAAACAUCUCUAUCAUGCCACGUCUUUCUUCCUUGGAAGUUCGUUCUUGCAACAAAUUGAAGGCGCUGCCGGAUUACCUUCUUCGAACGUCGACGCUGCAGGAAUUGACUAUUGACAAAUGUCCUCUUCUGGAAAACCGUUAUAGAGAGGGGAAAGGAGAAGACUGGCAUAAGAUAUCUCGCAUUCCCCACAUCAAGUGGUCGCGGUAAUUUAUCACUCGCCGGUAAUUUCUCCUGCUCCUCUGAUUUACUUCGUUGUUGCUUGCAAUGAAAUUAAUAAAAAUAAUUAUAUUUUGAAUUAAAAUUCUAUAUAGAAUCAAUCAUGGUAUAAAUACGUAAAACUUCCUAGUUAUCAAAUCUGUUAAACUUGUUUUCUAAAGAUUAAAUAAAAAAAAAAUACAAGUGUAGUCUGUUUAAAUUUCUAUAUUUAUUUGUUUUUAAAAAAUAUGUGCUCUUUUGUAAAAUUUCAUGCAAUGUAAUUUAUUUUUUAAUGUACGAAAAUUUGUUAUGUGUAACAAAAUCUCUGUGAUACGUUUGCAGUAAUGUUGAAAACUAAAUUAUCAAUUUUAUCUUAUAUAAUGAUAAUCGUAUUUUUUUAUAUAUAAUAUACGUGACAUUAAUUCUUUAAAGUAAUUGUGUAAUUGUUUUUAGUAGUACAUUAGCCCACUUUGUUUUAUUUCAUACUUGUUUAAUUAUGUUCACCAGGGAUUCGAGGAAAUGUCAGAACUACACUAGCAAUUCACAGGUCCAAUCUAAUUUGGUUUUAAUGAUGCGGGCAGGAGAGCAAGACUAUGAAAAUGAGAAGUUUAGCCAAAGGAUUGCUAAAAUGUUCUGCUGGUAAUUCACUUGCUUUAUUUUAUAGAAUUUCAUUUCCAUCUUCUUCUAUUGAUAUCUUGUUGUAAUAAACAAGAACAGAGAAGUAAAUAUAUAUAUCAAAAUUUACUAUUACGAUGAUGCUAAAGCAAGCUCAAGCUCAAGCACUGCAUUUUUAUUUUAUUUAAUUUAUAGAAUUUUCAUUUCCACCUGCAUUGCAUUUUUAGGUUGACUUUGAAGACUCUAUGGAGAAAAUUGGGGUAACCAAGGAUUAUCACUGUGGUUAUUGUGCAACGUUUGGUUGCUGGACUUUGAAGAAGGAAGUGAUGGCCGGGUCUGCUCUGUUUCAAUUGAGGAUGGAUAGCUGCCUGAAAGACAUGAUGAUUAUUAUCAUUGCAUGAUGUUAAGGUGCUAAGAUCAUCAUUUCGAUCUUGUUUCAUUCUUGGAAUCAUUUAUCCUGUAUAAACAUUUGUUUUAACAAAUGUUUCAAUGCCUGCUGUAGUAACAAUUUCAUCUCUUGCAUCUCUCGGGUGCAUCAUGAUCACGGGUUUGAGAAAGCAUUUGUGGUAAAGCUUCAAAGCUUGUACAAUGGCUGUGAAAAGGCACAUUCAAUUCGGUACGUUUGGUGCGGUCUCCUAAUGCUACUACCAUAUUUUGUAUAGCAAUUAAAAUUCAGGUAUACAAUCUUAAUAUGCAAUAAAUCAUUGAGUACAAAGUUAUCUAUUAAUUAUAUGGUAACUGAAAUUUUCAUUAUAAUUUUAAUUAUCAUAUUAAUAUUAAAGUUUUUUGUAACCCUCUUUUACUUUGCUUGUACAGAGUAUCUGUUUUGGCUGAUAUGUCUAAUUCGUAGCAAUUCAUUUCCAUCGGUUUCCAUUGGUUUUAGCACAAACAGAAACAAAAAUCUGGGGAAAAAGUUUUACUUCUUCUGGUAUUAUGCCUUUAUUUAUUCAUUCAUCAUAUUUGUUCGAAUUCAUGCUCUCAUUCAGAGAGCAGCCUUUUCCAGGCUACUUUGUAGCCAAAUUUUCAUGCCAUCGAUGCAUGAUUGUCAUUUAGAUUUUCCAAAUAAUUGUUAGAUUGAAGAAGAAUAAGAAGAUAUUGUUAAAAGGGUAUUUAAUUAGCACCCUCUGAAUUUAGUUGCCAAUAAUGCAUUGAAAUGGUUGGGGAAAGUUAUUGUCUCAAUUAAAUUACAGGUGACAAGAUGCUGCUCCAAUUUUGCAAGCAUCUCGUGUUUCGAGAUUUUGCCCACAUGAGAUGCUAUGAUUUUUGACAUCAGGGUAACAAAGGUCAAAUUUUAGCAUCAAUAGAUAUCAUCUUCUUUACUGUUCUGCUCGAAAUAUUAAACUUUAGGCAAGUUGUUUUUGUUUGUGUGAGUUAUCAGGUUAAGGAUACUAAGCAGCUUAUUAAGGCAAAUGUCAGAAUGAAGAUUUUUCACCGCACCUGGUAUGAAUGAUGGCGAGGAAGAUUAAUUGUUCACAAGCCAAUUUGAUCAGUGUUAGAUUCUUUUGCCUCCCUUCAAGAGAUAUCAUCAUCAAAUUUGAGAAGAGACUUUUGUUUUGACAUUUCACUGUAGUGAAUUUUGGGAGCUUGAACCCACUUGAGUGAAAUAUUAGGGAAUACUGGGGAUAUGGGUUAUGAGUGAUCGUUAUCCUUCAAAUAUUUGUAAGCUCUCACUUGUUAGUAAAAUCAUCUUCGUAUAUUGACUUUGUUUCUUUGUUGUCAGGCCGAGUGUGAUCUUCAAGGUUUGAGAAAGUCUUCGCAGUAAAAUUUCCACCACGUGCAAUUGCUGUGAAGGGGCAUAUACAUUUGAGUAAUUCAGUUUCAGAUUUUCAAGGCGCGUUUGUUUAAUUAGUUUCGAUUAUAAUAUUUAGUCACUCAUUCUGAAUCUUUUCUAAUUUUCAAGUUCUUUAGGGCCGCCAACAGUUUUUCAAGUCUACAUGUGGCUGCAAAAAGAUUGAUGGUCAUCAAAUUAUCUUGAGCCUUGAGGCAUUGCGUUCGAGCACAAAAGGAAACAGAACUAAGGGAAAUGAAGACAGUAGGAGAUGCUCUGAAUAUAACAAAAGUAUAUUUCUACUUCUUGUGGUUAUUUUAAUUUUGUUUAUCCUGUCAUCAUAUUUAAUUAAUUCGUUUGAAUUCACACUCUCACACAUUAUUUAAAACCAUCUGCAGGUGGUUUGCAAGCUAGCUAAGUUAAUGCAAAAACAAUACUCUAGACAAAGAUGAGCAAAUUGAAGGCGACAAAUGCAAAUUGGAUUUCAAUGAAUAAUUGUUAGGCUGGUGGAGAUAUUCUUAAAAGGGCAUUAAGCUAUCUUAUGGAAUUGGAAAGUUAUUAUUGCUUGAAAGCAAGCAGCAUCUUCGUUGCGAAGGCUUUCCCCACCUGAUAAAAUGCUGAGAUUGUUACCGGCCCCUUAAUUAUUUAUUAACUCAGGUAUUUAUUAUCAAUACAUCAUCUUAUUCACCAUUUUGGCUAUAUAUAAAGAUUAAAAUUUCUAACAGUUGUUUCGGAUUCUUGUGUACUCAGGUUAAUAGGGCAAAUAUCAGAAUGAAGAUUGCUCAGUGCAACCGAUAGAGCAAGGAUGAUAGUUGUGAGAAAGAUUGUUGGCAAGACAAAUAGAGCCCUCCAUUUGGAGAAAUAUCAUCCUCAAAUUUGAAUUGUCGAGCAUGUGAGGUGAAUCUAAAGCCUUAAUAAUGAGACCUUCCUGUGGAAGUUUCAUUUGAAUGAAUUGAACGUUCUUACUGAGUGAGAAAUUAAGUAUAUAUCAUCGAUUUUGGUCGUCUGUGAAUGUUUUCCUUCAAUAUUAAUACACUAGCAUUUCUUAGUAAAUUCACUUCACGUCACUUCCUCCUUGUUGGUGGGACUAGUAAACAAAUGUCAUUUCUUAGUACAUUUUGAGAAUUUUGAUUCCCAAAUAAGCCUGCAGAACGGUGUAUGGUGGGAUUAGCUGCAGGAUUCUUUGCCAAAAUUCCUUUUUAUUCCUUUGUUCACUUAUUCGUUAUAAAUAAAGUAAAAUUAGAAUAUUGUUCCGUUUACUGUCUAAGCUGGUCUAACAUUUGUUUAAUUUGGGCAAUUUUUAAUGCCUAACAGGUUAUCUGUGACAAACCCAUCGGUGAGUGUAUGCAACUAUUGGAUGGAUUUGAUAGAGCGGUCACCAACAAUUUUGAAGUUAUUGGAGUAGCAUGGCUUGGAGGUCUCUCCCUCCCUCUUUUACGUAUUUGUCUAUUGAUUGACAUGUCUAUAUAUACAUUGAUAGACCAACCUACUCUGGUUUUAAUGUUUUGUUUGUUAAACUUUGACUGGGGAAUGUUUAUUUGUCUCAUAUGAUGUCAAUGUGGUUCCUAUUGAAGUGUAUAGAUCUGUCACCUCAAAGUCUGAUUUCAAUUUUCCUUUACUUCAUCAACUAGCAUCGUUUCCAAGUCCAGAUACUUACCAAUAGUGAGACUUUUCUACGGAAGUACAAUUUCUCUUGUUUUACAGUUAAUUAUGUAAGAAAAGUUUUACAUUUACAGAAUUCUGGUAUAGCUCUCUUAAGGAAAUGCGAGUGGUGAAUAUGGUUCCAACUUUUAAUAGGCUUAAUAGGCCCAUUUGUUAAGCCACAGUGAUUGCGGUCUAAAUUCUUCUUUACUGUCUAUAUGUGUUGGAGUUUGUCUAUUGUCCAACUUCUCAAAUCGAUUCCAUGCAGGGUUUUGAAUGUCUAAUUAGGAGAAAGAUUAACGGAUGACCUUUUGAAGAAGGCUUACACAACAGGCCAUCUCAGGAUGUCAUGGCUCAGCUCAAAAGUCCCCAGGUGGUUGAUAUCAAAGAAUGCCAUUGUUUCUGGGCUUGGUCUCCUUGGCAUCAAACAAGAUAAUGUUGACUCUAUUAAAGGGGAAAUAAGGGCGACUAAAGCGCGAAGAAAGAGGAUAGUCCGGAGGAAGGUGACUGCAUAAAUUUGUUGGAGUUAAUGUAGUCAAUUGCCCAAUUUUGCUGCCUGUCGAAGAGACACAUCAUGGAAGUCCUCAUCAAACUCUGAGACACCUAAGAAAUAGUAUGAGGUGGUGGUAUUCCCCUGGUGUUAAUUUCCUGGCAAGUGUGGUUCACAGAUAGAGGGAUUCUUUUCUUGAUGUCUAAAUACCGUAUGUGAUACAACGUCGUAUAUUCUAAUUUUCCUUGAGUUAAAUUCUAGUCAGUUAGGAAAGUUAAUUUUGUUUUCGCUAUGGAUUGUUUCCUAGAUAAUAAUAGUUUCCAUGUUUCUUUGGGGUCUUAUUAACUCUCUGUAACCCAGUUCAAGUUUGCAAAUUCUAUUUCAGAUUUCUCAUAUAGUGUGCCUUUGUCACUUCUGUGAUACACUUUUGAUCACAAGUUUCCAUUUGAAGUAACCAAUAUUCUUUAUAGACUAAUUAUCUAAGGAUUAUUUUAUACAAAAAAAUCAAAACUUUAAUUAAUUGAUCAUACUUAACUUGGCUUUUGUUUGAUAUUACUAGCUGUUGUGAGAACCAAAAAAAUAGCAGAAAGUUGACAAUGUGCAGUAAAUGUAUGACUUUUAAAUAAUAAUUUAAUAAAAUUAAUAAAGAUAUUAUAAAUUUUUUAAUAAUAAAGUAUGAGAUCAAAUCAAAUUAAUUUUUAAGUCAAAAUUGUUUAAUUAUGUAGUUUAAAAGUAUAGUUAUCCAACCUCAACACAAUAGAGAGAUUUCUAUUUACCAAACUCUACCCAACUUUGGUUGUACUGACUCGAUCAUGCAAGUCCAUACUCGACGCGUUGACCAUACAAGAUGUUACUCAACUUUAACAAAUCUUACUCAAACUUUGCACGUUUAGCAUGCCGAAUGGAAUAUGAUAGUAGAUGAUGUGAUAGAUAUUAUAGGAAUAGUCGUAACAAAAUUAUAUUUAGUACUUUUUUAUAUUUUAUGUGAUGAACAGAUGUAGUAUAUGAAUGGAUUAUAUUACAAAUUUUAGUGUUAUCAUAAUUAAAAAAUUGAAUUAUUUUUUAUUAUUGAAAAACUGUAAUAUGUUAAAUAACAGUUAUUUUUAUUAAUUUUUUUUAAUGAAUUAUACUUUUAAAUUGUAAUCGAAAAUUCUUAUUACUGAACUAAUAAAAAAUUAAUUAGCUCAAGAGAUAAAUUCACUUAGUGUAGAACGAAAUGGUGUGUUAUUUUUAUGUGGGAUCCACAUCCUUUCCACAUCAACCUCAACAUCCAAACAUGAAAUUGGACUAAAAAUAGUUCUUUCCCAUGUAUUUACGUAACCUCCUCCCACUAAACGCAAAUAUUUAUUCUUGAUUUUACUAACAUAAUUUUCUCCCAUUUCCAUAUUGUCCGCGUUGAGUGCAUGUAAUCCACAAGUUUAAUUUUUUUUUUUUUUUUAGAGAGGUAUGUUAAAAUGAAUAUAUCACUUUUUUUUCUUUUUUCCUUUUUUUUGUGUGAGUGAUGGCUUCGUUGAAUGACAGUUGGCUGAUAAUAAGUUAUCUUUUAAUUUUGUUUUUGAUUUAAUAGAAAAUAUUAAUUUUUGUAGUUUCGGUAGAUGAAAUUUCGAAUCAAAUAUUAAUAUUGUUAAAGUACGCAACCCAAUAUUUGCUUAAAUUACAAAAAAGAUUAAUUGCUUUGCAUAAAAAAGAAGUGAUCACUUGAUUUAACUUCCUUUACUAAAUUUACGAUUUAAAAUCCAAAAUAAAAAAGAGAGUUUAUUAUUGAUUAUCAUUUUCCCAAAUUUAAGCUAAGACAGUAAUAUGUCCAAAAUACCCUCCACGUUAUCCUAAAACUUUAUGAAUUCCCCCGUUCCUCUCAACAUCAUCUCUUCCAAAUCUUUCUUCCCCAAAAAACCAGCCAUGGCUUCAUAUUUAGUUACCUCAACACUCCAAUAUUGGCUUGUAAACAGCAGCGGUUCAACCUCUAGGCAACUUAGGUGGUUGCAUAGGACUCCGCUUUAUAUGAAAGCCCUACAAGAUGAUUAUUUUGUAUAUAAAAGAGGAAAAUGAAUUUAAAAGUCAUUAUUAUUCAUUUAAUUUAUUAUUAUUUUGUAAUUAUCUUUUUCUAAAUAAACUAUCAAAUUCUUAUCAAGUUUAUUUAAUGUAGUACUUAAUUGUUUUAAUUUCUACAAAACCAAUAAAUUAAUAGUUUCAAUCCUAAAAAUUCUCUAUUUCAUUGUUAGAAUUAAUAAGUUAUAUUUCAAAAGUUUUAUAUUUAUUUUAAACCUCUAUAAAAACCCCACAUUUUAUUACUUAUCCAUUAAAUUUUUCGUUCAACAAUCAAGACAUCUUGGUGUUUGAGAGAAAGAAAGAGAGAGGGAAAAAAAUCUUGCUUCCUCUACUUUCUACUCUAGAAGAAAAAGAAAAAAUCAAAUAGUUUUCUCUAUUUUCUAUGACUAUUGGUUGCUACUCAAAUUUUCAAACAACAGCCUUAAUAUAAACAUAAGUUAAUUUAUGAUUUCAUCUCAAAUUUCUGAUUUUAUCUUUUUAUUAUUCUCUUAAUUAAUUGUGUUGUUAUUUGUUCUUAUUUCUUUUUAUAUAUUCUUUUCUUCAUCUACUUUUUUUGUGCUUGUUUUAUCUAUUUUGAAAUAAAACUAUAUCAAAAAAUUUUAGACAAUAGGAGAAUAAAAAAAUUAGAUUAAUUUAAAAAAAUAGUAAAAAAGAUAUAAUUUAACUUAAAAAAAAGUGAAAAUGUUAUAAUUGAAUUAAAAUUUUAUGACUUAACAACAAUAGAAUAAAUUUGUAUUUAAUAAUUUUAUAUUUUAAAGUAUUUAAAGAAUUAAUUUUUAAUAAAUAAUAUUAAUAUAUAUAUAUAUAUAUAAGUUACUUAUCUCUCCAUCCGCACUUAUCUCUCCCUCACAUUCAUCCUCAACCACACAUCAACAUCAACAUCAACAUCACCUCUCAUUGGACCCCACAUCCUCAAGCCCAUCACAGCCGUCCAUAACCUCACCCUCCUCCUCCUCUCCCUCAUCAUGGCCGUUGUUUGCCCUCUCUCCAUCAUCCUCCAUUUACCGCACCUCCGUUACACCCUCUGUUUCCUCCUUACCAUUUCUCCGUCUGGCACGGCCUAAUUCCGACGGAAUCAACGACGGUCGUGAUGGGUUUUGGCUGCGACUAUUCGCGCUUCAAACGGCGGCGUUUCGGUUGGUUUUUGGCGACAGUGACGGUGGGAAAGUGAUGGCUGGCUCAGGAGCUUUCUUUGCUACCAUCCAUGGCCGGUGAGGUGGCCGAAAAUCGGAUAUAUGUCUGCGUCGGGUUCGCAGUUUUGGGUCGGGUUUUCCGGGUCAGUUUGACAGCUUCCUCUAUCCCUCUCCCCCAUAAAACAUUACCCAGCUUCCUCUUAUUAUUAUUUUUUUUUUCACAUACGUUACAGAACAUUAAUGAGAGAUGUUUAGUAGUAAGGACUAUUUUGAUAUUUCGAUGAGUAGUAAAAACUAAUGUUAAAAUUUUAUAGACGAAUGUAUAGUAAGAUGCUCAAAGUACUAGAACAUAUAUAAAUAAUCCCAGCUCUUAUAAAAUUUUGCCACAUAAUGAGUUUUAUCCCUUAAGCAAAACAUAUCGAUAAAGUAUACAAAAGCACAAUGCAUGAAUGAUGGUCUUACAAAGUUCGAAUAUAAAGUUUAAGAUACAGAAUAUGAUUUAUUUCCUUUUAGUUUAGUUUUUUUUUUUUUUUUUGGUUUCUUUUGAAAGGAGACCAACUAGAUCAUGCAAGAAGUUAAUUUUUUUCUAAAAUAAAAAGGGAGAAAUGAUGGUCUUACAAAGUUCGAAUAUAAAGUUUAUAAUCUAAAAUUAAUGAUGUGACAAUUAACCUAAUGGAGUAAGAAGUCCCAAAUAGAUUAUAUUUUGCUAAAGAAGUCAAUUCUACCAAGAAUACCUCUUUCUAUUGAAUUUAAAUGAUGAUUAUUUGUUUAUAUCAUAAAAGCUAAAAUAAUUGUGUGAGUAAUUUGAUUCUUUUACAGUAUAAAAAUAAAUUCAGAAAAUGUUAGGGAAAGGUCUUACACUAUAAAUGACCAAUAGAAGAAUAGAAAAGAAUUUUAGAUAGUGGAAUGUGGAAGGUAGAAGAGUUUGGGAAAGGUCUUUUGGCUACUUUGUUGUUAAGUUAUAAUGAUUUGUCAUCCAUAAUAAAACAAUAUUUCUCACAUUGUUCUAUCUUUUCAAAAGGUUACAAUAUGUGUAAAGAGAAACUAAUUACACUAUGGAUGGCUCAAAGUUACCUUUAAAUGUAGAAAAAGGCAAAGAGAUGGAGAUCCGAUCCAAUAUGAUAAUAGUAGUUUAUUUUAAUUUUUAUUAAUUUGAUUUCAUAGGAGUAGUUUUCAUUUUUUGUUGAAAAUUGGUAAAAAAAAACUAAAAUGAGAUAAUUACUUUAAAACAAUCUUCAAGAACUAAAAUAAUUAAAAAAACUCAAAAUAAACAAAAAGGCUUAAAAAUAACCCUAAUCCGAAAAUUGUUUGAAUCCAUCCUAACUGGCCCGAAUAUGAUUUUAACCCAAACCCAAUCUAACUCGCUUAUAAUUAUAACCUAAUGCGAUCCAAAUUCAACUUGAAUUUUUGAUCCGAUCUAAUCCAAUUUGAAUAUUCUAACCCUAUCAACCAGAAACCCAAUUAGGUUGAUCUGAACCUACAUUUGUCCACUCCUAGAGGGGAUCAUGACCCUACAAACUUUGAAAGUUUUUUGAGAUUUCUAAGUGAAUAUUAAAAAUUAUGUAUAAAAAGACUGAUUUGACCCCUAAACACUUGAUAUAGAAACUUUAUACAUAUAAUAGAAAUUAAUUUUAUAUUUUGUGAAAUAAAAUCAAAGUAACUGAAUUUUUUAAUUUUUAUUUUGUUAAUUAUUUUUCUACUAUGACAAAAUGACUAAUAGCCUGGUGCCUAGCUCUUUGACUUUUAUUUUGCUAAUUAUUUUUUUUCAUUUCUCUUGCAACAGUAAAUUCAAUUAUCAAUCAAAGUCGCCAAAUCAAAAUCUCUGCAGCCUGCAGCUACAAGCAAACUUCUCAAAUUUCGAAAUUCCUUAUGACUACAUAAUAGCUAUAAAUAGAAAAAGCGUCUAAAAUAACUAUGUUUUCCUAAGUUUGAGCUUGAGCCCCCUGAAGAUUUACUCCAUAUGUAACAAAAUAUUAGUUUUGCUAGUAAAAUUGCUAACUAUGUUUUUCUUUGUAUUUCCGCUCAAGGAUGAAGAAAUUUCCCUAGACUUUUGUGGUGAAUAUCUUACGAACAUAUGACAAUUUAAUCUUUGGCUGAGACUUGUUUAACAUAAGAGAUGACACUUUGAAGCAAUAGGAGAGAGAGCUGAUAAGCUUUGUUCCUAAAAAAAAAACUAUUACUUCUUUCUUUGAACAUAUGCGCAUUCUCUCUAAUUGUUGCAAUGGAGGAAUUUCCCAUCUAAAGAACACUUCAAUCAUCCAUUGCUUUGUAAGAUGUGAAAAGGCUACGAUUCUUGUACACAUACUUGAUUGCACCGGAAUCUAUUCACUAUGCAUUAUCAUGUUUGAGAAUAUUAAUCUCAGAUAUCAUGACCAUAAAUUUUGUCCACAAAAUUUGUGUUCAAACACUUCUUUUCUUUCUUAAGAAGUUGACAGUCUUUUUUAAAGUGGCUUGGCUUUUCACAUUGGCCACAUGUACACUUCUUUUUUUUAUUCUGUUGGUUUGAUUCUAUUUGGAAUCAAACUUUUGCUUUUGGUUAUUAAUGCGGUCAUUAGACUGCUUAAGCUCCUUCUCCUCCUCCACAACAUUAAUUUUAGAGGACAUAGCAGGCUGUUCCUCAAGACUAUUAAGUCUAAGUUUCUAUUCAAUAUGAAGACUUUGCCAUGCCUUCCAAGCUAAUUUCCUCUUUGCUAUAUUUAAGACUUUUUUCAUAGUCUUUUCAAGAGGGGGGAAGUUUAUCAAUAAUUGAAGAAGUGGUGCAGUCAAUUAAAUGAGCGAACUCGAGAAUCAUAAGAGUACAUACAAUAGUGGCUACAAUAAUUAGGCCUGCUUCCUCUCUCACCAGAACAGAACUGACGGCCCGAUCCGAUACCGCCAAAUACAUGACACAACUUAAAAGUAAAUUUUAACUCCCAAGUAUAAGAGUGUCUUGUUGUAUUAUAACUCGGUGAGUCCGAGGUCGAUCCACAGAGAAAAGAUUUAAUUAGUUUAUUUUAUUUUAUCUAAAAAUUGAAAUUAAAACUUGAAUAUAAACAACUUAAUUUAAAUGAAACUAUGGAAUUGAACUAGUUAGGGUUAUGGAUCCACUCUUAGAAAUAAAUAAAACUUAAUAAAUUCUUUUUGCCAAUUUGUUUUAGAUUUAUUACUCAAAAGAUUAAUUAUACAAAUUAUUAUUAUUUUCCCUUUAAUUUUAUGAUGGAUUAAGUAUUUAUUGUGCCAAAAUUUAAUUUGUCUACAAUAAGUCAAAAUACCAUUUCACCAUGCCUUAUAUUAAGAUCUUAAGAAUUUAUUGUGCCAAAUUCAUUUGUUUGUCUACAAUAAAUCAAAUUUUCAAAAUAUAAAACAUGUAUAAAAUUAAAUAGAAAAUAAUUUAAUUUAUAAAAUUAAACAUAGAAUUUGAUUAAAUCAUAUUUAUUUCUUAAGAGUUUCACCUUCCCCUAACUAAUAUUAUUUAGUUAAGCAUAAUUAAAAUAAAAAGAAGUAGUAAAAUUGAAUUACUUAUAAUUAAAAGAAAUAAAAACAACUAAAAUUGGAAAUAAAACUAAUUUUAUUAAUGAAAAUAAUUAUACAAAAUAUUAAAAACACACCUGGAAAUCAAGAUUAUAAGGAGAUGGAGAGAAUUUGAGAAGAAGAGAGUUGUAGAGAGAUGAUUAAAACAUAAAAAUGAGGCUCUAUUUAUAGAAAAAUAAAUUCAUAAUCCAGUGCUUUGCGGUCCAUCAUAGGCUUCAUGCAUGUGCUCCUCACAACCCUUAGAUCAAGAUCCAAUGGCUGGUCAAACUUCAAAAGUCAACAUCACACAUGGCAUCAUUUGACUCGUCCGAUUUACCCAAAGAACGGUUGAGAUUUGGCGGGUUAAUGGAUGGAUCGGGUCGACCCGAAUACAAAGAUUCGGAUCCUCCAACUUGCUUCACCAACCAUUGCCACGUGGCACAAUCAUGGCCAUUGAAUCAUGAACGGUUGAGAUUUAGUCAAGAUUGCCAAUUAUCCCAUGCACUCAUAUCUAUUGUAAGCUCAUUUCAUCAUCCAAUCAGUGCUCGGUCAACAGGAAAAGUCAACUUUUUUUACACAAGCCCAAUUUUAAGCCGAUCUUGACUGAUCUUAAGGUUUUCGGACCUCCGGAAUCCAAAUUUGACCUCUGUUUAUCUGUUUGGAGCCUCGAAAUACGUGAAAUUAAUAUUUUUCCUAAUAAACACAUAAAAAUACACAAAAUUAAAUAUAUUUAAAACAUAAUUAAUAAUUCAUAAUAUAUUACAUAAACGCAAAUAUAAAUUAUAACAUAAGCAUAAAAUAACAUAUUAUCGCUUGAUAAUUAAACAAUUUUUAAUACUAAUCACACCCCCCAACCAGCUUAUUGCUAGCCCUCUAGCAAUUAAAGCGUUAUAUUAAGAUUUAUAAAAUUCACAUGCAAGUUAAUAGUUGUUCAUCUAUCCUCUAAAUUACCAAAUAAAUGAACUCUCCCAAAUUCCUUUACCACAUUGAUGUUCACUCAUUAUCCAGAAUAUCAUCAAACCUUCUUUUGUGCUCAAGUAAUUAACACAAUACUUAUGGGGCUUCAUUAAAAGAAAAACAACAUUUUCGUUCUAAAAUUCAUUAGAAAUUAUAUCUUUAGGCAAUAGAUUAUUCACACAUUUUUUUUUUAUAUUACAUUUCUAACCCGUGUAGCGAGCUUUAGGUCAAUGACUCCCAGACCAGUUGGCCUUAGGGCACUAGGUGUUGAAGCACCCCUACGGACUUAAUUACUCGGGUUUCUAAUAAACAAACAAUAUAUCUAUUACCCAUGUAGCGAGCUUUAUGCCAGUGACUCCCAGACCAGUUGACCUUAGGGCACUAGGUGUUGAAACACCCCUACGGACUUAAUUACUCGGGUUUCUAGAUAUAACAAAAUUAAAAACAUUUUUUCUUCUUCUUUUUUUUUGAUUUUUUUUUUUUUUUGGUUUUUUUGUUUUUGGAAAUAUACACUUUCUACUACCUUAGAUACUAUUCCUAAUAAAUCAAAAGAACUAAAUGCUGUAAAACUUUAACUUACAACCCACUAGUAUGUGUCAUAGUGUGUGUGUGAAGAAUGAUUCAAUAAUACCUGUUAAAUGAGUAAACAAUUAAAUAACUUAAUAACCAAGUGGAGAGUUCACAAAUUUGAGUAAUUCAAAGAAAAGGGAACAAAAACAACUUACUAUGAAUCUCAAAAUCAAAAUAUAAUACAACAAGACUAUUAGGAUGCGUCUCAAAAGUCGUGACUCUUUACACGGCCAUCCUAGACAAAAAACAAAUUUUUUUUUUUUGGUUUUUUUUUUUUUUUUAACAAAGAAAAGAAAAGAGAAAAGAGAAAAACAACACACAUAUUUAAAACAUACGUCAAUUAUCCCCACCCCACAACCUAAUCUAAACAUUAUCUUAACAUUUUAUAAUUUUACAGAUAUGCAAAAAAAUAAAAAUAAAAGAGAAUAAUAAAAGAAGAAGAAGAAGAGAUCUCACCUGAACUUGAUGCAGAAGCUUAAAAGCAAAUAACAAAGAUGAAGAAAGAGUCAAUUUUUUUUUUAACAACACCCUUAAGAUUAAGAAGAUGCGUUUCUAGAGAGACUACAUUCUCUAUAUCCUGCCAUCUUCGACUCAAAUUUGUCCUAAGUUAGUCUUUACAGAAAAAAAAAAUUUUUUUUUUUUGUUUUUUGUUUUUUUUUUUUUUUUGUAAACACAUAACCAGGACUAAGACAUUCCACAAUUAUCAACUAUUCCCUCCCCCCAACCUGAAAAAGACAUUGUCCUCAAUGUUUUAAAAGGAAAGAGAAAGAGUGUAGAAGACAUCACAUGAACACUACAACAGAAAAUAUUUACAAACGGAGAGUUAAAUCUAAAUCGCACUUCUUAUUACUGCUACUGUUACCGUUACCGUCAUUAGUCGACCAAUUCAGUGCAACAGUCUGUGGAUCUGGCUCUGGUGUAUAAGCUUGCAAAAGAUCAAGUAACUCAUUAGCAGUAGAAGCAGAGAUAAAGAGUUUUUUUACAGAAUGUGGAACAAAAUGAUUCUUUAUUGCAUGGUUAAUAAAAGUUAGCAAGCCGUCAUAAAAAUUAUUAACAUUUAACAAACCGAUGGGUUUUUGAUGAAUGUUCAAGUGGGCCCAAGAUGCAAAUGUAAUUAGUGCCUCAAAAGUUGCAAGAUCUCCUGGCAAGAAAAUAAAAGCAUCAGCAUGAUUCAUCAUUUCAGAUAUUCUCUCUUGCAUACUUGAUACCACUAAUUCUUCUCCAAUUGGUGGGCCAGACAUGCACACUAGCGGUUUCAUGGGUUUUGGGAUAAUGCCGAGUACUUGGCUUCCUCUGGUAAAAACAGCUUCUGAGACAAGUCUUGAUAACCCUCGUUCACCUCCUCCAUAUACAAGAUGCAGUUUCCUCUCUGCUAUGACACGACCAAGAUCUACAGCUGCCUGAACGAACUCUUUGUACUUUCCAUAGUGAAACCCAGAAAGCACACAAAUAUUUUUGAAUUGUUUACUCGAAGAUGAUGCCAUUGGACUAAUUUUUCAAAAACAAGUUGUGAGUGUUUGAAAAAUGAGCUCAUAUUUAAAGAUCUUGGUAACAUAAAUAAUGAGAAACAGCUGUAAAUGGGUUGGCAAUAUUUGUCAAAUGACGAGUAAAGCUCGUGGCUCAAUAAUUCAAAAACAAACAGUAAAAAGAAAGUAAUGAUUAGAAAAAGCAAACAGUAAAAGAAAACCAAAUAUUUAUUAAAUACAAAAUCACAUCGCUAAAUGCAAUAAUGCAAAUGAUAAAAUAACAGUAAAAUAAAAUAACAGUGAAGUGAAAGGAUAUUUACUGGUAGUUGUGAUUGUGGCUCACAUCUUCCUCUGGUUUUACGUCCAGUAACGGCUUGAACGCCCUCUAUGGGUCGAGGAUCGGCUUCCCAUCCAGUUUUCUUAUAAACUGGCAAACAGGGUCUUUUUGAGUCAGAUUCCCAAGACUUAACUGUGCACUUUGUUUUUGGAAUAGUAUCCACAAAUUGUAAAUCUCACGUUGCACAAUUCCGCUUCGAUGCGUCUCAAGAGAUCGUAAGAUAUCAUCCAACGAUUCUUUACUCAUGCCAUCUUUAACGAAUUUAAUUUUAUCUUCACGAGUAUCAGAAACCAUUCCUAAAGAUUUACAAUCUGGUCGUUUGCAACCAAGUCUCACACAGUUAUGACAUUUUGAGCCAAGUCGUUUAGCUCUCCUUUUCUUAGCAAACGUACUUUUACCAAAACCAGGCAUGUAAGAAACAAAUUGACCAGAAAAUUCACCUGCUAAUCGGACCUUUGCUUCAAUUAACCAACGAAUGUCAGAAGGAAUGCCAUUGAUCAUUAACAAACGCAGUCGUUCACAACGAGCUUUGUAAAUUUUCCUGAGGGCAUUCUGAGGGAGAGAGGGAAAAUGCUUAUGGAGUUUAUGUUGUAUUUCUUCCAUGUAUGAUUUUGGGGUUUCAGUUAUUGUGGGAAACUGAAGAUACCGACUUAAAAAGUCACGGAGUACCGUUAUCCGCCAUUUAUACGGGAAAAUAAAUCAAAACACACCAAAAUCAAAUCUGCAAAAUCAAAUCAAGCGUGAAAGCGAGCAAAAAGAAGCACACAAUAUAAAAGGAAAAUGAACUUACAUUCGUCCUCUCAUUGAGUUAACCUCAAGCUCCAUUUGAAAUUCAUAUAUGCCACUCUCUACUGUUCUGAGUUGUCCCUCUAGAUCCUCAACAUAGGACACGAAUUCUGGUGGUUGCAGAUCCCAAAGUGGAUGUGAUUUACAGCUUUGUAUCAGGCCUCUUAAGUGAAAUUUUAUACGCCGAAAUCUUUUAAGAUGUGCGAACAGGUAUUUUCUCAUUGAGGUGCUCAUGAUGUAAAAUGAAAAUUGAUGAGAGAAUGUACAACUGUCAAACAAACACGCUUACACAAGAAAAACAAUGUUAAAAAAAAACUAUGUACAGUGCAUCAAUCUAAGGAAAAAAAAAAGUCAAACAAUGAAACGGUAAAAUAAUAGUAAAACAAAAAAAAAUCAUUAAAAACUUAAUCAAGAACUGGUGGGUCAUCCAAAUUAAUUUCGGUGUCCUCGUCACGUGGGUGAUGUUCCAGAUAUGGUUUUAAUCUUUGACCAUUAACUUUAAAUGUGACACCAUUAUUUGGAUUCUCAAUUUCUAUGGCCCCAUAUGAAUAUACAUUUUUUACAACAAAUGGGCCACUCCAUUUUGACUUUAACUUUCCUGGAAAUAAAUGAAGACGAGAAUUAUAAAGCAACACUUUUUGACCAAUCUCAAAUGUUUUUCGAAAAAUUCUUUUAUCAUGAAAUGCUUUUGUUCUUGCCUUAAUAAUUCUUGAAUUUUCAUAUGCAUCAUUCCUUAAUUCCUCAAGUUCAUUCAAUUGCAAUUUUCGCACAUUACUAGCAUCAACCAAAUUUGAAUUAAAAGCUUUAAUAGCCCAAAGUGAUUUAUGUUCAAGUUCAACAGGUAAAUGACAAGGUUUACCAUAAAUUAACCGAUAGGGUGACAUUCCUAAUGAUGUUUUAAAUGCAGUGCGGUAAGCCCAAAGUGCAUCAUUAAGUCUAAGAGACCAAUCUUUUCGGUUUGGGUUAACCGUUUUUUCCAAAAUUUGUUUUAUCUCCCUAUUUGCUAAUUCAACUUGACCAUUUGUUUGAGGAUGAUAAGGGGUAGCAAUUUUAUGUGUAAUUCCAUAUUUCUUCAUUAAAGACUCAAAUGACUUAUUACAAAAAUGCUUACCUCCAUCACUGAUAAUGGCUCGAGGGAUUCCAAAUCGACUUAAAAUGUUUUCUCUUAAAAAUUUAAUCACAGUUUUACUGUCAUUAUUUCGACAAGAAAUUGCUUCAAUCCAUUUUGAGACAUAAUCAACUGCAACUAAUAUAUACACAAAUCCAAAAGAUGAUGGAAAUGGACCCAUGAAAUCAAUUCCCCAACAGUCAAAUAUUUCAAUUUCAAGUAUGGGAUUUAAGGGCAUCAUGUUUCUUUUUGUAAUUGAUCCCAAUUUUUGACAUUUUUCACAACUUUUGCAAAAUUCAUAUGUGUCUUUAAACAUGGUAGGCCAAUAAAAUCCACACUGCAAAAUUUUAGCAGUAGUUUUUCUUGAAGAAAAGUGACCACCACAUGCUUCAGAAUGACAAAAAUUAAUGACACUACUUACCUCAUUAUCAGGAAUACAUCGCCGAAAAAUUUGAUCUGGGCAAUAUUUGAACAAAUAAGGAUCAUCCCAAUAAAAUUUCUUUACUUCAACAAAAAAUUUCUUCUUCUCUUGAGCAUUCCAUUGCAAAGGCAUUUUACCUGUAACAAGAAAAUUAACAAUAUUAGCAUACCAUGGCAUUGAAGUAACAGAAAAUAAAAAUUCAUCAGGGAAAGAAUCAUUUAUGGGUGUUAUAUCAUUGCAGAAUUCGGAUGUGAGUCUUGAUAGAUGAUCAGCAACAACAUUUUCAGCACCCUUUUUAUCUUUGAUGGUAAGGUCAAAUUCUUGUAGUAACAAAAUCCAACGAAUUAGUCUCGGUUUGGCAUCCUGUUUACUCAUCAAAUAUCUCACAGCAGCAUGGUCAGUAAACACAACAGAUUUAGAGCCAAGCAAAUAUGAACGGAAUUUGUUUAAUGCAAAUACCACAGCAAGUAAUUCUUUUUCAGUUGUAGAAUAAUUCAUUUGAGCACUAUCCAAAGUCUUGCUCGCAUAAUAAAUCACAAAAGGCUUACCAUCCCUUCUUUGUCCUAAAACAGCACCAACAGCAAAAUCACUUGCAUCACACAUUAAUUCAAAUGGCAAAGACCAAUCAGGAGAUUGCAUAAUAGGUGCAGAUGUUAAAAGACAAAUUAUUUUUUCAAAAGAUUUUUGGCAAUCAUCAUUCCAUUCAAACGGUGCAUCUUUUAAUAAGAGGUUACAAAGUGGUUUAGAUAUGGCACUAAAGUUUUUUAUAAACCUCCUAUAAAAUCCUGCAUGUCCUAAAAAGGAUCGCACAUCUCUAACUGUUUUUGGUUGUGGCAAUUUAGAUAUGACUUCGAUUUUUGCUUUGUCAACUUCAAUUCCUUUAAUAGAAACAACAUGACCCAAAACAAUUCCAGAAGUAACCAUGUAGUGACAUUUUUCCCAAUUCAACACGAGUUCUUUUUCAACACAUCUUUUUAAAACUUUCUCCAAAUUAUCAAGGCAAUCAUCAAAAGAAUUCCCAAACACAGUCAAAUCAUCCAUAAAGACCUCUAAACAAUGUUCAACCAUAUCACAAAAAAUGCUUAACAUACAUCUUUGAAAUGUUGCAGGAGCAUUACAAAGCCCGAAUGGCAUUCUUUUAAAUGCAAAUGUUCCAAAAGGACAUGUGAAUGUGGUCUUUUCUUGGUCCUCAAGUGCUAUAGGAAUUUGAUAAUAACCUGAAUAUCCAUCUAAAAAACAAUAGUAUGGAUGUCCUGCUACUCUUUCUAAGAUUUGGUCAAGGAAUGGUAAUGGAAAAUGAUCUUUUCUAGUGGCUUCAUUUAAUUUUCUAUAAUCAAUGCACAUGCGCCAACUAGAUGUAAUUCGUGUUGGAAUUAAUUCACCUUUUUCAUUUUUAACAACAGUGAUUCCAGAUUUUUUAGGCACUACUUGUGUAGGACUUACCCACUUACUAUCAGAAAUAGGGUAGAUAAUUCCCACAUCAAGUAAUUUAAGGACUUCUAUUUUGACUACCUCUUUCAUGUGUGGGUUUAUCUUCUUUGAGGUUGUUGACAUAUUUUAGCAUUUUCUUCCAAAUUAAUUCUAUGUGUGCAGAUUAAGGGAUUAAUGCCUUUAAUGUCAUUUAAAGUCCAUCCUAUUGCAUUUUUAUGCUUUUUAAGAACAGUAAGUAACUUACCUUCUUGGUCGCUUGUUAAAGUAGAAGAAAUCACAACAGGAUAAGUUUGUUCUUCUCCAAGAAAAGCAUAUUUCAAUCCUUCAGGCAAAGGUUUCAAUUCCAUUUUAGGCGCUUCUUGUUGUUCUAUCUUUUCAAUACUUCCAAGCUCCUCAAAUUUUGGCUCGUCAUCAUAAUUUUGCGAAGUCUGCAUAGAAUCAAGCAACGAAUUUAUAUUAGAAAUAUCAAGUUUAAGUUGCUUAUUUGACUCAAUUGAAUUAACUAAACAAACAUUAGAAAGUUCAGAAAAAUCCCCUUUUUGAAUAUUUUCCUCGAUACAAGAUUCAAACAAUUCCUUUUGUUCAUCAGUAUCAUCUUCAUUCUCAUUUUCUUCAUUAGGUUGCCUGCACAUGUUGAAAACAUUCAAUUCCAAAGUCAUAUUCCCAAAGGAUAAAUUCAUUAAACCAUUCCUACAAUUAAUCAAAGCAUUAGCAGUUGCUAAAAAUGGUCGACCUAAAAUUACAGGAAUUGGUUUGUAAUUAUUCACAACAGGUUCAGUUUCCAAGACAAUAAAAUCCACAGGAUAAAUAAAUUUAUCAACUUGUACUAAAACAUCUUCCACUAUUCCUUUUGGUACUUUAACUGAUCUAUCGGCAAGCAAAAGUGUAGUUGAAGUUGAUUUUAACUCACCAAGAUUAAGUUGAAGAUAAACUGAAUAUGGAAGCAAAUUAACACUAGCACCAAGAUCUAGUAAAGCAUGCUCAAUUCUGUGGUUACCAAUAAUACAAGAAAUGGUAGGACAACCAGGAUCUUUAUAUUUCAACUUAUUAUUAGUAGACAGAAUUGUACUUACCUGUUCGGCCAUGAAAGCACUCUUUCUUACCUUCAAUUUCCUCUUAACAGUGCACAAGUCCUUUAAAAAUUUGGCAUAUGAAGGAACCUGCUUGAUUGCAUCUAAUAGAGGAAUGUUAACUUUCACUUGCUUAAAGAUUUCAUAAAUUUCAGAAGAGUGGUUUGAUUUCUUUGGUUUAUUCAAUGCAUGCGGAAAUGGUGGUUCAGGUGGAACACUAGUUAUUUCUUCACUAGGUGUAAGUUCAUUUAGUCCUUCCUUACCCUUUGAAUUUUCAUCAUUUUCAUAAGGUUCAGGCAUAGGUCUAUCAACAACCUUACCACUACGAAGAGUUAUAACUGACUUGACUUGGUCUGUGGGUGGAUUUUGUUGAAUUUUAGGAUUUGGUUGUGGUUGGGCUGGAAAUUUUCCUUUUUCUUGAAUGGUGAGUGCAGAAGCAAUUUUAGCAAGAGUAUCUUUCAAAUCAGAAAAAGUUUGUGCAUUUUGAUUGUUAAUAACAUCUUGCUUUCUGAUGAAUGAAUGCAUUGUGUCCUCCAGAUUUUUCCAAGGUGGUGGAACAUAUGGUGCAUAAGGCUGAGGAUUUUGAAAAUUUUGUGGAGGUGGUGCUUGUGAAGAUUGUGCAUUAUUAUUAUUCCUCCAACUGAAAUUCGGAUGAUUUUUCCAACCAGGAUUAUAAGUCUGUGAAUAUGGGUUUGGUUUAUUGAAAGUGUUAAUAACAUUAGCUUGAUCAUUUAGACAUUCUUUAAGUGCAGGCAAAGUGGGACACUCUUGAGUGAAAUGAUCAUUCGAAUUACAUAUGUUACAUGCAAUUUCUUGAACAGAUUUUACUUGAUCACUCUUUUUAUGCUCCAAAGCUUCAACUUUCCUAACUAGGGAUGCAAAUUUUGCUUGUAAAUCAUGAUCUUCCCUAAGGUUAUGGAUUCCUCCACUAGAUGGAGAUGAUUGUUGCUUAUUUGUCAAUUCAAAAGUUCCAACAGUAUCCCAAUGUUGUGCAUUUUCAGCUAAUUGGUCAAGGUAAUCUAGUGCAUCUUCAGGAUUUUUAUCCCUAAAUUCACCAUUACACAUCAUUUCAACAACCUGUCUACUUUGGGGUAUUAAGCCUUCGUAGAAAUAAGUGACCAAUCGCCAAGUUUCAAAACCAUGAUGUGGGCAUAUGUUAAGCAACUCUUUAAACCUAUCCCAACAUUGGUAUAAUGUUUCUCCAUUUUUUUGAGUGAAAGAAGUGAUUUGCCUUUUAAAAGAAUUUGUUCUAUGAGGUGGAAAGAAUUUUUUCAAAAACUGUUCUUGCAUGUUAUUCCAAGUUCUUACUGAUCCAGAUCUAAGGUUUUGUAGCCAAGUUUUAGCUUUAUCUUUUAAUGAAAAAGGAAAAAGCUUUAAUCUAAUUAUGUUCAUGCUACAAUUUUGGUCCGUGUAUGUAUUACAAACUUCCUCAAAAUCUCUUAGAUGCAAGUACGGAUUCUCAGAUUCUAAACCAUGAAAUGUUGGUAAAAGUUGGAUAAUACCUGGUUUAAAAUUGAAUCGAGAUGCUUCUGGAGGAAAUACUAUACACGACGGUGCUCCGGUUCUGGUUGGAUUCAUGUAGUCUCUCAGAGUCCUUGGUUGAUUCUGAUCAUGCCCAUGUUGAGAUUGGUUGUCUCCCUGAUCAAUUUGAGGAUUAGGUUCGCCCAAAACGUUUUCGCCUUGAUUCUCAUCCAUGAUUGGUGGUGGAGAUUGAGAUCUACGAAUUAACCUGCCACUUGAAGAUCGAGACCAAUGUCUCAUGCAAGGGUUAUGUUAUAAAGAUAAUAUUUACACAAAUUGAUAACAAAAUAAAAUAAAAAAAUAAAUAAGUAAAUAAUAUAAGUAUACAAAAGAAAAUUAAAUAACAAAAAUGGUGGUUGAACCCACCAAUUAAAAAAAUAAAAAAUGCAAAAUUAAAUAAAUACUGAAAAUUAAAUAACUGAAAAUAAAAGUUAAGGGUUAGUAGUUAGUUUGGUGGUUAAACCCACCAAUAAAGCAAAAAAAAAUAAAUAAAUAAAUAAAUAAAUACGAAAUAAAAUAAAUGCAGAAAAUUAAAUAACUGAAAUUAAAUAAAAGUUAGGAGUUAGCAGUUAGUAAGUUAAGAGUUAGUAAUUAGAGUUAGUAGUUAAAGUUAGUUUGGUCCAAAAUAAGUCCAAAUAUGUCCAAAGUAUGUCCAAAUAUGUCCAAAGUAUGUCCAAAUAUGUCCAAGUCUUGAUUAUGUUGAGGAAUUUCGUCUAGGGAUUCUAUUGCAAAUUAUUUUUAAUUUUAUGGUCAAACUAUAAUUUUUAGAAGUUUAGAAUUAGCAAUUUGGGAUGAAAGUGAAACAAUUGAAAGAUAUCGCGGUCCGAACAUAAUUACCAGAAGAUUGGGCUAGAAACGGAAAUUGUUGGGGUGAAAUUAGAAUUAUGAAAGAUAUGGGGACAAAAGAGAAUUUAAGAAAAGGAAAAGGGGGCAAACGAAAUUUUACAUAUAAGAGAAAAAUAAAAACGGAAAAACAAACCAAAUAAAAAACUUUUCCCCGGCAACGGCGCCAAAAACUUGACACAACUUAAAAGUAAAUUUUAACUCCCAAGUAUAAGAGUGUCUUGUUGUAUUAUAACUCGGUGAGUCCGAGGUCGAUCCACAGAGAAAAGAUUUAAUUAGUUUAUUUUAUUUUAUCUAAAAAUUGAAAUUAAAACUUGAAUAUAAACAACUUAAUUUAAAUGAAACUAUGGAAUUGAACUAGUUAGGGUUAUGGAUCCACUCUUAGAAAUAAAUAAAACUUAAUAAAUUCUUUUUGCCAAUUUGUUUUAGAUUUAUUACUCAAAAGAUUAAUUAUACAAAUUAUUAUUAUUUUCCCUUUAAUUUUAUGGUGGAUUAAGUAUUUAUUGUGCCAAAAUUUAAUUUGUCUACAAUAAGUCAAAAUACCAUUUCAUCAUGCCUUAUAUUAAGAUCUUAAGAAUUUAUUGUGCCAAAUUCAUUUGUUUGUCUACAAUAAAUCAAAUUUUCAAAAUAUAAAACAUGUAUAAAAUUAAAUAGAAAAUAAUUUAAUUUAUAAAAUUAAACAUAGAAUUUGAUUAAAUCCUAUUUAUUUCUUAAGAGUUUCACCUUCCCCUAACUAAUAUUAUUUAGUUAAGCAUAAUUAAAAUAAAAAGAAGUAGUAAAAUUGAAUUACUUAUAAUUAAAAGAAAUAAAAACAACUAAAAUUGGAAAUAAAACUAAUUUUAUUAAUGAAAAUAAUUAUACAAAAUAUUAAAAACACACCUGGAAAUCAAGAUUACAAGGAGAUGGAGAGAAUUUGAGAAGAAGAGAGUUGUAGAGAGAUGAUUAAAACAUAAAAAUGAGGCUCUAUUUAUAGAAAAAUAAAUUCAUAAUCCAGUGCUUUGCGGUCCAUCAUAGGCUUCAUGCAUGUGCUCCUCACAACCCUUAGAUCAAGAUCCAAUGGCUGGUCAAACUUCAAAAGUCAACAUCACACAUGGCAUCAUUUGACUCGUCCGAUUUACCCAAAGAACGGUUGAGAUUUGGCGGGUUAAUGGAUGGAUCGGGUCGACCCGAAUACAAAGAUUCGGAUCCUCCAACUUGCUUCACCAACCAUUGCCACGUGGCACAAUCAUGGCCAUUGAAUCAUGAACGGUUGAGAUUUAGUCAAGAUUGCCAAUUAUCCCAUGCACUCAUAUCUAUUGUAAGCUCAUUUCAUCAUCCAAUCAGUGCUCGGUCAACAGGAAAAGUCAACUUUUUUUACACAAGCCCAAUUUUAAGCCGAUCUUGACUGAUCUUAAGGUUUUCGGACCUCCGGAAUCCAAAUUUGACCUCCGUUUAUCUGUUUGGAGCCUCGAAGUACGUGAAAUUAAUAAUUUUCCUAAUAAACACAUAAAAAUACACAAAAUUAAAUAUAUUUAAAACAUAAUUAAUAAUUCAUAAUAUAUUACAUAAACACAAAUAUAAAUUAUAACAUAAGCAUAAAAUAACAUAUUAUCGCUUGAUAAUUAAACAAUUUUUAAUACUAAUCAUUUCUUACUUGUGGUGUCUUCCUUAAUGUACUUAGACUCCAAUAAGUCCUCUAUUUCUUUUGCUGUGGAUUUUGUUGUGGUACUUAUCAAAACAAAGUACUAGCAAUGGCAUUGUAAAUGUGUCCUAUGCACAGGUAGACAUCUUGCUUCCACUUUUGCCACACUCAAGUUUCUCAUCCUCACGUUCUUCAGGCUUUCAUAUUGUAAGAACAUAAACAACAUUGAGGCUUGUCAACAAGAAAUGUAAUGUUUUUUGCCAACGUAUAAAAGUUGUGACUAGGGGUGGGCAUGGGUUGGUUUGGGUUGGUUUUUAAGUCAAUCCAAACCAAACCAUAAAAAUUUGGAUCCAACCCAAACCAACCCAAAUAUUUUUAACCCAAACCAAACCAAACCAUUUGGGUUUGGUUUGAAUUUUAUUAUCAAAAUAAUUUUUAUUUUAAUAAAAUUUAAUUAUAUCAAAAUUAUAAUAAUUAUUAAUUGUUAUUAAUUAUUAAAUUGAUAUUAAAAUAUAAAAAAAUAUAGUGGAUAAAAAUUAUAAAUUUUACAAUAACUUAAUCCUUAAAUUAAAGAAUACUAGAAAAUCAAAAUAAAGUUUAAUCACAAAAAUUAUUAUUUCUCAAUAAAUAAGAACAUACACUUUAAUAAUAAACUUUCACAAACAUGACAUUAACAAUCUAAUAAUAAAUUAUUUUUAACAUAUAUUAUUUUUCCCCCUUCUCCUUUUAUAAUGGCCAAAAACCCCUCUAAUAGUAUAAGUUUACAAUAUUACCCUUAUUUUCAACUACUCUUUUAUUUCUAUUUAUUCUAAAUUAAAUAAAUCAUAUGAAUAGAAACUAAAUAAAAAAUAAAGCAUUAAAAAUAAGAAAUAUAUGUUUUGAUAUGAACAAAAAAAUUAAUAAUAAAAUUUUUUUAUACUUAUUUAUUUUGUGAAAAUUUUCUUAUAAUAAAUAUAUAAGAAAAUUAUUAGUCAAAUGAUAAAAAAAUUUUAUAAGAAAACUUGAAUGACAAAUAAAAAUUUAUUAUAAGAUAAAUAAUAAAAUAUUUUACCUAUACUUUUUACAUUUAAUUUUAAAAUAUUACAAAAUAUUUAUUAUAAGAAAAUGUUCACAAAAUAAAUAAUUACAAGAAAAAAUUUUAUUAUUAAUUUUUCUGCUCAUAUCAAAACAUAUAUUUCGUGUUUUAAUACUUAAUAUAGGCAUUACAUUCAAUUAUUGACCAAAAAUUAGCCGCCAUCUAGCAUAUCGGACCCAGUCCAAGCCGAGUUAUUAUUGAUCAUUAGUAGAGUCUCCUGCUCUUUCUAUGAUGAUCCUUCCAUGUGGGAGGAAUUAUUUUUGUAAAUAAGAAAAAAAAUUAUUUAUGUUAUUUACAAUAAUAUUUAUUUAAUUUAAAUUUAUUUUUACUAUUAUUUUCAUUUUCUAACUGUUGACAAUUGAUCACGCUGUAAAAAAUUUAAUGGUGGUCUUUCACUUAUUUGUGUUCAUUUAUUUUGUUUUCAUUUAUUUCAUUUGAAAAAUUUGAGUGUUGGGGUUUUGUCAAUAACCCAUGGGUAAACCAUACCCAAACCAUAAUGAAAUGGUUUUCUACAUAAAACCCAUAUCUAACCAAUUUUCAUGAUUUACCCAACCCAAACCAUUUAAUUUGGUUUGAGUUUGGAUAAACCCAUGGGUUGUGGGUUUAUGCCCACCCCUAGUUGUGACCAUCAACUGCUCUAAUUUAACAAAAUCUACUGUGAAUUGCGGAUGAGAUGAGCUCAGUGUCAUUGUUACAGAAAGAACGUCUUAUGAAUGUCGGGAAAAUAUAUUUUUAGGGAAUGAAAAAUGUAAUAAUGGCAAACGUAGAGAGUUACAGUAAUAAUGAUUAUGCCACAAAGAUAAUGAGUCAAUUAUGUAAUAAUGACAAACAUAGAGAGUUGCAGUAAUAAUGGUGGAAUUUUUUUCUAAUAAAAUAAUGAGUUUACUACUCUGUAGGUACAACGAAAAUAAUAGUAAUAAGUAAAUUGUAGAAAUUAACGUGUAUUUCAAGGCACUUUACAAAUAUUACUUUCUUUAGACGUUAUUCGCCCCCAUCAAUUGAGUGAUGAAUAUGGGUUAAACAAAUACGCAUCUACGAUACAAUGAAACACUUAUUUAUUUGUUUGCAUUGGGUAUCGACAAAAGCAAACCUAAAUACUCUUGAAUGUUGCAAGCUUGUCAAGAAUCAAUAUAAUUGUUCCUGUAGUAAACAAUAUGUUGGAUAUUUAAUGCAUAAAAUAUAGAUGUUAUAUGAUAAAAUUCGUUUUAGAAAGGAGAGUUUAGAAAAGAGUGUUAUAAGAAUGUUAUUUUCAUGUCUAAAUGGCCUAAACAUGGCCUCUAUUUAUAAAUAUAAUUGUGCCCUCCAUUUGGAUUGUCAUUUUUCAUGAUACCCAUUCGUUUAUGGUCAUUGGAUCAAGAUUUGAUUUUAAUCAAUUGUCUAAAUAAGUACAUCACCAUUUCAAAUGAAAUGACAAUGUGAAAUGAUACAUUUUUAAGUGGAAAGAUACCUUUUAUAUGGGACAAUUACUAGGACAAGUUUUUAUAAUAAAACAUCAUUUAUUUUGAAAUUGUUACAGCCCUAAGAUUAUUCUAGGUUAAGUUAAUCUAUUAUGUAUAACUUCAGAAGGUUCAUCGGUAGAUUGCUUUAAGUUUUUGUCAUAGUUUACAAAUAUUUUGUUACUUAUAAUGUAAGAAAUUUUACAAAUGUUGGUGCUGAGUAAUCUGCAUAAUUAUUAUGAAUCAGAGAAACAGGGCAGAUGUUGUACAAUUAUUGUUGUGGUGGAGCGGAAAGUUAGCCCGGACGGUGACUGCUAUUGGGAUUUCUUUAAUUUGCAGCAUAAAAGCAUUUACAUUGACAUCGACUCAAGGGUAAAAAUUAAAUAUCUCAUGUAGCAUAAGAAGAAUGCAAAAAUGCUUGAAUGAGCAUUCUCACUGAAUACACAAAAGCUACUUUCCCUUGAGCACUUUCGCAACAAAAGCAAAUGUAAAAUGUAGCAUUUAAUUCUAACAUCAAAUGGUUGAUGCCAUCGUUUCCAUCCCUUGGGGAAAUUGAAUUCCUCUAUCUGAUAUUACAGUCUGGAGCGGCUCUUAAGUACCUCAGGCAACUUAGGGCAAUUUAGGCGGUUGCUCAGGGCCCCACAUUUAACCUAGGAUCCCAUUAUAAAUGAAGGUUUCUAAGUUAAUUCUUAAAUUAUAGUUAUUAAUUAUUGAUUUAUAUUUAUUAUUUAUAACUAUAUUUUCCAUAAACAAACUACUAGAUUCUUUCAAAUCCCCUUUUAAUAUUAUAAUUAACAAUUUUAAUCCAUUUAUUUCCUCCGUAUAUUUCAUUUAAAACUCUAUAAAGGCCACACCUUUUUUAAAUUAUUAUCCAUUAAUAUCUUUUUCCAAUUAAAGAAAAAAACAAAACCUUCAUUACUUUGGUGAAAAAACUACUUUCUCUACCUUACUUUUUGCAUAAGGAAGAAAAGAAAAUCAAUCGUUUUACUUUCUUUUGAUCAUUGUUGCUCAAAGUCUCAAUCCAUCAAAGUUAAAUUUCUCAAAUUUUCAGGUUUUAUCUUCCGAUUCUCUUAUUAAUUAAUUGUGUUAUUUAGGUGUUUUUGUUUCUUUGUAAAAAUAUUAUUCUGUUCAUAGGUUGUUUUCUUUUAAUUAUCUAGCAUAAUAGUUUGCAUGAUUACUCUUGUUUCAUUAGAAAAAAAAAAUGUCUACUAAAAACUAUGCAUCAUGAUACAAAAAACUUCAUAAAAGGAGAAGAACAGAAAAGUUAGUUUAAUCUAAAAAACAAUGCUAUUGAUAAAAAAAUAUUUAAGAUCACCCAUUUCAUAAGAAAGAUUAAAUAGGUUAACUAUAUUGUCUAUUGAGAAAGAUAUAUUAGCAAAAUUAGAAUAUAAAAAGUUGACUAAUAAUUUUGCAUCUAAGAAAGUUAGAGAAAUUGAUUUUAAAUAAAUAAAACUUUAAUAAAUUAAUACAUAUAUUUCACCUCAAUUUUUUUAGAAGGCCUAAUUAAAUCAAUUUAUUUAAGACCUAAAAUAUGAUUGAGCCGCCUUGAAAUUGCAGUAAGAUAGAAAAGUGAAAUAGACAGAACACUUGCUCAUACGUAAAGAUGCGACGAAUUUGAGAAUACUUAUUAUUAUGUGCCAAAUUCCUAAUGUGUGGGAAUUUAAAAAUGUUAGUGCAUAACAUGUGUUUAUCGGUGGAGUAGAAUCAGGGAAAUUAAAGAUAAGCAUAAUUUUUGCAUCCAAUGCCAAAUUCCCCCAGGGAGAGAGUGGGGACUCCUUUGCAUAAAAGUUGUUAAAAGUUUAUUGUUAAUAAUAAAAAUAACAUGCAGAUACAGUAUUUUAGGUUAUUGUUAAUAGUUUUACAAUAAUAAAAAUCAUUUUGUUAGAUCGUAAAAUGUAGUACUCAUACUCUAUUUUGUGCAAAAGUCUGCGAGAAAGGAUUUCAGAUUUACCUAACGGGGAAGUUGGGAACUUGCUUUUUUACCUAGGCUAAAAAUAUUUCAAUAAAUUCUGAUCGUGGAGACUACCUGAAACGACCCGCCCCGAAACCCCCCAGGCGAGUCUAUCUAGUUACAUCAAAACAGACUUAAAAAUAAUAUUAUACGUAAAGAAUCUGCUGAAAAUUCGACAGAGUCUCCUUUAUAUAUAUAACACUCCCAAAGUACAAAUAUGAAUAUACAACAAACUCCAGUGCUCAACAUACUCAACCAAAAAUACUGAGUUAUAUAAUAUACAACCCCAAAAGAACAAGAUGACCAAGAUGUCCCAACAGAAACAUUUAUAUACUCUAGCACCAUCACGUGGCCAAGACUCAAAAUAUAUACAGUCGCUGGGUCGGUCUGGUGUACCUGCAACCUCCUGGUGAGGGGGGGAAAAUAUAAUAAAAACGGGGUGAGUUUAAAACUCAGUGAGAUUAGUGAGUGGAUAGUAGGUUUGAAAAUUGAUCUUUACUUUAAAAGAAAUAAGCAUAUCCAAACACGGUUUCAUUAAACCAUAAGUGAGAAAUCAGAAAUAAAUCAUUAAAUAUUUAAAUCAGAUUACCAACCAUAGAAAUCAUAUCACCAAAUCAUAUCGAUUUCACAAAUCUGAAAAUCAUAUCUCAUCAUAUCUCUGCAUGCAUAAUCUAGUCCCCAAAGGACAAAAGCGCCCAAGCACACGGCCCAAAGCCUCUGUGUGUACUCAGACGGGCCCCAAAGGCCUCCUUACAAUCAGAGCGCGCACCUCCCUUAUUACCCCUCAGUUUGGCGGGCCUCCCUUAUUACCCCUCAUCUAUAUCACUGUACUCAUAUUCACAUACCUCUUUACCACAUUUUAAAUCAUACCACAUUUGAAUCCACUUUUCUUAACUUUCAAAUAAUAUCACACUUUAUUCAAAAUCGAUACGCAAAAUUAUUAACCAAACAUUUUCAUAUAAUAUCAACAAGUGAAUAAAAUCCAUUUCGAGAAAUCAUUAAAUCAGCACAUUUAAAAAUACUUAUUCCGCAACCAUGCUUUACUAUCAUAAUUAACUCUAAAAAUAAGUUUCGUAUAUUCCACUCACAGUGACGGUGUU